AUGGUCAGAGAGAGAAAUAGUGAGGGGGAUGUGGGGCUGAUUUUCGGUUCCUCCUUCCAGAUUUGUUCCGUAAAACCUGUUGGGUACAAUUCAAUCCCUCCCCCUUUCCCCUGAACGAAAAAUUCGAAACCUACAACUCAAAACUCACUCAUUUGUCGCCCCUCCUUGGCUUUCCGCUUUAUUCAUCUCCCGGUGUUUCUUUCUCUCCAUACGAUUCGAUUUCGGUGAGUUCUUCGUUGCCCUCAUGAUUUCCCAGUUUGAUUUUUUGAGCGUCCUUAGUCGUUGUUUUUAUCUGGGUUUACUGCGUUGUUGCUUUUAGUUUCUGGAUUUUUAUUUUUUCCGCGGUUGGAUGAAUCGUGGUUAAUAAUUUCACACCAUGGGAUUUUCGCACUUCUGAUGGAAUUGAGCGCGGGGAUUCGGGGUGGGGUUUUACUGAUAAUUUGUCUUCAUUCAAAUGAAUGGUUAAAAUUUCUGAAGUGAGUGUGCAGGUGGGCCCGUUCACUAACUAAGCUUUCAAGGGAACCCAUCAACGGUUUGUUUGCUGGGGGAAUUCGGAGACUACCAGUGUAUGAUUUAGUUAUCAUUUAUUUUUUUACUUAAUUUUAUCCAUAUAUAAUAUGUGGGUAAAUUUAUACUAAACAAUUGUGAUAAGCCAAUAUGCCAUACGACUUUGAAAGCAUUGAUUUUGUGUUUAGUUUGCAUUUUUGCAUUGUGAAUGUUGAAUUUUGUAUUUAAUUUGGAUUUUGUGUUUGAAUUUGUAGCAUGAUCUUCCGCUGCAGCAUCCAAAUUUUGCAUUUGUAAAUUGUCAAAGAAAAACGAAGUAUGAGGAAAUUAUAGGAGAUUGUGUCGGCUUUGGCCAUGAAGGGUAUCAGCAGCUUGUUCCCCCAUACAGGUGAUUAAUCGUUUUUCAGUCUCUGUUCUAUUUGGAUGAGAAAGUGAUUGAAAAAUAUGAUUUUUUAUUUGUUGGUUGAUUUUGUAUGGACGAUGUAUUAAUUUUAUUUUUUUUGGGAUUUUGUGUAUUGGGUAUUGUGUAGAACCAGCAAUGCAAGAGCAGGAUCUGAUCAGUCACGCCCGAAAAGGGGUUUGUUUCUCAAAUCACAUUAAUUAAUUAGAUUAUUAACGUGCGUUGGAAGGCUCUUCAAUAUGAUUUCUAAUUUCUCCUUUCCAGCAUUCUCUUUUUGGUUUUUGGAGUAUGUAUGUGAUUUGUAUUUUUUUAUAGAAUAAAAAUUAAUAAAACACGAGAUGCAGCAAUUAAUUUGCAUCCUUAUGACAACACAUAUGAAAGUGCAUUCAAUUUCAAUGUGCGAAUGUGUGACAGGAUGUGCCUGCCUCCUUGAAAACACUUUAUGUGAACAAGUGUGAGGUUCUACAUAAAAACAGGGCCAGUAAUACCCUGAACGUGGAAUCCUUACGAGGAUCUCUUGAAAAACUGACAAUAAAUGGAUGCCCGGGUCUCUCAUUGUUACUAGAGUCGACGGAGACGCUGCCGUCGCUUCAGAAGCUUGAUAUUGAUAGUGUUGGUGGGAAAGAGUUGUUGGCGCAAAUGGUGCACAACAGCAAUCGUCUUCAAAGUUUGACUUUAUAUAAAUGUUACUCACCCUUGUCGUUCCCUACAAAUGGUCUGCCCACCACGCUGACGUCACUGAGCAUAACAGAUUGCAAGAAAUUAGAAUUCCUAUCACGUGAGAUGAUGGCCAAAUUGACUUCCCUUCGGUCUUUGCGUCUAUCCAACAGCUGUGAACGCAAAGGCUUGAGUAUUUGCAGUUUAGUUUUUUUUUUCUUCAUUUUAGAGAUUUUUCUACUGUUUGGUUUUUGGGUUUUGUCUAAUUUUUGUGGUCUGCUUUAUAGAUUGUUCUCUUUGGAAGCUUCUUUCCAGCCUUGACCUUCUUCUUGCCUGGUGCCUUCUCAUUGAGUAUUGGAGGAGCAUUAAAACACAGGUGUGUGUGUGUUUUGUCGACGUAAGAGAUGAACGACAUAAAAACAUCCAUCUCUGUAUUUUUUUGUGCUUUUUCUAACCCAUCAAUUUCUUUUGAGUCAACCAAAUAGUCCCAAAUUGCAACUUAUGUUGUGAGGUAUUAUUGUCUAAAAUUAAGUAUGCAUGUAUAUUUUAUGUUUAUGCCCGCGCACACCUCCGCAUGGUGUUAAUCUCUGUGGGUCAUCUAUGUAUAUGUAGAUAUAUCUAUAUGUGUAUGUGUGGAAUGCAACAUAUCGGAUUUAGGUUAUACUGUGCAUAGUUUUAUUGCCUGUUAUUAUCUACGAUAUCACUAUGCCAUUUCUAUACUGGCUCUGAAAGUUAUUCAUGAGCUUAUAAGCACUUACCAUAAUUUAAGCAGUCUGUUUUGGGUUCUUUUUCAUUAGGUCAUUAGCUACAGAUUAAUGGAGAAACGAGGACCAUGCCACUGAUUUGGGUUCUUUUUCUAAUUUUCUGAUUUUGGGGUUUUGCAGGGAGUACUGAUGUACUGAUUUUCUGGGAUUUUUUUUUGUCCUUGCAGGAUUUUUGGUCUUUGAAAUGGGUAUGUGUUGUUUUUAAUGUUUCAGUUCUAGCGUGUUCCGUUCUUCGUUGCUUCGUGAUUCUCAUUUUUCAGUGUUGGGUGAUGGAAAUUUGUUAAAGUAGUUGGUAGUUUUUUGAGAAAGUUGGCAUUUUUAGUUAUAUUUUCUGUUUAAUCCUAAAUGUAAGACUGGAAAAUCAUUGAAAUGAUGGUUUUUUAAAAACUCAUAAUUUUUUUGUUCUGGGAUUUAAAAGCAUCUUUUCCAGAUUGGUUACAAGGGUUAUGUUCUCUUCAAUUGGUUCACCUAAUUUUGAUUAGUUUUAAGUUUUGUCCUUUUAAGUUUGUCUUUUAAGUUUUGUUCUUUAAGUUUUGUCUUUUAAGUUUUGUUCUCUAAGUUUUGUCUUUUAAGUUUUGUCUUCUGUGCUGUAAUGAGAGAUUUCUGUUGGCUUUUCGGAUUUUGGCAUGGGAAAGUUCACUUAUUUGUCUAAUUAGAUUGUGUAUGCCUUCGAUUCUUUAUUUAAUUGUUCUGUUUGCGUUCGGGUGUGAUGAUCUAAAUUUCAUAUGUUUGGAAUUAUUUACUUAACACCAAUUUGUUACAUUCAGAUCUCCACCCCACAUUUCACUAGUUGAAAUUCCAUAGAAGUCGGUUACUGCAGAUUGCGUCUACAAUUAGAUCAGAGAUCAACUGCUCUUUUGUUAUCCUGCAGAAGAUUGCUUUUGGGAAGGAUCUGAAGUAGUUUCUCUCUGUAUGUUUAUUCCCAUGUAGCUCUGUCUUUUCUAAUUGUGUUGAUAUUACACUGUAAUUCAUGAUGAUGAUUUAAUUGUUUAUUGAUUUGUAAUUGAUUGUGAAUAAUGUGGCAUAUAUGAAUUGCAAUCUGUGUUUGUAUGAAAGGGAUGGCAUAUUAUGUUGCUGACUUAAUUGUUUAUGUUUUUCAUAUUUGCAAAUGGUGUUAUGAUCAAUUAGGUGAUUGCUGACCUGUGACUUUGUUUGGAGCUCAAAUUUUGUGAGCAUUACAUUGGAUUGUUUUGAUGUUGUUUUGGUUAACAAUGCAGCGAUAGGAGAAACAAAGAGGAUGACACUUAUAACUGCCCUUCCCCAUCGGCCGUCUUCAAAUUUGGAUCACAAGAAGGGAGCAACAUAGGUGUUUUCCUUCUUCAUUUAGAUAUGGUUAGUGUAAAUAAUUGGACAAAAGAGCCAAACAAACCCUGUUCUCUCAAAUGGAGUCGAUGAUGUGGUCGACGGCCACCAGCCCCAACUCAAGAGUUUGGCCUUCAUAUAAUUGGAUUGUAGUAUAAUUUUAUUUUGGUUCAUUUCUUUUUUCCUUUAUAUAAGUGCAGGUGUUGUGAUGUUUUGAAUAAAGGGUGAUGAAAGGUGGUUCACACACUUCCUCCUUACUUAAAGCAAGUGGAGAUGACGGUUUGUAUAAAAAGAAAAACUUGCCACGUACUUCAAUUUUCUAUUUUAUUAAUUAUUGUUUGGUUUUCCAAAUGUUGUAUUCACUAAGAGACCAAUUAUGUCUUUGAGAAACAAGUUUCUUUGUCUACAUUGCGAGAAUUUGCAGUUUGCAACUUUCAUUGGUUAUUAUAUUUGAUUGAGUUAAACUUGGAUUUCUGGAUUUUGACUUUUUCGUUUGUUUCUUUGUUGCAGAGUUGGCUUCAUUUCAUUCCAGGAACUGUCUAAAUAGGGCCAAGAACUCACUAAUAGGUAGUCAAGAAGAAUUCAGUGUUGCCUUCAAUUUUUGCCUUCUGUUUACAUUCUUCCUGGAUGCACUCUCACCGCUUCUCUCGCUUACCACUUUUGUCUCACUCACCGCUUCAUCUCUUCUGUUGCUUACAAGGUCGUGUCAUAUAUUUUUUUAAUUUUGUGUGGUUUAAUUUAUUGAAUAUUUGAAAAAAGAGAUAAAAUUUUCAAUUUACAAUUACUGAUAUGAUGUUUGUUUUGAAAAUCAUUAAGGUGAAUGGAGAGAUUUACAACCAUGAAGAGCUGAGGAGCCGUUUGCCAAAUCAGAUUUAUAGGGCUUCAUCAAUUAUAAAUAAACGACUUUUCAUUCCCAAUGACCUUUAUCGUUUUUCUUAAUGGGUUAGCUGAACAUGAGGUAGAUGCUGACUUUAUCAAAUAUGAGAAUGUUUUAGGAUUUCAUUCUAAUUUUUUGGCUGUUUGAUUACUUUGCUUUUCGUAAUUUGAUUUGCUUAUCGUCAAUUGGAUGGGAUAAAACAUAUUUUUGUAACCAGUUUGUACUUUUUUUUUCUUUUUUUUGUGGAAACUAACCAGUUUGUACUUUUACCAAUUACCAUAUCGGUUUUGAUGGAAUUGGAGCUUUCAGUAAUGGGUUCUGAGGGAAUUGGAGUUCUGAGUAAUGGGUUUUUUUUAACAACUAUAGUAUCAUUUGUGAUUCAUUUAUUUAUAAGAUAUUAUAUAGGAAACUGUUUUUAGCACUCUAAAAAUCUUAUUCUACACUCUCGACAAAUGUAUUUUUCUUUCUAAUUAUGAAAAGUUUGGAGGGCAAAAUGAGAAUUGUGGAGUGCCAAUAACAAUUCCCUAUUAUAUAUAGCUCUACUAGGAAGGCGACUGUAUGUCUUCAUCCUGUUAAAUUGUAUAUGGCUCUUGAUGUCGGCUGAAUUAAAUCAAAAUGAAAACCAAGCUGCUGAUCUUACCAGCCCAUAUCACUUAUCACUUGCUUAUUUAAAUUAUUUGAAGAUGCGUAUGUGGAUUGGUGAUUUUGUUGGAUUCACUUGGCUCAAAUAUAUGUUAUCUGAGUCGCUACAUUUGAGAAUGUGAUUUUGUUCCUACCACCAUUUUGCCCACUUUUUGUGGAAAUUAUUUCUGCUUGUUGUGAAUGAUACAUUCAUCCCCGGCAGCAAAGUGCGAAGUGCGGGCGCAUUUUCUAGUUUAAGUAAAUCACACAAUGGGUCAUCAAUAAUAACAAACUUGUCAUUUAUGAGAGUCAAACAUGAGGCCACCUACCUACUAGUUUAGUGGAAUACCACAAGUGACAUGUUGAUACCUUUAAAUCUCAUAUAAUGGAUUGCAGAAUUAGGAUAUUCCUAGACUAAUUUAGUUAGUGCGUGAACCCGAACAAUUAACAAGGGUUUUAUUCUUGCUUGAAUGUUUGUUAUAUGUUCCUAGUUUGACAAGGCAAUUAUAUUUCCGACUACAAGUUAUUAAUUUAGUCGAGAAUUGACGCACCUGAAAUGGUGUGAGGAAAACAUGUAUCCACAUGAGCCGCAGUCCACUGUCCUUGGCAUCUAUCUUUAAAAGGCUCGAAAUGAAGCUCAAAGCCAUACAUGAGGGCAUUGUGUAUGUCUUUAUAAGAGAAGUUGCGGUAGUCCUCAACGUAGCCGGCAGCCAAACUCAUCCACUCUACACUGCAACCAUCAUCCAAUUCCCAUACCUCCCUGAACCUGUCCCCAACAUAUUCCCCGACCAUGACAUAGCUAUUCGUUUUUGGUUGACUCGAAGAAGAAGAAGAAGAAGAAGUAUUAUUCAAGCAUGGAGCAGUGUCCACGUACAGAGAAGAAUUCGAUGGAUUCGAACACUUCAAGUAAUAUAUAGAUAGAGAAUUAAUGUCAUAGGCGGGCCAAUAUAGAGAAUUGAUGUCCUCGGUGGUGGGCGGAAUAUUUUGAGACAUGGAAGAGCAAUUGUUGUUGUCAAGCCCAGGAUCUCGAAGUCGGAUUGUUUUGUUAUUAUAGUUGAUUGCCUGGACAUGGUACUUUCCGAAAGAAGGUAGGUCUAGUACUGUAAUGUUGCUCUCACAGGACAGAGUAUACGAUAUGUUGCCACAGUACUUUGGAUCAUCGUUAAGUCGAAAAGGAUGGCUUAUGUUGUGGAUAUGGCCGCAGGAUGAAGUGCAGGACUUGGCACUACUGUUGUCAGCGUUACAAGUUUCACUGCAAAAGCAAAGAAGAAGAAAGGCUAAACUUAAGGUGAAGGACCUGGUUCCACUAAUUUCCAUUGCUCUGAGAGAGAGAGAGAGAGAGAGAGAGAGAGAGAGGGUACCAUAGCUUAAACACCAAGGAGUUAUAUAAUAUGGGAGGGGUUAAAGCACCUCGCUUACAGUUGCAGUAAGCCCGUCAAAUAUCCUAGGGAAAAGUCGGUCAAUGGUGUCCUAUAGAGAAAAGUCGGCCUUGGUGUUUGACACGGUCACUCAACUCUCUCUCUCUCUCACAUUGACGAGGGACACUGUAAUUGAAAAAAAAAAAUGUUCUUCAGAGAUAGAUCUUGAAAUUCUUAUUUUAUAUAAAAAAAACACCUAAUAUUAAAUUAUUAAUCAUUCAAAUGAAAUUCUUAAAAUUAAGUAUAAAUAAUACAUAACGAAAACUGAGCACAUACAAUCAACGGUCACGAUCGUGAAAUCCUCCGGAUCCUCAGAAAAAAAUCCGACGAUGAUCUUUUUCUGUGUAAAAUAAUUUGAGGGUAUAAUACUGGAUGUGGAGCCAAAAAUAUUCGCUAGGCGACACGUGGACUUUUGGACAAAAGAGGACAAAAAUACCCUCGAAGCAUACAAGGAUUCCUACGCGCGAGCAGUGGGCAAUCAUCUUUCAAUCAAGUCAAAAGUGCCCAAAAAAGGUAACAAUUAAAAACCUCUCUCAUCAAAUCCUUUCUAUAAGGUAUUUCCCAAAACCUAGUAUUUUCUAUUUCAUUAUUUAGCUAAUCAAUUAGCUAAAUAAUAUAAACCUACCAUAUCUCCUAAAAUCACCCAAUUAAUAGCCCAAAACCGGCCCCCACUAUUCACAUCCUCAUCUUUCCCAUUUUCCUUAUUAAAAUAAUCAUUCAUUUUUAUAAACCACCCAUUUUAUUAUUUUCAUAUUUAAUUAGCCAAUAAAUUGGCAAAUUAAACAUGAAAUUAACCCCCACAAAAACCCUAUGGCUGGCUACUAUUAUUCAAAAUAGGGCAAACCCUAACUCUAUAAAUAAACACAUAUUCUCACCAAAAAUUCAUUCCAACUCUCUCACAAAAAAUCACAAAUACUCUAAACACUAUUUCUCUCUAAAAUUCUAACUUUGGCAUCAGAGGUUCUUCGGCCAAAGCCCCCCCCAUUCAUCGUGGGCGCGUGAGGCUCUUGGCCUUAACCUAAGGUGCUAGUUGUUUUGUAGGUGCAAAAUCGUCCAAGAUCGAAGAGGAGAAAAUUUGCAUCCACAAAUUGGUGCUUUCAUUGAGAGUUGAAAUCCAUACUCGUAGAAGACUCUCGCACAAAAAGGUUUUUUCUUUUAUUUUCUAGUCCAUUUGAAUAUUUUUCAUACGUUCUUAUUAUUAGAAUUUUUUUACUUGCAAAGGUUCUUUGAUAAAACGUAUAAGCAAAAUAUAAUGGCUAGAAAUUUAGAAAAUUCCACAAGUGAAAAUUCUAAUGUUCAAGAAAUGGGAUUGCGGAGAUCCGUGAGGCUAAAUGCGACAAUAAGGGGAGCGGCAUCAUCAUCACGAGCUUCCACCAUGGGAACCACCAUGGUGGCUACCUCGGUAGCCACCCGCGGCGAGGUCCAUGGUGCCUUCACCACGGCCACCAUGGGAACCACCGCGGUGGCUACUUUGGUAGCCACUCGUGGCGAGGUCCAUGGAGCCUUCACCACGGCCCGGAGAUCCGUGAGGCAAAAUGCGACAAUAAGGGGAGCGGCAUCAUCACCACAAGCUUCUACCAUGGGAACCACCGUGGUGGCUACCUCGGUAGCCACCCGCGGCGAGGUCCAUGGUGCUUUCACCACGGACACCAUGGGAACCACCGCGGUGGCUACUUCGGUAGCCACUCGUGGCGAGGUCCAUGGAGCCUUCACCACGGCCCGAGCCGUGCCAUCCAAGGCUCACGGUACCAAGACCACGAUCCAAGCCGUGCCAUCCAAGUUUACGUGGACCCAAGCCCAAGCCUCGCAUUCACAUGCACCGCGCAUUGAGCAGCCUGUUCCCGUGAUCCAGCCUGUUCCCGUCAAGCAACCCACUCUCACGGCCCAACCUGCUCAUGCCGAGCAGCCUGCUCUCGUGACACAGCCUGCUCCCGACGAGCAGCCCACUCCCGUGGCCCAGCCUACUUUCGUCGAGCAGCCCACUCCGGUGGCCCAGCCUGCUCCUGCUAAACAGCCCACUCCUGUGGCCCAGCCUCCUCUUGCUAAGCAGCCUGCUUUCGUCGAGCAGCCCACUCCGGUGGCCCAGCCUGCUCCUGCCAAGCAGCCCACUCCGGUGGCCCAGCCUGCUCCUGCCAAGCAGCCUACUCUCGUGACCCAGCCUGCUUCCGACGAGCAACCCACUCCCGUGGUCCAGCCUGCUUCUUUCGAGCAGCCCACUCUCACGGCCCAGCCUACUCCUGUGGCUUUCCAAGCAGCCCAAGUCGGCCCAAGACUAUCUCCCGGACCUACCAUCGAGCCGAGGGCAUUCUCACCACAUUUUUUCACGGAUUUGACAUUUCCCAACUCAAAUCUCGCGCCCGGAGUCUACCACAUUUCCACUGCCCAAGGAGGCGCAUUCCUUCCAAGCUCUUCCAAUCCAAAUGGCGAACAACACUUGUCUCGACAAGUCAUAGAGUUGACGAGCGCCCUUGCACAACAGAAAACCUUGGUGAAUCAACUUUUGCAACGUAUCGGGAUCCAACGUGCCCCGGACGAGGUAUCCCGAAGUAGGACAAGGGCAAACGAACAUUUCCAGCAGCCACUCGACCAGCCACGAGCCGAACGUUUGGGCAGUGUACAUUCCCGUCUUAGAGCGCGAGGGAGCAUGCACUCUCGACUAGGCCCACGGAUGAGCAUACAUUCACGGUUGGGGUCAUACUCCGAUAGUCAACAUGAGCAACCUUCCGGGCAAAGUGUCUAUUCGCAGCUAAGCCCACAAGGAGCGUCAUCCACCUCACAUCAGAGUAGGCAGCACGACGGACGGAGAGAAGCAGUCACUCAAUCCAGCUCAAGUUCAACCAGCAGCCUGCGAAGAACUCGCUCGCCUACUAGGAACGCACCACAUGCACUGCAUUCGCGGCAUAGACGAGCCAAACACAUGGAAGAGCAGCUUAGACCAGCAAGUCAUGACUGGAGGCAGCCAAGAGCUCCGCUACCCCAACAAAGGCAAAUUCAGGAAGAAGUAGAGAGACUCUUGACCAAGCGAUUGCAUGAUUUCCAACGCAACGAGGUCACCGACGAGGCACUACGACGGAACAUGACCAACAUAAGCAAGCAGGUCACCCUUCACGGACGAGAUCGAGCAGGCAGAGCCUCCACGAGAGUUCAGCAUGCCACAUUUCACAUCUUUCAAAGGGGAUGAAGACCCGGAGAGACACUUAAAGCGCUACCGAAGCGCAAUGAUCCUUUAUCGAAACAACGAUGAGCUUAUGUGCAAGAUAUUCGCCACCACUCUACAAGGCGAGGCGCAAGAUUGGUUCUACACCCUGCCGUCACAAUCCAUCCGGAAUUUCUACGAACUUUCUUUGGUUUUCACCAAAGAAUAUUCAUCCUAUCGCUCGAUCAAAAAGAAAUCUGAUCAUUUGUUCAACGUCAAGAAGAACCCAAAGGAGUCAAUUCGCGACUAUGUGAGGAGGUUCAAAGUAGAGAAGGCAAAAAAUAGUCGGAUGCAACGACUCGAUAGCUAGAGCAGCCUUCCAAAAAGGACUUCCAGCAGACCACCCGCUAUUUGGAAAAUUGAUCAUGAAAGAAGAUCUAACUCUGGCAGACUCUUUUGCUUUGGCAGAGAAGUAUGCACUUUGGGAUGAGGCUCGCCAAUGCACAUUCAAGGACUUGAAGAAGUACCCGACAUCACCUCCCUAGAAGCAGCGGAGGACUUAUUCACAUGUUUGACGAUAUCUAAAGUAGCAAUAAGCUCUACCAUCAUGCGAGAAGAGAUGGGGGCCCGACUACCUGUAUUCCACAGUUACCUGUAUUCUACAGUUCAAAAGCUCUCCUCGAUGUUAUUAAAAAUUCAAAAGCUAACUUUGGUGAUAGUUGUUGCAACCCAGAAGCACAAGUUUUACUUUCAAACGCAUGCAAUCAUCCUAAUGACGUACUAUUCUGCCCAAUCCAGACGCGCGACGAUAAAGGUGUAGACCAUGGCGGAUGUAAAGUUUUCUGACGAACGCAACACUAGAAGGACACACUCGAAAGCAAGUUUUGUCCUCGUCACCCUAAAAGAUUCUACAUAGGAGCAACAUGUACCGGCAGUUGAGUACCAUUUCUUGCUGCGCAUCACACGGCCCUAGCCGACCCUUGCUCAAUGAUUCAACUCUAGAGUGGCCCAAUACCGGCAGUUGAGCAUCUCCUGUUGCGUAUGACAUGGCCCCAUCUCCACAGCUCCCUACUGCGUCUUCACGCCGAGCCUAAGUGACGUAACAGAGCAGCCCAACGAUGCCUCAGAAGUAGCCGAGCACACUCUAGCUGCGCCUACUCCACCCGAUGGAGACUUUUGGCAUUUGCAUGUCGACGACGCAGAAAAGCCUUCAUCACUGCCGGCAGAGAAGGCUCCAAAAAGAUGGAUCCCAUCUGGGAAGGUCCGUACAAGAUCAGCAGAGUAGGGGGCAAGAGUAAUUACACCCUCACCACCAUGAAGCAGCAAAAAUAUUGAAAAGAAAUGGAUGGCCUACAAUCUGAAGAAGUACCAUGUGUGACCUCCCGCUACAUCAAAACCCGAAGACUCAAUAAGCUCGACGGGCACCACCUCACAAGCUGGGGACUAUCCAGUUGUUAUGCAGUUCCUACCUUACAGCUAAAGUUCUCGUUCGUUUCACUCGUUUUUCAAUGAGGAAUUUAGAAGUAAUCACAACUUGGCUUGGUUGCAUGCUUACAACAACUAAUCACUCCUGCACUUCAAAAGAAGAUUGCGCCCUUCUUAGGGACUCAUCGCAGGAAUUGCGCCCCCCGAGGGACCAACCAUGCUCUCCAGUGCGAGAGGGUAAACCAAUUCUCCGACACCCAUAUGGGUCAGCUCUCCAAGACGGGAGGAUAAACUUUACACUCCGAAUAUCCAGACGUGGAUGAGCCUGGCUGCCCUAGUAUAACUAGAUGCACGAUGGCUUGCGCCGGGAUUCCUAGAAGUAGCCGCAAUGGUCUUUUUCAAGGCUUAGCUAACUGAAGGAUUUUGGGUCUCUUGGCCUAAUCCGUGGGGAACCGGGCCCUAGAGACGGAGAGGGCACAUUACGCAGUACAUCCGAUGGACGGCUGCCCUGGAAUCCUAAAGCUGCUACCGAGUGCACUAAGGUAGCCUACGGAUUCCGGAAGACUGCCUACGGCUUGCCCUUCGAGCAGUGAAGCCGCACUAGACUUAUACAACCGCACAUUCUUGUGAAAGGUUAAACAAGCUAGCGCGCAUAUACGAAGUUUUAUCCACUGCCGACAUGCUAUGUAGUUGAUAAGCUUCACCUCUGCCAAGCGCGGAACAACCUACACCAAGUCCUAAAGUGUUGUGAUACUUGCUACGCAACCUACGGAAUUGAAAAAAGUCAAGGUUAACAGCCGAGUGGUUACGCGGACUUGUCUACUUCUGUAAGUAAGGCAUCCGGCUGCCAACCCUAUGGCUAACAACUUUGCAAAGUUCUACACCAACACCUACGGCUGCAUAGGCUACGCGAGUUUGUCUGCUUAUAAAAAAGUAGCAUGCCUGCCACUGGUCUAUCAAGUCUAAAGGUUAGGGCAUGAACAAAAGAAGUGAAGAUGAAGAAAAACGAAGGAAAACAUGUUUAUAAACAACUAGCAAAGGCCGAAUGAGUUCAAGCAAAACAAGAGCUACAAGGAAAAACAAAGAAAAUCCUAAAGGCUACCUAAAAUACUACACUACAGCAGCUUGGACAUCCCACGACUACUCGAUCGCCACACCUUCAACAGCCGUAACGCUCUUAGCAGCGGCAUCAUCCGGCGCUUCACCCCCCGGCUGCCCUAGUCUGGGCACUAACUUCUCCAACUACUUCACCAAUGGAAGCCUUAAAAGUAAAAGCAAACAAGUCUUCCGGAGAAAUAGAGAAGGUCUUAAAACCUCAAGCCCAUCCUUCUCACCCUUCAGCUGCUCAUUCUUCUUAAGCAGACUAACACGGACGCGCUACAGCUCAUCCACUCUCUUCUUAGCAUAAGUAGCGAAACGAAGCUCAGAAAUUGCAAGCUUAAGAUCUUGAAUCUGAGGCGAAUCAAUCUCAGCAGCAAAGGGAGCAGGCUUUGGCGCCACUUUAGCAGCAGAGUCCACCUUACCACUCUUCAUAAUAGCAAGUCUCUAAAAAGGUGAACCGGACUUGGCUCCCAAAGAACGUCCUGGUACAAACUUCGGCACUGGGGGCAUGAUAAAACCUUUACGCUGAGUAAUCUUAUCCACAAUUGUACUAGCCAUUCUCAACAUGGAAGACGCCACAUGCUCAGAUCUAGCAGCCUUACAUUUCUUCCCAUUGGAAGAAGUCAUGUCAAUCACAUACCUCUCGGUAGCAAGUGGACCAUCAUGAGCAGCAGAAGAAGUCUUCAAUUUUUUCUUAACUGGCAUCUCAUGAGCAGGUGGGGAAGAUCUCUUCUUUCCAUCUUCAUUCAUAGUAAGCUCCACGAUAGCGAUCAGAUGAGCCAAUGCAUCCGCCUUGAUCCUCUUUACCUCCUCUUUCCGGAGCAGCCCACAUUUCUUUCAGCAAAUAGGACUAAGCAGCCAACGACAUUCAUGGUACUCAGCAGGGGAGCUCAACCCAGUAUUCCAGCAGGCAGGAGGCCUGCAUGCCCAACAUUCCAGCAGCCCGUGAGACCCGCAAUCUCCUUAUUUCUCUCAAUCGCAAGCCUGGCCUGAGUCAAGUCCAAUAGCCCAAAGGACAUGAGUCAUGCGAUUCGCCUAACACUGCGCCUCAGCGCCACAAUCCUCGACCCCAGCUGCACAAGCUGCCCUUGGUUCUAGCCAAGUCAAGCAGCUUAAAACAGUGGUCCCUACCACAAUACCUCAUCGGCCCAUGUCGAGCCGACUCCUGGCCUAUGCCAGCCGACGUGCCGCACCACCCCGAUGGCUGCCCUGCAAUAGCACUAUCCAAGAAGAAGGCAAGAAAAAUUAAAUUUUUCUUACAUCGGUGCGGCACGAAAAAGACGAAGAAAUCAACGAAAGACGGUCUUUUGCACAGGCAAGACGUAGAAGAUUGCUAGAGGAGAGGGAACAAAUAUCCUCUAACUUUCUCUCUCUUGUUGGGUAGAAUAAAUCGCUCUCCAAAGUUGAUUUAAUAACCCACUUAAGGUGGACUUAAAUAGGCUUUGAGAGAAAUUUAUUUCCCUUUCCUAGAAGGAUCUAAUUUCCAUUUAAAGAGAGAAUCAACAACAAAAUAGGAAUCAAUUUAGAGUUGCCUAAAGCGAGAAAAUCUCUACACCUGUUGCCCUUUUCUGCAAGCAGCCCAACAGGUGUGGGGGCAUUUGUGGAGCCAAAAAUAUUCGCUAGGCGACACGUGGACUUUUGGACAAAAGAGGACAAAAAUACCCUCGAAGCAUACAAGGAUUCCUACGCGCGAGCAGUGGGCAAUCAUCUUUCAAUCAAGUCAAAAGUGCCCAAAAAAGGUAACAAUUAAAAACCUCUCUCAUCAAAUCCUUUCUAUAAGGUAUUUCCCAAAACCUAGUAUUUUCUAUUUCAUUAUUUAGCUAAUCAAUUAGCUAAAUAAUAUAAACCUACCAUAUCUCCUAAAAUCACCCAAUUAAUAGCCCAAAACCGGCCCCCACUAUUCACAUCCUCAUCUUUCCCAUUUUCCUUAUUAAAAUAAUCAUUCAUUUUUAUAACCACCCAUUUAUUAUUUUCAUAUUUAAUUAGCCAAUAAAUUGGCAAAUUAAACAUGAAAUUAACCCCCACAAAAACCCUAUGGCUGGCUACUAUUAUUCAAAAUAGGGCAAACCCUAACUCUAUAACUAAACACAUAUUCUCACCAAAAAUUCAUUCCAACUCUCUCACAAAAAAUCACAAAUACUCUAAACACUAUUUCUCUCUAAAAUUCUAACUUUGGCAUCGGAGGUUCUUCAGCCAAAGCCCCCCAUUCAUCGUGGACGCGUGAGGCUCUUGGCCUUAACCUAGGUGCUAGUUGUUUUGUAGGUGCAAAAUCGUCCAAGAUCGAAGAGGAGAAAAUUUGCAUCCACAAUGGAUGUGCGAUUAAACCGAAGAACCCACCACCUCCAUCUUCUCCGACCAACUUGAACCCAGCCACUACUACAUGUCAUCCCGACAACCCACUCUCAGCUUCCCAAACCGCCAUUUUUCACCCACUCACUUACCUCUCUCUCUCUCUCUCUCUCUCUCUCUCUCUCUCUCUCUCUCUCUUACCCAAGCCACUGCCAUUAUUCAUUCAAUCAACCCAAAACACGAGAGCCACCCCAUCUCACCACUCGAACAGAUGCAGCCACCCACCCAUUUAAUCCCAGUCCAAAAUCAAACCCUCUCCUAAACCCACCCCAGAAUCCAAUAAUUUCAAAAAAUGGCUGAUUAUAUCAUUUCAAGAACCUCACAAUUCCAAAAACUAAAAACCCACUUCAAAGAUGUAAUAUUUUUCUCUCUUCCUCUUUUUGGGUUUUUUUUUUUUAUCAAUUCUCUUCUGGGUUUUUGUUUACAGUGUAAAAUCAACACUAAUUUACUAAUUUUGCUUUGAUUUUUCAAACACUAUUGAGGCGUGAUAACCUGUUGCAAGCUCAGCCAUGGCGGCUACUGCAAAAUCUAACGGAAAAACCAUCACAGACUCUGCCAUUUCAUCCAAGGUUCCGACAAUAGCAAACCCUUUAACGAAUAGCUGUCGCAGAUUUCUUCCAACAUCAAUCACCACGCGAAAUUAAUUGUCAAUGAAGACGAUCCCAUUCCCCUUCGAAAUCUGCUGGGGGAAAGAGGCCUUCUUUCAUAUCUGCUCUGAGACCUGUUUAUGCGAGAGAGUGGUGAGCCUGACGACAGAGAGAAAGAAGGGCAGGAUUGGAAAAUUGGAAAGUUCAUUUAUUGGUUACUGUUUAUCCGUGUUUCUUCGAAAUAAGCUGCUUUUUCCAGCUUUGGGUUUUCAGUAUUUUUUUAACCCAUAAUUUUGAAAGAAAAAAAACUGAUUUGAAAUGUUAUCAAACACUUAAAAUGUUCCAAUCUUUUUUCAUACCUAUUUUUUUUAUUAAAAGUUAAGCUAAACAAAAACCAGGAUUAAGUUUACUACUUUGAAGUUUCUUGCUUUUCAACAUUUCAUACAUUGAAUUUUUCUCAUCCAGUGUCAUACCUAAGGUGAGAAUUGUGGGACACUUUUAUACAUCCGUUAGAUUUUCUGUGAAUUAUGGGACACUUUUAUACAUCCGUUAGAUUUUUUGUGAUAACCUUCGCUGACCCACGAUGCGGCAUGCAUGUGGACAUUAAAAAAAAUUCAAAAAUUCAAAAAUUCAAAAAUUUUAAAAUUUAAAAUUCAAAAAUACUAAAAACCUAAACUUUUCAUAAUAUUGAGUUGAGAGACUGAAUCUUUUCACACUCGGCCAAAUUUUCUUUGAAUUUUAAUUAAAUGAAACAAUGAAUCUUGAACAAAGCAAAACAAAACGUAAUAUUGAGAGAUUCAGUCAUUGAAGUGGACGUGGAUGUUGGGUACUCAAUAGUCCAAGAAUGAAAAUUCUCAUAUCAGUUUCUAUCCAAAAUUUUGGAAUUAUGUGUGUUGCAACGAUUGUCCAAAGGAUUAUUCUUCUUUUAUUAAAUUUCCAUGAAAAAUGAGCAUGGGGGCAUAAAAAUUGAACGAAUGAAAUUUCAACGAUUUGAAAAGGGUUGUGAGUUUGACACGUCAUUUUUCUUCCUUUAAUGCAAUCAUGUUUAUUAAAAGACAAAAAUAAAUAUGACUUUACAUAAGGAGAGAGAAAGAAUAGUUUUCUUUGAAAAAAUCAACCAUUUAUUGAAGAGGGAUGUUGAUAAGGAGAUGAGACAUUCAUUAGAAGCUAGAAAAAAGAAGUUAAAAGUGAUUUAGAAAAAAGCAAGAAAGCCACAUUUUCAAAGUGGUGGUCAUUGCACAAUACUUAAUUAGAAGAAAACUCAUAGUAUUGUAUUUACAAUUUCAAGUCUUUAUGGGGAACGAGAGUGCAAAUUUUCCAAUUGGAAUAUGAUAUGAAAUUUCUAGAUAACUAUAUAUGACAAAGAAAGAAGUCUAAGUUUCUAAGUGGUAGGGCUUCCAAUUGAUGUGAGUUUGUUGAGAAAUGUAGAUGAAGAUGAAUAUUGUUGUUGAUGUUAGUGAACAACAGAACAAGUUGCUUCUCCUUUGGCCUUCUAACAUGAUAUCACGGAAAACAAGUUGUUGCUAAUAAAUGUAUCUGAUUGGUGGACUUAGACGUGCGCGGUACGAUUUUUGAUAACGAGAAAAGAUGGACAGUGUCAUGACAAAAUUUAUCCAAGUAGACCCAAAGGAAAGACUUAGGAACUUCAUAUGCAGUGGGAUAAAAUCUUAAGCUAAUUUCCUUACCUAUUUUAUAGUCAUUAAGUAAAAUGUAUAUGUAUAUUUCUAGAUGCUGACACACCAAUGUACUUACUAUUAACUCCUUUCAAAUACCCAUUCGCAGAAACGCAAAUCUCUCUUGCAUGCUUGUUGUAAUGCUCAUGUAGUGCGUAUCUAAUAUCUUAUGUGUAUAAUUUUUUGUGAUCCAUUUUUUCAUCACUAUGCCAAAAUCCCUUUAGAAUUUGCAAUUUAUCCAUUUGGUUAUGGUAAAAAAAAAAACUCGGAAUUUCAUUUAAACUCAAAAAUCUAGAAUUGGGAAAGCAAUUUUCCCUUGUUCGGCAACUUGUAGCGAUAGCAAAGGCAAAUUGUACAGGAAAAAAGUGGAAAUUGGGGAUGAAGAUCCAAUUUUAAUUUCGUCAAAAUAAGUGUAAUUUCACAAUUCCAACAACGUUGAGAACAAAUGCAUUGCGGGGAAAUCUUGCGACCACCAAACUUUACGAUUAGAGGGCCAAAUUUCAUGAUAAAACGUAAUAAGGGUUUAGGACUGCAUCGUUCACUUUGUUAACUCUCCAAUCUUCGACGGGAUUUUCAACUCGUGCAUCAUCUUUUGCUUUGUUCUAGGUCAAAGCCUACUCUUUUCUUUCUUGAAUUAUUUUAGCUUUGAGGGUAUACUCUUUAGGCCAAUUGUGAAUUUUGCUAGUUAUUUUUAUUUUCUGAUGGUCAUAUGUUUGUUUUGUUUUUUUUUUCUUCCAAUUGAGAUGUGUAUUGGUUGGAUCAGUAACUUUUUUUUUGGAUUUUUAUUUUUAUUUUUAUGGAUUUUGGUGUUAGUUCCUUGUUAUAGAUGUUGUGGAGCAAAAAAUAAUCUCAAAAAUCGUGGAGGUGACACACGGAUUUUUGGACAAGAAUGACAAAAUUAUCCUCGAAGCACAUCAGGAUUCCCACGUGCAUGCAACGGACAAUAACGGCUCAAUCAUGGAAGAGUCAAAGGUGAUCAAUAUGGUAUUUAUUCAAAUCCCUCUCAUCACUCCUCAUCAAUCCCUUUUUUAUUUUAUUCAAAAGGUAACUCCCAAAACUUCCUAUUUAAUUUAGGGAUCAUUGUCAUGUUAAUUGCAAGAUAUUAUUUCACAAAAUAUCUUGUAAUUAUUCUUCAAUUACCACCAUGUAUGGCCGGCCACUCCUCACAUUAUGGGCCGGUCACUCCUCACCCUAUGGGUCGGCCACUCCCUAUAAAUAGCCCUAUUAUUCCACUAAUAAGGAAGCCAUUUGCUACCCACAAACUCCUAAACACAUUCUUUCAGAAUUCUAACUUUGGCAUUGGAGAUUCUUAGGCCAAAUCCCCCCUCCCAUUCAUCAUGGGCGCAUAAGGCUUUUGGCCUUAGUCUUAGGUAUUAUUAUUUUGCAGGUGCAUUUUUGUCAAAGACGAAGAUGGUGAAAAUUUGCAUCCACAAAUUGGUGUUUUCAUUGAGAGUUUGAUUCAUAAGCUCGAAGAAGACUCACAUUCAAAGUUUCACAUUUCUCAUUCAUAAGUAAAUUUUUCAUACGUUCUUAUUCCUAAAAUUUUUUAAAUCUUUGAAUAGACGUAUGAGAGAAAUACAAUGGCUAGAAAUUUAGAAACCACGACGAACGAAACUUCCUACGUUCAAAGAUCCAGAUAAAAUGAUGGAAAUUGCGAUGUAGCCCCACCACGACGAUCCACGAAGCUCAACGUGGUGGCAAAAUGAGUAACUUGGCCACCACGGAGUACCACCACCACCAUAGCCAAGGCAACCCAUGUUGCAGUGGGGAGUGGGACAGCUUCAUGGCAGCAAAGCCACGAAGCAACAAUAAAUGCCAUCUUGCAGUAAUGAGCCCAGGCCCGUGUCACAAGGCAGUCAACCCAGCGCUAGGUAACCUAGAUCUAGUAGGCCCACGACGUUGCCAUAGCAGCUGAGGCCUAAAGCAAGGCCCAAACAGUUGCGGUUGCGGCAAAUGGAGCAGCACAACACUGGCGGGGCCAAUGCACCCUUGGCCUAAUGCUAAGCAGGCUAAAUCGCACCACACCCACUAUUCAAACUAACCCUAAGUUGAGUAAGUAGCAUUGAAGGUUGUCAACCGCAAGGCGUUGAAGUACGAAUAAAGUUACACACCCCGCACAUGACUUGGCCCACUUCCGCGGCCCAACUUGCUCGCAAGGUCCACCUAGUGAUCCCGACUAGUCGAAGGCCAGUUUAAUCAUCCCAUCUUCAGAUUUCUGGACUGACGAUUGAAUCGGGGGUAUUUUCACCCCGAUUUUCUACAGAUUUGACAUAUCUCAACUCAAAUCUCGCACUUGGAGUCCAUUGCACUUCCAUUACUCAAGGAGACGCAUACCAUUUAAGAUCUUCCAUCCCAAAUGGCGAACAACACUUGUCUCGACAAGUCAUAGAGUUGACAUGCGCUUUUGCGCAGUAGACGACCUUAGUGAAUCAGCUCUUGCAACGCACAUAGAUGCAGUGUGCCCCAGACGAUGUGUCCCGAAGUAAGACAAGUACAGAUGACGAUUCUCUCCAGCAGCGUCCCAACAAGCAGCCGCUCGACUAGCCACGAACCGAGCGUUCUGGCAGUGUACACUCCCGUCUAGGUCCUCAAGAAAGCGUAUACUCUCGUCUUAGCGCGCGAAUGAGCGUGCACUCAUGGUUAGGCCUAUGGACGAGCAUACAUUCACGGUUGGGACCAUACUCUUAUAAUUAACAUGGACAACCUGCUAGACGAAGUGUUCAUUCGCGGCUAGGCCCGCAAAAAGCAUUUUCCACCUCAUAUUGGAGUAAGCAGCACAGAAGACGAAGAUAAGCAGUCAAUUAAUCUGGCUCAAAUUCAAUCGGCCACCUGUAAGUAACCAGUUCGCCUGCCAAGAACGUAUCAUAUGCAAUGUAGCCACGACAUAGACUAGAUGAGCACAACGAUAAGCAACCUAGACUAACAGGUUACGACUGGGGGCAGCCAGAAGCUCUGCUGCCCCAAUAGAGGUAAAUUUAGAAAGAAGUUGAGAGGCUCAUGACCGAACAAUUGUGCGAUUUCCAACGCAACGAAGCUACUGACAAGGCGCUUAAACGAUACACGACCAACAUAAAUGGGUCACCUUUUAUUGACAAGAUUGAGCAGACAGAACCAUCCUACAUACACUGGCGGAUACAAAGAUUACAUCUAUUUUAACAUAUGCAUCAACUCAGCCUAAUGGCGUGUCGAGGGCAAAUGGGUACCAGAAUGGCACACCAGCCCAACCACCAAGAACCAGGGCCAAAUCUUAUUUUCAUCACUCCACACGAUUCAAUACUUGAGCAGCACAUCACCAGUAAUCGAGCACCGCAGACCUAAUGGUCCAAUUCCUCCUGAUGCACACAAGCUCACCCCAGCUCCACGCUCAAAGCCUUGCCUACCUGCUCCACAACACUCAGCCACCCUUGAUUUGUCACCAUGGCUCACAAUUAUGCCAAUUUUGCACCACAGCUCAUAGCCGUGCUAAUCUUGCCAUGCGGCUCUUAACUACGUUAACCAAGCCCACGAUACUUUAUACUUCAAAGCAUCCAACGACGGAGUAGAACACGAGGCUCUACUAGCAGCCCCUGCUAGUGAAAGACUUUGCGGUGAAGAGGCUUCCAAUCCAUUCAAAUUCUCAGUUGACCACCUGUUGGGUUUUACGACUCAAAAUUAGGAUGAUGCAAAAAAAAUUGUGUUACCUAUUUGGUUUUGGUGUCGUAUUUGGGUUUGGAUUUUGACCUCUUAGUUGGUUUCCGUGGUGGAGAGAUUUUGUUAAUUACCUAUUUGAUUAGGAUUUGGAUUUACUUCCUAUUAAGAUUCUUAUUGUAACCUAAGUCUUAUGCACUAUAAAUAGGACCUCAGGGUUAGUGUAUUUUGUGUGGCUCAUUCGUGUGGCAAUUUGGUGAGAGUCAAUUUGUGAGUUUGUGAGUUAGAGAGCAAUUUGGGAGAAUCUUCUCCGUUAGUUUUGGGUUCUCUACUCGUUUGGUUUAGGGUUUGUAAUUUGUGGGAUUUGGAUUGUGAGAGUCUGAACACUAUUUUGUAAUCUCCGUUUGUUUAGUGAAAUUUCUUGUCAUGCUUCGCUCGUGGACUUAGAUUUUACACCGAACCACAUAAAUCUCUUGUGUUAGUUUGAGAUUGUUUGUUUUAGUUUUCACCUACGACGUUGAUAUCGGUACUUUGUUAGAAUUCGCUUUCCUUUGCUCAUAAAAGUACAACAAGUGGUAUCAGAGCCCGGCUUUCGGCUUGGGCUUUGCUUGGCAAUCACUAUGAAGCCUUCUGUGUCGUCGGUGAAAGUUGAUAUUGAAAAGUUCGAUGGCAAUGACUUUGGUAUUUGGCAAUUGAAGAUGCGUACUUUGUUAAUUCAACAAGAGCUUUUAAAAACGCUAAAGGGUGUGAAGGCUUUCCUGAAUUCGUGGACUGAUGAAGAAAAAAAAAGAUGUUAUGGAGCGGGCACUUGGAACAAUCCUGCUAACUUUAUCGAAUGAAGUCUUGCGUCAAGUUGGUAGCAUCAAAUCUGCACCGAAGUUGUGGCUAAAAUUGGAGAGUUUGUAUAUGACCAAAUCCCUUGCUAAAUGGUUGUAUUUGAAGAAAAGUUUGCGUACUCUUCGUAUGGAUGAAGGUACGUCAAUUCAUAAGACCAAAUCCUUAUUGCUGCCAAAAGUCCUCAACAGUUCCAAGGGAGAUGGGUAAGAGUUCGUAAUAGUGAGAGAUUGAAUCUUUUCACACUCGGCCAAAUUUUAAUUUUAAUUAGAUGAAACAAUGAAUCUUGAACAAAGCAAAACAAAAUUUAAUACUGAGAGAUUGAAUCAUUGAAGUGGACGUGGAUGUUGGGUACUCAACAGUCCAAGAAUGAAAACUCUCAUAUAAGUUUUUAUCCAAAAUUUUGGAAUUAUGUGAGUAUUGCAACGAUUGUCCGAAUGAUUAUUCUUCUUUUAUUAAAUUUCCAUGGAAAAUGAGCAUGGGGCACAAAAGUUGAACGAAUGAAAUUUCAAUGAUCUGCAAAGGGAUUGUGAGUUUGACAUGCCAUUUUUCUUCCUUUUAUGCAGUCAUGUUUAUUAAAAGACAAAAAUAAAUAUGACUUUACAUAAGGAGAGAGAAAGAGUAUUUUUCCUUGAAAAAAUCAACUAUUUAUUGAAGAGGAUGUGGAUGUUGAUUGAUGCGCAUUGUGAAUAGGAAAAAAAUAACCUUGAAGGGAGACGAGACAUUCAUUAGAAGCUAAAAAAAAGUUAUAGUGAUUUAGAAAAAAAAAGUUUUAACGAAACAUUUCCGGUACUGUUUACUCUUUACGAAAAACCACAUUUUUACCUUUCCUAACUACUAUUCACUACAUCUUUAUUUAUCAUUUUUCAUUAAAACUAAAGUUUUUGUUUUAACUUUUCGUUAGUUUCCUUUAGAAAAAAGCAAGAAAGCCUCAUUUUCAAAGUGGUAGUCCUUGAAACAAUACUUGAUUAGAAGAAAAGUCAUAGUAUUGUAUUUACAAUCUCAAGUCUUGAGGGGUAACGAGAAUGCAAGUUUCUAAUUGGAAUAUGAUAUGAAAUUUCUACAUAACUAUAUAUGACAAAGAAAGAAGUCUAAGUUUCUAAGUGGAAGGGCUUCCAAUUGAUGUGAGUUUGUUGAGAAAUGAAGAUGAAGAUGAAUAUUGUUGUUGAUGUGAGUUAGUGAACAACAGAACAAGUUGCUUCUCCUUUGGCCUUCUAACAUGAUAUUACCGGAAAACAAGUUGUUACUAGUAAAUGUAACUGACUGGUGAACUAAGACAUGCGGUACGAUUUUUGAUAACUAGAGAAGAUGAACAGUGUCGUGACAAAAUUUAUCCAAGUAGACCCAAGGGAAAGACUUAGGAACUUCAUAUGCAGUGGGAUAAAAUCUUAAGCUAAUUUCCUUUUUAAUCUUAUAGUCAUUAUGUAAAAUGUAUAUGCAUAUUUCUAGAUACAUACACACCAAUGUACAUAAUAUUAACUCCUUUUAAGUAGUCAUUUGCAAAUCCCUCUCGAGUGCUCUUUGGAAUGCUCAUGUGGUGCCGUUCUAAUCUCUUAUAUAUAACUUUUUGUGAUCCAUUUUUUCAUCAAUAUGCCAAAAUCCCUUUAGAAUUUGCAACUUAUCUUUUUGGUUACGGUAAAAAAAAAACUCGGAAUUUCAUUUAAACUCGAAAAUCUAGGGAUGUGAAAGCAAUUUUCUCUUGUUCGGCAACAUGUAGCGAGAGCAAAGGCAAAUUGUACAGGAAAAAGUUAGAAAUUUGGGAUGAAGAUUCCCAAUUUUAAUUUCGUCUAAAUAAGUGUAAUUUCACAAUUCUAACUACGAUGAGAAUCACAAAUAUAUUGCAGGGAAAUCUUGCGACAACCAAACUUUACGAUUAGGGUGCCAAAUUUCGUGAUAAAACCUAAUAAGGGUUUAGGGCUACAUUGUUCACUCUGUUAACUCUCCAAAUCUUCGACGGGAUUUUCGGCUCGUGCAUCAUCUUCUUGCUUUGUUCUAGGUCAACGCCUCUACUCUCUUCUUUCUUGUAUUAUUUUAGCUUUUCAGGUAGACUCUUUAUGGCUGUUGUGAAUUUUGCUAGUUAUUUUUAUUUUCUGAUAGUCAUUUGUUUGUUGUGCGUUUUUCCUUCCAAUUGAAUUGUGUAUUGGUUGGAUUUGUAACAUUUAUUUUUUUUAUUUUAUUUUAUGGAUUUUGGUGUUAGUUCUUUGUCAUGGAUGUUGUCCUUUUGAAGGUUAACAAUAGCCAAGACUAAACAUGAUGAUUUUGGUGUUAAUUACUUUCUCAUGAUACUAAUGCCAUAUUGUUCUCUAUUUUGCACUCACAAGUAAAGAGAAAUAUCCUAGACCCUAACUGGAUAUGUUAUUGUCAUGGUCAUGCAUUGGUAUGGUAACAAUAUGUUUGGAUAAGGAAAAUAAACUUAGAAUUUGACAAAAGAUAAAAUUUAUAAAUUGAUACAAUCAAUUCCUUUGUUUAGAUUCAUAAACAUAGAAAUUUAAACUUUCCGCGUGAGAAAAAACUUGGAAUUUGGGACCUUCAAUUCUCAUGUUUAAAUUUUAUGUAAAUAGGUGUCAUUUCUAAAUUUCAGUAAGUGAGAAUUUAAAAAUAACAAACAUGUAUUCAAAUUUCAUUCAUCUUUUAGGUUAACCAAACAAGAAAUUUUAUAAAUUCUAGAAAAUAAAAUUUCGUUAUUUCAAUUUCUGUUAUUUUAAAAUUAGUAAUCUUAAAUUUUCUCAUCCAAACAAAAAGUUUCCUUGUCAUAGAACUUUCAAUUGGGAUCAAGGAAGACAAUCUUUUCACAACUGAUUAUUCUCACCAAAUUUUAUUAUUAUUUUAAAGCAGAUCAAUACCAAACUUCAAAAGCAAAGUAGGAAGGCUAAAAUUAAGGUGAAGAACCUACUUCCACUAAUUACCAUGGGAGGGAGAGAGAGAGAACCAAGCGAGAGAGAAGAGAGAGAAAACACCAAGUAGUAUUAUAAUAUAGGUGGGGUUAAAUCACCUUUCGUGAAGUUGUAGUAAGAGCAGCUCCAGCGGGAGCUCCAACUUGAUGUACCGGUGAGAUUUCCUACCCAAUAGCCCCAGCUCCUUGCUCCAGUCCAUGCGGGUGAUUGGGCUGAGGGGGGCCGAGUGAGAGGCCUGACUCGAAUCGGUGGCCUGAGAGCCUGAGACCAAAAAUUAUCUUUUUGGAUAAUGACACGUGGUGCAACGAGAACGAUUAAAAAUCUUAUCCGAAAUUACAAAUAGAAUUAUUUUGUAUUAUUUUAUAAAAUAAAAAAUACUAAUAUUUUAUUGCUUAUUGACAUGACUAUUCAAUUACGGGUGGAGAUGCAGAAGACAAUUAUUAUUCAUUAAAGGUAAUUAUUGUUCAUUGGAGGGGAUUGAAUAUGAAGUUGCACUAGAAGGCCUUUGUCACGGCAAUAGGCAAUUACUGUUCUAAGGACUUCUAUCCUAGAAGAGAGACAAAAACACCAAGUAGUAUUAUAAUAUAGGUGGGGUUAAAUCACCUUCCGUGAAGUUGCAGAUAGAGUAAGGACUUCUAUCCUAGAAGAGAGACAAAAACACCAAGUAGUAUUAUAAUAUAGGUGGGGUUAAAUCACCUUCCGUGAAGUUGCAGAUAGAGUAAGGACUUCUAUCCUAGAAGAGAGACAAAAACACCAAGUAGUAUUAUAAUAUAGGUGGGGUUAAAUCACCUUCCGCGAAGCUGCAUUAAGGACUUCUAUCCUAGAAGAGAGACAAGAACACCAAGUAGUAUUAUAAUAUAGGUGGGGUUAAAUCACCUUACGUGAAGUUGCAGUAAGGACUUCUAUCCUAGAAGAGAGACAAAAACACCAAGUAGGAUUAUAAUAUAGGUGGGGUUAAAUCACCUUACGUGAAGUUGCAGAUAGAGUAAGGACUUCUAUCCUAGAAGAGAGACAAAAACACCAAGUAGUAUUAUAAUAUAGGUGGGGUUAAAUCACCUUCCGUGAAGUUGCAGUAAGGACUUCUAUCCUAGAGAAAAGUCGGUCAAUGGUGUUUGACACAGUCAGUCAACGAUAAAGACAGAAUUGUGUAACCAUAAUUCUCUCUCUAUCUCUUUUUCAUUAACGGAGGACAGUGUAUAAUUACUACGUAUACAUCUCUGCUCAAUUAUUGAAAAGAAAAAUCCAUGUGCAUUAUUUUUAUUAUUAUUAUCUCAGAAAUGCAGAAAUUGAUCAUCUCUUCCUUCUGCAUAUUGAUACUGGUUUUCUUCAAACUAGUUGAAGCAAGCCAAUAUGUGUGCGCGAAAUCCAACUGUAGCAAUGAUCAACGCCCGGCUAUCCAUUUCCCAUUGAACAUCAGGCGCACACAUCAUUGUGGAAAUUCUGGGCUUGAAUGCAAUGGGAGAUAUGGGCAGCAAAUACUAAUAAAAUUAUUUGUCAAACACAUUGAUUACAAGCGUCAGGAAAUCCAAGUCUAUUCCCCAAGUAACUGCCUGCUGCUAAAGCAUGUUGAAAUCCCAAACAUGCCACCCUCUCCCUUCAACGUGUCAGUCGAUGACUACAUGAGUACCCUUACCUUAUUCAGUUGUCCUACUUCUGUUGCAAGACGAGAUACGUAUCAAGUCCCCUGCCUCGGCGACCCUGGCAAGAAAACUUAUGCCAUUCGUUCUUACUAUGAUUUUGGAACUCUCUUCCAGAAUCUACAAUCCUGUACAAAAAUGUAUGAUGUUUUAUCAGUUCCAAUAGCCUAUGAAUAUUAUGUUUUUCGUUUCAAAUGGUCUAUACCAAAUUGCAGAAAAUGUGGAGAGGGAAAGAAGUGUGGAUGGCAGAACAAUGAAAUUAAAUGUCUUCCCUGGAGGAAACCAAGUAAGGAUAACAUAUGUAUUCAUUGCUAGUUUUAAACAUCUUUACAUUUAUGUCUUAGUAAUUAUUAUUUGAAGGAUGUUGUCCAAUCCAUUUUUACUAGGAAUAUUACCUGACAGUCUCGUUUAAAUUCGCAAUGAUCUUCUACAGGCAACACAUGGAAAAAAGUGGUUACAGGUGGAAUCCUGUGUGCUUUGCUUCUUGUUCUACUGACGAUUGCAGCAUAUCGGGUAUAUAGCGCUGAUAGAAAGGAGAAAGAGAGUCGAUUAAGAAUUGAAAGAUUCUUGGAGGACUACAAAGCACUCAAACCAAGCAGGUAUUCGUACGCAGAUAUUAAGAGGAUUACAAAUCAAUUCAAGGACAAGUUGGGCCAAGGAGCCUAUGGAACUGUCUUCAAAGGAAUGCUCUCUUCUGAAUUUUUUAUUGCUGUCAAAGUCCUCAACAGUUCCAAGGGAGAUGGGGAAGAGUUCGUAAAUGAAGUGCGAACGAUGGGUCAUAUCCACCAUUUAAACGUGGCUCGCUUGGUUGGAUUUUGUGCUGAUGGAUUUGUACGAGCUCUUGUUUACGAGUUCUUCCCCAAUGGUUCCCUGCAGGAUUUCAUUUCAUCUGCAGAUAGUAAGAAUUCAUUUCUUGGUUGGGAUAAACUGCAAGAUAUUGCCCUAGGCAUAGCCAAAGGAAUUGAAUAUCUUCACCAGGGAUGCGAUCUACGAAUCCUGCAUUUCGACAUCAAACCCCAUAAUGUUUUGCUAGACCAAAACUUCACUCCAAAAAUUUCUGAUUUUGGUAUGGCCAAGUUAUGUUCCAAGGAUCAAAGCUUGGUGUCCAUGACUACAGCUAGGGGGACCAUGGGCUACAUUGCACCUGAAGUGUUCUCCAGGAAUUUCGGAAAUGUGUCUUACAAGGCAGAUGUCUAUAGCUUUGGAAUGCUGCUGCUUGAGAUGGUAGGAGGAAGGAAGAAUAUUGGUUCAAUCACGGAUAACACUACAAAUGAAAUUUACUAUCCACAGUGGAUUUAUAAUCUUCUAGAGGAAGGGGAUGACCUACGAAUCCACAUUGGGGAAGAAGGAGAUGGUAAAAUUCCAAAGAAACUUGCAAUUAUAGGGCUAUGGUGUAUCCAAUGGCACCCGUCGGAUCGUCCUUCCAUGAAAAUAGCGGUUCAGAUGUUAGAAGGAGGAGGAGAAAGCUUGAGUAUGCCGCCUAAUCCCUUUGUGCCUACUGGUUCUACAACUAGGAAUGCAAGACGCCUAGAGCUAGAAGCUAUUGCUGAAUUAGAGUAAAAUGUAUAUGCAGAUAUGUAGACGUAUAGAUAUAGUAAUAUUUAUAUUGAAUAAGAGGCCGUUUGAUAACCAUUUCGUUUUCAGCUUUUAAUUUUUAUUUUUCACUUUUUUGAAAACUAAAAACUAAAAUCUUGUUUGGUAAAUACUUUUAGUUUAAAAAAAUUAUGAAGACUGAGAACUAAAAUGUGAAAGCUCAAAGGAAGUAGAUUAAAAGUAGUUACCAAACAAACUGGAAUCUCAAUAAUAAAAAAAGAUUGAAUUGCACAAUGCAAUCCAAACCAAUCAAAACAUUAAAAUAGCAAAAAAAAAUUAAAAUUCUAGUUGAUUAGAUUCUAAACGUAGUAAAAAUGAACAGAUCCAAUGAAAAAACAAAAAAUUCUCAAAUAAAAAUAGGGAUAAAGUAAAAUAUUUAUAAAUAGCUCUUUGUCUCUUAUGUCAUCAAUUAUUUCUAUAGUAUAUACAGGUUUUUGGAAAAAUUAGGUUCUCAUCCCUUAUUUUCAUAUUACAUUGAUUGAAAUCUUAUUAUUUUUCUAUUUUAGAUCAAGGUCCCUUGACUUAUUCCAUGUCAUCAUUUUAGUAUUUAAAAUAUUACACGUCAUCAUAAACGAAAUCUCAUCCCUUUCUGCAUUUAAGGCAAAAUAAACUAUAUGAGUAAGUUUAAAACAAGGAAAAUCCAUUUGAACUCCUCCAUUCUUCUUCUUCCCUUAUGCACAUCUGGAAUCUACAACACCCCAAACCCAAUUUUCUCCAUUUUUUCUCCAUUCCUGAAUUGAUCCAAUGCAUAUAUGUUGAAUAAACCUAUUGUGAUUAAAAUACAAAUUAGCAUCAAUGGUUUUAUCGGCUUGUGAGAUUUGUGUGGCAUAGGCAAGGCAAUGCAGGCAUUGCUUUCUCAAGGAAUCUGGUUGAUUCAAACAUGCAGAGACUGUAGAGUGAGCGGGCUAUGUGAAAAUUGUACCAUUCUGAAGUCAUUUUCUUUUGUUCUUUAUAUUUUUUUUCUUUUUCUUUUAUUAUUAUAUAUUAGUCUUGGUUAUUCAAUGUCUGGUUGGCUACACUUAUAUCCAUGGGUACAUUUUUAAUCUACAUGUUUCGUUCUAAUAUAUCUAUUGCUAUAAUAUGUUUUGGUUGGUUCAAAUUUGUUUUACAUAAAUAUAUGGGUACAAAGUUUUUGGAGAAUAUUAUGUAAAAUGGUUUUUAAGGUUGCUGCAUUUUACGUUCCCACAUAUGCAUGUCUAUAAAACAAUGUGGUAUGAUGUACAUUCUUUUCUUUGAGUUUUUAAAUGUACCCAUGAGUUUUCUUGUAAAUUCGUAUGUACCCAUAUGCUAUUUAUGUUAUGGGUACAUACAUUAUUUUUGGUCUAAGUUCAGGAUACAUUGCUUUUGUAUGUAUGAAUUCAUGGGGUACAUUAUUUCCCUUAAUACUACUCAAUAAAAUUCACAAAAAUAUGUGUAGUGUGCAUGAUUUUUUAUUGUAGAAAUUGUUUGUUUUUUUUAAGUCUCAUAAUUCAUGAAAUUUGUACAUAUAUGAUCCCAUAAAUUUUUUAAUUUUAUUAAAUUUCUGUUAGACUUGAUCGAUUGAUUGAAUCUCAUAAUACUAGGAUUUUGAAUUACAUAAAUUCUUGGAUUUGAAUCCCUUAAAUGUUGGACUGCAAUCAAUAUUUUAAAUUACAGUUUUUUGUUUAAGAUAUCAAAAAGAUGACAUGGGAAUAUAGUAAUACUAAAAUGCUGAGGUGUACAAAGUCAAGGGACUUUGAUCAAAACAUAAAAAACAAUAAGAUUUCAAUCUAACAAUUGAAUUGACUAGGGACCGGAACCAAAAUGACCCUAGAUUUUUAUUGAGUUUAAUCUUAAUCAAAAAAAGACUUCUUGUAUCACAGAAAAUACAAGAACCAUUAUUUGAAUGAAAUAAAAGCUAUGGGAUGGAGAUAUAAAUGGAUCCUUUUAUUCACAAUCGGAUUAUAUUUAUUUGAUACACUGUUGUCAAUAUGAAUGUUGAGAAAAGACUACAAAAGAAAAAACAAUUUAUAAAUAUAACUAAAAAUUCCAAUUUCAAUCAAUUAGAUAAUUAGAAUUAUAAGAAGAAAAAAAACAGAAAUCUCAGUUUUCAGUUUAAAAAAAAAUGAAAACAAAAACUGAAAACUGAAAACAAAAUGGUUAUCAAAGCCGUCCAAAUAAUAGAAGUUUGUUUCCACUCUUUGUUUAAGCAUAGAUGCCAAUUUUUGUUUAUCAUUUUUUUAACCUCUAUUUUUUGUUACAGUAGAAGCCCUAGAAGGAAAUCGAGCACUGGACUUACCAAACUCUUAACUUAUUUCUACACACCAAGAGCUUGAUUUCGGUUCUUAUUUAUACUAUUUAAGCUAUAAGCCGUGAUAAGAAUUAGAGAACUAUCAUUUGUUGUGAGCUUCAAUUGGUUAGCACUUUGUAUGUUUUCAUUAGAAUUUAUAUUUCACUUAGACUUUCUUAUUAAAAAAGGGAUCAUUUGGUGACUUCACCAUGACAGUCCAAUUUUAUGGGGGCCAUGAGUACUCACAAAGGUAUUUCAGCCUCCCCCUAUAUCUACCGUCGCGUGAUUCACCAUUGCCGGGAAUCGAACUCAAGACGUGUUGUAUAGAAUACAAGCCUAAAAUUCGUUUCUAACCACUGAGUCACCCCGCGUUUGAUUAUAUUUCACUUAGACUUAUCUUGCGGUAUAGCAUGUCAUCCCCGCCCAAGUUUUUCUGUUCGCAUUGAGUUUGGGAUACCAAAACUUGCCAAACAAAGUAGAUUGAUUAGUAAGCGAAGCUAAUUAUUCGACUAAACAUUGUUUAGAAUUUUAAUUAAAAGAAACAAUAUGAAUCUGUUUUUUUUUUUUUUUUUUGACAAACUAUAACGUUAAGGAGUUAAAUUGUUAGUUGUUAAGAGUACAGGGAUAGGUGAGGAUCGAACCUCCACCAGAGUGCAUAGACAUUAUUGGUUCUACAACUGCGGUAAAUCACAUAAAACAAAACGUAAUACUUUGAGGAUGGAAGACACUUCGUGGAUAGCGGGCAAUCAACACUAUCAGUCGCUAUCCAAAACUUGGAAUUAUGUUUAUUGUCCGAAGGAUUUUUCUUCCAUUAAAUUGCUAAGGAAGAUGAGGAUGGGUGGAGUGUCUAAAUGUCAAGGUUGAUAAGAAAGUGUAUGGUGUUCAGCAUGCGAUUGAGAUUUGUUGAGUGGCACAACAAACCACAUAAAAUUUUCUAAAUGAUAAGCAAUGAUAAGCUUGAGUAUAAUUUUUUACCACGUAUUUAUCUUUAAAAUCAUUAUAAUUAGAUUUUCUCUUAAUUAAUAUAGACCGUUAGAUUGACCCAAGUUUUUUUCCUCUUUUCUUUCCCCUCGUUUUUUUCUUCUCUGAUUUUCCAUUCACCGUGUAGCAGUCGUUCUUCCCCAACUAAGUUUCUUAUUUUUCUUCACAAAAAAAUUGUAGAAAAUAUUAAGAAAAGAAAAGUCAUCAAUAUCAGACUCGAUCAGGUAAUCGUUCCAACCUUCCCAGCAACUCUCAGUCUUAACAAGGCACCAAAUUUUCUCCGCCACCUAACUCGUCAUUCAUUCAUGGGUGUUUCAAGCUUGGUGAAAAUUGAUAGAGUUCCAUGUGUGUACAGGGAUGUGAACAUAUUGGCCACUCUCUAAGAAUGAGUCAUUGGAAAAGUUGAAGGAAAGAUGUAACCGAUGAAAUUAAUGGAUUGGAAUUACAAUGAAGUCUGUGUUGGUUUAUCACAAAGAACCCAGAAACAAAAUUUUAAAAGCAAACAAUUACAACUUCUCAAAUAUUAUGUAACAAACUUUCAAUGAAAUGUUGCUCAUAAUUGAAAAAAGGUUGACGAAGGACGGAGUUGGGAUUAUUUUAGAUGGGGAAGAGUUAAAAGAAGGAAGCACCAUUUAAUUACUAAAAGUAAUUGGAGAAAUGGUAAUUCAAUGGUGGGCGUUUUUAAGGUGUGGACCUUGUGUCACACCCCGAUCCCAACAUACAUUGAGGAUCGACACCUGACAUGGGGACCUAGGGGACAUAAAUCUUACGUAAGAUACAGAAUGAAAUACUAUAAAUAAUAUCCCAAAAUGAAUAUGAUAGUGGGUUCACCCCCUAUAAAAUAUAUACAAGUUUGUACAUUCACAAAAAAAAAAAAAAAAAAAACACACACACACACACACAAAACUCUUGCUAGGCCAAGACUUGCCCAUGGUUCUCAAAGGAAAGUCCUAAAAGAAAUAGUACAAUGAAGGAUAAAGGGGUAACCUAAACACUCCAAGUCUCUGAUCUCUGCACUGCUACCCCCACCGGCUCCUCGUAAUCUACCUCAGACCUGUCACUUGUACAAACAGUGCCUACAUUGUGGGAAUGGUGCACCGGGCAAACAAAAACCCAGAUAAGCUGCAAAACUCGUGUGGUAGCCGGCCUGGGACAUGGGAGGGGGCCGAGUCUUUCAGAAACCCUUGGGUCAUUGAUCUUCAAGCUUACAUGGAUGGGAUUGUCUCGACGUUGCUUUAGGAAGUCUCGACAGUCGUGAAAGACGGCUUUCGAUCCUUCCACUCCUUCUGUAAGAAGGUGUCUUCCUCCACUCCUUCUGCUUCGGGUUGAAGCAGCUGGGUUGAGAGAAGUCUCAUGUUGGUCGCGAUUUCGAUGAGUAGCUCGCUCCUCAACAGGAAUACCCAUGUCGAGGGAAAAUGAGCCUCUGUGUUGGAGGCACCCAGUUGAUGGUUGACUUCCACAGGGGUGAUGAGCUCGUGUGUUUUAGUAUAUCUAGCCUCGUGGAGCAUCUCGAAGACCUUUUCAUACUGCUCUUGGAGGAUCUCAUUCUUCAUCGCUAUCUUGUUGUUCUGAGCCUCCAGCUCAUCGACUUUAGCCUGAAGAGCAAACUUCUUUUGUUCCUUCUUUCGUUGUUUCGCACCAGGUGUAAGAGGGGUGUCAUUCUGUGUGCCGUGGCUUCCUUCGCUCCCCAUGUUAGAGAGGGAUGCCUGGUCAAAAGAGAGAGUACGAAUGGUGGAAACCAGCUUGGCAAAGCUAAAGAGAGUGGGAAUAAGUGUCGUUCCCACAGACGGCGCCAAAUGUUGAUGCACAAAAUCAGUGAGGACUUUGGUACAACAGAAAGUGUUAAGUUUGUGUCCUUCGCUAGAUUGGUCCGGUCAUUAGUGUGGAUAAGUAUGUAAAUGGAUAGGGACAGGGAAGCAAACACAAGAUGUAUGUGGUUCACCCAGAUUGGCUAUGUCCAUGGAGUGGAAGAGUUCUCAUUAAUUGUGAAGGGUUUACACAAGUACAUAGGUUCAAGCUCUCCUUUAGUGAGUACAAGUGAAUGAUUUAGUACAAAUGACAUUAGGAAAUAUUGUGGGAGAAUGAUCUCCUUUUAUAGAAUAGUUUCUAGCUUUGUUCUGACAUUGACACGUGUCAUGCUGUGAUUGGCUUUUGAUGUUGACAUGUGUCGCAUUGUGAUUGGCCUCCUGGUUUGAGGGAAACUCUUCUGGGUCCUUGACAGUAUAACGUUGACAGGUGCUCAGUAGUUUCGGGAUUGGUCAAGUAUGGUACAAACAAAGUCACUGAAAACUUCGAAGGAGUCACCCAGACAUCCAACGACUUUUCUAAAUCAAAUCUCAGAGAUUCCCAAAACUAUCGUUCACAAAUACACUAAAAACUAAGGCUAGAGUGACACAGUUUGGCCAAAGCCUACAUAAGUAACCAAAUAAGAAGUGGCCCCCCCAUAGCGGAUUAAUCAAGUAGAGCCACUCCUGAGAAAGUAACCAAGUAGGUAGUGACCCCAUCACGAAUUAACCAAGCAGAGUCACUCCUACGAAACUGUUAGGUAGUGAUCACCCAUCGCGGAUUAACUAAGCAUGAUCACCCCUAAGUACGUAUGGCCAUACCUAAGAAAUAAGGAUCGCCCAUCGCGGAUUAACUAAGCAUGAUCACCCCUAAGUACGUAUGGCCAUACCUAAGAAAUAAGGAUCGCCCAUCGCGGAUUAACCAAGCACAAUCCAAAAAUAUUAUGGGUCCCCUAUCGCGGAUUAACCAAGCAGGACCAUCCAUGUACCACUGCUACAUGGUGCAGAUUCGGUGUCACCUAACCCCGUGACACUAGGGUAACGGUCCUCUACUAGCCCUCACGUUUUUCAAACAUUUCAAAUAUAUAAUUUAAAACACAAUUCAUAAACAUUUCGAAUAGGGAAGUCACAUAGUGUUUAAUAAUGUAGGUCAAUGGAAAACUUUAAAAACAAUUAUUUAGCAUAAAACAUAUUUUAGAAAUCCAUGCUGUAUCCACAAAGUAUACUAGCACGGGAGAUUUUCAGGGUAAUAACUCUAUCACAUAUAUUAAAGUCACUCACCUGGAGUCCGCACUAACGCACCCUAGCACGAAUAUCAAGAUGUCACGUACUAUCAUUUGUAACAUCCCACAUCAACCAACAGAGAGGGGGUGAUGUGUCUUAUAUGUACAUGCCCACCUCUAUAGCACGAGGCUUUUUGGGAGCUCAUUGGCUUCAUAUUCCAUCGGAACUCCAAAGUUAAGCGAGUUUGGGCGAUAGUAGUCCAAGGAUGGGUGACCCACUGGAAAGUUCUCGUGUGAGUUCCUAGAAACAAAACCGUGAAGGCGUGGCCAGGGGGGCCAAAGUGGACAAUAUUGUGUUACGACGGAAUUAAGACUGAGAUGUGACAGAAUGGUAUCAGAGCCGCUCUGCCGCGUGGUGCAAGUGUGCCGAAGAGGACAUCGAGCCCCUAAGGGGGGUGGAUUGUAACAUCCCACAUCGACCAACGAAGAGGGGGUGAUGUGCCUUAUAUGUACAUGCCCACCUUCAUUUAGCACGAGGUCUUUUGGGAGCUCACUGGUUCCGGGUUCCAUCGGAACUCCGAAGUUAAGCGAGUUCGAGCGAGAGCAUUCCCAUGAUGGGUGACCCACUGGGAAGUUCUUGUGUGAGUUCCCAGAAACAAAACUGUGAGAGCAUGGCCGGGGCCCAAAGCGGACAAUAUCGUGUUAUGGCGGAGCCGAGAUUGGGAUGUGACAUCGUCACCUAAGACAAAGUACAAGUCCACAUUUAGAGUUCUUCGAGUAUUCACAUAAUCAAAAAUUUACAUACGCACCCUACAACUAAUGAAGAGAAAUCGAGACACGUUGACAAAAAGUCAACCGUCGAUCAACGGUAGGGUCCACAACCCUACGUAACUUAAUCCGUAAGAUCCAGCCACUGUAUUUGUGAUUCAUAAGUUCCUAAGGUCCUCAAAUCUUACGUACAAUAACAUACUAAACUUUAGUGACGAUCUAAUGGUCGAAUCAUCAUUUACUAUAAUGUUCAAAUGACGCAAAUUCGUCAAUCGGAUGUCAAAUAUGGAAUCGGUCAUCGAAUUUAGCCUAGGAAGAUCAAGUGGUGUCUCAAGCCACGCACCACCAUGCGCAGCAGUUGGCAACCCAGAUUCGUCGAAAAAAUCACCUGAUUCCAAAAUGAAUGUCGUGAGACGUGGAGUAAAUUGUAUACCUGUGAGAAGCCCAAUUUGGCCAGGAAGUGGCCUGAAAUCACUUUAGACCGUCGGAAACCCUAAAAUAGGUGAAUCUCGAUUAGUCAUCUCUGGUAUUCCACCGUCCUCAAACUUGUUUAGGGUUCUCAAAAAAAUGCUAAUGAUGAUGGUGAUUGAAGGAGAACGUUUCAGAAAUAGUGAAUCGCCGGCGAGGGUUUCACGGAAUCGACAUGGGUGUUCCUCGUGGAACCAAGACCAAAUCUCAACGGUUUUGGCUAGAAAUGGAUGCUGGGAUGUCGUGGUGAGGUUUGGUAUUGAUGGGAGGUCGAAGAAAGUCAAAAAAAUCGACGAAAAAACUGUCGUCGGAGUCACAGGAAACGUGUUAGAAAAAUGAGUCGCCGAGUUUGAAACGGGUCGAAGGCUUUUGGGACAGCUACUUAAUCUCUCUUCUCUGAUUAGUCACUCCACUCACUCUCUCAUUUGAUUGGUCCAGCCUUCCCACAUGGUGGGAGUUCCCUCAUAUAGUAACCCAAAAUUUACUAUUUAAAUUUGGUAUCAAACGUCCGUAACUUUUUUGUUAUAGUUCCGAUUCACAAACGGCUUUCGCCUACGCGCUCGUAUGAUCGAAUUAUACUUGAAAACAUUAAUUGUGACCUUAAAAAGGUCUACAAGUUUUAAAAGAUUAAUUACAAAAAUUCACACCUUGUAACUAUACGAUUCAAAUUCUAAAAUUAACGGAAUUAAAAUAAACUAAAAAUAAUGUAAACACGAAAUACAGACUUUAAUAAUGAAAUACGUAAUUAAUAGUGGAAUUCUGGGGAUGGGAUUUCACACCUUGCGUCCGGACCUUGAGUGCGGAUCAGAAUCCAAAGGUCGUGAUCUGACGAGCUCAUGUAUAGAACAGAGUUGUUGUGACCCAAUGCAAUUCAAAACUUUUAUGUUUUUUUAUUUACUGGGUACGUUUUUGUAGGAGGAAAAGGGGAAGUCGAGGGAUUCUUUGCGCAAUAAAGAGGGAAAGAGAGAAAAGGGGAGCUAAGAGGUUCUUCGCGCGUUAAAUUUUUGCUUCUGAUUUUGCAACCUAGAAAUAAAGUAUUUUCUUUAUGGUUUAUGGUUCAAGAAUAUAAUGGAUGCAACCUAAAAAUGUUUAUUUUUUUAUUUUUUACUUUUUUUCUUCUUAUGUUGGCUUUUGGUUUAUUCUUAUAAUGCACUAUAUAUUAACUAAAUUUAUAAACAUUUUGUAUCUUUGUUGCAGUCAAAUUAAUCAUAUGGGUUGGCAUGACGAAGUUCGACUGAGACAUACAGAUGUUUUGCAAUCUUAAGUCUAACCUGACACACCCCGACCUCAAUAUCCAGUGGACACCAAAAUUGAGGUGUGAUGGCCAUCAUCCGGAUGGGUGACGAAACCAUUAUAUGCAUGAAAACAUAAUUACCCAAACACGUCUUAUUAAAAUAUUGAGUAAAUACCAUACAAGAUAGAAUACGUCAGAGCUGUUGCAAAAUACCUCAACGUCCGAUGUAAUCACUGAUAGAAUUACUGAAUCAUGUAUAAAUGGAAAGCUGAUAAAUACAUGUAAUUUGAGUGGAUACUUACCAGCAGCAUGGAUACAAUAUCAUCCACCAGUCGUAACUAGUGAAAGUUGGAUAAUAUAAUCAUGUCAUUGCCGAGUAAUCUCAAGGCAAUGACAAGAUGAGAAUGUAACUGAGUAAUCAUAUCAUUACUAAAUAAUCUCAAAGUAAUGACAAGCUAAGAGUAUAACCGUAUAAUCAUGUCAUUACCUCGUAAUCUCAAAAUAAUGAUAAGCUGAGAGUAUAACUGUAGUACCUCUUAUUAGUGCAAUGCAUGAUAUGAAUUCCAUCUCACAUAUAUAUGCAAGCCAUAAUCAAACCAAUAAACAUCCAACAAAAGCCACAAUCCUUUUAACAUUCGACCACAAGAUCAAUUUUCAUAUUUCCCAAACCUAGGUUCCAAAGCAUUGUUUCGAAUUAUUAAUACAAGAAACCACCACCACCUCAAUCAACUCCUAUUCACAAGUGUAAGCAAUUACUAAAUGCAUCACUUUCGACUCUAGUCUUAAUUAGAUUACUUGGGAUACUCACACCAUCAGAUCCAAGUACUAUUUUGAUAAACUUUAAAUAGCAUGGUUAAAAUAAAUGAAACACUUUUAGAAAAUAAGUGAAGAUGUUGUUUACAAAUAUAGAUGCAUCUGUAUAUAAAAGCUUUGGCGGUUGAUCCGUAUACACACUUCCAGAGAUAUAAGCAAGUUCAUUGGAAUAUACAUACAUAGUUAAUGUAUUACAAUAUAAUUAAUAAGAAAACAAUUGCAUCCCUUUCAGAUUAUAUAUAUAUAUAUAUAUAUAUAUAUAUAUAUAGACACACACAUACAUACACACAGGCCCUUUAUGCAAAGGAAUUUCCAUUUUUUUUCAAAAAUGGGGAUUAGUUGUGGGGCCCACGCUGCAUUGAACUUUAACGAUCCGAACAGUCUAUUUUGUAAGUCUCGAUUCAUAGAUCAUCCUUGUAAAAAUUCAAUUCAAUCCGAACCCAUUUGCCUAUUUAAUUAUCAAGAUAAAAUUUUAUUGUUUCUUAUAUAACAAAGUAUUCGUUAAUUUCUUUGAACUCAAUUAGAUAUCUUAAACAUUUCCGAUUUGGUUAAUAUUGUGUAAGGAUGAUCUAUGUGGUGCAACUUGAAAAAUAGACGAUUACGAUCGUUAAAGUUCGAUGUGGUGAGAACCCUACAAUUAAUCUUCAUUUUUAUAAAAGAAUGGGAACCCCUUCCCUUAAAGGUUUCCUAUGUAUAUAUUUGUUCUCCAGACAUAUGCAAAAGGUAAUGUAAAACCAAUGAGAACUUAAAUAGAUAUUCCAUACAUAGGACAAUUCCAUAUAUGCUUUUUCAACAUUUAUAUCGAAAAGCCAAAUUGUUUUGAGGAAAUUAAUUGUAGCAAUGAUCCCUUAACUUUUAUCUUAUUGGAGCAAUGGUCUCUCAACUAAAAAUUCAUAACCAUUGGUUCCUUAACUCCACACAACGUGUAGUUAUGGUCAUUUUCAUUAACUCCGUCAGAACUUUUGUUAAAACAAGUAAUGUUAGAAGAAUCAUUGCUACAAUUAAGUUAAAGUUGGGGACCAUUGCUCUAAUUAAAUUAAAAUUGAGGGAUCAUUUCUCCAAAUUGCUUAAAGUUCAAGGACCAUUUCUACAAUUUUCUCAUCUAGUUUCCCAUAUUUACCCCAUGAUUCAGCUUCACAUGCAUUGCACAUGACUCAUUUUGAAAUUUUUUUUAACGAAAUUGAUGAAAAUGACCAUAAAUGCACGUUUUGAAGAGUUAAGAGACCAAUGGUCGUGGAUUUUAGUUGAGGGAUCAUUGCUCCAAUUUAGUUAAAGUUAAGGGACCCUUGCUACAAUUUUCUCAAAUGUUUUGUAUGCGAAAAUAGGCAUUUGUAAAGUUUGGCUUGUUCAUGGCAUUAUUACUUUAGUCUAAAGUAAGGCUGGAAAUGGCACUGUAGAAAUGAAUAGUGUUCCAAUCCGAAUUUCAGUUUAAUUACAACAAUGCCAUUGCUCUUUGUGUUGCCUUUAGGUGAGCAGCCCGGCUUGCAGCCAGGCCCAAAUGUAUUGGUUUUAGCUGAGAAGCCCGGCCCUUAGUCAAGCCCAAAAUUUUAAAUUACAGUUUUGCCCAUACAAAAUAACAAUCCGAUUGUAUCGAGAAGGACAAUUUUGUCCUUUCAGUUUUGGGUGAGAUAGGGGGUAACAGGGUAAGUUUCAUUUGCUGUCGUUGAAUGAGGGUUUCGAGGAUGAGGGCUCUGUGUGUGUGGGUGUGUGAGAGAGAGAGAGAGAUAGAGAGAGAUAGAGAGGGAUAUGGCGAUGGAAGGAGAGCGAGGGGGAAGGGAAGGGUUCUCGGCACUGUUGCUGCAUGUGAAUUUCACAAGUGGGAGAGUGGGUAUGGUCAGAGAAGACCAUAUAGGUCGUUGGGAUUUCAGGGAAACGGGGUAGGGGUCAUGAAUGAACCCUGCUGAGAGUGGGUACUGGAUCUUGCGCUGCAUGCCUCAAAUCAAAGAUAAGUUCGUUUUUUUUAUUGUAUUUUUUAUGGUAGCUUAGCUUUUGGAAUUGUUUAGUAUGUUAGGUCCGAUUUUGGGGGAUUUAUCUUUUUAGAGAGAGAGAUGGACAGGGAGAUAGAGAUAGAGAGAGAGAGAGAGAGAGAGAGAGAGAGAGAGAUGAGGAAGCAUGACUGUGUGCAAUUUUUUAUGUUAAUUAAUGGGUUGGUGCGCAGGGUGAGUGACAGAGUGACAGAGUGAAGGAGGGACGUGUGGGAGGGUAUGAGUUUUCAGUUCUUUCUUUUGAUUCAACAGGUUAUACACUGUUUGAAAAACCUUUUUUUUAUUAUUUUGUUCUCGUUUGCUUUGUUAAAACCAUCAUUUGAAUUUUUGGGUUUCAUUGUGCUUAUUUCUCUGCUUCUUCAUAAUUUGCUGGUGUUUGCUUCUCAUCCCUCUGUUGGUAGAUCUUUUUCUCAUUUCUUGGUUCCUUAUGUAUUCUUUGGUACAAAUCUGUUUACUUUUUGGCUGUGUGAUAAUCUUAGCAGGUGAACUAUAUGAACGUUUUUUUGAAACGAGUUAAGAAGAUCCAGCUGAAAAGAGCAUACAAGAUAGAGAACUGGUAUGCUGCUCGCCAGGGAAAGGCUGCUGGAAAGGUUGAGACGGAUGCCUCUUUCAGAAACCAGGUCAGUUUCCUGCUGCUCGGCGUCUUAAUGUAUCCAAAUUGUUUAUCUUUUGAUGAAAUUAGCUGGCUAUAUUUUCUAUUUUAUUUAUCUGCAUAUUAUUUUGGUUUGUUGAAAUUUUGACUAUAGUCAUUGUCACAUGGGCGCCUAGCCCAACCCAAAUUAGUUGAGGAUAUUUAAAUCUUCACCAUGGUAUUAUAGUACUCACUCACAGUUGUGAAUACUAAGGUGCAUGCAUGGCAUGAAGAAGUGGACCGUGCACGCCAAGGUCAGAGGGAUGCAGAAGGCAAGCUUUUUUCUUUGGAGGUAAGUAUCCUUUGUUUAUUGCCCAACAGUGUUGUUAUUAUCAAUUUGUAGCUUUGCGUUCUGAAUUUUUUGCUUUGUCAAACAACCUUCUUGAAAUGCUCGAUUUCAAGCCGAAGUCCAAAAAAUGAAAGUUGAGAUGGCUUCCAUGAAGAGGGAUGUAGAGCAUUACUCGCGCUAGGUGAAAUCUGCUUCCUCUCUUUUCGUAUAUCUUCAUAUGAAGAGUUUUACUAAGUUAUAUUGAGAACUAUGUUAUUUAUAGGUUAUAUUUUCCAUUUUGCAGGAACACAUGGAGCUAAGGAAGAGCUAUCGUGAACUCACUGAUCUACUGGUAAUGUCACUCAAACUGCUUUAUUUGUGCAUGCUGCUACUAUGCGCUUGAAUGCAUUUUAUUACUGGCGGGAUGCGAAGAAAGCUAGAUAUAUGUGCUGGAUCGCUUGAUUAAUGUUAGGGUUUUAACAACUAAUUGUUAGCAGCUAGAAGCCCUGGUUAGAUUAAUGCUAAUUUGAUUUUCCUUACAGUACUUGAGUGCCAGUUUCAUAUUGUUUGUUCCCUGUUGGAUACCUGCUGUACAGUUUCAUUUCUGUUUCUUCAUAACUUUCUUGGCCCUGGGAUAUAUGCAUAUUGAGUACAAUGAAUAUCCAUUGUUCUCUAACUGUUGGGCUUUACUAUCUUUGUAGCAGCCUGCCUAACAUUUUUUAGGCUCUACACUCUACCAUCCAAUUUAUGAAAAAUUCAAAGAUUGGACGAUAUUGAUUGCAGAAAUGAAAAAAAUACUAUGAUAUUAGAAAGGUGAAUGUAAUUGUGUUAGAAUAAGCGUCUAGCAUGAUGGGUAAUAUUUUAAGUUUGUAUUUCUAAAAUUUUUUCGUUCUGGAGUAUGAUUUACCUCAAUUGUUUUGUACUUUAAUCUUUACUAAUUUUCAUUGUGGAGUAUGAUUUGCCUCAACUAACAACUUUUCAUUGUUUAACUUUUUCCUCCCUUAGAUAGUUGCAUAUGUUUGAUUUGUUAAUCUGCUUCUUACACAUGUUGUUUCCUAAUGGUGUAGGUGGGUUGUCGGAUGCAUGUGCAGAUUACUUGAAUAGACGAAGCUAAGAAUGACUUAGUAUUAAGUGAGACAGAAGCUUGGGUCAGUUGGAUUUUGACAUUUGAUUUAUUCAUGUUUUUUGUUGCUUGCAAUGUUCUCGCAUUGUUUGUUCUGAGAUUCUGUGAUCUUAUUUUUCAUAGGAACUGACAUUGGUUUGCCAUAUAAUGUUUCAGGAACUAAUACAACAACUAAUCACCUUGCUUAGCUCUCAAGACACAUACUUAACAGGUUAACAAACACUAACCUAUAAACUGAUCUGCUAAGCUGGACCAUUAACCUCUGUUUAUAUCCCUGCCACUCAUCUUUUGGCACUUAUCAAUAGCAAAAUCUAGAGUUGUUGAAACCCCAAUUUUAAUGAAUAUUAUUUUUAGUUGAUAAUUAAAAUUAAUUGAUGAUUAAUCUAUUCCAUUGUGCAUUAUUUUAUCGCCAAAUACUUUGAAUAUUCAUUAGCAAAAGAUAUAGGGUUCACUAUUUAAUGAAUAGAAUUUUGAUGGUGGAUUGCAUUUCCUGAGUUAUAAAUGUGGUGAAUCCAUUAUUUACUAGCUGAAUAAUCAUAAUGUUUUGGCCACUUACCUUGAAUUUUGUUCAAAUUGAAGAAGUCACAUGUUUCUUUCUGUUGUUGAGGUAAUCUCUCUGUUGAAAGCUUCUAUUUCUUUUUUUUUUUUCUUUUUUUCAUUUGGGUAGAUUUUUUUUUUUAUGGAUUUAUGUAUUUUUUUUCCAGAGAAUUCGAAAUGAAAUAAGAAUAGCGGAUUGAGCAUAAACAAAUUGAUGAAAUUUUUAUUUGAGUGUUUGUGUUAGUCCUUUUUUGAUUUGUUGAGGUUUGGAAUUAUUUGAGUUUUUUUGCUGUUAGUACUAUGAAGGAUGCUUGGCAAUCGCGAAAUGGGGGCUACCUCUUUGGAAAGAGAAGUCUCGCUAUCCAACCUCUCAUGAAUUACAAACAGGGUGAUUUCUUGCUGAAAAACCACUGAACCAGUAGAACUUUCCUCGGUUCUUCAAUUCGAUUCGAAUAAUUUUUUUACCCAGAAAAGCCAGCGUUUCCUGGUGGGUUUUACAGCUUUCUCAAUGUUUUUGUGAUUUUGGAUUUGCAAAUUUGUUUUCUGUUCAAAUUUCCUUUUGUGAUUUUGGAGGUUUUGUUUAUCGAUUCUCUCACUCAUCUCUCAGCUCUCUCUCACUUUUGAGGUACAUGCCGUUGGAUUCCGUUUGCUGCUGCUGAUCUGUAGGUAAAGCUUCAAUUACCAUAUAAAGUUUACAUUUUUCAUGAUUUCUUGAAUUUGGGUUUUAAACAAAGGAAAUAUUGCUAGAUUCUUAUCUUAUGUGCAAAUUACUGGCUAUUUGGAUUGGUGCCUGAGAUUUAGAGAAUGCCUCGCAGCUUUAAUUUCUUUUUCCUUCAUUAUUACUGUUUUCAAAAUUUUUAUUGCUGGGUAUUGAUAAUUUGUAGUAUGUGAGGGCUUCAAUAUGUUGGAAUUUUGAAUGGUUAUUGCUUCAUCGGAAUUUGGGUGGUCCAAAUUUUGAAUUAGAAGAAACCCAUUUGAUUAAUAUUUUUGGUGGAUUGGUUCUCUGUGUUUUCCUUGCUAUUUCUCCCCCAGUUGGAAAUUGGAAGCCCCAACUUUGAGCUCAGAGCUUGAAUUUCUCAAUCGUUCGUUUCUCUGCACUCUCAUCAAUCACUCUUGAUCCUCUAUCUAAAGAACUGGGUAAUUUUCCAGCUCUAUCAAGUAAUACUCCAUUUAAUUGCUUAAUUGAGGUUUUUUGUUUCUCUUUUUCGCUCUUUCAUCAGUUCAUUGACUUUGAUGUUGAGCUUAAGUAAAUGGGAGAUCAUUAAUUGGCAUUGUUCAAGAUAUAAUUCUGUGUUUUUGGAUUUGUGAAACGAUUUGCCUAAUGAUGAUAGUGGUUAAAAUAAAUUUUUCGUUAUGAAGAGAACAUUGUUCUUCAUUUGCCUACGGUUUUAACUACAAAGUUAAACUACUAUGCUUUUGUUCAAUUGACUGCAACUCAUGCCGCAGUUUGCUUCACAAACCUCUACGGUUAGCUUCCAUACAGUAUGUUGCAAGUUUGAGGAUAUCUUUACAUCUUAAUUUUUGCUCUCUCUGGUUGCUUCAAGUUUGUAAUUUUACGUGUUACAUUGCUACUUGAUUUGAUUAUAAAAAUGCAAAACAAAAUCCGUUUUGCUUUUAUUCAACUUAAAUGUAUCCUUUUGUUUGUUCAUAAUUGUGUUGAAUUUAUUCAACUUAAAUGUGUUUUAUUCAUCUAUUUACGCUUAAAACAACUGGUUCCCCUAGCAAUGCGCGGGCCUAAUUUCUAGUACAUAUACUAAAAGCCAGCAGAAAAUUACUGUUCAUCAUGGGAGAUAGAGCACUGUUCAUUAACAGUGAAAGGGCGAAAAUGCCCUCGGUUUCUUCUUUACUUCACGUACUGUUUACGAAUUGCUACAGUAUAAAGUCCGUUUUGUCCUUCCUGUCCACACAUCUUUCAUCGUCCGUUUCUCUUGCUUCGACCGUAUCUUUUUUGCUUUACCUUUCCUCUUCAUUUUUCGCAUUCGUUAGGCUGCGAUUUUCGGAGGUGGAUUGUUUGCCCUCCCAUUUCCAUGCUCUCCCCAUGCCUAUGUGGUCACAGUUAAACCACGUCAAUAUUUUAUAUUAAUUUUUUAUAAAAAUAAUAAAACAAAAAGUAAUAAGAAUAUAAAAUAUUGACGUGGCUUAACGUGGUCCGUGAUCACAGUAGGCAUGGAAAUGGUCCGCGACUUUCUCCCUUUUCGCCAGCCCCUCUUUUGCUCUCAAAUCCUUGCUCUUUCUUUUGCAAAAUAGUCUCAGAAGAGAUCCUGGGUUUAUCGAAUCCUUUGUUGUUCGGCGUUUUGUUCUCAUCUUGUGAUCGUCGGGUCAGCAGCUUUAAGGUAAGUUUGUUUUUAAUGAUUUAUCCUCAUUUUACGAUGUCUGGGCUAACAAAUUUAAGAUCUUUAUUUUUCUUUUUGCUGCGGAUCUGCAGGUUUUGACAAGUUUUUUGUGAAAUUGGUGCUGUCAGUGGGUGUUAACAUCAGGUACCCAUGUUCAGUUUUUCGUUUUGAUUUGAAGGAAUUUCUUGCGCAGAAGUGCUAGGGUUUCUUGGUGAGUUCUUCGGGUUGUGCAUAUGGGUAAUUUUCUUUUCGGUUUAACCCGCUGCUUCUGCUGCUCUCUCUCUUUCUCUCAUCCCUGCCUGCUCCUCUCCAAUUGUUUGCUGUUCUUAAAUAUUGUGUUCAUUGCCUGAUACAAGGAGCUGCAGCAAUCUGUUUUAUCCUACACGGGACAACGAGGCAAUGGCGUGACAACAGGUGAGCUUGGAUAUCCAAAGAAAGAGAACAGUUGGUUCAUCUGCUGGAGUCUGAAGCUCAGAGAAGUGGAGGAAAAUUGCAGGUGUGCGAGAAAUUUUAUUUUGCUGAUAGGACUCCUUAUUUACGGAUGCAUUUUGAAAUAAUUGAAAAGUUGGAUUUGAGUUAACAGCUAUAAAAAUGUAGACAUGAUUGCUGAGAUUAUGCUAUGAAAGUGGAAUAAAAAAAUGGUAGUUUAUAAUAUUGCGUACCAAUUUUUUUCUCUCUUUUUUACCAAAUGAUAAGGGUGGUGGCUCAGGCCGCCCCCCCUACGCGUCCCCACUCUUCGACAAGUUGAAAUCAUGGUGAUAGUUUAUGGGCUGUGGUCUUGGGAUUCUGCAAAUAGAUUAAAAAACAGACACUUAACUAUCUUGUUAUUAAACAUUUCUGCAUCAUUCAGUUGCUCUUGAUUUUCGUCUUUUAAGCGAUCUUAUUUCUGCGAUCUGACUUGAGGAGGGUUUUUAGACCUAUGGUUGUGGGUGUUUUGUCUGACCCCAUUAAAUUGGUUUCCGAGAUUUGUAGACUUGCGAUCGGCAGUCAAACAUUUUGUGAUUCUUGCUUUUUUUCCGACUGGGAUUGACGAAUUUUGGCCGAAUCUGUUUCCUGUUUUCUUCUCUGUUUGAGCGGCCGCUGCCUUUCGGUCGUUGAGCGCCGGCAGUCUUUAGAUCUUUGGCAAAUCAAUUUAAUACAACCGAGGUAUGUUUUAUAACUGCUGUCUUUCAAUUUUUGUUCUGUAUUUUUGUUAAUUUGGAUGAAGCUCUAAUAAUUUUGUUUUGGAUCAGUUGUGGUCCUCUGUUAGGAUUUUCCUGGCUAAGAGGGUAUUUGCGUUUUUGUUGCUUGGUUGGUCGAUCACAGAUUUACGAACAGCUGUGGUGGUCCUGUUAUUUUUUUGGUAUGUUUUUUCUCCUUUUUGGUUUUUUCCCGGUUUGAGCACCCAUUCAUGAAGAAUUAAAAUGUGUUUAUAGUUUUUCAGGAGAGAUUAGAAAAGUGAUUUCAAUUUGGGAAAAUUUAAUGUUGGUUAAAAUUUGUCUAUAAUUUUUGGGAAGGAAUGAGAGGACCCAUUGAAGUAUGUGUUGUGAUUAUUUUUUAUUCAUAUUUUUAACAAAUUGGGCAUGAAUUGGUAGGUUAACUGUGUGUGUUUAUUAUUUGAAUCGGCCAUGUUUGUCUUUCUAUGGUUCUAAAAAAUUUGUAAAGGCUGUUAACUUGGAAGAAAAUGGGAUCGAGGGUGAGGGGAAAACGGCAGAGAAAGCAUGGAAGAGAGAUUUGGGAUUAGGGGUAGGAAAACAGAUGAAAAGAAUAUGAUAGAGGAAUGAGUUCAGUUCAUUUUCACUAUUUUUUUUAACUGAUUUGGAUUUUGUUUGGGUUUGAGGCCAUCAUUGGCGUUAAGACGUUUAUUAUCAGAUCGUGUGUGUUUUUUGCUAACUUUUAUUGGUCAUUUUUAUGUUGUUCUUAUGAUUUUGUGUGGUAGGGUUUCUGAAUUUUAUCGUUAUUCAUUUGGUUUUUUGUGUGUGUUGGUUUGUUUAUUUUGCAGGUUGUGUUUGUGCUGGGACAACAUUUUCCACCUUCUGUUUGCACUGGGAUGAUUGCGUUUUAAAACUGUUGGGGUGAGAUUUACAUAUGGAAUCAUUCCAUUUUUUUUCUUCCAAAUAUGUGCAUUUAGUUCUUUUUAUUUUAAAUUUUAAAAAUUAAAUCGUUAUUUGAGUAAAAUGUUUUAUUAAUUUAUGUUAUGUGUUGUGAUCAGGAAUUCUGUUGGAUUUGCAAAUUUUGGUUUGAUGAGAGAGAUGAGGAGUUUUUUUUGUUUGAAUUUUUUAUUGGACCGAUUUUCAAUUGGAUUGCAUUCUGCCUUUUUGCACCAUUCUUAUGCAAGCAAUUCAUUGUUUUAAAUACAAUUUGAAGAGAGCUGGGUUGCGGGUUGGAUAUAAAAUGUUAAGGUGAGAUAAAAUCGAGAUACCAAGGGUGGAAGAAUGAUUCAGAAUUGGGGGAGGAAAACAGAGGGAAGAUGGAAGAGUAUAAGAGAAGGAUAGGGUUGACCUCAUUUAGAGUUUUUAUUUACUUUUUUUUUUAUUAUUUAUAAAUUGAUUCAGGACUAGCAUAUCAUUUCUAAAUUUCUAACAUUUUUGUUUAAUUUGACUCCAGUUGAUGGAAAACAGAGCUCUUACUCCUAUCAAUCAGUUGGUCCCGUACAUAAAUGCAGAAAAAUCAAGGUUCGAGUUUGCAGAGUAUGCAGACCAAGGUUUCCUGAAACUACUGGUGCUGUCACGCCCCAAUCCCGACCUAUGUCCAGGAUCGACACGUGACGUUAACAAAUACCCAUAUCUCUAACAUACCCCGCCUCCGGAAUAUGGGCAAAGCACAACUGCGUAAUAAUUUUUCGUAUACUUUAUGGCUGCAUCUAACAUCCUCGUUAGAUUAUCAUACCUUAUGGCUACAUCUAACAUCCUUGUUAGACUGCCUACGUACUCUCAAAAGGGAUCAAACCAUUCGUAGUUCACCACACUCCAAUCCACAAAAAUUUGCACAUGCACUGAUUAUAAAAUGGAACUGCACCUAUAGAAACCUAAUCAUAACCCGUGGGCGAUUUGCUCCCACAUAAGAAAGACGUCCACAGUACCAUGAAAUACUUCCACAUCUUUCCUUCCCAUUUACACAAUAUUUUAUUUCACCUCCCUGAUAAAUAUAGCAUUUACAUUACAUGUGGCAGACAAAUUUGCAUAUUCAACUAUAAUAAAAUACAAUCUUAGUAGGAAAAACCUACAAGACCACCACUCGUUUGAGCCAAACUUUAGCUUAGCACUCAACUGGUGCUCACACCAUGUGAGUGCACGAUCCUUUAAGAUGGAUGCGAUGGUUCUCUUUUGAGAUUAAUUUUGUUACAGGUAUAACAUAGUUGGCAACCGUUUAGAAAUAGAUGCCUCAUGUUCAAAACUCUCAUUACCAAAUGUUCUAACAAGUUAGUAGAGAAGGUAAAAGAACCCAAAUGGCGAGAAAUAGUGUCCUGAUGAAACAAAAGAUGUAACCCUCAUUCAAGCACGAACAUCAUUUCCUUGAGAAUCUGCGAUUUCUUCCCUCAUUUGGUCAAUAUAGCUUGUAUUCCAACUGCAACUUACUAAUAGCAUUUGUUCUCUCCUCGAAUGAAACCAUAACCAGCCAUUUUAAAUAAAGCUGAACAGUUUCACGUUGGGAAAAUAAAGAUUAUAACAUACAGGUUUUGGAUUAGAUUCCCAAACCAACAGAAAAUUAAGAUAGGAAUCUAUUUUGGGUUAACUGAGGUAUGAGUGGUAUACAAAUGAGAAAUUCCCUACAAAAGUCAAUAAAACCAGUUACAUAACAUGUUGAAUAUAAUACAACAUGAAAUAAGAAGCACCACUUGUUUAUCUGACUUUUUAUACAUGUAUUUUCCUAAGGGAUAAAAACGUGCGGGUUUUGGGAUCAAUCUGAAGAGGGCUUCACCACGAAUACAUAGCCUUUGACCGUGCAUGAUUUCGUUGCCGUAUGAGAAAGUUAUCAUUUUUUUUUUUUGUGAAGAAGAAUUAAGGGGGAGAAGAACAGCUGCCCCCUCUGUUUCUGCAUCUGCCCAGCGGGGAAAGAAAAAGAAGAGAAGCCCUUGGCUUCUAGAAUACUCCCUCCCCAAAAUUACAAUUUUGCUCUCUAACUUUGAUUGUUUAUAUCUUAUUCGUUAUAACUCUGUUUCACGAACAGCUUUUGCUUACAUGCUCACAUAGUCGUCAUCUAUUUAAAUAUAUCAAGAAAUACAAUAAAAUACAUCCUCGUAUAAGUAUGUUAACCAAUUAGGGCACUUUCGUCAUUUCCACUUAUCGAUAGAUUUUAACACGUUAAUUAUAAUAAUGUCCGGAAACAGCUUUAAAAUUUCCAAAUUCUAUUUCCAUAACCAUAAAUCGAUUUAUUAAUUUUUCAGGGUAUCACAGGUGCAUAUUCAGGCUUGCAUUGUAUAUUACUUUCCUAUUAAAAAUUUGUUUGGAAUUUGCUUUUCCCACAAAGGAGAAGAGCUGACAGUUACGCUGUGGGCAGAUGUUGCUCGAAGUAUUGCUUCUUUAUCCAUUGAAUCAUUGUCUCUGCCGAUCUUUGCGGUUUUCACAAGUUUAAAGGUCAAGCUGUACCUAGGUGUUUGACUUAAUUAAAAACUAAUCUAUUUAUUUCGGAGGCGGAGCAAAAUGCUAUCUGUCUUACCCCUCUUGGUGAUCUUAGUCGGAAAGAUCGGCUAGUUUGGGAUGUGAGUAAGAAUGGGCAGUACUCGGUUCGAUCGGGCUAUCAUUGGCUGCAAUCUAGGUCUGUUGGGUUCAGGGAUCAACGCCAGCUUGGUGCUUGCUUAGUUCCGAGGCAUUUGUGGCGCAUGGUUUGGUAGUUGAGUGGGCCUCAUAAGCUCCGUCAUUUCUUUUGGUUAUCUUUGCAUAAUGCAUUACCGUCAUUUCUUUUGGUCCGUGACCAGGCAUGAGGAGAGCAUGGAAAUGAGAGGGCAGACAAUCCACCUCCGCGACUUUCUCCCUUUUCGCCAGCCCCUCUUUUGCUCUCAAAUCCUUGCUCUUUCUUUUGCAAAAUAGUCUCAGAAGAGAUCCUGGGUUUAUCGAAUCCUUUGUUGUUCGGCGUUUUGUUCUCAUCUUGCGAUCGUCGGGGUAGCAGCUUUAAGGUAAGUUUGUUUUUAAUGAUUUAUCCUCAUUUUACUAAACUAUUUAUGGUAACUUAGUAUGGUAACUUAACUAAGUAAGUUUGCUUUUAGCCCAAGGGUUGGAGAUGGUCUUAGUAUGGUAACUUAACUAUUUAAUUCCAUCUCAUUAAACUAAAAAAAACAAUUACAUAAAAAUAAGGGAAACCUUGUCCAGAGAGACCUGAGAAAGUCCACCCCUAAGGACUUUGCGCCAGCACCCAGCGUAUUUAUCUACUCAAGUGAACAGUAAUAGACUGGAGUGAACAGUAAUAGGCCAAGGCAUCUCCACCCCUAAAAAAAUGCGCUGGCACCCAGUGCAUUUAUUUGGUGUGUUUUUUUUUUAAAGUUUAUUUCAGAUAAGAUUUUUAACCAAUUUCGGAUAAAAUUUCAAAUAAACUUAAAAAAAAACACUCUAAAAUAAAAUUACAUACUCAUCAAAUAAACUUAAAAAAACACACUAAAAUAAAAUUACAUAAACUCAUCAAAUAAAUUAAGGAUGAGCUUUUUGGUAUUUUUUUUUCACACAAAAAGUAUAUGAAAGCUUUGGUAGAAGGUCUAGAAAAUAUUGAAAUGUGGUGUAAGGUGGAAGAUGAGGGUUAGGUAUUUAUAGAAAAAAAAUAAUAACUUUUUUAAAAUUUUACUGUAUUUUAAAAAAAAAUCUGUAUUUUUUUAUAUUUUUAAUUAAUUUUAAUGUAGUUAAUUAAUUUGGACCGUUGGAUUUGAAAAAUAUUCAAAUCCAAUAGCCCAGGAUCGGCCACGUGGCCAACGCCAGCAAAUGGCCCAGCUUCUUGGUCAGCCUGUUUUGUGCUGGCCCAGAGACCAGUUUGGGCUGGGUGCCAGUCUGUUUUGUGGGCUGGAGUGAAUGGACAGGGUCCCAGCCUGUUUUUUGUGCUGAGUGCUGGCCUAAUCCACCACCGGUGGACUUGCUCUGAGAGAAAGUGACGACUUCUCCUCUCAUUCCACUCCAUACUUGAUCUCUAAAGUCCAUUUGGCAUGUAAUUGAUGUUCAAUUUCAAAUUUAGUGGUAGCAAUUAGCAAAGCUAAUGAAAGAAUCAAAUAAAAUGAAAGAAAAAGCAUCAUGAAAUAAAUCAAGAUGAAGAAUGAAAUUUUGGCAACUCGCCAUUCUCUUCUUUUAUAUAAAAGAUACAUCCUAUUUGUAGUGAAAACAGGUCCCGACAAACCCAGUUAUCCUCAAGAAGUAUUUUGUAUGACUUUAAAAACAUAAUCCGUGAAAUUAUCUCUUGGCUGAGAACAACAACAAAUCUUCAUGCAUAGCUUGUACAGAAAGACAUCAGGCAUACAAAAGAACACGCAAGCAUAAAAUAAACGACGCAGGGAAAACCAAAAAUACUAUAGAACACGUCGCUGUCAAAAGAACAUGAAUAAAUGAAAAUUACAAAACAAAGAAGUGAUGAGAAACCAAAGUACCCAUUUCAUAAUCUAGUUGCUUUUUAGUUUGCUUGCCAUUUUUAGUUCUUCAAUUUAGAGAGAAACGAUAAUUCAGCACAUGAAUAAAGUGAAAACGUAAAAGAUAUGUGGGAUAAGCUGACAGCCAUCCCUGAGUAAUGCAUUCACUUAUGAACCCCAAACACAACGAAACAAAAAUUCACACAUGAACUACAGCUCCGCUAUGUAACAAGAAUUAAAAGCAUCUCAAGACAAAAUGGCAAACUAUAAGAGCACUGUAAAAGUAAAAUUGCAAGAAAUCUAAUACUUGGAGGGCAAGUACUACUCAGACGAAAAUGAAAGAUUGAACUACCUCGCGUGGAACUGUGCCUUGGUUUUUUCCCAUGCUUACAGGAAGCUUUGCACUGAGCUCUUAUAGCCCAAAUUUUCUCUGAAAGAAAAAAACACAAUUUUGAAAUAAGAUUUUCAUAUUAUACCUUAAAGAGAAGAAUUAGAAAACAAAAAAGAGAACAAUGAGUACUAUUCAUCAUAUAUUGUUAGAGUGUGUGGUCCUUUGGUCCAAUGGUCCUGCAGCCAUAUUUACUUUAUAACUCUUUCUUUUAGUCUAAAAAACAUCUUGGAUCUCAAAUUAAUAUGAAUACGGAUUCAUACGCAUGCAUUGCAUUACAACCACAAUGCAAUAUCUCAUUAGAAAUCCCCACACAAAAUUUUUUUAUUUCUACUUUGAUUUUAGUUUAUAUUUUUUCUAAAGCACGAGGGAGCUAAUUUUUUUUUAAAUUUUUUUUAUUCCAAUAAUGUUAUAGGGUUGAAAGGAUAUUAUCAAUUUAAUUGAUUGUAUUUGAUUGGUGGAACUUCUAUAUCUAUAUUUCAGUUUUUCAAAUUCAGCACUGGGAGAGUCAUUCAUAAAAUGUUUGACAGUGAGAUUACCUCCAUGGAUUAUGCUCACAAUGGACAGCUCAUUUUCCGCAGUGAUGGGACAAUAUAUUUCAGUCAUUCGCCAUUCAAUCAAUUCAAACCGAGGAACAAGCAACAUCAAGAAGAGGAUCUGCCAUGUCAGGAUCACUGUCGUCCAAUUAAUACAAAAAAUCUAGAUAAAAACGAUCAAUUUACAUAAAAGCCUUUCAUUUUCUCAGCAACCAAGCAAAAGAAAAUACCUAUCCGUUAACACUCGAUUUGGGAGUAAAUGUUGCUGAAACUGGACUUCAAUCCCCUCAACCGCAACAACCGAAUCGAGGUGUGCAAGUCAUUGAAAAACUCACCCAAGAUUUCAAAAUCUGCAUAAAUAAAUAAAUAAGCACAUAAAUUAGCCAACCCUGUUAUGAUCCCACAUCGGGUACACAAGAAAUUGUGUAGUGGUACUUAAGUGCAAGGGGUCCUCCCACCUAUUGGACUAGUUUUUUGGAUUGGGCUCUUCCCUUGGGCUUGAGUACCUAACAUUGGUAUCAGAGCCUAGGUUCCCGACGCUGCGGGACUUGGCGAGUGGUGCAGCCUCGUGGUGCCGCCUUGAGAGUAUGGGCUCCUAAGGGUCUUGGCGACGGGCAAGGUAUGAAAUGCCGAUAUUAUCGCGAUAUUUCGCCGAUAAUAUCGGUUUUUUGAGUUACCGAUAUUUUAAUACUUAUCCACUGAGUUUUCGUCAAAAUAUCGCGAUAAUAUCAACAAUAUCGCGAUAUUACCGAUAAUAUCGCGAUAUUUUGGAGAUGUGCGAAUCGGAGAAGAACGCCGGAGCUUUUACAGCUCCGGCCGACUGUAAAAGAGCACCCUAGACUCCGAUCUAGGUAUCAAAAUGAAAUACAAGAUGAGAGGAAUGUUUUUAUAACUUCCGUUUGCCGUGAAACGGUCGAAGGUGUUCGGAAAGUUCGUCGACACCCACGGCCUCGCCAGAGAUGGGUGUGCCUAUUCCCGAGCCGAUUUCGUCCCAAAAACCUUGCAAAAACACGAGAUAGAACUUAAAUUUCACGUCUAAGCUUCAAUCUAGAAUAGAAUGAGGUAAACCCGAAGCUUACCUAACCGGAGAAAUUCAAGAAACUCGUCGGAGGGUUCCUGCGUCGCCGAGUUGCAGAGACGAGAAGGAGAGGGAGAAAGACGAGGUUGCUGAUGACGAUGGGUGUCUUCCUCAAGCAAGUGCGAUGGUGUGCGUGUGUGUAUGUGGGUCUCGGUGCAGAGAGAAAGGAGAGAGAUGAGAGUUUCGAGAGAGAGACGGCACCGACGAGAGCUAUUUGUUUUUUUUUAUCUUAAAAAGAGAGAGGUCUAAGAGAAAUGGGAAGAGAGGGCCGAGUGAAAUGAAAGGAGGUCCUUGAAUUAUUGAGAGAUAUCUCUGAGAGAGGCCUAGGAUUUCUAAAAGGUAAUCAUAAAUGGGAAAAAUGGGGCACAUCUUAGCCUUUAUUUUGGAAUCCUAAGAAGUUCACCACAUGGAUGCAUGACAUGUGUGCAUGCCAUGUUUGUUGAAUGGGAAAAGUCUGACACGGAAAGACAAAGAGUCGUUUGGGGCUCUGGGCUCGAGGCAAGACAGAAAGUGCUAGGGUUUUUUUCUGAAAUGAACAUAAGCUGCUAAAUUCGCAUAUAUUAUAGUUGUUGCUAAAGAUUGUCACUAGUGUGGACUUGGACGUGUUGGUCAACAUGUCCUCACAAUCCCCAAGUUCUCUGGUUCGAACCCUUGCGCCCAUCAAAUUUUCUUUCUUUUUGAUGCGCUUUUCCCAUGGCUCUAGGUCUUGAUUUCGAAUCCAAGUGAGCCCUUUCCUUUUUCUUUUUUGUUCUUUUUGUUUUAUUAUUUGUUUAUUUUAAUUUAUUUGUUUCUUUUAUGUUUUUCUUUUCUUUUAGUUUCUUUGUCUUAGGCGUUCGUUUUUAUUAAAGUAGGAUGUAAAAUCAAUUAUCUUAAAAUUAUGUGUUUUUAAAUUUUGGACUUGUUUGUUGGAUACUUUUUUUUCAUUUUAUCAUUCUUUUAUUAUGAAAAUAUGCUAAAAUAUGCUAAAAUAUCACUUAUGUUUUUGUGAAAAUAUGCUAAAAUAUUUAUAUAUAUGAUUUUGUUUUGAAUUCUUUUUGUACUAAUUCAUUAUAUAUAAAUGAUUAUGGUGUGUUUAAACUUCUUUAAUUAAUUACUACAUAUUUUCUAUACUCACAAUGUUUGCCAGCUCGCUAUAUAAUCAACUUAAAUCAGUUAAAUCCAUCAUGCAAUGCAUUUCCUUCCAAUUUUUUGUGAUAAACUUGUGAACACGGAAAAUUCCUGAAACGAAAGAGACAAGAACGAACGUGCACAAACAAAUAUUAUGUAUUUGAUGAUUUUGGGUUACAAUCUCUCUCUAUUUGAUCCUCUGAUUCAAUCUCCGUAAGGUGUGUAUUUGUGGAUGUGUGAUUGAUCCAAAGGGCCGUUGGGCUUGAUCUAAUGAUGAACGUUCUUCAAGGGCCGUGGACUUGAUCUUGAAGGUGGAUUUGAGCGGAUCUUCAAAGGGGCUUUUGGGCUUGAUCUUGAAGAACGGUUGGAUGUGUGGAUUUGUCGAAGUUGUUGAUCCAAAGGGCCGUUGGGGCUUGAUCUUGGAUGAACGGAUGAUGAACGAUGGUGCUUUCUUCAAGGGUCGUCGGGGCUUGAUCUUGAAUUGGUGGAUGGUUGAUCCAAGGGCCGUCGGGGCUUGAUCUUGGAAGAACGAUGAACGAAGAACGAAGAACACUUUCUUCAAGGGCCGUCGGGGCUUGAUCUUGAAUUGGUGGAUGAUUGUUGAUCCAAAGGGCCGUUGGGGCUUGAUCUUGGAAGAACGAUGAACGAAGAACAAAGAACGCUUUCUUCAAGGGCCGUCGGGGCUUGAUCUUGAAGGUGGAUGAUUGUUGAUCCAAAGGCUGUCGAGGCUUGAUCUUGGAAGAACGAUGAACGAAGAACACUUUCUUGAUUCUUCGGGAACCUGGACGCUUGAGAGCUUCGGAGUUUCAGAGCUUCAGAGCUUCAAGGUGUAAUAUGAAUUGGUCCCCCCUAAAUGAAUGAAAUGGGCUUGUAUUUAUAGAAUUUUCCAAGGCCUAAUUUUGAAUAUAAUAUCUCAGAUGAAAUAAGUCGUUUCUGCCAGGUGUUAACACGUGUCCUAUUUGAUGACUUUUCCAACUCAUUUCAAUUUUCGUUUAGUCACACGCUACGUGUAAAAUUUAUGUAAUACAUGAGCGUUGACACUUUGAUUUAUCGGUCAACAUUUAUUUACCGAAAUUUCGAUGUCUACAAAUGCCCCCACUUCAAGGCACGUCGUAUACCUGUGCUUGUCACGUGUAGGAGAUGCGUUUUGAAGUCCCUUACCGUAGAUGCCGAUUCAAGGGCCGUUGAAGCUUGAUCUUGAAUUGGGCUUGAGAUUUCUUCAAGGGCCGUUGAGGCUUGAUCUUGAAUUUUUGUUUGAAAUUUCUUCAGGGGCCGUCGAGGCUUGAUCUUGAAGGUUGAAAUUGGGCCACAAGGAGCUUCAUGUGGUAGAUGAUCUUUGGCUUUGGUAGUGGAUGAAUCGGCACGUAUUUUAUUGCGCUUGUUGACUUUCCACAGCUUUGAUCUUGAACUGGGUUGGAGGAUUUUCUGGAUUCCUCCAAUUGUUGAUUUUCCACAGCUUAUUCUUGAACUAGGUUUUGAUUCAAGGGUGGUAGACACUUGAUCUUGAAUCGGACUUGUGAUUUCCUCGAUGGCCGUCGAGGCUUGAUCUUGAAUUUGGUUGGAAACUUCUUCAAGGGCCGUCGAGGCUUGAUUCUUGAAGGUUGACUCGAACAUAUGGCAAGCAGGCACGAGGUGAAGGUGACGACUUGUUGCUUUGUUCAAUCUUUCUAAUUCACACCUGAGCAGUUUGGUCAACGGUAUGAUCCUCAAGAUUGAUGGGCUCUUCUUCCAGUUGGUGACUUGAUCUUUAAGGAUUUGAUUCAAGGGUGGUGAAUCGGCACGUGCAGCCCACAACGCCUAGUAAGCCGACCCAAGAAUUUGAGGGUCAAAACGGAUUCACCGUCAGAGUGAUUGCAACUUUGAUGAUAUGAGAUACUCUUGCUUUUGAAGAAGUAGUGGAUGAAUCAGCACGUGCUUUGUUGCGCUUGUCUCCACAUGCUUCAAGGUAUCAUCUUUAUUUCCUUUAUCUAUUCCUCAGGCAGAUGUGGCAUCUUCUCGAGUUCUUCAUCUCAGACUCUUUCUGCUGAGUUGACUGUUCAUGCUGCAUUCUUCUCUGCUUGUUCAUUCUGCACGUUGUCUCCACAUGCUGCAAGGUAUCAUUUUCACUUGCCUUAUCUGUUCUCCGGGCAAAUGUGGCAGCUUCUUUGAAAGUACAGUAGCAGCGGGAGGCGAGUACUCGAGAGCAGUGCUAGGUAGGCAAUCAGGGAAGGGUUCCAAGCAGUCGGUUCCUUACCCGAGUUUGAGUGGAAGUUCCGGCAUAUUGUUUUUUUUAUCCUUGUCUUUGUAGGUAAGAACAAGGACAAAGGAAAGGACAGGGAGAACGCAUGAUAUGAGAUACUCUUGCUUUCUACCCUGGUGAUAUGAGAUACUUUUGCUUUGGAGUCAUUGGCUUGCAGAGGUACCCCAAGGAAUAAGGAACACUGAAUGACUCGAGAGGCUUCGUUGGGAAAACAUCUUUGGAGAUGAAGAAAGACUUUGUGUGUCUGCCUUGCUAUGGAAGGCGAAGGUAGACAAUUAUAGGAAGUUCUUUGAUACCUGUAGAUGUACUAUUCUUUCACUCGUGUCGGCAACCAAUGCGUGAUUGAUCUAUAUGGCUUCACGUGCUUCCUUCUUUAUCAGAAAUCUUCGACAAACUGUCCGUAAUUUCCGCCAAGCUGAGUGUGCAUGUGAUAGGUGUUGACGCGGCUGAAAAAGACUGGCGCUUAUUCGAUAACUGGGAUCUGCGCUUCGACAAAUUACCCGUGAUUUCCGCAAAGCUGAGUUUGCGUGUGAUGGGUGCUGACGUGUCUGGAAAAGACUGGCGUCUCUUCGAUGUCUGGGAUCGGCACUUCGACAAAUUGCCCGUGAUUUUCGCAAAGCUGAGCUUGCGUGUGACGGGUGCUGACGCGUCUGGAAAAGCAAGAUGCUUCUUCGAUUUCUGAGCUUGCCUCUUCGAUUUUUGAAUGGCCUCUUCGAAUUCUGAGCUCGCCUCUUCGAUCUCUGAAAUCCCGUCGAGUGUUGAUUUUUUAUAGAGGCAUGCUGUUCGUUUCAAAGCACACUUGAAUUUUACUUGUGAAAACUCCCUUCUUGCACUUCUAAGAUCUUGAUUCGUCUGACCUCUUCUUCCUUCAACACUUUGAAAAUGUCUGGACCCUCCGACCGUCGUUUUGAUUUGAACUUUGGUGAAGAUGUAGUCCCGUCUUCUCCAGAUAACAUAUGGCGCCCAUCCUUCAUAUCCCCUACUGGUCCUCUUACUGUUGGGGAUUCGGUGGUGAAGAAUGAUAUGACCGCUGCGGUGGUGGCCCGAAACCUUGUCACUCCCAGAGAUAACAGACUACUUUCCAAACGGUCUGAUGAGUUGGCUGUUAAGGAUUCUCUGGCUCUCAGUGUGCAGUGUGCGGGUUCUGUGUCCAACAUGGCCCAACGCCUAUUUGCUCGAACCCGUCAAGUUGAAUCGUUGGCGGCUGAAGUGAUGAGUCUUAAACAGGAGAUUAGAGGGCUCAAGCAUGAGAAUAAACAGUUGCACAAGCUUGCACACAACUAUGCCACAAACAUGAAGAUGAAGAUUGACCAGAUGCAGGAAUCUGAUGGUCAGAUUUUACUUGAUCAUCAGCGGUUUGUGGGUUCGUUCCAACAGCAUUUGCCUUUGUCUUCUGGGGCUGUACCGCGUAGUGAAGCUCCUCAUGAUCAACCUCCAGCCCCUCUUCUUUCUGGAGUUCCACCGAGUGGUGUGACUUCAAACAGUCAACCUCCGACGUCUCUUUUCCCUAGAGCUCCACCGAGCACUGAGACACCACCUGAGCAAUAAAGACUCCCUCCCGUUUGUUUGCACAUUUGUAAAUUUUUUUUUUUUUUUUUUUUUUUUUUUUUUUUGGUAUGUAGAAUGCAAUUUUAUGUAAAAUUUCCAGAAAAAAUAAAUAAAAUGGAUUUUUAUUUCUCUUAAUGCUUUUUUUUUUUUUUUUUUUUUUGCUGUAUAUAUUAUACACACACAUUUAUACAUACAUAUAUACAUACAUAUAUAUAUAUUUUCACGUGGAGUGAUCCACCAUCCCAAAACCCAUUUUCCCUUUGUUUUUUUUUGCAUGGUGCUAGCCACCAAGAAUUCACCUUUUUUUUUUUUUUAAUUAAUUAAUUAAUUUAUUUAUUUAUUAAUUUAUUAUUAUUAUUUCUUUUUCGUCUGCUUUCACAUGGUGCUUGAUCCACCACUCUCUUUUCUUUUUUCACGUGGUGCCAGAUGCACGCCCCUUUUUUUUUCACGUGGUGACAGCACCACUCUGCUUUGCUCUACCACAUUUUUUUUUUUUUUGUAUAAAUUAGGAUGCUUGGCUGAGGGAUUUUGUAGGGAAGGACGAAGACGGACGGAGAGCCGGAGUUUGAGGAAGAGCUUCUCGGCCGGCUAGUCGUUUGACAGCGGUCUUUGAAGUUGGUGGCAGCUGCGAGGCAAGAGACGGAGGAGGACAGGGCAGCUGUGACGGACAGAGACGCCAUGGCAGGACCUCGAGGAGUUUUAAGAUACUGGUGCAGGUACUGGCGAGGUGAUUUUGACGAGAAAAGCAUGAAGAGGGCGUCGAGCACCAUGGGCCUGCAAUCCUUAAGGUUGAUCUCGUAGUCCUUGAGCUCUUGUUCAGGCAUGACGGGAUCCGCUGCGGUCUUUUUUAUCGGCAAUAAAGUUCUUUGCCUCAUAAAACAGCCCAGAACGCGAUAGAAGAGUUACGAACAAAGCACAAUGUGCAACUGUAGGUGUCUUGAUGCAGUUGAAGUAAAACUUCCCUUCCUCGACCAUGCGUGCUGCAACGCAAGCAUGAAGGACAGCAGCAUAGGUGAUUUCAUCGAUCUGUGUACUCGUUUCCUUCUCCAUUUGGCAGAAUAAAUCUACUCCGAUCUUUCCUUGUCCGUGUAAGCUGUACCCAGUUAUCAUCACUGUCCACGAAACAAGAUCUCUUGUACUUCGACCCUGGCAAAAACUUUUGCAGCUGAUUUGAUAAAUCCCGACUUGACAUACAUGUCCAUAAGAGCAUUCAGAACGGUGAGAUUCAUUCGAAUACCAUGUCGCAGCAAGAAUCCAUGAGUCUCUUUUGCCAUGUUUACCUGCAGACAUUCUUGCGCAUGCUGGGAGAACACUAGAGACCGAGAGCGGAUCAGGUUUCACCCCGUCUCCAACCAUCUGCCUAAACAGCUUAAGACCCUCAUUGAAGCAUCCCCUCUUCACAUUGGCAUGAAUCAUUUCUGUCCAAGAAAUGACAUCUUUCUCCGGUAUUUGGUUGAAAACUGCCCAAGCUUCGUCGACACAGCCACAGUCCAUGUAUAUUUUCAAGAUGGUAUUGCUCACCAACACAUCAUACUCCAAUCCACGUUCCUUGGCAACCCUGUGGACUUUUGUUCCAUCAAUCAACGAUCUCAACAUGCCACAGGCACCAGCCGCCGUCGCCACAGCCACAGAAUCUAUCUGUGCUCCGGACUCCACCAUUCUCUCAAACACAUGAACCGCCUUGCCGGGUUUACCUUCCGCAAUGUACAGCCUGGCCAGCAUUGUCCAUGAAACAGAGUCCGUAACCAGGGACUUGUCAAACAGCCCUUUCGCGGAGUCCGCGCUGUCGAGGCGACCGUACAACUCAAUGAGAGCAGCAACCACGUACCGGUCACCAGAGCAGCCGAGCUUGUGAGCGUGGGCAUGGAGUUGCUUGCCGAGGGAGAGAUCAACCGAAAGGCGAGAGGCAGACAAGACGCGAGGAAGAGUGUGUCUGUCGGGCGACGAACGCGCGGAUGAGCAUUUGGUGGUAAGUGGCGAGGGCGUGGUGGAAGUCGGCAUUGGCGAUAUGGGUCUGGAUAAGUCUGUUCCAUGCAAAGGUAUCUGAGUGGGGCAUUUUGUCGAACACCUUGUGGGUGACGGCCACCUUCGUGGUGGGUUUAGCAUUUCGGGAGUGCUUGUAGUGGGCUGUGUUGAUUGGGUUCUCGGUGACGAUCAAGCGCUGGAUUUGGGCGGAUGGAAGGGCUUCCAUUUCAGUUCAGUCGCACCCAAUUCAGCAUUGCCCGUACGGAUUCGAGCGCAGUUAUCGAGGAGGAGUUUCCUUAAGAAUAGAACCAAUCACCGACUCCUCAAACCCAUCCGGAUAUGCGAUUUUCAUGAGGUGCAAACAAGAACCCUCUGCCAUAAGUGGCAUGAUCACCCAAAGGUUUCUUUCAACGACAAAUGAACAAAACGCCCUCACGACAUUGGGAUGAUCUAUUAAUCUCAUCGUCUGCGCCUCCCUCCGGAUAUCCUCGAAAUUGCUAUUGCACCGAUCGAGAUCCAAGCACUUGACGGCGACGACUUCAUUGAAAGGGAGAUAGAUCGCUCUGUAAACCGUUGCGCUGGCGCCAUAUCCGACCUCUUCCAGAAGCUUGUAGUCGUUCGGAUUCGCCGAGUGAAGCCUCGAAUUGCUACCCAUCCUCCCCAUCUGUUCGAGGACUUGUGCUUCAGAUAUGUCGUUUUGAGGCUACGGGCUCUGCGUUUGGGCUGUGUGCCAGUUUGGGCUUAGUGUUGCUUUGGAGAGAUCUAGGUUUGGUUGAAGAGGUACGGUGAAGCCAUGGGCAAGGGAGAUGACGAAUUGGGCUUGGAGGCUGACACUUGGGCCUGGAUGGCCUCCUUUUGAGAGGCUUGCUGCUGAUGGAUAUACAUAUAUAUAUUUGUAUGUAUAUGUAUGUAAAAGAAAUCUUUUUUUUUUUUUUUAAUUUUUUAAUUUUUUUUUUUAUGUGACUGAACUCGAAAAAAUUGAACAUUCGAGCUGCCUACGUACCCCUCCAAAGAAGAGAUCAAGUCGCAACGUAGUUCAAAUACAUUUUUGGUAUUUUCUUUUUGUGUCGUUUGCAGUUUUAACUCAUGCAGGCAAGGAGUGUUGGUGUCGUUUGCAGUUCCAACUCUUGCAUACAAGGAGCGUUGGUGUUGCCUUUUAUGCUCGUGUAGGCCAGGAGCGUUGGUUCGUGCAGUUUAGGCUCGUGCAGGCGAGGAGCCUUUGGUGUCGUUCGCAGUUUCAACUCGUGCAAACAAGGAGCAUUUGGUGUCGUUCGCAGUUUCAACUCGUGCAGACAAGGAGCAUUUGAUGCCGUGUUGCAGUUUAGGCUCAUGCAGGCGAGGAGCGUUGGUGUCUUGUAGUUUAGGCUCUUACAGACAAGGAGCUUUGGUUCGUGCAGUUUAGGCUCGUGCGAACAAGGAGCAUUGUUGGUUCGUCAAGCGAUCCGAGAGAGUUGUUCCUCACAAUCUUCAUAGCAAGGAGCCUUGACCGCGUGAUUGAAGAAGUCUUCGGGUAAAAAGUCGCGCAUCGUGAUGGCAACAGACAAUCUUUGUGUCGUAGUUUCAUCAUCUUCAACACGUUCACGUUGCUUUGAAGGUUGACAAUAGCUGCUUUGCCCCCUUUUCAAUUGGCGGACUUGUGGAGGAGACGUAUGCUUCUUGUGCAAUUUCUUAGGAGUGACUUGAGUCCAUCCUUCAAUUUUGCUUGUCUUGGACGAUGCCCCCAGCGGUUGAGGUGAAAACUUUGAGUCGGAAGAGCCAGAAGUGAAGGUGGUAUAGUUUGACUUUGCCACUUCGUCAAGAUCUAGCUCGAUGAUUCCUUUCUGAGCCAGCUUCAUGAUGAGAUCUUUCAGCACGAAACAUUUUUCUGUCGGAUGACUGAUGAAGCGGUGGAAUUUACAGUACUUUGGACUGUCGGUGCGAUUCAUCUCUUCUGGCCGUUUGCACUCAGGCAAACCAAUCACCUUCUUUUCCAACAGGUCAUCCAGUAUGGCAACCACAUCAGAGUCGGGGAAUGGAUAAGUCUUCUCCUCAAGCUCCUUUAAAGUGCGUCUACGCAUUUCUUGAUCACGAAAAGCUUCGGUUUGAAUCGCCUUGCCUCGUGUGGAUAUUUUGACGGGAGAUGUGUUGACCGUCAUCGCUUCCUUGGUGGGUUUCCAUGCAGCCUUUUCCACCUUUGUCCCAAGAACUUUGUCGUUCUUGUAGUCGGCGAUUGGUUCUUUCUUCCCAUGAUGGGCGAUGCUCAACUCCAUGUCAUGGGCGCGAGUGGCCAAUUCCUCGAAGGUCCGCGGUUUAAUGCCUUGAAGGAUGUAUUGCAAACCCCAUUGCAUGCCUUGGAUGCACAUCUCGAUUGAAGAGGUUUCCGAGAGCCUGUCUUUACAGUCGAGGCUUAGAGUGCGCCAUCUGUUGAUGUAGUCAAUGACUGGCUCGUCCUUCCACUGCUUUGUGCUUGUUAGCUCUAGCAUGCUCACAGUGCGGCGAGUGCUGUAGAAGCGGUUGAGGAAUUCCCGCUCCAAUUGCUCCCAGUUGUUGAUGGACUCAGGCUCUAGGUCAGUGUACCACUCAAAGGCGUUUCCUUUUAGUGAGCGCACAAACUGCUUGGCGAGGUAGUCCCCUUCGGUCCCUGCGUUGUUGCAAGUUUCAACAAAGUGGGCAAUGUGUUGUUUCGGGUUUCCCUUUCCAUCAAAUUGCAUGAACUUUGGCGGUUGAUAACCCUUCGGCAUCCUUAAGGCGUCGAUUUUCUUUGAAUACGGCUUCGAGUACAACCCGGAGGUAUUUGAGCUCCCUUCGUACUGUGCCUUGAUGGUGUUGGUGAUCAUCUAUUGCAGCUGCUGGAUAGAAAGAGAUCCCAUGAGUGCCGCUGCUUGGUCUGGCUCCGGCUUUGCAUCGUUUUUCUCCACCUGAGGCUCAUCUUCUUCGUCAUCUCUUCUCUUUAGUGGAUCAUUCUCUGGGUCGGGUUUAUCGCCGUCCUGCGCCUUUAGUCGAUUGACGAGUGCUGCAAUUUGCAAGUCUUUUUUCUUCCACCGUUCGGGUCAGCCUUGCGAUUGCUUCAUUCAUCUGAGCCAGUUGUUCUUCAACGGAGGUAACGCCGAUAGUCAUGACUUGUGCGACCAAUAUACGUGACUUUCCUUUAGACAUCCAGGAUGCUGAUGAAGAACGUCGUUGGCUGCUUUGGGAUGUCAUCUUAUGUGCCUCAGCAUCAUGCUUCGGUGCCCCCAGCGAGGUCAGGUUGAUGACAGACUCGCACCUUGGAUGCUCCCCUUGCUCUUUUAGCGGCACCAAUUUUGAAGUAGCAUGUUGGGGAGCGGUUGUGGCGCCAAUGGAUUGUCUGUUUGCGGCAGAAGUGCUUAGGAUCCUUCCCUCAGUGGUUGCGAGAAUGGCUUGUCCUUUGCUUGAUGCCAUUGACUUUGAGGUGUGCUUGGAUUCCUUGAACGAAGAAAGAGAUGAGAGGUAGAGAUUGUCCCACCGGGCGUGCCAAUUUGUGAACACGGAAAAUUCCUGAAACGAAAGAGACAAGAACGAACGUGCACAAACAAAUAUUAUGUAUUUGAUGAUUUUGGGUUACAAUCUCUCUCUAUUUGAUCCUCUGAUUCAAUCUCCGUAAGGUGUGUAUUUGUGGAUGUGUGAUUGAUCCAAAGGGCCGUUGGGCUUGAUCUAAGGAUGAACGUUCUUCAAGGGCCGUGGACUUGAUCUUGAAGGUGGAUUUGAGCGGAUCUUUAAAGGGGCUUUUGGGCUUGAUCUUGAAGAACGGUUGGAUGUGUGGAUUUGUCGAAGUUGUUGAUCCAAAGGGCCGUUGGGGCUUGAUCUUGGAUGAACGGAUGAUGAACGAUGGUGCUUUCUUCAAGGGCCGUCGGGGCUUGAUCUUGAAUUGGUGGAUGGUUGAUCCAAGGGCCGUCGGGGCUUGAUCUUGGAAGAACGAUGAACGAAGAACGAAGAACACUUUCUUCAAGGGCCGUCGGGGCUUGAUCUUGAAUUGGUGGAUGAUUGUUGAUCCAAAGGGCCGUUGGGGCUUGAUCUUGGAAGAACGAUGAACGAAGAACAAAGAACGCUUUCUUCAAGGGCCGUCGGGGCUUGAUCUUGAAGGUGGAUGAUUGUUGAUCCAAGGGCUGUCGAGGCUUGAUCUUGGAAGAACGAUGAACGAAGAACACUUUCUUGAUUCUUCGGGAACCUGGACGCUUGAGAGCUUCGGAGUUUCAGAGCUUCAGAGCUUCAAGGUGUAAUAUGAAUUGGUCCCCCCUAAAUGAAUGAAAUGGGCUUGUAUUUAUAGAAUUUUCCAAGGCCUAAUUUUGAAUAUAAUAUCCCAGAUGAAAUAAGUCGUUUCUGCCAGGUGUUGACACGUGUCCUAUUUGAUGACUUUUCCAACUCAUUUCAAUUUUCGUUUAGUCACACGCUACGUGUAAAAUUUAUGUAAUACAUGAGCGUUGACACUUUGAUUUAUCGGUCAACAUUUAUUUACCGAAAUUUCGAUGUCUACAAAACUAAUAGAUAAUUGACUAAAUAAACAUCCUGCAAAGUUUCAAUAAAAAUUUCCAAGUUUUUCUUACAAUUUCUGUGGUUUCCAUAUUAUUUUUAUCGAUAUCGAUAAUAUCCCGAUAUUUCAAUCGAUAUUUCCGUGUUUUUGGACUACCGAUAUUUCCGAUAUCAUCGAUAUUUUAUACCUUGGCGACGGGGGACUUGCCGACUGGUGCCACCGUGGACGUUGGGUCUUUCGAAAUGUGGUGUAAUGUUAUGAUCCCACAUCGGCUACACAAGAAAUUGUGUAGUGGUACUUAAGUGCAAGGGGUCCUCCCACCUAUUGGACUAGUCUUUUGAGUUGGGCUCUUCCCUUAGGCUUGAGUACCUAACAAACCCAUAAAUCAAAGAAAUCAAAAUCCACCCAGAAUCAAAGAAAUCAAAAUCCAUCCAGAACCAAAGAAAUCAAAAUCACACACAGAUAUACAAGGUGUACAGUACUGACAUGCCUUAAAUGAUAUUAUUCACAAGAUUUAUAAAGCUCAUGUCGUAAUACUUGUGCAGAAUCUAUCAUUCACGGCGUCACUUUUGUGCAAGUUGUAAAUAAAAUUAUUCACAAUUUAAACAUUGUGUGUCGUAUUUGACAAUUUAUACUACGCACUUUCUUUUUCUUUUAAAGCUUUGCGUUAUGUCGUGAAGUUGACUUUCUAUAUAUUUGGGUUGUACCUUUUAUGGCGCAAAUAACACGUCGUAAAUAAUGGCUUUUAGCACAGAAGUUUUGUGGUAAAGAAGCCCGCGCACUAAUUCAUUCUCGCGCCUUCUCUUUUUUAUUUAGCCGCUUCUUUUUUUAUUUUUUAUUUUUUUUGUUAAAUUCCCCUCAAAUGUUAAAAGAAAAAUUAAUGAAAUAUUUGAAAACUUUGAGUUUUAACGAUAAGGAUAAAAUAAAAGGUAAAAUGAAUAGUACCAAAAUUGACUUUUUAGUGUUAAAAUAUGAUUUUUCGUUAAAGUGAACAGUGCCGAAAGUUUUUCGUUAAAGUUCAAUGUUAAAAGGUUUGUAUUUUCUUGGUAAACUUGAAAGACAAACAUUGCAAUUGCAUUUUCAUUUACCCAAUAUUAAUUGUCGAGAGCCCACCCCCUUCCCUUCUCACUGACAUCGUAACUCUCUCCUCUCCAUCGAUCUCGCUCCAUCUGCUCGCCGUCGCUCUAUAUGCUCGUCAUCACCGUCGAUUCGUCUGCUCGUCGUCACCGUCGCCCAUCUGCUUUCCGUCACCGUCGAAGUGCCCCGCCAUUCAAGAUCUGAAAUCCCCAAUACAGGGUGCUUUGCGGCAUUUCGUUCUCCAAAACUUUAGGUAUGCUCUCAAUCUGUAUCAACCCUAUCCUGUCCCCUCUAGAUUUUUGUUUAGUCUCAACUUUAUGGUGCUUUUCUUAGAUUUGUUCUAUCACUGUAAUUUUAAGGGAUUUUAGGUAAUAAAUUUGGUUGAGAAUCUCAGUUAGGUUUGUAAUUGUUUUCUUGGUUGCCUGGGUUUGAGGAUGAUUAAUCCACUUUCUGAAGUUUAAUUACUUUGAACUUUGAUUUGUGGGAAACUGCAAUCAAAAUGUUGCUAUGGCUUUAUAGUUAGAAUCGAUUGUGAGUCUUUGCACCACAUCAAGCAAUACCCCGGUGUUGUAAUUCCGAGGUUUGUAAUUGCCGCUGUUAAUGAUGGUUUGGUCCAUCCUUUUUAGGGAGAUGACUUCAAUGAUUGAAACUAGUUUAUCAUUAUUUCAGAACUCUGUAAUACGAGACAUGAUAUUCCAAAAAAUAUUUGCAUGAAUAUAUGUGCAUUGACUGACUAUUUUUCAGUCUUUGAUAGUGGAGAUAACUCUUUCAGGUCAUAUGUAGUUCUUACAGAAAUUGUAUGGUAUUUUGGUUGGUUUUGUGUUCUGGUUGUAGCAAACUGGUGGAUGCCCUGAGAUGAGUAGUUAUCUACAAAGUGGAUGGAUCCUGAAGAGUACAAAGUCUAAGGCAUUUUAUGUAAAGGUAAAUCCUGUUACUUUUAAUUACUUAUAUGUGAAUGCCUGCCAUUUGAAGUAAAAAUUCUUUUAGCCAUUACAUUCUUCAUAAAGAUCUUUAUAUGCUCAAAAGAAGGAUUUUUUUUAGAUGCCAUGUAACUGGUGGUGGCUAGCCUCUUCUUUUUAAGACUCUAGUGUGUUUCAAUUACACUAGUCAAUCGUUCUUAUGUGUAUUAUGUUUUGUUGAUAAGAUGGCCAAGACAAAGUUGUAGAGCCCUAGUAGCAGGGUGCUGUUGGCAUUUAUAUUUUUCUUUUGAAGGGGUGUUUAUUGCUUUUAUACUUUCAUUGUUUACUCUCAUACAUACAAUACUGAAAAAUAAGCAUGUAUUGACGCGUAAUUUUAGAUCCAUAUUUAUACAUAAUUUUGAUUACAUGUCCAAAUUACCCAAGAUUCUUUUUCCUUUACAAAUUUGUGGAGUGCAUUACAUGGAUAUGAUUCAUGUAUGAAAUACACAUGACUCUCACUAAUUUAAGGGCAGCAUCAUUGACUGUACAGUUUUCAAUUCUUUAUAAUCAUGAGUAUAGACAUUUUUUAAUUCUUUAUAAUCAUGAGUACAACAAUAGUUUCUAUAACAAAAUUCUGUUAAAUAUGUAAUAUCAGUAUUUGUUUUCCAGGUUCAUUAGUUGAGGAUGAUUUUUCCAAGAAAGAAAAGAUCGCGGCUUUCAGGCCGAUCUAAAGAACAUUAUGUUGAUAUUGCACCUGAGAUCUUACAAGAAGAGGACGAAGAAGUACCAGAUGACCUAUUUACAGAGGAGUCGAAUCAAACUAAAAGAAAGAGGGGUCCUACUAGAAUGAAGACAAUUUCCACAAAUGAUGGUCAACGAAUUGAGAUUGAAUGGAAUGAAAACGGCCAGUUUAUUGGUGACGGAUCUAUUGACUUAUCUUCUUACAUGGGUUCUUUGGUCCGAGAGGUUGUCCCUAUAACAUUUGAUACUUGGAAGGAUGUUCCUAAGAAAACAAAGGACAUCCUAAUCAAGGUAAUAUGCAGAUAAGUCAAUUCUGAUCCCUCUACUUCAAGGUGAACAAUUUAUAGUUUAUAAAUUUUACUUGUGUUAAUAUAUAUUUUUUGGUAAAUGUUAUGGAUAUUUUAUCAAAUCAGAGAGUAAAUUCGUAUUAAGUGAAGAUUGGCAAAGAACAUAUUGUUUUGAAAGGAUGAAUAAUGUUUGCAGAUCACAUAUAUCAGUAGUUGUGAAGUCCAUAAGAGAAGCAAGAAAUUGGAAAGCAAGGCUUCGUCUAAAACCAAAUAAUGUCAAAUUAAUUCAAGAUUGGAAGACUUCCCUUGCAAAGUGUAAGCUCAUUUUCCUUUUCUUUUAUUUCUAAGAUUAGUUAUCUUCUUUUGAGUUCAAAAUUGGGUCAGAGAAAUCAAACUGAUAGUAGUUAAAAGUCUAUUUCAACACCAAGCCUUGUCUACACAAGAAUUUGGUGUUAGUUAAACAUGUGUAUGAUUCUAUCUUGAUUGCAUGUUAAUUUAGUUUGAAGAUAGAUUUGGUACAUGCUAGCUAAUUGAUACGUGAUAUGAAUCUUUGGUUUCCUUUUGAUAGGACAAAAGCGAAACAUUCAGAGAGAUGAAGUCUAAGCAACUCCGCACACAUGUAGUCGCAAGGGAUAUGGUAGGUUGGCGGAGGAUUUGGUAAUUACAUUUCAUUCUAGUGCCUUCUUUUCUACAGGACAAGAACAAUUUACUAAUUUUAUUCUGUGUUCUACUGUGUGUUUACUACAUUUAUGUUUCUAUUUUGUAGAAAAGAAAAAGUGUAGACCCUUCUCUAGUUUCUAGAGGUGAUGUUUGGAUUGCAGCACAUACUAAAAAGGGUGGUGGACCAUCCAAUUUGCUUGCUGCAGAGACUAUUGUAAGUAAUUUUUAACCAUUUAUUUCUUCUUGUUUGUUGAUAUGCAAUGAUGAAUGAGGUCUUAACUUUGAUGUGCAACGUUAGGAAAAAAAUUAAGCAAUAUGGAAAUGGAUCAUCAUCUGGUUUUCGAGGUGACGUUCUUUCCAAAGUUUUUGGUGCUGAGCGACAUGGUCGUGCAAGAGGAGUUGGAGGUGGUGUUCCUCCUACAAAGCUUGGAAUAUUUUCACAACAAAAAUUGCGUAAUCACCAAAUGGAUGAAAAGGUGCACAAUUUAACUAAUCAGGUCAGAGCACUGACAGAAUUGGUGUAUCUUUUUAUGAAAAAUCAGGUUAGUGAUUUAAUAACAUUGGUAUCAUAUUGAAUAUUUGUGAAAUCAGUUUUAGUGACACAUCAAAUCACAGGGUAAUGAUCUACCAAGUGAGGCAUCUCCUGACACACAGGUUGCAGCUCCUGAGGCACAUGUUGAUACUGUCGCAAGAACUGAAACUUGUCUUUCCCAUUGCGCAACAAAUGAAUCGUGGUGGCGAGGUUGAUACACUUUUUCAAUGAGCCUUCUAACUAUUAAUGCUCAUUGACUCUGUUAAAAGCUCUGCCAUUUUCAAUCUAACUAGACACUAGAAAUGAUCAUUGACUCUGUUAAAAGUUAUGAUGUUUUGGUCCUUCUCCAUAGUUGCGCAUCUACUGAUGUCUAUUUUUUUUCAAAUACUGCAGGUUAUUUCUGAAAACAUUGAAACAUCGUGGUGUACCAGAUGGUUUGAUUAUAAGACACCUUCCUUUUGGUCCACCAACUUAUUUAUAACUGCUAAAUGGUACGUAGUGUGAUAAUUUUCAAAUAUUUUGAUAUUAAGACAGGUGUAGGACAACAUAGAAAUUCUUAGGGCCUUCAGCAACAAAAUUAUGAAAAAGUGAGUGAGAUACAAUUAAAAAAAUGAAAGAGAAGGAUCAUGAUUCAUGAUCUAAAGGUUUGAAUAGGGUAGAAAGGAUUUAGUUUCGUUGUUAAAAUCGAUUGUGAGUCUAUUGUUAUUGUAUUGUCAAUUUGUUUAUUUACUUGAACUUCCUAGUAUCAAUUUGGUUCGAUAUAUCUAGCACCACCAUAGAUAUAUCUAGUAUCAAUUUGGUUAGAUAUUGUCAAUUUGUUAUUGUAUUGUCAACUAUAGAAUGUGCAUCAGUUGUAAAAGGAACAAAACAAUUCAGAUUUUUUGUUUAUGUCCAAACUUAGAAUUGUAUUGUAAUUGACAAUUUCUACUAAUUAAUUUAAAGUAUUUGGAGUUUAAUAUGUUUAUGAUCAAUAUUGUUAUCCUUCUAUUGUAUCAGUUUAGAUGUUAUGAAGUGAGGUCUGUCUAAAAAUGAUAUGCUAAAUAUAGAUGUAAAUUACGGCAUCUAAAAUCAGCAAUAAUUGUUGAUGGUAGUCUUUUUUUACGAUGCACGAUGUAUGCCGUAAUCACCUUCACAAUAUUACGACACUCAACAAAUGCUGUAUCAAAUAUAAAUUACUGCACACAAGUAUGUCGUAAUUGUUUUUCAGUAUUACGACACCCUAUUAACGCUGUAACUAAUACCAAUUAAGGCGCGUAGGACAUGCCUUAAGAACAUUUAUGGCGUGUUUUACUUAAAUUAUUCACUACUAUUAGAGUACGUCGUAUUUGUCAAAACAUCUUUUACAACAGGGGCUUUUACUGCUUGGAGGCUCACGUCGUGAAUUUCCAUUUACGGCACCCUUUGUGCGCCGUAAAAGGCCAAUUCUAUUGUAGUGAUCCAUGGGUACAUUUUUAAUCUACAUGUUUCGUUUUAAUAUAUCUAUUGCUAUAAUAUGUUUUGGUUGGUUCAAAUUCGUUUUACAUAAAUAUAUGGGUACAAAGUUUUUGGAGAAUAUUAUGUAAAAUGGUUUUUAAGGUUGUUGCAUUUUAUGUACCCACAUAUGCAUGUCUAUAAAACAAUGUGGUAUGAUGUACAUUCUUUUCCUUGAGUUUUUAAAUGUACCCAUGAGUUUUCUUGUAAAUUCAGUAUGUAUCCAUAUGCUAUUUAUGUUAUGGGUACAUAAAUUAUUUUUGGUCUAAGUUGGUGGGUACAUUGCUUUUGUAUGUAUGAAUUCAUUGGGUACAUUAUUUCCCUUAAUACUACUCAAUAAAAUUCACAAAAAUAUGUGCAGUGUGCAUGAAUUUUUAUUGUAGAAAUUGUUUUUUUUUAAUUUUUAAUUUUUAAGUCUCAUAAUUCGUGAAUUUUGUACAUAUUGAUCCCAUAAAUUUUUGAAUUUUAUUAAAUUUCUUUUAGACUUGAUCGAUUGAUUGAAUCUCAUAAUAAUCCCUUAAAUGUUCCAAUCAAUAUUUUAAAUUACAGCUUUUUAUUUAAGAUUUCAAAAAGAUGACAUGAAAAUAUAGUAAUACUAAAAUUUUAUUUUAAAUUACAUUUGUGUAACAAUCAAUGGUAUGUUAAAACUGGGCAAAAAAAAAAGGUAUAUUAAAAAAUUAUAAUUUAUUCUUUUUUUCAUAACUGUCUUCUGCUUAGAUUAAAUUUUUACCAAUUUGGGGGAAUUAGUUCUUACCAAUAUAUAUGCACAGUAUUUGCUUUUUACCUGGGCUUAACACAUGAUUAAUUACUUUCCUACCUGCUAACGCGUUGAUUUGCGCAUCCAAAGUAUUAUCAAAGUCACUGCCACCAAAAAGGUGCCCACUCCACAACCUUUGGUUGAACCAAAGAACAUCACAACAAUAAGGAAAUCGUUAAAUCUAUCUCCGCAACAUUUUUAUUAAUCAUUAGAUAGAUUAAACGAUUCCCCUGUUCAUAUUGUGUUCUUUUGUUGAACCAAACCAUGUCAACAAAAUAUAUCUAUGGUUAAGCAUCUAGAUUCAUGCUUUUGGAUGUGCAUCUUAAACCCCUCAAUGAAUAGCCAAGCAAUUUAUCAUGUGUUUACAGUAGGUCAAAAGAAGAAAGUGUUUGUCUAUAUAUUGGUAGGAACCAAUUCCUCUGAAGAGGAGAGAUGGAAGUGAUGAUAAUACUUUAAAUAAUCAAAGCCCAAACAUUUUAUCAAAUUUCAUCUCUGUACUCCACGGAGACACUAAAUGAGACAUAUCUGGUCCAUCUCUGAACAUCUUUUCUUACCGUUCUUACAAUAGAAAGGGCACAAAAUUGACUUACACAGUCUUGCACAAUACUCACUUUGCUUCAACCCAUAUUUCACUUUGUCAAAUCAUACACGUUCCUGCAAUAGGUGAACUCAUAUGUAUCUACCACUUCUUGCUAAUUUUAAUUUUUCCAUUCCCAUUUUUGCUACAAGUUUCACAUAAAUUUUUUAUUGCACUUGUCAAUUCUUUAUACUUUUUUAUUGUAUUUUUUUUUUGUCUUUUUUUUGUAUUAAACAAUUACAUGUCCUCCAAAAGUUUUGCUUAUUGCCCUAUUUCAUCAAGCUCGGUAUAAAUAGAUCUUAAUUUUUUACUACAGUUAAAUACAUGGACAUGCCUCCACAAAUACAAAUUAGUUCUUGCUUAAAUACUUUGUGUGUUUACAUAGAAAAUGUUCCCAUCGUCUACCAAAAUCCUCCACACAUGAAAACAAAAAUUCUUACUCAAAAAUACAUAUUACAAUACCACCAUAUCUGUUGUUUUUUAUUAAAUUAACACACUGUUUUCAAUUUUAUCUUUAACACAAAAGAAAAUGCUCUUACACAAUAUGCUUGUUUACAUUUUAUAACUUAUCUACCACAUGUUAAUCGCAAUUAUAUAAAUAGGAAAACACGUGUCAAUAGAAGUGUGAUGCAUGCUACUUCGUUAACAAUAGUGGCAACUAAACAAUUAAAUAAUUUGUUUCAAUUAGUUAGUACAUUUUAUAAAUUUCUUAAUUAGAACUGUUUCAGUAUAUUCAAUACAUUUUUAAACAACUUUCCAGUUAGUUGCCCAAACUAAUUAUUCCAGCUUAUUCAUAGUAUAAUACCAACAAUUUAACAACCAAUGAUACUUCGUUUAACAUAAACUUCAUUUGGAAAAAACAAAAAAAUAUCUUUUUCUCUGCUGAAAAAUCCAACAGAGUUAUUGAUGCAGAUCAGUUAUACCAACAAAUUACCAUAGUUUACCCAAUGCUAUACAGGUUUGACUUUUGUUUAUAUUCUUGGAUCUGUUGCUUGGUUGUAUAAUUUGGUUGUGUGUUUUGUUUCAGGACAAUUUGUUCUUCGUUUCUUGAGGCUUUUGUGUGUAGAUUUGAAACCGUUUAGCUUUCAAGCCGUGUAUACUCAAGGUAAAUAAUUUCGUUUUUUUCUUUGUAACCUUUUUUGUAAGAAAUUUUUAUUUAAUGUUGUGAGAGUUGUGUUUUCUAGAGUAUGAAAAUUGAAUCUUUGUGAUCUUAUAUCCUUAGAUAUGUUUCUUGGUUAUAUGAUUUGGCUGUGUGCAUUGUUUCAGGACAAUUUGUUCUUCGUUUUUUGGGGCUUCGGUGUGUAGCUUUGAAGCCUUUUGUAGUCAACAUAAAUAAUUUUAUUUUUCUUUGUUUCUAGUCUUCUUUGAAAGAAUUUCUUAGUUAAUAUUCUGAGAAUUAUGUUUACUAUAGUAUGAAAAUUGAAUCUUUGUGAUCUUGUAAGUGAUGUAACGUCAUUGCAACAUGUAUGACUGCCAUUAUCGAACAUGAAGAGCUUUUUGAUUUUUGUACUCCGUCCUUUCAUACGAUCUGACUCAAAAAUUGUUUCAUCACAGGUUCUAACAUGAUUUUUGCGACGUCUUAUGAAAAUACAAUGUCACUUCUGGUAUUCCAACUUAAACAAAUUACAAGGGAUGUCUAGUUUUAAACCUGCAGUUAGUAUAUACUAAAACGACGGUUUUGGCCCUGCUCUCGACUUCUUCAGAAACCUCGAGAAACUUCAAACUGAGAAAGCUUCUCCCUUCCAUCUCUGCUACGCGAUCUCUGCUUUGCGAUCUCUGCUUCCUCCGUGAUUUCUUCCCUCCUGAUCGACAUCUAUUCGAAUUGAAAACCUUCUGGAGCUCUCUUCCCCAAAUUUCAGCAGCAACUUUGCUCCAGAUCUUUCCAAUUGAAAUUCCUCUCCUUCACAUUUUGCAUAUUGAAUUUCGCAUCAUUAUCAUCUCCCUAGAACCUAGGAGUUUGGUUCGGUUUCGAGUUUUCCGACGGAAAUCCGGCGACAGCGGCCAUCGAGGUUGGUCUGAAACUAUUCCUCAUCACCACAAGUACUUUCUACACCUAUUACACUUUAGAAAAAAUUUCAUGAUUUGGUGGAAUCCAAUUUAAUGAUUAGAAAAAUUUUCAUUAAUUUUCUGGGUUCGUGGGUUGGAGGUGGAUUAGAAAUUUUUUCAUUAUUUUUCUGGGUUUGUGGUUUUUUUCCAAAACGUUUUUCCUUUCUACUAAUCCAAGUUCCUUCACAUCAAUCUCUCUGUUUCGUUCUUGAUCUUCCGCGAGUAGAAUACCUCUCCUUGCUCUCGAGCGCGUGGGCAGUCGCUCCAAGGCAGCCCAUGACGUCAUUUUCCGAUUCGACUCGGAGGAGGUUGGCUGCUCUUCUUGGCUGAGCUUCAUGGCUGGCCGAAUUCCCCUAUUCCCUUCCUCUUAUACUCUUUUGUAUUCGUUCACCAAAACAAUAGGAAAACGUCUCCGUCUGUUUGAUUGACGGCGAAGAAAAAAAGACGGAGAUAAAAGCCUGACGGAAGCUGAAAGCUUGGACUCUGUUUGUAUUUUUAAUGGAUUUUCAGAACACAGGUCAAGAAUACUGCGAUUUGAGAAAGAAAGAAAGAACCACGUUGACAUAAUAUAUUCACAAUAGGCGUACAUAAAGCUUUACUGUGGUUCCAUUUUUUUGCAUAUUUCAAAGGCUCUGAAUUGUUAAGGGAAUUAGCCUUUUGUUUUAGGAAGAACUUGGAACCCCCUCCGUCCAUUCUAUUCCCGAUGGAAUUAACACUUAGAUAGUACUAUGACAAUGUGUCAUUAAUUGAUGCAUACCUGUAUAAAUUUAGGCCAAGUGUUUUAUACACAAAUUGAUACAGAUUAAGCUUCUGGGUCGAAAUCAUAUACCGGUGAGCUAACUACACAAUGAUACAUUCUUAUCUGUUAAUUAUCUUUGGUUACCAGCUAUCCAUGUUGCUGACAUAUUAAACUACACAACAUCUAUUGUAAUUUAUGUCUUAUUAGUAUCAUCACUUUUGUUCUUUAUUUCAAUGUCUAACAUAAUGAUCUGGUUUCAAUUUGCUACAGGCAUUAUUUCCAGACAAUAGCUAUGGUUUUGAUUGUAGCGGUGACUGAAAAAUUAUUCCGAAACUAACAUUUGAGGAAUUCAAGGUUUGUUAGUUAAUUUGUACAUCAGAAUACCAUGACAAACUAUGAAGUUGUAAUUGUUGACCUUACAAUGUAUCUUUUUUGGUUUGGAGCAUUAGACUUAUAUGUGUUGCUUUCACUUCAUGAAGGCUAACUCUUUAUUUUAGGCCUUAGAAUAUAAUUUUUUGGAGAAUCUACAUUGUUGAUAAUUUUUUGAACAAUAUUAUCCCCAAAAUUUCUCCGCAUGUUACCCUCAACGUAGACAUCAUAUAACCAUCAUUGAACUUCUGAACCAAAAAUUUGAGUUUUAUGAUUAUAACUAAACGUCUAUAAACACAUGAUACAGAUUGAGACGAAUGUCAAAUUUAAAAUGGCAUUAAUCAGGACAGCUGCAAACUCUGAUUUGCGGCCUUUGAAAUGGAGCAGUUACUUCUUGCUUCACUUCAACAGCAUAGUCCAGCUUCUAAAUUCAGUUCUCAGGUAUGAGGUUUCUCAGUUACCUCUUUUUUGUAAUAAAACAUUUGAUCAGUACUUGCCAGGAUAUCCAAUUAAUUAGGUCAGUUUUUGUUAGCGGUAAUAAUUUGUUUUUGUAGCUUUAUAUGUGUCUCUGUCUCCAAAUAUGAUGAUCUCUUAAUUUGCUUCUAUAGCUUUUGUAAUAUAAUGAUCUCUUAAUUUGCUUUUGCAUAUCUUCUUUGCUUCCUCUGCUAGCUCUAUAUGAGAUUCCAUCUCCAAAUAAUUAUUCCUUAUUUCCUAUUUUUACAGGAAGCAAAUCAUUGAAUACACAUGGAAAAUUAAAAGGGUUUUAGUUUUUGGAGUAGUUUAAAUUUUUUGUUUGUUAUUGCUUGUAUUGCUGUUAAAUAUUUGAUGGGUAGUUUGAAAUGGGGAACUUGGUUGAUUGAGUAUUAACUUUUAUUAAAUUAAUAUUCUUAUUCAAUAUUGAAUUAAGACUCCUCUUAUUAAAUUAAGACUCUUAGAGUGCGUUUGUUGCGCCAGACUGUCUCGGACUGGACUAGCUGCCGGGACUAAGCUGGACUGGCUUAGACUGGACUAAGCUAGACUAACUUAGUGAAGCGUUUGGUGUAAUGUCGGACUAAGAAGCAGGAUAAGAAAAACAGUACUGUUCACCAGAUUUGUGUUUGCUUAGACUAGGAUUACAAAUUUUUGCCAUUGUGUAAUAGAGUAAUGCUACAAAUCUCAUGAUAUGGGUUAAUUGGAGCAUAUUUUUGCCAUGUAUAUUAUGAAUCUUAAAAAAAAUUGACAAUUGUUUUGUUUCUAUUACCUGCUAAUAGAAUUGGGUUUAAUUUGCAAAUGUAGCUUAGUUUAAACUCUAUCACCCAACAGAAGAAAAAUAAUAGUGCCCAAUACAUGCAACUUCAACAAAUACAAGUACAUAAGAAGAUCUCCAUAAUUUAGAAAAUCCUAGUUAACAUUAGUUAACAUUAGCCAAAAUAGAUCUCCAUAAUUUACAAAAUGGCUAGUUAACAUAAGCCAAAAUACUAGUGCAAAGCUAAGUUAUAAGCCAUAACAUAAGAUUGUAUGAUUAAUAAAAUACAUCCAUGUUAACAUUAAUAAAAUACAUCCAUGUUAACAUUAGCCAAAAUCCUCAUCCGCUUGCGUUGUCGCUUAAAAGCCUUUGGACGAACACUUUCUUGAGUUCCGGUUUGAUUGCCCUGAACACUCCCACAUUUUUUGGUUUAUCCAAAAUAAGAGACAAUGCAUCAAUUUGAUCCAUAGGAGAGAGACCCAUUACUUCAAGUUCAUUAGCUAUGUCAGUAUGAUCUGCAAUACCUUGAACUAAAGCUUCAGUUACCAUUUGCAUCCUCUUCCCACUUUCAACAUAAAAAUCUUUCAGUCCACUGAUAAUUGCCUCGGUUCCAUCACUUGAAUUUCCCACAGCUCUUUUCCUCUUUCUUUGGCUAUUUUCAGAUGGGGUGCUUUGUUGGCUUUGUUGGUUCAUUGAAGAAACAAAAUUUUCACCUCCAAUAUCACUUUCACCAACAUGAUCAUGACUUUGUUCCUCCACCAUUUGAGCAGGGGUUUCGGCUACAUUACCCGUAGCCCGAUCUUUUCCAAAUAUAUAUGCAAAUCUAUCAAACAGUGGAAAAGGUUUGCUUCUCCAUCCAUCGGCUUCUUUAUUUCUCUAAGAUUAUAUCAACAUAGCAAAACUAAAAUUUAGCAUGCGUAACAAAUAUAGCAGCAAGAAUAUAACUAAUGUAUAAAUAAAAUAGGAUAUGAACCUGCACAUAAGUUUGCCAUGAGUCAUCACUGUCAACUUCAACGCACUUUUUGACAUCAUUUCAUGCAAAUCCACUUGUGUUUAUCAUGUCAACGACCAUACUAUAUGUUUUUUUCCAUUUCUUCAACUUGGACUCAAUAUGUGGAUUUGCCUUUAUAUUUGAAUGAGGACAUAAAACAUUGACAACUUUUGCUAUUUCAACCAAAGUACCUUGUUUGAAAGCACCGGUGUCACACCGUUGCUUCCGAGCAACAAAAUCCUCAAGAACUCCUAGUAAUACUUCUUCCUCAAAUGCUUCCCAUUUACGCCUUCUUCCUUUUGGCUCUUGAGUAGCAUUCAAAAUAUUUUCGUUAUCCAUACCUAAACAAAAAAUAUUUUAAUGAAGGAAAAUACCAUACAAAUAAUCAAUUUGCAUAAUAUCCAAUCAACUUGCAUAAUAUCCAAUUAAUUUGCAUACCAUCCAAUCUUUGUGCUAAUAUCUAACAAAUGCAUGAUAAAAAGGAAUACUAAAAUAAAAUGUUAUCAUUAACACAUAUAGCUAGUUCGGUUGCUGGUUCCUAAUUGCUCUCCAUUCAUUAUACAUUUCCUGAGCCAUGUCAUUCCUCUUUGCAGUCCACUGGUCAGAUGUUUGAACACUACCAACAUAUUCACCUUCUUCUGUAUUUUGUCCAUCUUCUAUUAUUGGAAAAUUCUCCAUUGGAUCUACAGACAUCUCUUGCCUAAUAAGAUUGUGUAGUAGGCAACAAGCGGUAAUUAUUCGACCUUGUGUCCUUAUCGGAUAGAAAGAUGGACUCCUUAGUAUCGACCACCUUCCUUUUAGCAAGCCAAAACAGCGUUCAAUUACAUUCCUUGCCUUAGAAUGCUUCAUGUUAAAAUAUUCUUCCUUAUUAGAAGGUGUUCGUCCCUCCCAUUCAGAUAAAUGAUAAGGUAUUCCUCUAUAGGGUGCAAGGAAUCCUUCACCAUUUGUAUAACCACCAUCUACAAGGUAAUAAUAACCUAAUGAAAAAAAAAACAGACCUUAUUAGUGUUUUGUAGUUGACAAACAGAACUAGACCUAACUUACAAAGUUGAGACUAAGUAAUAGUCUUACCCGCUGGUACCUUAAAACCAUUAGGCCUAGUAAUUGCAUCAUGUAGCACUCUAGAGUCUGAUGCAGAACCCUCCCACCCCGUAAACACAUAUAUGAACUGCAUAUCUCCUGAACACACACCUAACACAUUAGUUGCGACUCGACCCUUUCUUGUUCGGUAUCUUGGUUUGUCAAUUUCAGGUACAUGCACAUCAAUGUGUGUUCCAUCCAAUGCUCCCAAGCAAUUCUUAAAAAAAAAAAAAAAAGUUUUUGUUAAUUUAUACAAAGGGAAUGAAGAGUUAAAGCUUAGGGAAAAUGAAAAAAAAUUCUCAUCAUACCUUAAAACAUCGCCACCUAGGAUCUGUAGAAUCAAUAGGCACAGGCUGAGGGACUUUUAGUAGGAUACCUUGUAAUCGCAAAAUUCCUUGCAAUACGAUAUUGAAAUACCUACUUAUAGUCUCUCCCGACCUAUAAAAUCUACCGCCAACACUACGAUUCUUAGUAUGAUGUGCUAAUAUUUGUAAAGUCAUACACACAUGCUCCUCUACAGACACCAAACCAUCAGUUUUUACCCUCCCAUCUUGACGAAGUAAGUCACAUAAUAUGCCAAAAGUCCUUCUAUCCAUUCUCAAUUCGUUGACACAUUCAGUAUCAGUAUUCCCUAUUAUACCAUUCAGAUAACACAAACUAAUCUCUCGUCUAAUAAGUGAACGGUUAGUCAAUGUGGGUCGUUCAACAUGUCUCUGUUUGCCACGUAGCAUCAUCAACACAAGAAUCGUACAAAUGCAAAUUGUCUCCAAAUAAGACAUCUCUAACAAUAAGAUCAAUAAAAGCUUCCUUCGAUCCAUAUCUAUCCAAACAAAAAAAAACAAAAAACAAAUUAAGGACAUUAUAUAUGUAAUAUUUACUGUUAUUAAGGGUUAUGGAAAUGAAGUGAUUAUGAUACGAAAUGAACUAGAUCAAAGUAACUAGCGAAGUCACAAUCCGAGGCAUCAAAUAUACGGGUGGUGUUGGAAAAAAAAAAGUUAUCAUUAACCCGAGGCAACAAAUAUACAGGUCAGAUGCACACACUGCAUACACACUCACACACAUACUCACACGGACAUACACACUAUCACACACGGACAUACACUCACACACACCCUACAUACAUACAUACAUACACACACACACUGCAUACAUACACACACACACACACUGCAUAUAUACACACACACACACACUGCAUACAUACACACACACACACACACUGCAUACAUACACACACACACACACACACACACACUGCAUACAUACACACACACACACGACAUACAUACACACACACACACACACACUGGUCAGAUGCACUGCACUCACACGGACAUACACACUCUCACACACUGACAUACAUACACACACACCCUGCAUACAUACACACACACACACUACAUACACACACACACACACACACACACACACUGCAUACAUACAUACACACGCACACACACUGCAUACACACACACACACACAUUGCUUUAUGAAAACCCCAAAUUCCAAAUUUGAAACCCCAAAUUCCAAAUUUCUAAUCUCAAUUUCAAACCCCAAAUUCCAAAUUUCUACUACAUACUUACAUACACACACACUGCUUUAUGAAAACCCCAAAUUCCAAAUUUCAAACCCCAAAUUCCAAAUUUCUAAUCUCAAUUUCAAACCCCAAAUUCCAAGCUUUAUGAAAACCCCAAUUUCUAAUCUCAAUUUCACCCAAAUAUCAAAACCCUAAAAUUUGUUCAACUGCAGAAUCAAAUAAAGCUCAAACCCAAAACAAAUCCGCCCAAAUCGACGAAAAAAAUCCACCCAAAUCGACGAAAAAAAUCGAACAAUCGAAGCUUACCAGACAACUGGAGGCAGAUGAGGGCGAGCAGAUCUGUUACGUGAAGACGAGGGAGUGGACGACGAGAGGAACAGAUGAGGAGCAUGAUGCAGAUGAGGGCGACCAGGAUGCAGCUGACGGCAAGCAGGAUGCAAAGAUAAGGAUGAGGAGGACGACGUGAGGGAGGAGGACGUCGACGACACUCUCUCCUAGGAUGAUCGAGGUUCUUUCUCGCAAGAGCGCAAUCGGAUGAGGAGGACGACGUGAGGGAGGAGGUUUUAUGAAUCUGGACGUUUUUGGGGUGGUUCGCUAAGAACUCCUAGCGAGGGUUUAAUCCGUGCGAGUCAGAUCUAAUCCCAUUAAACCUAAUCCUUGCCCCUACCAAACAUCAGACUACAAUACCAAUUAGUGGAGUCCAGAACAGUCCCCCCUAAGAAGGUCAAACAAACACGCCCUUAAGGCUCUAAUCUAAUGUUCAUGCUCAACAUCUCCUCUAUCUUUCUACGAUUGGUAAAACUUUUGUAUUAUUAUUCCAAUUUUGGUUACUGGGUUGUGGAAUUUUCCAUUUUUUUUCUCGGUAAUCAAUACUAUAUAUAUGCAUGACAAGUAUAAACAAUAUUUUGGGGCAAAUUUAGUUGUUUAAUUUUUAAUUUUUAUGUGACAGUGAGAUUAUGGUAGGAUUUCGUUUAGAUUCUGCGGCCCAAUGGGAGUCUCUGCUUUGAUAAGAUUGGGGUUGAUGCCAAGAAAGCCAAUAAGCCUACUGUGGACGCCGUAGCCGCCUGGCGCUGUUUUCCAAAAUCCUCUCUCACUUGGUUAAGCAAUUAAGACUUUUUGGUUCAGUUUUUAUUAUGCCCAAUUUUGUAUUUAAACCUUAAAAAAAUUUAAACUGAUUUGGGGAUACUGAAAUAGGCUGCAGAGCUGCCAUCCCUGAAUCAGAAGAUGUUCAGAAGGAAGAAGAAGAAGAAGAAGAAGAAAGUCGUGGAAUAUCAAAAGCUUUUAGCUUUGUGAAAGUAUGCUUUUUCCCAACUCACCUCUUGCUUUUGUUGCACUGAAUUGGUAGAUUGGGUUCAAAAAUAUAUAUAUGUGAUUUUUCGUGUAACUAUUUCUUUACAUAAUUACCAAUUGGAGGUGAUUUUAGAUCAUGUAACAUUUCCUCGCUAGAACCAAAGAUUGUCGUCGCUCAGAGCUGCGUUUCAUGAAACAAGUUCAUCUCCUGCCAAAUUUGUGUACCCACCUUUUAUUCAUGAGGGUUGGUGCUUGCUUGCAACACAAUUUGGUGUUAUUAAGUUUUGCGGUUUUACAAUUUGUUCAUGCUUAAACCUCUUUCAAAUUUUCAUUUCUGUGUAAAUCUUGCAGGUAGGACGACACACCUAUCUUGGCAAUGUCGGGAUGUCUAGGCUUGGUGGAGACGUGGUCUUAUGGAAGAGGUGAAGUAGCUUAGCUCGAUCUCAUUAGCUCUUAUCUGUUCUAUUAUGUUAAGAUCAAUAGUAAAAAGUUCUAUUGAUUUUAUAAUCAAAGAUACAUAUAUUAUAGAAAUAGAGGGUAUAUCAUUAAUUUCUUGAUGUAAACAAUCAUAACUUGAGGAACCAUUUAAAGUAUUUUGGUAAUCAACAUACUUAAACUUAAAUGUGAUAUAUCCAUUUAGUAUUUUUUUUAUACAAUGAUAAUACUUAAGUAUAAUUUACAUCAUAUAUCUUUUGAAGUACAUGAAACUAUGAAGAAAAUGAUAAACCAAAUCCCAUUCCAUCUCUGUUUGCUACUGCACAAUCACAAUCCAAUUCCAACAUGGAAUCCUCAGACGACAUGCCUACUGCAGAACAAGUUUCAUACUGACUUAACUUAUAUUUAGUCCACGUCCUGUUUAGAUUGUAAUCCUAGUUCUACGUGUGUUUGUAUAGUACUCCUAUAAAUAUCAAUGAACAUCGCUCACUCUAAUUAAGAGUUGAGAUUUUGCAAAUCAUAUUUACUAUCUUUCAUGGUAUCACGAGCCAGCGUCUAACGACAACGGUUCCUAUUAUAAUUUUUUUCUCUUUUGCAGAUCCUAAACUAUGGCAUCUUCUUCCUCCUCCGCUGCUCCCUCCAUCACAAAUUUUCUUACGAUCAAGCUCGACCGCAACAACUACCCUCUCUGGCAUGCUCAGUUUCUUCCCUUGCUGCGCAGCCGCAACUUACUCUCUUAUGUUACUGGCGAAACUCAAUGCCCCUCUGCCUUUCUUCUUGAUGACAAUGGUAAAUUCACCGACAAAGUCAUUCCAUUAUAUAAUGAAUGGAUCCAGACUGACCAGAUGAUCCUAUCUUGGAUUACGAGUUCUCUUACUCCCAAGGUUCUUGCUACGAUCGUCAACAAAAUUGAUUCGGCCUCUGCUUGGUCGUCAAACCCGAAUUAAUCUAAUUGUGGGGGUUUUGUUUUAUAUCAAUAUAUUGCAACAGAAGUCACACUUUGAAGAGUUCAUGCUGCACAGAAAGAUGAUGAAAUGUUACCCGUUGAGUCUAUCAUUGCUCCAUUGGAGACAGAGCUGAAGCUUACUGCAGGAGUUAUACAGUUGUUAUGCAAUAUGACCCCUUUAAUUUUAUUUUAAAACUGAUACAAAAUACUACAAAAAUUUAUGUAGUAUUUUUGUAUUAGUUUUGAGUGUCUAUUUUGGCUUCCAUAUAUCGUCUGUACAUGUGAGAGGUAUAGUGUUCAAUAUGUAUUUGGUUUCUAUAUUGUUAAUGGAUCCUUUUUUUUUUAAUUUAAUUUAAUUUUAUUAAGGUAACCAAGUUGCAGGAUGACAUCAGAACACUUGAUCUGCAGGUAAACCUUCAAUUUCCAUAUGAAGUUUGCAUGUUCGUUGUUUCUGGAAUUUGAGUUUUUAUUAUUUCUCAAUUCUAUCACAUAGAUUAUGAUUUCACAUAUGGGAUUAUUAAUGGCAAUUAUAUGAUAGAAGAAUUGGGAUUAGAAGAAGAUAUUGAGUUGUUUUAUUUAUGGGGAUUAGAAAAUGAUUAUCAUACGAGUGAUAUUUAUUUUUGUGUGGAUUGUUAAUAUAUAAAACUAUAAGCUUUUGAGAUUGGGAGAUAAAACCCACAAAUUCAAAUCAGACAAAAUAAAUAAAAAAUUUAACUGACUUAAAGAUCAAACUCCAAAAGGGUAUUAAAAACAAGGCUUAUUUGAUCCAUUGAGUGUGAAAGUUUUGAGCUUUGAAGAAGCAUAGGAGGAGAGUUGUUAACCAAGCUGCAUUAUCCAUGUAUUAGGAUGUUGAGGGUAGGCAGGAAAAAUACUUUUUGACGCCAUAUCCAGAGGAGCAUAACGACAGGCCUGCAUUUUUGCAGCAAGGACCAAAACAAGUAGAAGUGAAGGCUUGACUAUUUGGGUAUUAAUCCUAAACCUAAUUAUUCUUAUUUAGGUUUAGGAUAAAUGAUUGAGUGUGUCUCGAUGAUUGUAUUACCAUGUUUGAUGAAUGACUUGAGGAGUUGGAAAUGCUUUAUUGCUUAUGUUUUUCUUAGGUGUGUACUUUGGUUAUUUCCGAGCUUUUCACGACUCUUGAUACCUAAUAGAGAAUAUGGAAACCCCAACUUUAAUUUUAUGAAUUGGUUUUGGUGCCUAAAAUGAAAUCUAGCAUAGUGAAAUCUUGCAUAAUGAAAUUAUGACAAAUUUCCCUUCAUCUUUAGAUUUUCAUUUAGUUCAAUUUGUAUGCAAUUUAGGGUUAUUCAAUUCAUGAGUGAUCAAAUUAUGUUUUUAAUUCCUUCUUCUUUUGAUUUACAGUUCAGCAUUGUCGUACAAAAUGAAAAAGGUGCCAGUAACAGAGUUAUGGAUUUGGAUGCCUUUAGUGGAAUAAAACUGAAUUUUUUAACUUUGUAUAGUUGUAAACAUAAAAUACUCCAUCAGAUAGACUCAUAGCAUUUGAAAACAAUCCUUGAGGAUGGCAUAACAACAUCUCCAACUUUUGUCAUGUAAUGUAUGAAUGUAAAUAGCACUUUGUAAACAUAUGGAUGUAAUAUAUGUAUAUAAACAGUCUUUAGCAUGUAUAUUUUUCAAAACUUUCUACAUCUUCAACAAUGUUUCAAUGAUUUCUUGAUGUAAACAAUGAUAAUUUGAAGAACCAUUUAAAGUAUUUCGGUAAUCAGCAUACUUAAGCUUAAAUGUGAUAUAUCCGUUUAGUAUUUUUUAUACAGUGAUAAUACUCAAGUAUAAUUUACAUCAUAUAUCUUGUGAAGUACAUGAAACUAUGAAGAAAAAACCCUAAUUAAUCUGAUUAUGGGGGUUUUGUUUUAUAUCAAAAUAUUGCAGCAGAAGUCACACUUUGAAGAGUUCACGCUGCACAGAAAGACGAUGAAAUGCUAUCUGUUGAGUCCAUCAUUGCUCCAUUGGAGACAAAGCUGAAGCACACUCCAGGUGGUAUACUUUUGUUCUGCAAUAUGACCACUUUAAUUUUAUUUUAAGACAGAUAGGGUUGAAAAGAAUUUAUGUAGUAUUUUUGUAUCAGUUUUGAGUGUCUAUUUGGACUUCCAUAUUUGGUCCGUACAUGUGAGGUAUAGAGUGUUCAAUAUGUAUUUGGUUUCUAUAUUGUUAAUGGAUCUUUUUUUUUGUUUUAUAGGUAACCAAGUUGCAAGAUGAAAACAGAACACUUGAUCAGCAGGUAAACCUUCAAUUUCCGUAUGAAGUUUGCAUUUUUGUUGUUUCUGGAAUUUGAGUUUUUUGCAGGAUGAAAACAGAACACUUAAUCUGCAGGUAAACACUUGAUUGGUUAUUUCCAAGCUUUUCACGACUUUCGAUACCCAAUAGAGAAUAUGGAAACCCCAACUUUAAUUUUAUGAAUUUGUUUUGGUGCCUAAAAUGAAAUCUAGCAUAGUGAAAUCUUGCAUAAUGAAAUUAUGACAAAUUUCCCUUCAUCUUUACAUUUUCAUUUAGUUCAAAUCGUAUGGUUUAGGGUUAUUCAAUUCAUGAGUGAUCAAAUUAGGUUUUUAAUUCCUUCUUCUUUUGAUUUUCAGUUCAGCAUUGUCGUAUUUUGGAUGCCUUUAGUGGAAUAAAACUGAUUUUUUUUUAACUUUGUAUAGUUGUAAACAUAAAAUACUCCAUGAGAUAGACUCAUAACUUUUGAAAACAAUCUUUGAGGAUGGCAUAACAACAUCUCCAACUUUUGUCAUGUAAUGUAUGAAUGUAAAUAGCACUUUGUAAACAUAUGUAUGUAAUAUAUGUAUAUAAACACCACUCUUUAGCAUAUAUAUUUUUCAAAACUUUCUACAUCUUCAACAAUGUUUCAAGCCCCGCAGCAACGGGCGGGUACACUUGAUAGUAUACAUCUAAAAUUAUAAGACUAAAUCCUUUAGUUCUUGGAUUCAUCUAAGAACUACUUAUUCCAGCAGAUGCUAUGCUUGCACUACUAGAAUUUAUGGCUUGCCCUGUCAACUAUUGCGCGACAGAAGAUUUCGUCGGUUUCACUUUUUUUAACCGACAUAAUAUAAGUUUAGUAGGGCAAAAUCAGUCAACAAACUGGGUUGACUGAAUAAAUUUACAGGAUGGCUAGAGUUCGUAGGUUAAGACAUCAGUCGUUGGGCAAACAUUUGGAGCGAAGAUGUGAGUGUUUUAACUGACGAAUAAGCUGGUCGUCAUGUAGAUCUUCUUUCCCGACUGACGGUUCAACAUGUAGCUCUUUGGAUAAUAAUUCAUCUUCAAGGGGAACAGGUUGCCCCUCAGAUGAAUGGUUAGAGGCAAUUGUGAGACUAUAAUUUUCUAGGGCCGAAAUAAAAAAUACAUAAACCCUCACUCAUUCUGUCUCUGUAACCAUCCACCAAAUACCCUUUCUUCCCUUUCUAUUUCUCUCCUAGUAAUAUCCCCUGACCGAAUCACACAAUCCAACCAACUCUCUUUAAGCCUCCCUCACUGAUUCCAUGGAUUUCAUGGACUUAUCCCACCCUCUCUCCUUCCCUCUAUAUAUAGCAAGUCCCCUUGCCUCAGUGUCCCUGGCAACAGAAUUUAUGGCAUUUCUUCGUUCUUUCAAUUAUUUGAAAGCUUCCUAGCCCUGCAAUCUUGUACAAAGGCGUAUGGUGUUUCAUCAGUUCCAUUUGGUGGUUGGGUGGGAAAUGAAAUUAAAACACUGCAUUUCAAAUGCAUUUCAAAUGGUCUAAACCAAAUUGAAUCAAAUGUGAAGCAAAGGGCAAGAGGUGUAGAUUGAAGAACAAUGGCACCAAGAGCGAAAUUGAACUUGUUGACAGGAGGAAACCAAGUAAGGAUAACACGUCUAAAUCUUAUUUUGAAUCCAUUCAGCUCAUGAUGUUUUGAAUGAUGAUGAUCGGUAUACUCUGCUACAUGCUGUGAUUUUUCCGCUUUCAUGUAAUUAACGGCUUAUAUGUGGUAACGAUAUUGAUUAAAAAAGGUCGUACCCAGUGCAUAAGGCUCCCGCUUUACGCAGGGUCUGGGAGAGGUGAAUGUCGGCUAGCCUUACCCCCAUUUUAUGGAGAGGAUGCUCCAAAGUCUCAAACCCGAGACCUACCGCUCAUGGGCGAAGGCAUUUGCCAUCGCACCAAAUGCGAUAUUAAUUAAUUUCGAGAAAUGACAGUCUGAUUUUUGCAACUGUCUUUUGCAGGCAAAACAAAGACGUUUGCAAGGGUGAGUUGUGUAGGAGCUUUGUUUCAUGUCCAAAUGACACUUGAGAAUAAAUGUUUACACUCAUGGAUAAUAUCUAUCUAUUUGCAGGAGCAACCCUGGGUUCAUUUGUUCUGUAACUGCUGGUCAUUGCGGCAUAUCACGCCUAUAGCACUGACAAAAGUAAAAAGAGAAUCGAAUGAAAUUUGAUAAGUUUUCAGCGGACUACAAAGAUCUUAAGCCAAGCAUAUAUUCCCAUGCAGAUAUUAAGAGGUUUACAAAUCAAUUCAAGUACAAGUUGGGCCAAGGAGCAUACGGAACUGUUUUUAAACGAAAGUUUUUUUCUGAAUGCUUUGUUGCCAUGAAAGUACUUAACAUUUCCAAGGGUGACGGGGAAGAGCUUGUAAAUGAAGUGGGAACAAUGGGCCAUAUUCACCAUGUCAAUGUGGUUCACUUGGUUGGUUUUUGUGCUGAUGGAUUUAGAUGAGCUCUGGUUUAUGAGUUCUUUCCCUUUGGUUCACUCCAGGAUUAUAUUUCAUCAGCAGAUAGAUUUCUUUCCUUGGUUGGCAUAAGUUGCAAGAUCUUGCUAUCAGCAUAGCCAAAGGAACUAGGAAUGUGAUCUACAAAUCCUCCAUUUCGAUAUCAAACCCCAUAAUGUUUUGCUCGACCAAAAAAUCACGCCAAAAAUCUCUGAUUUUGGUCUGGCCAAGUUAUGCCAAACAAUUACAGACAACAGUUAUUCACUAAAUCACUUUAAGGCAAGAAUUUAAUUAAUAAUACAUUACUGCACUUUCUUAACCAUUUGACUAUCACCUAGCUGACAAUGAACACGUUAGCUCCGCGUUAGAACAUCUUGGGUUCAAUUCAUUGUCUUGAAUAUCACCCAUUGUCACAGGCGUCUGUUGGGGGCAUAGAGAAGGCCUGAGAGGCAUUUGCAGACAUUCAACAUCUCCUCCAAGCAUUUUGACAACUUUGGACAUCGAAGGGCGAUCAUUUGGUUUCAUUUGAAUACACCACAAGGCGGUUAUAACCAUCUUUCUUAUUACUUUCUUUUCCUCCUCUGUAACAUUGUCCAUUUCCAGGUCAUUUCCCACAAUAUAUUGAUCGUAUACCCACAUUGGGAAGUAGAUUUGGCUUGAAUGCUCUACCGUUGGAUUCAAAUUCUUCCUUCUGCUUGCCAUUUCCAUCAACAACAUUCCAAAACUAUAGACAUCUGACUUGUAUGAGACGCAUCCAAUAUUUUUGUAGAACAACUCAGGAGCAAUAUAUCCCAGUGUACCCCGUGCUGCCGUCAAAGAGACAAUGCUAUUAUCUACAGGAUACAAUUUUGCAAGCCCAAAGUCAGAAACCUUUGCUUUAAAGUUCUCAUCAAGAAGGAUGUUAUGAGGCUUGAUGUCGAAAUGUAGAAUUUGCAUUUCACAACCUUGGUGUAGAUAUUCGAUCCCUUGAGCCACUCCAAGAGAAAUCUCGUACAUGUUCUUGAUAGUUAAGGGGACACUUCCUUCUUUGGAAUAAAUGUAUUUAUCAAGAGAACCAUUAGGCAUGAAGUCAUAUACUAGAGCGCGUUUUGAUCCCUCAACACAGUAUCCAACAAGUUGUACCACAUUGGCAUGGUGAAUCCUUCCGAUUGUAGCUAUUUCGCUAAUGAAAUCUUGGCCAUCAGCUUUGGGCUUGCCCAAAACUUUAACUGCUACAAAUCGACCACUGCGUAGCUUUCCCUUAAAUACAGAGCCAAAGCCACCUUCGCCCAACUUGUCCUUAAACCUGCGAGUCAUUUUCUUGACGUCCGAGUAAGAGUACCUUAUAAGCAUGAUGUUGUUAUUGCAUUGCAGAAAAUCUUCUAUUGUGCUAUACAUUGAUAAAUGUCUUCUGCGCCAUGUGUAGAUUAGAAAUGCAGUCACAACUGGAACUCCAAAAACAAAUCUGGCUAGGAAAAAUAACCCUGCAUGCAUGGACAAUAAUAUGUUAGAUCCACUGUGUACUACUUUUUCUUCCCUUUCUUUCCAAAUUACUUUAUCUUUGAUGUAAUUAAAGAGAGAGAAUGGGAAAUCUACAUAUGUUGAUAAUAUAAUCUCGUCUUAGUCCUUACCGAUCCAUAUGAGUAUAAACCAUCCAAGUGCUGCAAAAAAAUCAAUCGACUAUGAGUUUGAAAAGUGCAUAAAGUGAAAAAAAAAAAAAAAAAAAAAAAAAUCAAAGGGUGCCUUUAUUGACACCCAAAUUUUAGUUAGUUUUACUCAACUAAAAAAUUUUUGUCAUCAAACUUUUUAAUUUGCCGUCGAAAUUGAGUUCACCCAACCACAAAGCAGCAACUACCACUCACAAAAAAACCAACAACACACAGCCACCAGUACCAUUCACCAAUAGAAAGAGAAGGAACACACAGACCCACCAAGGAGCCGGCAUCGACGCAUCUACGAGGGAGGGACCGGAGGGUGGUGUAGUUUUGUUGGGCGCGCGGUGGUUGUUUUGUUUGUUCAUUUUCUCUUUCUUUUGGUAGGUGGAGGCUGGUGUGGAUUUGGGCGAACUUAAAAAUGAGGGGAAACUAUGAAGUUUGACAAAAUGUUUUAGUUAGGGGAACUUAACUAAAAUUUGGGUGCCGAUAAAGAUACCCAAUUUCAAAAAUACUUGAGCUUAUAGACUAAUUAAAUGAAGUUGAUCUUACAGAUCUCGUGGCUGUAUGAUGAAUGCCACUUGCCAGCUGCAAUAGAUACCACGGAAAAGUGAAUAAAGACAUACAGUUACUAGGUUUAAGAAGUACAGAUAGAGCACACAAAAAAUAAAAGAAGCUUUUGGGAAGAAACUUCUUACGCCAAUAGUUGUGUUCUUGACCUACAGUAAAAAAUGUGAAGAAGAAUACACAACAUUAGCAAUAGCUCACCCAGUCUUCGGAAUUUAAAAAAUCAAGUUUGUCUCGAUCGAAAACUUGUAAAUAAAACAAAAAGAGGACCCCUUACGGAUUUGGUGCCAUAGAUAUUGAAAGAAACCUACAAAAACAAAGAAAGAACAAGACCACAUGCAUUAGCAUAACAAGUGUGAGGUGUAUAAGCCGUUAGAAAAUAAAUUUAAAAUUCUAGUGCUGUCAAUACAUUGAUAAUAUAUAUAUAUAUAUAUAUAUAUAUAUAUAUAUAUAUAUGUAUUAUUUUUCUGAAAAUUUAACUUUCUCCCUCCAAACUCAUUUUUCUAGUCUCUAGCCCAUCAUAUAAUAUUUAUCAGAAUAAAACCAAAUGAUUAGGAUCCAACUAAGAAACUUACCAAAUUAAGUUUGUGUGUCCAUUUUUAUAUUUUUUGGAUCCCUAAUAUACCCCAUCUAAGCCAGUAUGGAAAGUUCUUGUAAUUUUGCUUUAAGUGAUCACGUGCAUUGAAUUUGGCAAGGUCUUGUAGCCAUGAAAUAUGGUUCCAGAUGGAGGAAUGAAUUUGGAUUUUUUUUUAAUUUCGGCAACAAAUUUCAAUUUGAAUAUACCUAAUUUAGUGUUUAUUUUCAACAAUAUCUAUUGUUUAAUUUUAUGAAAAUAAUUAACCUAAUAUGAAAAUUAAUUUUAUGAAAACAAUAUCUAUUGUUUAAUUUUAUACCUACAGGAUAAUUACAUGAAAAUAGUUUACCUACUAUGAAAAUUAAUUUUUUGAAAGCAAUAUCUAUUGUUUAAUUUUAUGAAGAUAAUUUACCUACUAUAAUUACAUGAAAAAAUUUACCUACUAUGAAAAUUAAUUUUUUGAAAACAAUAUUAUUGUUUAAUUUUAUGAAAAUAAUUUACCUACUGUAUAAUUACAUAAAAAUUAGGGAAAAUUAGAAUCCCCUACAGUUUUUAUAUAUCAUUUAGAUUAAACAUUUGUACUUUUUUAAAAUUUGAUUAAAGUGCUUUGACCAAUAGUUACCUCUAUUUUUUUAAAUUAAAAUAAUUUUUGAAUUUAUCCUUUUAUCUGCACAAUGCACUUUUCCUUAUUUAGUGGAGAUAUUAGUAAUGAAACUAUAUUUUCCCUUCUUCCAAAUAUGUUUUUUCGAUCACAGUUUUUUUUUUUUUGGGUAUGCAAACAUUUGAUAUUAUUUUUUUUCCAAAUGGUUUUUUCUUUUUCAAAUAGUUGGUGAUCAACAUAUAAGCUCUGUGUAUUUUUUUCAAUGUUUUUGUGAAAUUAUAUUUUUUUUGCUGUUUUUUAAGUAUAGUUGUUGACGAAUUAUUAUUAGGUACAAUACAUUACGUAUAUAUUAUCUGCGGGUACGUUUGAAUUUACUAAAAUCAUUAAUUGGUACGUUUGAUUUGAUACAUAUUGUUAAUAUUGGUACAUUAUUUUUAUUUUGGUACGUUUUAUUUUGAACACAUUUUGUAUUGGUACGUUUAUAGUAUUCUCAAUCCUAUUUUCUCUUAACGUACUAAAAGAAAAACUCAUUUUGGUACGUUUGAUUUUGGGGGAUUUAAAAAUAUUUUAAACUAUUUUGGAAAAAAAAAAAUCUUAAAUCGUAGAUAAUUAUUGCUAAAUUGUAGCAUUAUUGUGAAAAUAAAUUGAAUCUAACCAACUUUUUUUUUUACAAUUAUCUCUAAUGGAGGAGAGUGUAAUCAAAAGGCUAGAUUAUAGGAAAUUUGUUACAAUAUAAUGGGCAUAUAGCACCAAAAUUAUGAUAAAAAAAAGUUUAAUCAAAUCAUUAAAAGGCAUGGAUGUUUGAUCUAGAAAAUUCAAAACUGAGGCGUCUAUAUCAAAAGAUCCCUAAAAAUUAAUGUGCCUACUUUUUAAAUUUGUAACAAAAUUAAUUUACCUACUUUUUAUGGUAUUAGUAUACAUAAAUGUAGAAUAUAUGUCCGUAUAUAUUUGAUCUAAUUAGGUUUUGGAUUGGAGGAGUUGACACAAAAUUAUAAAUAUAUUAAACAAAUUUAUCUAUUCUAAAGUUGGAGGGGAAUUGGUCUGUACAUUGCUACAGUAAACAAAUGCUACUCAAUUUCACGUUAUUUACAACAAAGCUAUCAGAUUUGGGUUGGGUUGGAGGGUAAUUUGUUAAAAGUUAGGAGGGUAAUUUUGUGCAUAGGGUUUAGGUGCCCUCCUAUACAUGACCCUUGAGUUUACUUUAUUUACACCACUGCCAUCAAAUAUGUGGCUGAAUUGGAGGGUAUUAUUAAAAGUUAAGAGGGUAGUUUUGUUCAAGGGGUGGGGGCGACAUUCGCAGACGGAGGCCGAUGGGAGCCAUGCCCAUUGCACAGAGAGAAAGGGAGUGAUGGGGGAAAUUACAGACAGAAAAGGAAGGGAUGGGAGGAUUUGAUGGAUGGUCACAGAGAGAGAUUCGGUGAGGGAUGUGAGGGGAGAUUACAGAGAGAUAAAUAAAAGGGAGGGAUCGGGGGAUUUGAGGGAUGGUCAGAGAGAGAAAUAGUGAGGGAGGGAGGGAUGGGGGGGCUGAUUUUCGGUUCCUCCUUCAGAUUUGUUCCGUAAAACCUGUUGGGUACAAUUCAAUUUCCUCCCCCUUUCCCCUGAACGAAAAAUUCGAAACCUACAAUUCAAUUUCCUCCCUCCUUGGCUUUCCGCUUUACUCAUCUCCCGGUGGUUCUUUCUCUCCAUACGAUUCGAUUUCGGUGAGUUCUUCGUUGCCCUCAUGAUUUCCCAGUUUGAUUUUUUGAGCGUCCUUAGUCGUUGUUUUUAUCUGGGUUUACUGCAUUGUUGCUUUUAGUUUCUGGAUUUUUAUUUGUUCCGCGGUUCGAUGAAUCGGUUAAUAAUUUCACACCAUGGGAUUUUCGCAUGGAAUUGAGCGCGGGGAUUCGGGGUGGGGUUUUACUGAUAAUUUGUCUUCAUUCAAAUGAAUGGUUAAAAUUUCUGAAGUGAGUGUGCAGGUGGGCCCGUUCACUAACUAAGCUUUCAAGGGAACCCAUCAGCGGUUUGCUUGCUGGGGGAAUUCGGAGACUACCAGUGUAUGAUUUAGUUAUCAUUUAUUUUUUUACUUAAAUUUAUCCAUAUAUAAUAUGUGGGUAAAUUUACACUAAACAAUUGUGAUAAGCCAAUAUGCCAUACGACUUUGAAAGCAUUGAUUUUGUGUUUAGUUUGCAUUUUUGCAUUGUGAAUGUUGAAUUUUGUGUUUGAAUUUGUAGCAUGAUCUUCCGCUGCAGCAUCCAAAUUUUGCAUUUGUAAAUUGUCAAAGAAAAACGAAGUAUGAGGAAAUUAUAGGAGAUUGUGUCGGCUUUGGCCAUGAAGGGUAUCAGCAGCUUGUUCCCCCAUACAGGUGAUUAAUCGUUUUUCAGUCUGUGUUCUAUUUGGAUGAGAAAGUGAUUGAAAAUAUGAUUUUUUUAUUUGUUGGUUGAUUUUGUAUGGACGAUGUAUUAAUUUUAUUUUUUUUGGGAUUUUGUGUAUUGGGCAUUGUGUAGAACCAGCAAUGCAAGAGCAGGAUCUGAUCAGUCAUGCCUGAAAAGGGGUUUGUUUCUCAAAUCACAUUAAUUAAUUAGAUUAUUAACGUGCGUUGGAAGGCUCUUCAAUAUGAUUUCUAAUUUCUCCUUUCCAGCAUUCUCUUUUUGGUUUUUGGAGUAUGUAUGUGAUUUGUAUUUUUUUAUAGAAUAAAAAUUAAUAAAACACGAGAUGCAGCAAUUAAUUUGCAUCCUUAUGACAACACAUAUGAAAGUGCAUUCAAUUUCAAUGUGCGAAUGUGUGACAGGAUGUGCCUGCCCGCUGCUGCUGGUAUGCUUGCUGUUGUUUCUCGCGUUGUUAAUUUUUUGUGUGUGUUGAUUUGAUUAACAACUCAAGCGUAUCUUUUUUUUUUGUGUUGGUUAGCAGCCAGUUUUAUGGCCCCGAUCUAGUGAUGCUUCUCAGUGACUGUGGUAAUUGCAGUUCAUUGCCACCAGUUGGUCAGCUACCUGCUCUGAAAGAGCUAUACGUAGAAGGGAUGAAAGUUGUUAAGAGUGUUGGUGUUGAGUUGUACGGGGGAAAUCAACCAUUUCAAUGUUUAGAGAAGCUAAAGUUUCGGGAGCUAUAGCAGCCUAGUCCAAGUGGAUGUGAAAGUCCAGACUUUCCUCAUCUUAAGGAGCUGGGGUUAUACGAAUGUCCGAAGCUGAGAGGAAACUUGCCCACUCAUCUUCCCUCCUUGAAAACACUUCAUGUGAACAAGUGUGAGGUUCUACAUAAAAACAGGGCCAGUAAUACCCUGAACGUGGAAUCCUUACGAGGAUCUCUUGAAAAACUGACAAUAAAUGGAUGCCCGGGUCUCUCAUUGUUACUAGAGUCGACGGAGACGCUGCCGUCGCUUCAGAAGCUUGAUAUUGAUAAUGUGGUGGGAAAGAGUUGUUGGCGCAAAUGGUGCACAACAGCAAUCGUCUUCAAAGUUUGACUUUAUAUAAAUGUUCCUCACCCUUGUCGUUCCUUACAAAUGGUCUGCCCACCACGCUGACAUCACUGAGCAUAACAGAUUGCAAGAAAUUAGAAUUCCCAUCACGUGAGAUGAUGGCCAAAUUGACUUCCCUUCAGUCUUUGCGUCUAUCCAACAGCUGUGAACGCAAAGGCUUGAGUAUUUGCAGUUUAGUUUUUUUUUUCUUCAUUUUAGAGAUUUUUCUACUGUUUGGUUUUUGGGUUUUGUCUAAUUUUUGUGGUCUGCUUUAUAGAUUGUUCUCUUUGGAAGCUUCUUUCCAGCCUUGACCUUCUUCUUGCCUGGUGCCUUCUCAUUGAGUAUUGGAGGAGCAUUAAAACACAGGUGUGUGUGUUUUGUCGACAUAAGAGAUGAAUGACAUAAAAACAUCCGUCUCUGUAUUUUUUUGUGCUUUUUCUAACCCAUCAAUUUCUUUUGAGUCAACCAAAUAGUCCCAAAUUGCAACUUAUGUUGUGAGGUAUUAUUGUCUAAAAUUAAGUAUGCAUGUAUAUUUUAUGUUUGUGCCCGCGCACACAUCCGCAUGGUGUUAAUCUCUGUGGGUCAUCUAUGUAUAUGUAGAUAUAUCUAUAUGUGUGUGUGGAAUGCAACAUAUCGGAUUUAGGUUAUACUGUGCAUAGUUUUAUUGCCUGUUAUUAUCUACGAUAUCACUAUGCCAUUUCUAUGCAGGCUCUGAAAGUUAUUCAUGAGCUUUAUAAGCACUUACCAUAAUUUAAGCAGUCUGUUUUGGGUUCUUUUUCAUUAGGUCAUUAGCUACAGAUUAAUGGAGAAACGAGGACCAUGCCACUGAUUUGGGUUCUUUUUCUAAUUUUCUGAUUUUGGGGUUUUGCAGGGAGAACUCCGCCUAUGUACUUACAUUGCCGAUCCCAAGCUCGGAUAAAGGAGGAGGGGGAGGGCGUCAGGUAGUCGACAGUCGGCACUCCAUGAUCACGUCGAAUCCUUAUGAAAAUGAAUUCAGAAUAAAAUUGCGCUAAAGCUAGGGCGUCACCCGUAAGUGGCGCGCUGUGUGGCCCGAGCACAGUGAUAAGUGAGCAAGGGUCGCUGUAUCUCCAUCGGCACCCGGAUGCAGUGUUAAAUGAGCAAGGGGGGCAUAGGAACUUCUUUUCGAACGACUCCACUCAAAGUUGUUUGGGAGCAUAUGCUCCUAUCAACUUUACACGGGACACACAAAAGAAGUACUUUGAUCCUAUUAGACGGGGGAGGGUGAAGAAGCUAGGACAGAAGGGUAGAGUUCAAGAAAGCAAAAUGCGUUUAGGAACGUGGAAUAUAGGAACCUUAACGGGAAAAUCUAUGGAAGUAGUGGAAGUUAUGGUGAGGAGAAGGAUAAAUAUUAUGUGCCUACAAGAAACUAAGUGGGUUGGUAGUAAGGCAAUUGAUCUAGAAAACUCAGGGUUUAAACUUUGGUAUUCGGGCACAAAUAGAACGAGAAACGGUGUUGGCAUCAUCGUGGACAAGACCUUGACACAAGAUGUUGUAGAUGUCAAGAGGGUAGGAGAUAGAAUCAUGGCAAUCAAGAUUGUAAUAGGACAAGAACUUAUCAAUGUGGUUAGUGCGUACGCACCUCAAGUAGGGUUGGAUACGAGUUCGAAGGAGAAAUUUUGGGAAGACCUUGGAGACUUGGUGUAAGGAAUUGCUCAGACGGAGAAGUUAUUUAUAGGAGGAGAUUUAAAUGGACACGUGGGCAGAGAGACAGGCAACUAUGGAGGUUUUCAUGGUGGCCAUGGUUUUGGGGAGAGAAAUGAGGAUGGGGAAGCUAUCUUGGAUUUUGCAAUGGCAUAUGAUCUCUUUUUAGCCAACACCUUCUUUAAGAAGAAAGAAGAACAUGUGAUCACCUACAAGAGUGGGUUGUCAAAAACACAAAUAGAUUUUCUUCUAAUGAGAAACGAGGAUGGGGAAGCUAUCUUGGAUUUUGCAAUGGCAUAUGAUCUCUUCUUAGCCAACACAUUCUUUAAGAAGAGAGAAGAACAUGUGAUCACCUACAAGAGUGGGUCGUCAAAAACACAAAUAGAUUUUCUUCUAAUGAGGAAAGGGGAUCGUAUAACUUGUAAGGAUUGCAAAGUUAUACCAGGAGAGAGCGUGGCUAAUCAACAUCGCUUGUUGGUGAUUGAUGUACAUAUCAAAAGAGUGAGACAAAAGAACAAGACUUGGAAGUGCCCAAGGACUAGAUGGUGGAAUCUAAAAGAAGAAAAACAAGCCAUUUUCAAAGAGAAAGUAAUCAUCCAGUGUGUGGGAUAGAGAUGGGGAAGCUAGCCAAAUGUGGGAUUCAAUGGCUAGUUGUAUCCGAAAAGUAGCAAAAGAGGUAUUAGGAGAGUCAAAAGGCUUUGCCCCACACCAAAAAGAAUCUUAGUGGUGGAAUGAGGAGGUACAAACAAAGGUGAAGGCUAAGAAGGAAUGUUGUAAAGCCUUAUACAAGGAUAGAACUGAUGAAAAUGGUGAAAGGUAUAGAAAAGCGAAGCAAGCUGUGAGAGAAGCUAAGUUAGCGGCUUACGACGAUAUGUAUAAACGACUAGAUACCAAAGAAGGAGAGUUGGAUAUCUAUAAACUAGCUAGAGCAAGGGAAAAGAAGACAAGGGACCUAAACCAAGUGAGGUGCAUCAAGGAUGAGGAUGGAAAUGUUCUUGCUACAGAGAACGCGGUUAAAGACAGAUGGAGAGGUUAUUUUCAUAAUCUUUUCAAUGAAGGACAUGGAAGGAGUGCUUCUUUAGGGGAGUUGAGUAACUCAGAAGAGUGUAGAAACUACUCUUUUUAUCGUCGAAUCCGGAAGGAAGAAGUGAUUGUAGCUUUGAAGAAGAUGAAACAUAGAAAAGCAAUAGGCCCAGACGAUGUACCAAUCGAAGUGUGGAAAGUUUUGGGAGAGACAUGUAUAACAUGGCUCACUGACCUUUUCAAUAGGAUUUUGAAAACGAAGAAGAUGCCAAAUGAGUGGCGAACGAGCACUUUGGUGCCUAUCUACAAGAAUAAGGGCGACGUACAAAAUUGCAUGAACUAUAGGGGUAUUAAGCUAAUGAGUCAUACAAUGAAGCUCUGGGAGAGAGUCAUUGAGCAUAGAUUGAGGCAAGAGACACGGGUUUCGGACAACCAAUUUGGGUUCAUGCCAAGGCGCUUAACCAUGGAGGCAAUCUAUCUCUUACGAAGAUUGGUGGAAAGAUAUAGAGAUGGGAAAAAGGAUUUACACAUGGUUUUUAUAGAUUUGGAGAAAUUCGUAUGAUAGGGUCCCAAUAGACAUUCUUUGGAGGAUUUUAGAGAAGAAAGGAGUACGAGUAGCAUAUAUCCAAGCUAUAAAUGAUAUGUAUGAAUGAGCAAAGACUGCUGUAAGAACUCAUGAAGGACAAACUGAAAGUUUUCCCAUAACUGUAGGAUUACACCAAGGCUCAUCCUUAAGUCCCUACCUUUUUGCGUUGGUAAUGGAUGAGUUAACAAGACAUAUUCAAGAUGAUAUUCCUUGGUGUAUGCUUUUCGCAGACGAUAUAGUGUUGAUAGAUGAAACACAGGAAUGGGUAAAUGCAAAGCUUAACCUUUGGAGAGAAGUGUUGGAAUCUAAAGGUCUUCGCCUAAGCCGAUCAAAGACAAAAUAUAUGGAGUGCAAGUUCAGUGCAAAUGGAGGCCAAAACGAGUUAGGGGUGAGGAUCGGAGAUCAAGAAAUACCAAAGAGCGACCGUUUUCGUUACCUAGGAUCUAUCUUGCAAAAGAACGGAGAAUUAGAUGGAGAUCUCAACCAUAGAAUACAAGCUGGAUGGAUGAAGUGGAAGAGUGCAUCCGGCGUGUUGUGUGACCGCCGUAUGCCACUGAAGCUCAAGGGAAAAUUUUAUAGGACGGCAAUAAGGCCGGCGAUGCUGUAUGGCACAUAAUGUUGGGCGGUGAAGCAUCAACACGUACACAAAAUGGGUGUAGCGGAGAUGAAGAUGCUUCGUUGGAUGUGUGGGCACACGAGAAAGGAUAAGAUUAGGAAUGAGGAUAUCCGGGGUAAAGUAGGAGUAGCCGAAAUUGUAGGAAAGAUGAGAGAAAAUCGGUGACGGUGGUUUGGACAUGUGCCAAGAAGGCCUACUGACGCUCCGAUUAGAAGAUGUGACUACUGGACAGAGGUUCAGGGCCGAAGGGGUAGAGGAAGACCUAGAAAAACUUUGGAAGAGACUCUAAGAAAGACUUAGAGUACCUGGAUCUAACGAAGGACAUGACACAGGACCGAGCAUAAUGGCGUUCUAAGAUUCAUAUAGCCGAUCCCACUCAGUGACUUGGAUUUUCCAAGUCUCCAGCCGAGAAGUUUUCCUCACUCAGGAAAUUAAGGGAACACUACCCCAACCUACAUGCUCCACUCACAAAGCUUCAACAAAAGAAAAUUCAAAGAACUUAGCGAAGAAGGCUUUGAUGUAUUUAACACAAUACGUUGAAAUGAAGGAAAGCUUAUUUAUUGAUAUCAUCGAUAAGCUACAAAUAUGUACAUAUACAUAAGUCAAAAUAAACAAACAAGAGGGAGCCUUCACAAAGGUUGCUUAGGAGAAGUCUCAGCAGUCGGUAGAGCCCCAGAAAGAGAAGGCACCGGAGGGGGAUCAUUCGGAGCCUCAGUACUGGACAGAACCCUAGAAGGAGGAGGCAUAAGAGGUUGAUCAUUUGGUGCUUCAUUACGCGGUACAGCCCCAGAAGACGAAGGCAAUAAAUGCCUUUGGAACAAACCCACAAAUCUCUGAUGAUCAAGUAAAACCUGACCAUCAGAUUCCUUCAUCUGGUCAAGCUUCCUCUUCAUGUUUGUAGCAUAGUCAUGUGCGAGCCGGUGCAACUGUUUAUUCUCAUGCUUGAGCCCUCUAAUCUCCUGUUUGAGACUCAUCACUUCAGCCGCCAAUGAUUCAACUUGGCGGGUUCGAGCAAAUAGGUGUUGGGCCAUAUUAGACACAGAACCUGCACACUGAACACUGAGAGCCAGAGAAUCCUUAACAGCUAACUCAUCAGACCGUUUGGAAAGUAGUCUGUUAUCUUUGGGAGUGAGAAGGUUCCUGGCCACCACCGCAGCGGUCAUAUCAUUCUUCAUCACGGAAUCCCCAACGGUAAGAGGACCAGUAGGGGAGACGAAGGAUGGGCGCCAUAUGUUGUCUGGAGAAGGCGGGGCUUCCUCUUCAACAAGGUUCAAGUCAAAACGACGGUCGGAGGGGCCAGACAUUUUCAAAUGUGUUGAAGAGAGAAGAGGUCGGACAAAUCAAGAUCUUAGAAGUGUAAGAAUGGAGCUUCUACUGGUGGAGAUUCAAGUGUGCUUUGGAACUUAAUGUCAGCCCCUAUAAAAAUCUGCACUCAACGGAGCUUCAGAAAUCGAAGAGGCGCCUGCUCAGAAAUCGAAGAGGCGUUUGCUUUCUCAAAAGCAAGGCUGCUCAGAUACCACGAGGGUCGAUCUCAGAAAUCGAAGAGGCGUUUGCUUUCUCAAAAGCUGGGCAGCGCAAAGACCACGAAGGCCGAUCUCAGAAAUCGAAGAGGCGCUCAAAAGUUGGGCUGCUCAGAGACCACGAGGGCCGAUCUCAGAAAUCGAAGAGGCACCUACUUUUCCAGCCUUGUCAGUACCUGUCACACACACACUCAGCUUUGCGAAAAUUAUGGGGAUUCGGUCGAAGACUUCUGGUGAAGUAGAAAGCACAUGAGUCUUACUGUUCAAUCACCCACUUCCCACACGCAACAGUAGCUCAUGGGUACCACAUAUAACUUUUCCAAAGUUCUCUGCCAAAGUUGAACACGUGAAGUUUGCAGCUCCCACUACAUCGCUCUGAUCAAGAAGGGUAAAAGAAUAGCAAAGAAACAACACUAACAAAGUUUAGACACAUAAAUUUUGAUGGUCGAGCUACCAUAUUAUUACCCACAAGGGUAAAGGAACAGUACCACUGCUGGAUAAUUGGAAAGUCCCUGUGUGUCAACCUCUGUGCUUCGUGGCAAGGUAGACUAUCAAACAUGCCCAACCUUUACUCACAUUCGAGAAAACACUCCCAACAAGAUUGCUUGCUCCAAAAUCGAAGAGGCACCGUCCUUCGAAUCUCGAGAGCCAGACUCCCAACAUGACUACUUUCUCAAAAAUCGAAGAGGGUAAAGGAACAGUACCAUUGCUGGAUAAUUUGAAAGUCCCUGUGUGUCAACCUCUGUGCUUCGUGGCAAGGUAGACUAGCAAACAUGCCCAACCUUUACUCACAUUCGAGAAAACACUCCCAACAAGAUUGCUUGCUCCAAAAUCGAAGAAGCAUCGCCCUCCGAAUCUCGAGAGCCACUCCCAACAUGACUACUUUCUCAAAAAUCGAAGAGACAUCGCUCUCCGAAUCUCGAGAGCCAGACCCCCAGCAUGAUUGCUUUCUCAAAAAUCGAAGAGGCACCGUUCUCCGAAUCUCGAGAGCCAGAUCCCCGAUAGGAUUGCUUGUUCGAAAACCGAAGAGGCAACACUUUCCCAAUUUCAAGAGCCGGAUCUCCUUGGAUAAAGCUAUCUGUAAUCUUCACUCGCAACAUUAGCUUUCCAGCUACCACAGACCACUUUUUCAAAGUGAUCUGACAACGUUAAAACAUGUGAAGCUGGCAGCUUCCACUACCGUGCUAUGACCAAGUAGGGUAAAGGAAUAGCAUUACUACUUGUUGUUAAGGAGACUCCUAUAUAUGUCGACCUCCAUCCCCAACGGAUAGGCAGACCUGCAAAAAUGCUCAACUCUUCCUCAUAUCUGAGAGGGCACUCCCAACGAAGCCUUUCGAAAUAUUCAGCUUUCUUUCCCCCCGAUAAUACCUCUGCAAACAAGCUAUACUAGAGCAAGAAUAUCUCAUAUCAUCAGGGUUAAAAGCAAGAGUAUCCCAUAUCAUGCUUUUUCCUUGUCUUUUUCUUUGGCCUUGUUCUUACCUGCAAGACAAGAAGAAAGAGAGCAAUCAGUCAGUACUUGGAAUCAAGCUUCCAGCCAGGAACUGACUGCCUGGAACCCCUUACCUGAUUACUUACCUGACAUUGUUCUCGAGUACUCAUCUUCAACAUCUUAUGCUUCCAGGGAAGAUACCGCAUCUGCCUGAGGAACAGAUAGGGCAAGGGAGAAGGAUAUAAGGAAGCAUGUGGAGACAAGCGUAACAGCACACGUGCCGAUACAUCCAUUACUCUGUCAAAGCAAAAGUAUCCCAUAUCAGUAGGGUCGAACGUACUCUAGAUUUGAUGGACUUGUUUUGACCCUCAAAUUCUUCAGUCGGCCUUAUACUCUGGAGGAAACCAGAAAUUUCUCCAGCUCAGUGCAAGAAUAAGCUUGUGGAAAGUUACUUCUUCAAAAGCAAAAGUAUCACAUAUCAUCUCUUCUCAUUUUCUUCUCUUUAUCCUUCAUGCUGCCUGCAAGAUAGGGAGAUUGUGAACAAUCAGCUGGAGCUAUGAUUGCUUACCUUGUCUGUCACCUCUUUCAGCAGAUCCCCUAGCUCGGCGAUUUGGGGGACUCCUACUACAUGGUUUGUAUCGCGCUUGACCAAGCCUGAAACUACAAGUAAGCUUCAAGUGAAAUUGAUACAUUACCUUGUGCAUCUCCACCAGUUAAAGAUACUACCCCUGGAUGGAGGAAGAGUACUUCCAGAGAAGAUGCCCCAUCUACCUAUGAGACAGAUAAGGCACGUCAAGACGAUACCACACUCUGAUACUUAGAAGUUUCGUGAUUACGAGAUCAUUCUCCCACAAUAUUUCCUAAUGUCAUUUGUACUAAAUCAUUCACUUGUACUCACUAAAGGAGAGCUUGAACCUAUGUACUUGUGUAAACCCUUCACAAUUAAUGAGAACUCCUCUAUUCCGUGGACGUAGCCAAUCUGGGUGAACCACGUACAUCUUGUGUUUGCUUUCCUAUCUCUAUCCAUUUAUAUACUUAUCCAUACUAAUGACCGGAGCAAUCUAGCGAAGAUCACAAAAAGCGACCGUUUUCGCUACCUAAGAUCUAUCGUGCAAGAGAACGGAGAAUUAGAUGGAGAUCUCAACCAUAGAAUACAAGCUGGAUAGAUGAAGUGUAAGAGUGCAUCCGACGUGUUGUGUGACCGUCAUAGGUCACUGAAGCUCAAGGGAAAAUUUUAUAGGACGACAAUAAGGCCAGCGAUGUUGUAUGGCACAGAAUGUUGGGCGGUGAAGCAUCAAUACGUACACAAAAAUGGGUGUGGCGGAGAUGAGGAUGCUUCGUGGGAUGUGUGGGCACACGAGAAAGGAUAAGAUUGGGAAUGAGUAUAUCCGAGGUAAAGUAGGAGUAGCCGAAAUUGAAGGAAAGAUGAGAGAAAAUCGGUUCCGGUGAUUUGGACAUGUGCAAAGAAGGCCUACUGACGCUCCGGUUCGAAGAUGUGACUACUGGACAGAGGUUCAGGGCCGAAGGGGUAGAGGAAGACUUAGAAAACCUUUGGAAGAGACUCUAAGAAAAGACUUAGAGUACUUGGAUCUAAUGGAGGACAUGACACAAAACCGAGCGCAAUGACGUUCUAGGAUUCAUAUAGCCGACCCCACUUAGUGGGAAAAGGCUUUGUUGUUGUUGUUGUUGUUGUUGGGGUUUUGCAGGGAGUACUAAUGUACUGAUUUUCUGGGAUUUUUUUUGUCCUUGCAGGAUUUUUGGUCUUUGAAAUGGGUAUGUGUUGUUUUUAAUGUUUCAGUUCUAGCGUUUUCCGUUCUUCGUUGCUUCGUGAUUCUCAUUUUUCAGUGUUGGGUGAUGGAAAUUUGUUAAAGUAGUUGGUAGUUUUUUGAGAAAGUUGGCAUUUUUAGUUAUAUUUUCUGUUUAAUCCUAAAUGUUUUGAAAACUCAUAAUUUUUUUGUUCUGGGAUUUAAAAGCAUCUUUUCCAGAUUGGUUACAAGGGUUAUGUUCUCUUCAAUUGGUUCACCUAAUUUUGAUUAGUUUUAAGUUUUGUCCUUUAAGUUUGUCUUUUAAGUUUUGUUCUUUAAGUUUUGUCUUUUAAGUUUUGUUCUCUAAGUUUUGUCUUUUAAGUUUUGUCUUCUGUGCUGUAAUGAGAGAUUUCCGUUGGCCUUUCGGAUUUUGGCAUGGGAAAGUUCACUUAUUUGCAAGGUUCUAAAAAACGCUAGGCGUUAGUUGGGCGGUGGGCUAGCGCCUAGCGGCUAGGCGGCUAGGCGGGAUCUAGGCGGGAUCUAGGCGGGCGCCUAGGCGGCCUAGGCGGAUUUAGGUAAAUUUCUUAUAUAUUUUAUGAAUUAAUUAAAUUUACUAUAUCAAAUGUAAAUAAUUAUUAACUAAUAUGUUAUUUCUUAUAGAAGAACAUACAUAGUGAAUGUUUUAUGUACAUAUAUAAUAUAUUUGUCUAGGAAAAAAAAAUAUUAUCUAAAUAAUUUUUAUAACAUAUAUAUAUAUAUAUAUAUAUAUAUAUAUAUAUCCCAAACUUUUAAAAAUAUAAAUAGCAUUGGGAGAGGGGCGUAGGGUUUCUAAAAGCACACUCAGAAAUAGAGCAUAUUUUAGUCUUUAUUUUAGAAUCCUAAGGAGCACCCUACUCGGAUGCACGACAUGUGUGCAAAUCUGGAGAUUCUUGCUGUAUCGGAUACACCAAUGCUUAGUCAAAAUUUCCUGCUAGGGUUUAUGGUGGACAUGUGUGUGUGGUCUUCAUUAUUAAACCCAUUAGCACCUCACCUUUUCACAUCACCCGUCCAUCACCUUGGGUGGUUUUGAUAAUUAAAACCAUCAACAUCCAUGGUUUUGAUAAUUAGAACUACCAACUUUUCCUUGGAUUUGAGAAUCUGAGAUCCCAUUCAUCGCCAUCAAAUAUUGAAAUGUUUCAUUGUUCAUCUCUUUCUCCCUCUUCUCACUCUCUAUUCCCUCAUCUUCACAGAGAUGAGUUACAGAAAUUCUCCGGUAAUCUCUCUCUCUCUCUCUUCGUAAUCGACGAGCUCCUCGACUUGAAGUCGCAGCCAAGUUAUGAAGAAUCGAGAUGCGAGAGCAAGUGGAGAGUGGAGACUCUGGAAAUUGGGAGUGACGAUCGACGACGAUGAGUCGAUGACCCAGGAAACCUCUUGAAGUUGCAGCAGGUGAGUGCACUGCAGUUGAGGAAGAAGAGACGAAGAGACUUAGUUUCUGAAAUUAGGGUAGCUGCAAGGCACGGGAACUUAAAAACAAAAAAACAAAAAGAAAACCGCCUAGCUCCGCCAGCCGCCUAGCCUGCCUAGGCGCCUCCUAGCCCGCCUAGGUGCCGCUUAGCCACCGCCUAGAGCCCAGCCGUUUUUUCCCACCGUUUUGCACAAAAACGCCUUGGCCACCCUCCGCCUAGCGCCUAGGCGGCCGCCUAGGCCGUUUUUUAGAACACUGCUUAUUUGUCUAAUUAGAUUGUGGAUGCCUUCGAUUCUUUAUUUAAUUGUUCUGUUUGCGUUCGGGUGUGAUGAUCUAAAUUUCAUAUGUUUGGAAUUAUUUACUUAACACCAAUUUGUUACAUUCAGAUCUCCACCCCACAUUUCACUAGUUCAAAUUCCAUAGAAGUUGGUUAUUGCAGAUUGCGUCUACAAUUAGAUCAGAGAUCAACUACUCUUUUGUUAUCCUGCAGAAGAUUGCUUUUGGGAAGGAUCUGAAGUAGUUUCUCUCUGUAUGUUUAUUCCCAUGUAGCUCUGUCUUUUCUAAUUGAUGGUGUUGAUAUUACACUGUAAUUCAUGAUGAUGAUUUAAUUGUUUAUUGAUUUGUAAUUGUUUGUGAAUAAUGUGGCAUAUAUGAAUUGCAAUCUGUGUUUGUAUGAAAGGGAUGGCAUAUUAUGUUGCUGACUUAAUUGUUUAUGUUUUUCAUAUUUGCGAAUGGUGUUAUGAUCAAUUAGGUGAUUGCUGACCUGUGACUUUGUUUGGAGCUCAAAUUUUGUGAGCAUUACAUUGGAUUGUUUUGAUGUUGUUUUGGUUGACAAUGCAGGGAUAGGAGAAACAAAGAGGAUGACACUUAUAACUGCCAUUCCCCAUCGGCCGUCUUCAAAUUUGGAUCACAAGAAGGGAGCAACAUAGGUGUUUUCCUUCUUUAUUUAGAUAUGGUUAGUGUAAAUAAUUGGACAAAAGAGCCAAACAAACCCUGUUCUCUCAAAUGGAGUUGAUGAUGUGGUCGACGGCCACCAGCCCCAACUCAAGAGUUUGGCCUUCAUAUAAUUGGAUUGUAGUAUAAUUUUAUUUUUGUUCAUUUCUUUUUUCCUUUAUAUAAGUGCAGGUGUUGUGAUGUUUUGAAUAAAGGGUGAUGAAAGGUGGUUCACACUUCCUCCUUACUUAAAGCAAGUGGAGAUGACGGUUUGUAUAAAAAGAAAAACUUGCCACGUACUUCAAUUUUCUAUUUUAUUAAUUAUUGUUUGGUUUUCCAAAUGUUGUAUUCACAAAGAGAGACCAAUUAUGUCUUUGAGAAACAAGUUUCUUUGUCUACAUUGCGAGAAUUUGCAGUUUGCAACUUUCAUUGGUUAUUAUAUUUGAUUGAGUUAAACUUGGAUUUCUGGAUUCUGACUUUUUCGUUUGUUUCUUUGUUGCAGAGUUGGCUUCAUUUCAUUCCAGGAACUCUCUAAAUAGGGCCAAGAACUCACUAAAUAGGUAGUCAAGAGGAAUUCAGUUUUGCCUUCAAUUUUUGCCUUCUGUUUACAUUCUUCCUGGAUGCACUCUCACCGCUUCUCUCGCUUACCACUUUUUUCUCACUCACCGCUUCAUCUCUUCUGUUGCUUACAAGGUCGUGUCAUAUAUUUUUUAAUUUUGUGGUUUAAUUUAUUGAAUAUUUGAAAAAAGAGAUAAAAUUAUAAGAUACUAUAUAAGAUACUAUAUAGUAUCUUAUAAAUAAAUGAAUCACAAAUGAUACUAUAGUUGUUAAAAAAUCCCAUUACUCAAAACUCCAAUUCCCUCCCAUUACUGAAAGCUCCAAUUCCAUCAAAACCGAGAUGGUAAAAGUACAAACUGGCUAGUUUCCACCAAAAAAAAAAGUACAAACUGGUUACAAAAAUAUGUUUUGUCCCAUCCAAUUGACGAAAAGAGAUAAAAUUUUCAAUUUACAAUUACUGAUAUGAUGUUUGUUUUGAAAAUCAUUAAGGUGAAUGGAGAGAUUUACAACCAUGAAGAGCUGAGGAGCCGUUUGCCAAAUCAGAUUUAUAAGGUCUCAUCAAUUAUGAAUAAACGACUUUUCAUUCCCAAUGACCUUUAUCGUUUUUCUUAAUGGGUUAGCUGAACAUGAGGUAGAUGCUGACUUUAUCAAAUAUGAGAAUGUUUUAGGAUUUCAUUCUAAUUUUUUGGCUGUUUGAUUACUUUGCUUUUCGUAAUUUGUUUUGCUUAUCGUCAAUUGGAUGGGACAAAACAUAUUUUUGUAACCAGUUUGUACUUUUUUUUUUGGUGGAAACUAGCCAGUUUGUACUUUUACCAUCUCGGUUUUGAUGGAAUUGGAGCUUUCAGUAAUGGGAGGGAAUUGGAGUUUUGAGUAAUGGGAUUUUUUAACAACUAUAGUAUCAUUUGUGAUUCAUUUAUUUAUAAGAUACUAUAUAAGAAACUGUUAUUAGCACUCUAAAAAACUCAUUCUACACUCGCGACAAGUGUAUUUUUCUUUUUAAUUAUGGAAAGUUUGAAGGGCAAAAUGAGAAUUUUGGAGUGCCAAUAACAAUUCCCUAUUAUAUAUAGCUCUACUGGGAAGGCUACUGUAUAUGUCUUCAUCCUGUUAAAUUGUAUAUGGCUCUUGAUGUCGGCUGAAUUAAAUCAAAAUGAAAACCAAGCUGAUCUUACCAGCCGAUAUCACUUAUCACUUGCUUAUUUAAAUUAUUUGAAGAUGCGUAUGUGGAUUGGUGAUUUUGUUGGAUUCACUUAGCUCAAAUAUAUGUUAUCUGAGUCGCUACAUUUGAGAAUGUGAUUCUGUUCCUACCACCAUUUUGCCCACUUUUUGUGGAAAUUAUUCAUUCCUGUUGUGAAUAAUACAUUCAUCCCCGGCAACGAAGUGCGGGCACAUUUUAUAGUUUAAAUUAAAUCACACAAUGGGUCAUCAAUAAUGACAAACUCGUCAUUUAUGCGAGUCAAACAUGAGGCCACCUACCUACUAGUUUAGUGGAAUACCACAAAGUGACAUGUUGAUACCUUUAAGUCUCAUAUAAUGGAUUGCAGAAUUAGGAUAUACCUAGACUAAUUUAGUCAGUGCGUGAACCCGAACAAUUAACAAGGGUUUUAUUCUUGCUUGAAUGUUUGUUAUAUGUUCCUAGUUUGACAAGGCAAUUAUAUUUCCGAUUACAAAAGUUAUUAAUUUAGUCGAGAAUUGACGCACCUGAAAUGGUGUGAGGAAAACAUGUAGACACAUCAACCGCAGUCCACUGUCCUGGGCAUCUAUCUUCCCCGAAACGAAGCUCAAAGCCAUACAUGAGGGCAUUGUGUAUGUCUUUAUAAGAGAAGUUGCUGUAGUCUUCAACGUAGCCGGCAGCCAAACUCAUCCACUCUACACUGCAACCCUCAUCCAAAUCCCAUGCUUCCAACCUGCCCCCGACAUAGUCAGCGACCAUGACAUAGCUAUACGUUUUUGGUUGACUCGAAGAAGAAGAAGAAGUAUUAUUCAAGCAUGGAGCAGUGUCCACGUACAGAGAAGAAUUCGAUGGAUUCGAACACUUCAAGUAAUAUAUAGAUAGAGAAUUGAUGUCAUAGGUGGGCCAAUAUGGAGAAUUGAUGUCCUCGGUGGUGGGCGGAAUAUUUUGAGACAUGGAAGAGCAAUUGUUGUUGUCAAGCCCAGGAUCUAGAACUCGGAUUGUAUUGUUAAUGUAGUUGAUUGCCUGGACAUAGUAUUUUCCGGAAGAAGGUACGUCUAGUACAGUAAUGUUGCUCUCACAGUACAGAGUAUACAUUAUGUUGCCACAGUACUUUGGAUCAUCGUUCAGUCGAAAAGGAUGGCUUAUGUAGUGGAUAUGGCCGCAGGAUGAAGUGCAGGACUUGGCACUACUGUUGUCAGCGUUACAAGUUUCACUGCAAAAGCAAAGAAGAAGAAAGGCUAAACUUAAGGUGAAGGACCUGCUUCCACUAAUUUCCAUUGAUCUGAGAGAGAGAGAGAGAGAGAGAGAGAGAGAGAGAGAGGGUACUAUAGCUUGAACACCAAGGAGUUAUAUAAUAUGGGAGGGGUUAAAGCGCUUCGCUUAAAGUUGCAGUAAGCCCGGCAAAUAUCCUAGGGAAAAGUCGGUCAAUGGUGUCCUAUAGAGAAAAGUCGGCCUUGGUGUUUGACACGGUCACUCACUCUCUCUCUCUCUCUCUCUCUCUCUCUCACAUUGACGAGGGACACUGUAAUUAACAAAAAAAUUGUUCUUCAGAGAUAGAUUUUGAAAUUCUUAUUUUAUAUAAAAAAACACCUAAUAUUAAUCAUUCAAAUGAAAUUCCUAAAAUUAAGUAUAAAUAAUACAUAAUAAAAACUGAACACAUACAAUCAACGGUCACGAUCAUGAAAUCCUUCGGAUCCUCAGAAAAAAAUCCGACGAUGAUCUUUUUCUGUGUAAAAUAAUUUGAGGGUAUAAUACUGGAUGUGCGAUUAAACCGAAGAACCCACCCACCUCCAUCUUCUCCGACCAACUUGAACCCAGCCACUACUACAUGUCAUCCCGACAACCCACUCUCAGCUUCCCAAACCGCCAUUUUUCACCCAUUCACCUACCACUGCCAUUAUUCAUUCAAUCAACCCAAAACACGAGAGCCACCCCCAUCUCACCAGUCGAACAGAUGCAGCCACCCACCCAUUUAAUCCCAGUCCAAAAUCAAACCCUCUCCUAAACCCACCCCAGAAUCCAAUAAUUUCAAAAAAUGGCUGAUUAUAUCAUUUCAAGAACCUCACAAUUCCAAAAACUAAAAACCCACUUCAAAGAUGUAAUAUUUUUCUCUCUUCCUCUUUUUGGGUUUUUUUUUCUUUUUUUUUAUCAAUUCUCUUCUGGGUUUUUGUUUACAGUGUAAAAUCAACACUAAUUUACUAAUUUUGCUUUGAUUUCAAACACUAUUGAGGCGUGAUAACCUGUUGCAAGCUCAGCCAUGGCGGCUACUGCGAAAUCUAACGGAAAAACCAUCACAGACUCUGCCAUUUCAUCCAAGGUUCCGACAAUAGCAAAACGAAUAGCUGUCGCAGAUUUCUUCCAACAUCAAUCACUACGCGAAAUUAAUUGUCAAUGAAGACGAUCCCAUUCCCCUUCGAAAUCUGCUGGGGAAAGAGACCUUCUUUCAGAUCUGCUCUGAGACCGGUUUAUGCGAGAGAGUGGUGAGCCUGACGACAGAGAGAAAUAAGGGCAGGAUUGGAAAAUUGGAAAGUUCAUUUAUUGGUUACUGUUUAUCCGUGUUUCUUCGAAAUAAGCUGCUUUUUCCAGCUUUGGGUUUCAGUGUUUUUUAACCCAUAAUUUUGAAAGAAAAAAAACUGAUUUUAAAUGUUUAUCAAACACUUAAAAUGUUCCAAUCUUUUUUCAUACCUACUUUUUAUUAAAAGUUAAGCUAAACAAAAAUCAAGAUUAAGUUUACUACUCUGAAGUUUCUUGCUUUUCAACAUUUCAUACAUUGAAUUUUUCUCAUCCAGUGUCAUAUCUAAGGUGGGAAUUGUGGGACACUUUUAUACAUCCGUUAGAUUUUAUGUGAAUUGCGUGGCACUUUUAUACAUCCGUUAAAUUUUUUGUGAGAACCUUCGCUGACCCACGAUGCGGCAUGCAUGUGGACAUUAAAAAAAUUCAAAAAAUUCAAAAAAUUUUAAAAUUUUAAAAUUUAAAAUUCAAAAAUACUAAAAACCUAAACUUUUCAUAAUAUUGAAAGACUGAAUCUUUUCACAGUCAGCCAAAUUUUCUUCAAAUUUUAAUUAGAUGAAAUAAUGAAUCUUGAACAAAGCAAAACAAAACGUAAUAUUGAGAGAUUCAGUCAUUGAAGUGGACGUGGAUGUUGGGUACUCAAUAGUCCAAGAAUGAAAACUCUCAUAUCAGUUUCUAUCCAAAAUUUUGGAAUUAUGUGUGUUGCAACGAUUGUCCAAAGGAUUAUUCUUCUUUUAUUAAAUUUCCAUGAAAAAUGAGCAUGGAGCACAAAAGUUGAACGAAUGAUUAUUCUUCUUUUAUUAAAUUUCCAUGGAAAAUGAGCAUGGGGCACAAAAGUUGAACGAAUGAAAUUUCAACGAUUUGAAAAGGGAUUGUGAGUUUGACAUGUCAUUUUUCUUCCUCUAAUGCAAUCAUGUUUAUUAAAAGACAAAAAUAAAUAUGACUUUACAUAAGGAGAGAGAAGGAGUAGUUUUCUUUGAAAAAAUCAACCAUUUAUUGAAGAGGAUGUGGAUGUUGAUUGAUGCGUCGUGAAUACGAAAAAAAGGACCUUGAAAGGAGUUGAGACAUUCAUUAAAAGCUAGAAGAAAAAAAAGUUAAAAGUGUUUUAGAAAAAAAGCAAGAAAGCCUCAUUUUCAAAGUUGUGGUCAUUGCACAAUACUUGAUUAGAAGAAAACUCAUAGUAUUGUAUUUACAAUUUCAAGUCUUUAUGGGGAACGAGAGAGCAAGUUUUCCAAUUGGAAUAUGAUAUGAAAUUUCUACAUAACUAUAUAUGACAAUGAAAGAAGUCUAAGUUUCUAAAUGGAAGGGCUUCCAAUUGAUGUGAGUUUGUUGAGAAAUUAGUGAACAACAGAACAAGUUGCUUCUCCUUUGGCCUUCUAACAUGAUAUCACAGAAAACAAGUUGUUACUAAUAAAUGUAUCUGAUUGGUGGACUUAGACGUGCGCGGUACGAUUUUUGAUAACUAGAGAAGAUGGGCAGUGUCAUGACAAAAUUUAUCCAAGUAGACCCAAAGGAAUGACUUAGGAACUUCAUAUGCAGUGGGAUAAAAUCUUAAGCUAAUUUCCUUACCUAUCUUAUAGGCAUUAAGUAAAAUGUAUAUGCAUAUUUCUAGACACACCAAUUUACUUAAUAUUAACUUCUUUCAAAUACCCAUUUGCAGAAACGCAAAGCUCUCUUGCAUGCUUGUUGUAAUGCUUAUGUAGUGCGUAUCCUAUAUCUUAUAUAUAUAUCUUACUUUUUGUGAUCCAUUUUUUCAUCACUAUGCCAAACGAAUAGCAAAACGAAUAGCUGUCGCAGAUUUCUUCCAACAUCAAUCACCACGCGAAAUUAAUUGUCAAUGAAGACGAUCCCAUUCCCCUUCGAAAUCUGCUGGGGGAAAGAGGCCUUCUUUCCGAUCUGCUCUGAGACCGGUUUAUGCGAGAGUGGUGAGCCUGACGACAAAGAGAAAGAAGGGCAGGAUUGGAAAAUUGGAAAGUUUAUUGGUUACUGUUUAUCCGUGUUUCUUCGAAAUAAGCUGCUUUUUCCAGCUUUGGGUUUUCAGUUUUUUUUACCCAUAAUUUUGAAAGAAAAAAAACUGAUUUGAAAUGUUUAUCAAACACUUAAAAUGUUCCAAUCUUUUUUCAUACCUACUUUUUAUUAAAAGUUAAGCUAAACAAAAACCAGGAUUAAGUUUACUACUCUGAAGUUUUUUGCUUUUCAACAUUUCAUACAUUGAAUUUUUCUCAUCCAGUGUCAUAUCUAAGGUGGGAAUUGUGAGACACUUUUAUACAUCUGUUAGAUUUUAUGUGAAUUGUGGGGCACUUUUAUACAUCCGUUAGAUUUUUUGUGAGAACCUUCGCUGACCCACGAUGCGGCAUGCAUGUGGACAUUGAAAAAAUUCAAAAAAAAUCGAAAAUUUUAAAAUUUUAAAAUUUAAAAUUCAAAAAUACUAAAAACCUAAACUUUUCAUAAUAUUGAGAGACUGAAUCUUUUCACAGUCGGCCAAAUUUUCUUCGAAUUUUAAUUAGAUGAAAAUAAUGAAUCUUGAACAAAGCAAAACAAAACGUAAUAUUGAGAGAUUCAGUCAUUGAAGUGGACGUGGAUGUUGGGUACUCAAUAGUCCAAGAAUGAAAACUCUCAUAUCAGUUUCUAUCCAAAAUUUUGGAAUUAUGUGUGUUGUAACGAUUGUCCAAAGGAUUAUUCUUCUUUUAUUAAAUUUCCAUGAAAAAUGAGCAUGGAACACAAAAGUUGAACGAAUGAUUAUUCUUCUUUUAUUAAAUUUCCAUGGAAAAUGAGCAUGGGGCACAAAAGUUGAACGAAUGAAAUUUCAACGAUUUGAAAAGGGAUUGUGAGUUUGACACGUCAUUUUUCUUCCUCUAAUGCAAUCAUGUUUAUUAAAAGACAAAAAUAAAUAUGACUUUACAUAAGGAGAGAGAAAUAGUAGUUUUCUUUGAAAAAAUCAACCAUUUAUUGAAGAGGAUGUGGAUGUUGAUUGAUGCGUCGUGAAUACGAAAAAAAAAGACCUUGAAAAGAGAUGAGACAUUCAUUAAAAGCUAGAAAAAAAAAAGUUAAAAGUGUUUUAGAAAAAAGCAAGAAAGCCUCAUUUUCAAAGUAGUGGUCAUUGCACAAUACUUGAUUAGAAGAAAACUCAUAGUAUUGUAUUUACAAUUUCAAGUCUUUAUGGGGAACGAGAGUGCAAGUUUUCCAAUUGGAAUAUGAUAUGAAAUUUCUACAUAACUAUAUAUGACAAUGAAAGAAGUCUAAGUUUCUAAGUGGUAGGGCUUCCAAUUGAUGUGAGUUUGUUGAGAAAUGAAGAUGAAGAUGAAUAUUGAUGUUGAUGUUAGUGAACAACAGAACAAGUUGCUUCUCCUUUGGCCUUCUAACAUGAUAUCACGGAAAACAAGUUGUUGCUAAUAAAUGUAUCUGAUUGGUGGACUUAGACGUGCACGGUACGAUUUUUGAUAACUAGAAAAGAUGGACAGUGUCAUGACAAAAUUUAUCCAAGUAGACCCAAAGGAAAGACUUAGGAACUUCAUAUGCAGUGGGAUAAAAUCUUAAGCUAAUUUCCUUACCUAUUUUAUAGUAUUAAGUAAAAUGUAUAUGUAUAUUUCUAGAUGCUGACACACCAAUGUACUUACUAUUAACUCCUUUCAAAUACCCAUUCGCAGAAACGCAAAUCUCUCUUGCAUGCUUGUUGUAAUGCUCAUGUAGUGCGUAUCUAAUAUCUUAUGUGUAUAAUUUUUUGUGAUCCAUUUUUUCAUCACUAUGCCAAAAUCCCUUUAGAAUUUGCAAUUUAUCCAUUUGGUUAUGGUAAAAAAAAAAACUCGGAAUUUCAUUUAAACUCGAAAAUCUAGAAUUGGGAAAGCAAUUUUCCCUUGUUCGGCAACUUGUAGCGAUAGCAAAGGCAAAUUGUACCGGAAAAAAGUGGAAAUUGGGGAUGAAGAUCCAAUUUUAAUUUCGUCAAAAUAAGUGUAAUUUCACAAUUCCAACAACGUUGAGAAUCACAAAUGCAUUGUGGGGAAAUCUUGCGACCACCAAACUUUACGAUUAGAGCGCCAAAUUUCAUGAUAAAACGUAAUAAGGGUUUAGGACUGCAUCGUUCGCUCUGUUAACUCUCCAAUCUUCGACGGGAUUUUCAACUCGUGCAUCAUUUUUUGCUUUGUUCUAGGUCAAAGCCUACUCUUUUCUUUCUUGAAUUAUUUUAGCUUUGCGGGUAUACUCUUUAGGCCAAUUGUGAAUUUUGCUAGUUAUUUUUAUUUUCUGAUGGUCAUAUGUUUGUUUUUUUUUUCUUCCAAUUGAGCUGUGUAUUGGUUGGAUCAGUAACUUUUUUUUUGGAUUUUUAUUUUUAUUUUUAUGGAUUUUGGUGUUAGUUCCUUGUUAUAGAUGUAUAGAUGUUGUGGAGCAAAAAAUAAUCUCAAAAAUCGUGGAGGUGACACACGGAUUUUUGGACAAGAAUGACAAAAUUAUCCUCGAAGCACAUCAUGAUUCCCACGUGCAUGCAACGGACAAUAACGGCUCAAUCAUGGAAGAGUCAAAGGUGAUCAAUAUGGUAUUUAUUCAAAUCCCUCUCAUCACUCCUCAUCAAUCCCUUUUUGAUUUUAUUCAAAAGGUAACUCCCAAAACUUCCUAUUUAAUUUAGGGAUCAUUGUCAUGUUAAUUGCAAGAUAUUAUUUCACAAAAUAUCUUGUAAUUAUUCUUCAAUUACCACCAUGUAUGGCCGGCCACUCCUCACCCUAUGGGCCGGUCACUCCUCACCCUAUGGGUCGGCCACUCCCUAUAAAUAGCCCUAUUAUUCCACUAAUAAGGAAGCCAUUUGCUACCCACAAACUCCUAAACACAUUCUUUCAGAAUUCUAACUUUGGCAUUGGAGAUUCUUAGGCCAAAUCCCCCCUCCCAUUCAUCGUGGGCGCAUAAGGCUUUUGGCCUUAGUCUUAGGUAUUAUUAUUUUGCAGGUGCAUUUUCGUCAAAGACGAAGAUGGUGGAAAUUUGGAUCCACAAAUUGGUGUUUUCAUUGAGAGUUUGAUUCACAAGCUCGAAGAAGACUCUCGCAUUCAAAGUUUCACAUUUCUCAUUCAUAAGUAAAUUUUUCAUACGUUCUUAUUCCUAGAAUUUUUUUAAAUCUUUGAAUAGACGUAGGAGAGAAAUACAAUGGCUAGAAAUUUAGAAACCACGACGAACGAAACUUCCUACGUUCAAAGAUCCAGAUCAAAUGAUGGAAAUUGCGAUGUAGCCCCACCACGACGAUCCACGAAGCUCAACGUAGUGGCAAAAUGAGUAACUUGGCCACCACGGAGUACCACCACCACCAUAGCCAAGGCAACCCAUGUUGCAGUGGGGAGUGGGACAACUCCAUGGCAGCAAGGCCACGAAGCAACAACAGAUGCCAUCUUGCAGUAAUGAGCCCAAGCCUGUGUCACAAGGUAGUCAACCCAGCGCUAGGUAACCUAGAUCUAGUAGGCCCACGACGUUGCCAUAGUAGCUGAGGCCUAAAGCAAGGCCCAAGCAGCUGCGACUGCGGCAAAUGGAGCAACACAACACUGGCGGGGCCAAUGCACCCUUGGCCUAAUGCCAAGCAGGCUAAAUCGCACCACACCCACUAUUCAAACUAACCCUAAGUUGAGUAAGUAGCAUUGAAGGUUGUCAACCGCAAGGCGUUGAAGUACGAAUAAAGUUACACACCCCGCACAUGACUUGGCCCACUUCCGCGGCCCAACUUGCUCGCAAGGUCCACCUAGUGAUCCCGACCAGUCGAAGGCCAGUUCAAUCAUCCCAUCUUCAGAUUUCUGGACUGACGAUUGAAUCGGGGGUAUUUUCACCCCGAUUUUCUACAGAUUUGACAUAUCUCAACACAAAUCUCGCACUUGGAGUCCAUUGCACUUCCAUUACUCAAGGAGACGCAUACCAUUUAAGAUCUUCCAUCCCAAAUGGCGAACAACACUUGUCUUGACAAGUCAUAGAGUUGACAUGCACUUUUGCGCAGUAGACGACCUUAGUGAAUCAGCUUUUGCAACGCACAAAGAUGCAGUAUGCCCCAGACGAUGUGUCCCGAAGCAGGACAAGUAUAGACGACGAUUCUCUCCAGCAGCGUCCCAACAAGCAGCCGCUCGACUAGCCACGAACCGAGCAUUCUGGCAGUGUACACUCCCGUCUAGGUCCUCAAGAAAGCAUAUACUCUCAUCUUAGCGCGCGGAUGAGCGUGCACUCCUGGUUAGGCCUACGGACGAGCAUACAUUCACGGUUGGGACCAUACUCUUAUAAUUAACAUGGACAACCUGCUAGACGAAGUGUUCAUUCGCGGCUAGGCUCGCAAAGAGCAUUUUCCACCUCAUAUUGGAGUAAGCAGCACAGAAGACGAAGAUAAGCAGUCAAUUAAUCUGGCUCAAAUUCAAUCGGCCACCUGUAAGUAACUAGCUCGCCUGCCAAGAACGUACCAUAUGCAAUGUAGCCACGACAUAGACUAGCUGAGCACAACGAUGAGCAACCUAGACUAACAGGUUACGACUGGGGGUAGCCAGAAGCUUCACUGCCCCAAUAUAGGUAAAUUUAGAAAGAAGUUGAGAGGCUUCUGACAGAACGAUUGUGCGAUUUCCAACGCAAUGAAGCUACUGACAAGGCGCUUAAACGAUACACGACCAACAUAAACGGGUCACCUUUUAUUGACAAGAUUGAGCAGACAGAACCAUCCUACAUACACUGGCGGAUACAAAUAUUACUUCUAUUUUAACAUACGCAUCAACUCAGCCUAAUGGCGUGUCGAGGGCAAAUGGGUUCCAGAAUGGCACACUAACCCAACCACCAAGAACCAGGGCCAAAUCUUAUUUUCAUCACUCCACACGAUUCAAUGCUUGAGCAUCACAUCACCAGUAAUAGAGCACCGCAGACCUAAUGGUCCAAUUCCUCCUGAUGCACACAAGCUCACCCCAGCUCCACGCUCAAAGCCGUGCCUACCUGCUCCACAACACUCAGCCACCCUUGAUUUGUCACCAUGGCUCACAGUUAUGCCAAUUUUGCACCACAGCUCCCAGCCGUGCUAAUCUUGCCAUGCGGCUUUUAACUACGUUAACCAAGCCCACGAUACUUCAUACUUCAAAACAUCCAAUGACGAAGUAGAACAUGAGGCUCUACUAGCAGCCCCUGCUAGUGAAAGGCUUUGCGGUGAAGAGGCUUCCAAUCCAUUCAAAUUCUCAGUUGACCACCUGUUGGGUUUUACGGCUCAAAAUUAGGAUGAUGCAAAAAAAAUUGUGUUACCUAUUUGGUUUUGGUGUCGUAUUUGGGUUUGGAUUUUGACCUCUUAGUUGGUUUCCUUGGUGGAGAGAUUUUGUUAAUUACCUAUUUGAUUAGGAUUUGGAUUUACUUCCUAUUAAGAUUCUUAUUGUAACCUAAGUCUUAUGCACUAUAAAUAGGACCUCAGGGUUAGUGUAUUUUGUGUGGCUCAUUCGUGUGGCAAUUUGGUGAGAGUCAAUUUGUGAGUUUGUGAGUUAGAGAGCAAUUUGGGAGAAUCUUCUCCGUUAGUUUUGGGUUCUCUACUCGUUUGGUUUAGGGUUUGUAAUUUGUGGGAUUUGGAUUGUGAGAGUUUAAACACUAUUUUGUAAUCUCCGUUUGUUUAGUGAAAUUUCUUGUCAUGCUUCGCUCGUGGACUUAGAUUUUACACCGAACCACAUAAAUCUCUUGUGUUAGUUUGAGAUUGUUUGUUUUAGUUUUCACCUACAACGUUGAUAUCGGUACUUUGCUAUAAUUUGCUUUCCUUUGCUCAUAAAAGUACGACAAGUGGUAUCAGAGCCCAGCUUUCGGCUUGGGCUUUUCUUGGCAAUCAAUAUGAAGCCUUCUGUGUCGUCGGUGAAAGUUGAUAUUGAAAAGUUCGAUGGCAAUGACUUUGGUAUUUGGCAAUUGAAGAUGCGUGCUUUGUUAAUUCAACAAGAGCUUUUAAAAACGCUAAAGGGUGUGAAGGCUUUCCUGAAUUCGUGGACUGAUGAAGAAAAACAAAGAAGUUAUGGAGCGGGCACUUGGAACAAUCCUGCUGACUUUAUCGAAUGAAGUCUUGCGUCAAGUUGGUAGCAUCAAAUCUGCACCGAAGUUGUGGCUAAAAUUGGAGAGUUUGUAUAUGACCAAAUCCCUUGCUAAAUGGUUGUAUUUGAAGAAAAGUUUGCGUACUCUUCGUAUGGAUGAAGGUACGUCAAUUCAUAAGACCAAAUCCUUAUUGCUGCCAAAAGUCCUCAACAGUUCCAAGGGAGAUGGGUAAGAGUUCGUAAUAGUGAGAGAUUGAAUCUUUUCACACUUGGCCAAAUUUUAAUUUUAAUUAGAUGAAACAAUGAAUCUUGAACAAAGCAAAACAAAAUUUAAUACUGAAAGAUUGAGUCAUUGAAGUGGACGUGGAUGUUGGGUACUUAACAGUCCAAGAAUGAAAACUCUCAUAUCAGUUUUUAUCCAAAAUUUUGGAAUUAUGUGAGUAUUGCAACGAUUGUCCGAAUGAUUAUUCUUCUUUUAUUAAAUUUCCAUGGAAAAUGAGCAUGGGGCACAAAAGUUGAACGAAUGAAAUUUCAAUGAUCUGCAAAGGGAUUGUGAGUUUGACAUGCCAUUUUUCUUCCUUUUAUGCAAUCAUGUUUAUUAAAAGACAAAAAUAAAUAUGACUUUACAUAAGCAGAGAGAAAGAGUAUUUUUCUUUGAAAAAAUCAACUAUUUAUUGAAGAGGAUGUGGAUGUUGAUUGAUGCGCCGUGUGAAUAGGAAAAAAAUGACCUUGAAGGGAGACAAGACAUUCAUUAGAAGCUAAAAAAAAGUUAUAGUGAUUUAGAAAAAAGAAAUUUUAACGAAAUAUUUCCGGUAUUGUUCACUCUUUACGAAAAACCACAUUUUUACAUUUCCUGGCUACUAUUCACUACACCUUUAUUUAUCAUUUUUCAUUAAAACUAAAUUUGUUUUUGAACUUUUCGUUAGUUUCCUUUAGAAAAAAGCAAGAAAGCCUCAUUUUCAAAGUGGUAGUCAUUGAAACAAUACUUGAUUAGAAGAAAAGUCAUAGUAUUGUAUUUACAAUCUCAAGUCUUGAGGGGUAACGAGAGUGCAAGUUUCUAAUUGGAAUAUAAUAUGAAAUUUCUACAUAACAAUAUAUGACAAAGAAAGAAGUCUAAGUUUCUAAGUGGAAGGGCUUCCAAUUGAUGUGAGUUUGUUGAGAAAUGAAGAUGAAGAUGAAUAUUGUUGUUGAUGUGAGUUAGUGAACAACAGAACAAGUUGCUUCUCCUUUGGCCUCUAACAUGAUAUUACCGGAAAACAAGUUGUUACUAGUAAAUGUAACUGACUGGUGAACUAAGACAUGCGGUACGAUUUUUGAUAACUAGAGAAGAUGAAUAGUGUCGUGACAAAAUUUAUCCAAGUAGACCCAAGGGAAAGACUUAGGAACUUCAUAUGCAGUGGGAUAAAAUCUUAAGCUAAUUUCCUUUUUAAUCUUAUAGUCAUUAUGUAAAAUGUAUAUGCAUAUUUCUAGAUACAUACACACCAAUGUACAUAAUAUUAACUCCUUUUAAGUAGUCAUUUGCAAAUCCCUCUUGAGUGCUCUUUGGAAUGCUCAUGCGGUGCCGUUCUAAUCUCUUAUAUAUAACUUUUUGUGAUCUGUUUUUUCAUCAAUAUGCCAAAAUCCCUUUAGAAUUUGCAACUUAUCUUUUUGGUUACGGUAAAAAAAAACUCGGAAUUUCAUUUAAACUCGAAAAUCUAGGGAUGUGAAAGCAAUUUUCUCUUGUUCGACAACAUUUAGCGAGAGCAAAGGCAAAUUGUACAGGAAAAAGUUAGAAAUUGGGGAUGAAGAUUCCCAAUUUUAAUUUCGUCUAAAUAAGUGUAAUUUCACAAUUCUAACUACGAUGAGAAUCACAAAUAUAUUGCAGGGAAAUCUUGCAACAGCCAAACUUUACGAUUAGGGUGCCAAAUUUCGUGAUAAAACCUAAUAAGGGUUUAGGGCUGCAUUGUUCACUCUGUUAACUCUCCAAAUCUUCGACGGAUUUUCGGCUCGUGCAUCAUCUUCUUGCUUUGUUCUAGGUCAACGCCUCUACUCUCUUCUUUCUUGAAUUAUUUUAGCUUUUUAGGUAGGCUCUUUAUGGCUGUUGUGAAUUUUGCUAGUUAUUUUUAUUUUCUGAUAGUCAUUUGUUUGUUGUGCGUUUUUCCUUCCAAUUGAAUUGUGUAUUGGUUGGAUCUGUAACAUUUAUUUUUUAUUUUAUUUUAUGGAUUUUGGUGUUAGUUCUUUGUCAUGGAUGUUGUCCCUUUGAAGGUUAACAAUAGCCAAGACUAAACAUGAUGAUAUUGUUAAUUACUUUCUCAUGAUACUAAUGCCAUAUUGUUCUCUCUUUUGCACUUACAAGUGAAGAGAAAUAUCCUAGACCCUAACUGGAUAUGUUAUUGUCAUGGUCAUGCAUUGGUAUGGUAACAAUAUGUUUGGAUAAGGAAAAUAAACUUAGAAUUUGACAAAAGAUAGAAUUUAUAAAUUGAUACAAUCAAUUCCUUUGUUUAGAUUCAUAAACAUAGAAAUUUAAACUUUCCGUGUGAGAAAAAACUUGGAAUUUGGGACCUUCAAUUCUCAUGUUUAAAUUUUAUGUAAAUAGGUGUCAUUUCUAAAUUUCAGCAAGUGAGAAUUUAAAAAUAACAAACAUGUAUUCAAAUUUCAUUCCUCUUUUAGGUUAACCAAACAAGAAAUUUUAUAAAUUCUAGAAAAUAAAAUUUCGUUAUUUCAAUUUCUGUUAUUUUAAAAUUAGUAAUCUUAAAUUUUCCCAUCCAAACAAAGAGUUUCCUUGUCAUAGAACUUUCAAUUGGGAUCAAGGAAGACAAUCUUUUCACAACUGAUUAUUCUCACCAAAUUUUAUUAUUAUUUUAAAGCAGAUCAAUACCAAACUUCAAAAGCAAAGUAGGAAGGCUAAAAUUAAGGUGAAGAACCUACUUCCACUAAUUACCAUGGGAGGGGGAGAGAGAGAGAGAGAGAGAGAGAGAGAGAGAGAGAGAGAGAACCAAGCGAGAGAGAAGAGAGAGAAAACACCAAGUAGUAUUAUAAUAUAGGUGGGGUUAAAUCACCUUUCGUGAAGUUGCGGUAAGAGCAGCUCCAGCGGGAGGUCCAGCUUGAUGGACCGGUGAGAUUUCCUACCCAAUAGCCCCAGCUCCUUGCUCCAGCCCAUGCGGGCGAUUGGGCUGAGGGGGUGCCCGAGUGAGAGGCCUGACUCGAAUCGGUAGCCUGAGAGCUUGAGGCCAAAUGAUGCAUGGACGUCAGCCACGUUAUAAGAAGGAAGCAUAAACUAUGAAUAAUGAUAGAGAUUUAGAUUUUGGUGUGUGAUUUCAUCGGAUGGAUGGUGGGUUAUAUGGAGGAAAAAAAAAAGAUUAGGUUGUAGAUAAUGCCACGUGGCAUGCCGUCAUUCGUUAAAAAUCUGAUCGAAAUCUAUCAUCAAAGAUUUUAAACAGAUUAUGACACGUGACGCAACGUGAUUGGUUAAAAAUCUUAUCAGAAAUCUAUCCUUAACGAUUCUGAAAAGGUAACGAGAUGGGGCACGACGGCAUUGGAUAAAAAUCUUAUCGAAAUCUAUCACCAAAAAUUAUCUUUUUGGAUAAUGACACGUGGUGCAACGAGAACGAUUAAAAAUCUUAUCCGAAAUUACAAAUAGAAUUAUUUUGUAUUAUUUUAUAAAAUAAAAAUACUAAUAUUUUAUUGCCUAUUGACAUGACUAUUCAAUUAUGGGUGUGGAGAUGCAGAAGAUAAUUAUUAUUAAUUAAAGGUAAUUAUUGUUCAUUGGAGGGGAUUGAAUAUGAAGUUGCAGUAGAAGGCCUUUGUCACAGCAAUAGGCAGUUACUGUUCUAAGGACUUCUAUCCUAGAACAGAGACAAAAACACCAAGUAGUAUUAUAAUAUAGGUGGGGUUAAAUCACCUUCCGUGAAGUUGCUGUAUGGACUUCUAUCCUAGAGAAAAGUCGGUCAAUGGUGUUUGACACAGUCAGUCAACGACAAAGACAGAAUUGUGUAACCAUAAUUCUCUCUCUAUCUCUUUUUCAUUAACGGAGGACAGUGUAUAAUUACUACGUAUAUAUCUCUGCUCAAUUAUUGAAAAGAAAAAUCCAUGUGCAUUAUUUUUAUUAUUAUUAUCUCAGAAAUGCAGAAAUUGAUUAUCUCUUCCUUCUGCAUAUUGAUACUGGUUUUCUUCAAACUAGUUGAAGCAAGCCAAUAUGUGUGCGCGAAAUCCAACUGUAGCAAUGAUCAAGGCCCGGCUAAUUUCCUUAGGAGGGAGAGAGAGAGAGGGGAGAGAGAACCAAGUGAGCGAGCAGAGAGAGAAAACACCAAGUAGUAUUCUAAUGUUGGUGGGGUUAAGUCACCUUCCAUGAAGUUGCAGUAAGGACUUCUAUCCCAGAGAAAAGUCAGUAAAUGAUGUUGACACAGUCCGUCAACGACAAAGACAGAAUUGUGUAACCAUAAUUCUCUCUCUAUCUCUUUUUCAUUAACGGAGGACAGUGUAUAAUUACUACGUAUAUAUCUCUGCUCAAUUAUUGAAAAGAAAAAUCCAUGUGCAUUAUUUUUAUUAUUAUUAUCUCAGAAAUGCAGAAAUUGAUCAUCUCUUCCUUCUGCAUAUUGAUACUGGUUUUCUUCAAACUAGUUGAAGCAAGCCAAUAUGUGUGCGCGAAAUCCAACUGUAGCAAUGAUCAAGGCCCGGCUAUCCAUUUCCCAUUGAACAUCAGGCGCACACAUCAUUGUGGAAAUUCUGGGCUUGAAUGCAAUGGGAGAUAUGAGCAGCAAAUACUAAUAAAAUUAUUUGUCAAAGACACAGAUUACAAGCGUCAGGAAAUCCAAGUCUAUUCCCCAAGUAACUGCCUGCUGCUAAAGCUUGUUGAAAUCCCAAACAUGCCACCCUCUCCCUUCGUGCCAGUAGUCGAUUACAUGAUUAAUUUCAUAAACGUUACCUUAUUCAGUUGUCCUACUUCUGUUGCAAUACGAGAUACGUAUGGUUGUCAAGUCCCCUGCCUUGGCGACCGUGGCAAGAGAACUUAUGCCAUUGAUUCUGGGGUUUAUUUUGAAACUCUCUUCCAGAAUCUAGAAUCCUGUACAAAAAUGUAUGAUGUUUUAUCAGUUCCAAUAGCCGAUGAAUAUUAUGUUUUUCGUUUCAAAUGGUCUAUACCAAAUUGCAGAAAAUGUGGAGAGGGAAAGAAGUGUGAAUGGCAGAACAAUGAAAUUAAAUGUCUUCCCUGGAGGAAACCAAGUAAGGAUAACAUAUGUAUUCAUUGCUAGUUUUAAACAUCUUUACAUUUAUGUCUUAGUAAUUAUUAUUUGAAGGAUGUUGUCCAAUCCAUUUUUACUAGGAAUAUUACCUGACAGUCUCGUUUAAAUUCGCAAUGAUCUUCUACAGGCAACACAUGGAAAAAAGUGGUUACAGGUGGAAUCCUGUGUGCUUUGCUUCUUGUUCUACUGACGAUUGCAGCAUAUCGGGUAUAUAGCGCUGAUAGAAAGGAGAAAGAGAGUCGAUUAAGAAUUGAAAGAUUCUUGGAGGACUACAAAGCACUCAAACCAAGCAGGUAUUCGUACGCAGAUAUUAAGAGGAUUACAAAUCAAUUCAAGGACAAGUUGGGCGAAGGAGCCUAUGGAACUGUCUUCAAAGGAAUGCUCUCUUCUGAAUUCUUCAUUGCUGUCAAAGUCCUCAACAGUUCCAAGGGAGAUGGGGAAGAGUUCGUAAAUGAAGUGCGAACGAUGGGUCAUAUCCACCACGUAAACGUGGCUCGCUUGGUUGGAUUUUGUGCUGAUGGAUUUGUACGAGCUCUUGUUUACGAGUUCUUCCCCAAUGGUUCCCUGCAGGAUUUCAUUUCAUCUGCAGAUAGUAAGAAUUCAUUUCUUGGUUGGGAUAAGCUACAAGAUAUUGCCCUAGGCAUAGCCAAAGGAAUUGAAUAUCUUCACCAGGGAUGCGAUCUACGAAUCCUGCAUUUCGACAUCAAACCCCAUAAUGUUUUGCUAGACCAAAACUUCACUCCAAAAAUUUCUGAUUUUGGUUUGGCCAAGUUAUGUUCCAAGGAUCAAAGCUUGGUGUCCAUGACUACAGCAAGGGGGACCAUGGGCUACAUUGCACCUGAAGUGUUCUCCAGGAAUUUCGGAAAUGUGUCGUACAAGGCAGAUGUUUAUAGCUUUGGAAUGCUACUGCUUGAGAUGGUAGGAGGAAGGAAGAAUAUUGGUUCAAUUACGGAUAACACUACAAAUGAAAUUUACUAUCCACAGUGGAUUUAUAAUCUUCUAGAGGAAGGGGAUGACCUACGAAUCCACAUUGGGGAAGAAGGAGAUGGUAAAAUUCCAAAGAAACUUGCAAUUAUAGGGCUAUGGUGUAUCCAGUGGCACCCGUCGGAUCGUCCUUCCAUGAAAAUAGUGGUUCAGAUGUUAGAAGGAGGAGGAGAAAGCUUGAGUAUGCCGCCUAAUCCCUUUGUGCCUACUGGUUCUACAACUAGGAAUGCAAGACACCUAGAGCUAGAAGCUAUUGCUGAAUUAGAGUAAAAUGUAUAUGCAGAUAUGUAGACGUAUAGAUAUAGUAAUAUUUAUAUUGAAUAAGAGGCCGUUUGAUAACCAUUUCGUUUUCAGCUUUUAAUUUUUAUUUUUCACUUUUUUGAAAACUAAAAACUAAAAUCUUGUUUGGUAAAUACUUUUAGUUAAAAAAAAAUGAAGACUGAGAACUAAAAUGUGAAAGCUCAAAGGAAGUAGAUUAAAAGUAGUUACCAAACAAACCGGAAUCUCAAUAAAUAAAAAAGAUUGAAUUGCACAAUGCAAUCCAAACCAAUCAAAACAUUUAAAAUAGCAAAAAAAAAUUAAAAUUCUAGUUGAUUAGAUUCUAAACAUAGUAAAAAUGAACAGAUCCGAUGAAAAAAACAAAAAAUUCUCAGAUAAAAAUAGGGAUAAAGUAAAAUAUUUAUAAAUAGCUCUUUGUCUCUUAUGCCAUCAAUUAUUUCUAUAGUAUAUACACGUUUUUGGAAAAAUUAGGUUCCCAUCCCUUAUUUUCAUAUUACAUUGAUUGAAAUCUUAUUAUUUUUCUAUUUUAGAUCAAGGUCCCUUGACUUAUUCUAUGUCAUCAUUUUAGUAUUUAAAAUAUUACACGUUAUCAUAAACGAAAUCUCAUCCCUUUCUGCAUUUAAGGCAAAAUAAACUAUAUGAGUAAGUUUAAAACAAGGAAAAUCCAUUUGAACUCCUCCAUUCUUCUUCUUCUCUUAUAAACAUCUGGAAUCUACAACACCCCAAACCCAAUUUUCUCCAUUUUUUCUCCUUUCCUGAAUUGAUCCAAUGCAUAUAUGUUGAAUAAACCUAUUGUGAUUAAAAUACAAAUUAGCAUCAAUGGUUUUAUUGGCUUGUGAGAUUUGUGUGGCAUAGGCAAGGCAAUGCAGGCAUCGUUUUCUCAAGGAAUCUGGUUGAUUCAAACAUGCAGAGACUGUAGAGUGAGUGGGCUAUGUGAAAACUGUACCAUUCUGAAGUCAUUUUCUUUUGUUCUUUAUAUUUUUUUUUCUUUUUCUUUUAUUAUUAUAUAUUAGUCUUGGUUAUUCAAUGCCUGGUUGGCUACACUUAUAUCCAUGGGUACAUUUUUAAUCUACAUGUUUCGUUCUAAUAUAUCUAUUGCUAUAAUAUGUUUUGGUUGGUUCAAAUUUGUUUUACAUAAAUAUAUGGGUACAAAGUUUUUGGAGAAUAUUAUGUAAAUGGUUUUUAAGGUUGCUGCAUUUUACGUACCCACAUAUGCAUGUCUAUAAAACAAUGUGGUAUGAUGUACAUUCUUUUCUUUGAGUUUUUAAAUGUACCCAUGAGUUUUUUUGUAAAUUCGGUAUGUACCCAUAUGCUAUUUAUGUUAUGGGUACAUACAUUAUUUUUGGUCUAAGUUCAGGGUACAUUGCUUUUGUAUGUAUGAAUUCAAGGGGUACAUUAUUUCCCUUAAUACUACUCAAUAAAAUUCACAAAAUAUGUGUAGUGUGCAUGAUUUUUUAUUGUAGAAAUUGUUUUUUUUUAAGUCUCAUAAUUCAUGAAAUUUGUACAUAUAUGAUCCCAUAAAUUUUUUAAUUUUAUUAAAUUUCUUUUAGACUUGAUCGAUUGAUUGAAUCUCAUCAUACUAGGAUUUUGAAUUACAUAAAUUCUUGGAUUUAAAUCCCUUAAAUGUUGGACUGCAAUCAAUAUUUUAAAUUAUAGUUUUUUAUUUAAGAUAUCAAAAAGAUGACAUGGAAAUAUAGUAAUACUAAAAUGCUGAGGUGUACAAAGUCAAAGGACUUUGAUCAAAAAAUAAAAAACAAUAAGAUUUCAAUCUAACAAUUAAAUUGACUAGGGACCGGAACCAAAAUGACCCUAGAUUUUUAUUGAGUUUAAUCUUAAUCAAAAAAAGACUUCUUGUAUCACAGAAAAUACAAGAACCAUUAUUUGAAUGAAAUAAAAGCUAUGGGAUGGAGAUAUAAAUGGAUCAUUUUAUUCACAAUCGGAUUAUAUUUAUUUGAUACACUAUUGUCAAUAUGAAUGUUGAGAAAAAGACUACAAAAGAAAAAACAAUUUAUAAAUAUAACUAACAAUUCCAAUUUCAAUCAAUUAGACAAUUAGAUAAUACAUCAGUAAACGCGGGGUGACUCAGUGGUUAGAAACGAAUUUUAGGCUCGUAUUCUAUACAAUACGUCUUGGGUUCGAUUCCUGACAAUGGUGAAUCACGCGACGGUAGAUAUAGGGGUGUUGUUGGAAGUUUUGAGACUCAAGUCCUUUAUAUAGAUUUAGUGCUUUAGUUUAGUAAUUAGAAUAUGGGUCAUUUGGAAAUGGAUUGAAGGUUUGGGCCUUAUGGUUGUGUGGAUUAGGCUUGUAUAAUAUAGCCUAAAUACAAUUAAUAUUAAUUAAUCAAGACAAGGGCCUUGGGCCUUACUUGGGGCCUUGGAAUUUAAAAUUAAUCUGAUUCAUUAAUUUUAAUUUUCGGAUUAAGUUUUUAAUUAAUUUAUUAUUAAUUAAAAACGUUUUGAUUAAAAGACACAGCUCUUAGAAAAGAGUUAUGAACCUUCAAAUACACUGAACUGGUAUUUGAAAGGGUGUGAAACAACCUAUAUAUCUGCAAUCCAUGGUAUCCAAAUAAAUCAUCUUUUCUUCUUCCUUUUCUUCCGUACAAACUUUCCAGAGAGAGUAAACACACAAAGCAAUUCGCUAGAAUUCUAUAAUUUAGUGCGGGUUAUAGGAUUAGGUAGUUGUAUCCUGGUCGAGCAGACGUUAUAGAACCACAAGCACAAGAGUGGGACGGAAUUACUGUUCGAAUGACAUAGCUUUUACGUUAGCCUCUACCUUCUGUAAUCAAGUUAGUACCGUUGACAUUCUUAUAUUAAUUUCUGUAUUUAUUGUAUACUUUUCAUUUUGUAUAGCAAGUACCUUUUGUUAAAUAAAAAUUGUGAAUUUCAAGUUCUGUUUAUUUCUGUUAUUCUGUUUAUUUCUGAAUUGUUCUCCAACACCCCUAUAUCUACCGUCGCGUGAUUCACCAUUGUCAGGAAUCGAACCCAAGACGUGUUGUAUAGAAUACGAGCCUAAAAUUUAUUUCUAACCACUGAGUCACCCCGCGUUUGAUUAUAUUUCACUUAGACUUAUCUUGCGGUAUAGCAUGUCAUCCCCGCCCAAGUUUUUCUGUUGGCAUUGAGUUUGGGAUACCAAAACUUGCCAAACAAAGUAGAUUGAUUAGUAAGCGAAGCUAAUUAUUCGACUAAACAUUGUUUAGAAUUUUAAUUAAAAGAAACAAUAUGAAUCUGUUUAUUUUUUUUUUUGACAAACUAUAACGUUAAGGAGUUAAAUUGUUAGUUAUUAAGAGUACAAUGAUAGGUGAGGAUCGAACCUCCACCAGAGUGCAUAGACAUUAUUGGUUCUACAACUGCGGUAAAUCACAUAAAACAAAACGUAAUACUUUGAGGAUGGAAGACACUUCGUGGAUAGCGGGCAAUCAACACUAUCAGUUGCUAUCCAAAACUUGGAAUUAUGUUUAUUGUCCGAAGGAUUUUUCUUCCAUUAAAUUGCUAAGGAAGAUGAGGAUGGGUGGAGUGUCUAAAUGUCAAGGUUGACAAGAACGUGUAUGGUGUUCAGCUUGCGAUUGAGAUUUGUUAGAGUGGCACAACAAACCACAUAAAAUUUUCUAAAUGAUAAGCUUGAGUAUAAUUUUUUAUCACGUAUUUAUCUUUAAAAUCAUUAUAAUUAGAUUUUCUCUUAAUUAAUAUAGACCGUUAGAUUCAUCUAAUGACCCAAGUUUUUUUCCUCUUUUCUUUCCACUCUUUUCCAUUCACCGUGUAGCAGUCGUUCUUCCCCAACUACGUUUCUUAUUUUUCUUCACAAAAAAUUUGUAGAAAAUAUUAAGAAAAGAAAAGUCAUCAAUAUCAGACUCGACCAGGUAAUCGUUCCAACCUUCCCAGCAACUCUCAGUCUUAACUAGGCACCAAAUUUUCUCCGCCACCUAACUCGUCAUUCAUUCAUGGGUGUUUCAAGCUUGGUGAAAAUUGAUAGAGUUCCAUGUGUGUACACGGAUGUGAACAUAUUGGCCACUCUCUAAGAAUGAGUCAUUGGAAAAGUUGAAGGAAAGAUGUAACCGAUGAAAUUAAUGGAUUGGAAUUACAAUGAAGUCUGUGUUGGUUUAUCACAAAGAACCCAGAUACAAAAUUUUAAAAGCAAACAAUUUCAACUUCUCAAAUAUUAUCUAACAAACUUUCAAUGAAAUGUUGCUCAUAAUUGAAAAAAGGUUGACGAAGGACGGAGUUGGGGUUAUUUUAGAUGAGGAAGAGUUAAAAGAAGGAAGCACCAUUUAAUUAAUAAAAGUGAUUGGAGAAAUGGUAAUUCAAUGGUGGGCGUUUUUAAGGUGUGGACCUUGUAUCACACCCUGAUCCCAACAUACAUUGAGGAUCGACACGUGACAUGGGGACAUAGGGGACAAAAAUCUUACAUAAGAUACAGAAUGAAAUACUAUAUAAUAUCCCAAAAUGAAUAUGAUAGUGGGUUCACCCCUAUAAAAUACAUACGAGUUUGUACAUUCACAAAAAAAUAAAAAAAAUAAAAAUAAAUAAAAAUAAAAAACACACACACAACUCUCGCUAGGCCAAGACUUGCCCAUGGUGCUCAAAGGAAAGUCCCAAAAGAAAUAGUACAAUGAAGGAUAAAGGGGUAACCUAAACACUCCAAGUCUCUGAUCUCUGCACUGCUACCCCCACCGGCUCCUCGUAAUCUACUCAGACCUGUCACAUGUACAAACAGUGCCUACAUUGUGGGAAUGGUGCACCAGGCAAACAAAAACCCGGAUAAGCUGCAAAACUCGUGUGAGUGACAAUAAUGCAACGUAUGUGAUAAUCAAGAAAAACAGACCAUCGAUCACAGUUUAUAAAUCUCAAAUAUAACUUCAUACUUAUGAAAUCAUAAUCAAGUCACUGAAAACUUCGAAUGAGUCACCCAGACAUCUAACGACUUUUCUAAAUCAAAUCUCAGAGAUUCCCAAAACUAUCGUUCACAAAUACACUAAAAACUAGGGCUAGAGUGACACAGUUCAGCCAAAGCCUACAUAAGUAACCAAAUAAGAAGUGGCCCCCCAUAGCGGAUUAACCAAGCAGAGCCACUCCUGAGAAAGUAACCAAGUAGGUAGUGACCCCCAUCACGGAUUAACCAAGCAGAGUCACUCCUACGAAACUGUUAGGUAGUGAUCACCCAUUACGGAUUAACCAAGCAUGAUCACCCCUAAGCACGUAUGGCCAUACCUAAGAAAUAAGGAUCGCCCAUCGCGGAUUAACCAAGCACGAUCCAAAAAUAUUAUGGGUCCCCUAUCGCCGAUUAACCAAGCAUGACCAUCCAUGUACCACUGCUACAUGGUGUAAAUUCGGUGUCACCUAACCUCGUGACACUAGGGUAACGGUCCUCUAGUAGCCCUCACGUUUUUCAAACAUUUCAAAUAUAUAAUUUAAAACACAAUUCAUAAACAUUUCGAAUAGGGAAGUCACAUAGUGUUUAAUAAUGUAGGUCAAUGGCAAACUUUAAAAACAAUUAUUUAGCAUAAAACAUAUUUUAGAAAUCCAUGCUGUAUCCACAAAGUAUACUAGCACGGGAGAUUUUCAGGGUAAUAACUCUAUCACAUAUAUUAAAGUCACUCACCUGGAGUCCGCACUAACGCACCCUGGCACGAAUAUCAAGACGUCGCGUACUAUCAUCUGCAACAUCCCACAUCGACCAACGAAGAGGGGGUGAUGUGCCUUCUAUGUACAUGCCCACCUCCAUAGCAUGAGGCAUUUUGGGAGCUCACUGGCUUCAUAUUCCAUCGGAACUCCAAAGUUAAGCAAGUUUGGGCGAGAGUAGUCCCAGGAUAGGUGACCCAUUGGAAAGUUAUUGUGUGAGUCCUAGAAACAAAACCGUGAAGGCGUGGCCCGAGGGGGCCCAAAACGGACAAUAUUGUGCUACGACGGAAUCGAGACUGAGAUGUGACAGAAUGGUAUCAGAGCCACUCUGCCGUGUGGUGCGAGUGUGCCGACGAGGACGUCGGGCCCCUAAGGGGGGUGGAUUGUAACAUCCCACAUCGACCAACGAAGAAGAGGUGAUGUGCCUUAUAUGUACAUGCCCACCUCCAUUUAGCACGAGGUCUUUUGGGAGCUUAUUGGCUUCGGGUUCCAUCGGAAAUCUGAAGUUAAGCGAGUUCAAGCAAGAGCAUUCCCAGGAUGGGUAACCUACUGGGAAGUUCUCGUGUGAGUUCCCAGAAACAAAACUGUGAGAGCGUGGCCAGGGCCCAAAGUGGACAAUAUCGUGUUAUGGCGGAGCCGAGAUUGGGAUGUGACAUUGUCACCUAAGACAAAGUACAGAUCCACAUUUAGAGUUCUUCAAGUAUUCACAUAAUAAAAAAUUUCCAUACGCCCCCUACAACUAAUGAACAGAAAUCGAGACACGUUGACAAAAAGUCAACCGUCGAUCAACGGUAGGGUCCACAACCCUACAUAACUCGAUCCGCAAUAUCCAACCACUGUAUUUGUGAUUCAUAAGUUCAUAAGGUCUUCAAAUCCUACCUACAAUAACAUACUAAACUUUGGUGAUGAUCUAAUGGUCGAAUCAUCAUUUGCUAUAAUGUUCAAAUGACGCAAAUUCAUCAAUCAGAUGUCAAAUAUGGAAUCAGACAUCGAAUUUAGCUUAGGAAUGUCAAGUGGUGUCUCGAGCACGCACCGCCGUGCGCAACAGCUGGCAACCUAGAUUCGUCGGAAAAAUCACCUAAUUCCAAAAUGAAUGUUGUGAGACGUGGAGUAAAUUGUAUACCUGUGAAGAAGCCCAAUUUGGCCGGGAAGUGGCCUGAAAUCACUUUAGACCGUCGGAAACCCUAAAAUAGGUGAAUCUCGAUUCGUCAUCCCCGGUAUUCCACCGUUCUCAAACUUGUUUAGGGUUUGCUCAUGGUCUCAAAAGAAUGCUAAUGAUGGUGGUGAUUGAAAGAGAACGUUUCAGAAAUAGUGAAUCACCAAUGAGGGUUUCACGAAACCGACAUGGGUGUUCCUCGUGGAACCAAGACCAAAUCUCAACGGUUUUGGCUAGAAAUGGAUGCUGGGAUGUCAUGGUGAAGUUUGGUAGUGAUGGGAGGUUGAAGAAAGACAAAAAAAAUCGACAAAAAAAUCGUCGUCGGAGUCGCAAGAAACGAGUUAGAAAAAUGAGUCGUCGGGUCUGAAACGUCGAAGGCUUUUGAGACAACUACUUACUCUCUCUUCUCUGAUUAGUCACUCCACUCACUCUCUCAUUUGAUUGGUCCAGCCUUCCCACAUGGUGGGAGUUCCCUCAUAUAGUAACCCAAAAUUUACUAUUUAAAUCUGGUAUUGAACGUCCGUAACUUUUUCGUUAUGGUUUCGAUUCGCAAACGGUUUUCACCUAUGCGCUCGUAUGAUCGAAUUAUACUCAAAAACAUUAAUUAUGACCUCGAAAAGGUCUACGAGUUUUAAAAGAUUAAUUACAAAAAUUCACACCUUGUAACUAUACGAUUCAAAUCCUAAAAUUAACGGAAUUAAAAUAAACUAAAAAUAAUGUAAACACGAAAUACAGACUUUAAUAAUGAAAUACGUAAUUAAUAGUGGAAUUCCGGGGAUGGGAUUUCACAACUUGCGUCCGGACCUUCAAUGCGGAUCAAAAUCCAAAGGUCGUGAUCUGACGAGCUCAUGCAUAGAACAGAGUUGUUGUGACCCAAUGCAAUUCAAAACUUUUAUGUUUUUUUAUUUACUGGGUACGUUUUUUAUUUACUGGGUACAUUUUUGCAAGACGUUAAAGAAAGCGCUUCUUGGGAGGCAACCCAUGUAUUCAAAAAAGGAAGAUCUAUGAAUCGCUCUACAAUUAGUUUUGCGUUUCUAAAAACCUUCCCUUUUCUGCAUUUCUAUUUUGCCAUGAUUGUCAUUUUUUAUUUUUGUUGUUUAUUUAAUUAUUUUUGGGUGUGGGUUUAUUUUUGAAACAUUGACAGAUAUGCAAGAUAUUCUUACAUUCAUUUUCAUGAAAAAAAGAAAAGGGAACAUUAAGCAGGAAAUUACAAGAGGGAGCCUUCACAAAGGCUGCUUAGGAGAAGUCUCAGUAGUCGGCGGAGCCCCAGAAGAAGGAGGCAGCGGAGGUUGAUCAUUUGGAGCUUCAGUACGCGGUGCAGCCCCAGAAGACGAAUGCAAAUGUUGUUGGAACAAACCCACAAACCGCUGAUGAUCAAGUAAAAUCUGACAAUCAGAUUCCUGCAUCUGGUCAAUCUUCCUCUUCAUGUUUGUAGCAUAAUUAUGUGCGAGCCUGUGCAACUGUUUAUUCUCAUGCUUAAGCCCUCUAAUCUCCUGCUUAAGACUCAUCACUUCAGCCGCCAAUGAUUCAACUUGACGGGUUCGGGCAAAUAGGCGUUGGGCCAUAUUAGACACGGAACGUGCGCACUGCACACUGAGAGCUAGAGAAUCCUUUACAUCCAACUCAUCAGACCGUUUGGCAAGUAGUCUAUUAUCUUUGGGAGUGACAGGGUUCCUGACCACCACCGCAGCUGUCAUAUCAUUCUUCAUCACCGAAUCCCCAACGAUAAGGGGACCAGUAGGGGAUAUGAAGGAUGGGCGCCAUAUGUUGUCUGGAGAAGGCGGGACUGCCUCUUCACCAAGGUUCAAGUCAAAACGACGAUCGGAUGGGCCAAACAUUUUCACAGGUGUUAAAGAAAGAAGAGGUCGGACAAGUCAAGAUCGUAGAAGUGCAAGAUGAGAGUUUUUACAGGCAGAAAUUCAAGUGUGCUUUGAACGUCCUACGUACUUCUAUAAAAAUCAGCACUCGAUGGGAUUUCAGAGAUCGAAGAGGCAAGCUCAGAAAUCGAAGAGGCCAACUAAAAAAAUUAAAGAGGCGCUAGCUUUCUCAAAAGCUGAGCUUGCUCAGAAACCACGGCCAAUCUUCUUUUCCAGAUUUGUCCGCACUUGUCACAUGCAACUCGACGGGAUUUCAGAGAUCGAAGAGGCAAUUCCAGAUAUCGGAUAGGCAUCUGCUUUUGCAGACGUGUCAACAUCUGUCACAUGCAGAGUAAGCUUUGCGAAAAUCACGGGCAGUUUGUGAAGCGCCGAUUCCAACCAUCUGCUUUUGCAGACGUGUCAACAUCUGUCACAUGCAUAGUAAGCUUUGCGGAAAUCACGGGCAGUUUGUCGAAGCACCGAUUCCAACCAUCUGCUUUUCCCGACGUGUCAACAUCUGUCACUUGCAGAGUCAGCUUUACGAAAAUUACGGGCAAUCUGUCGAAGAUCUCUUGUGAAGUUUACUAUUAAAUCAUCCAACGGUUGCUGACAAGAGUGAAAGAAUAGUACCGACUAUUAAUUCCUAUAAAUGUCAUCCUUCACCCUCAAUUGCAAGGCAGACAUACAUAACCCCCUUCUUCUCAGAAAAUGCCUUUCCAACACACCCUCUCGAGUCACUCAGUGUUCCUAAUUCCUUGGGGUACCUCUGCAAACAACUCAUCCAAAGCAAAAGUAUUUCAUAUCAUGAAGGUUGAAAGCAAGAGUAUCUCAUAUCAUGCUUUCUCCCUGUCCUUCUCCUUGUCUUUGUUUUAGGACAAGGAGAAAGAGAGCAAUCAGCCAGCACUUGGUAUCAAUCUUCCGAUCUGGAACCGACUGCCUGGAACCCCUUCCUGAUUGCUUACCUAGCCUUGCUCUCGAGAACUCAUCUUCAUCAUCUUAUGCUUCCUCUUCGUCUACCACAUCUGCCUGGGGAACAGAUAAGGGAAGUGAAAAUGAUACCUCGAAGCAUGUGGAAACAAUUUACCAAUUCAUCCUUAGCUAGGGACAAGGAGAAAAAAAGCAAGAGGUGGGCACUUGGAAAGAUUGAAGAAAGAAACAGACCAACACCUCUACCUCAUGCCUGCCCGCCGUGCAGAAGAAUCAAGCAGAGAAGAAUACAGACUGCACAAUCAAAUCAGGGAACUCUCAUAUUUCUCGCUCAGAAUUCCAAACCAGUUCAAGAUCAACGCUGUGGAAAGUCAACAAGAUCAUCUAUCUCCAAAACCAGAUUUGCGUUCUUAAACUCUACUCUGUCUGGUUUUUACUUUGCUAUACUUGUCAUGUUUAUUCGUUGUUUGUUUGUUUGCUUGUUGUUGUGUGAGUUUAUGUUUAAAACAUUGAGGACAAUGUUUGAUUUAAGUGUGGAGGGAUAACCAUUGUUUUGCAUGAAAUUCGUAGGAGUUUAUCACCCAUUACUUCUAGUGUUGUUCCUUGCUGUUUUAAGUGUUUUAAGCUGUUUUGGAGUGUUUCAGUGUGUUUUGACAUAAAAAUCCGAAAAUCUCAUAAAAAUUUGAAAAAUUGUUUUGAAAAACCAAAAAAGAGUUGUUUUUGUAUGUUUAUUUGUGUUUUAGGGUACCUUCCAACACAAUGAUGAGGAUUUGGUUUUUAAUUACAUGACUGUUAAAGAGAAUUAUAAACAUGGAUGAAAAUUUGAUUUACUCUUUGGUGUAUGCUUGGUUGUGGUUAUAAUUUAUGAAUUCACAUGCAAUCAUAAAGGAAAAAUCAAUUUUGUAACAUGCUUGAAAGAAGGAACUCAAAUGUACGCUACAACCUUGUGAGACUUGAGCCUAGACGUUUAUUUGGAGAGUUAAUAAUGUGCAUUUUUGUUUUCUAAAGUCGUUGUAUGAUCUCAUUAUUCUUUGCUUGGUUGCUACCUAGAAUGCGUUCAUCAUUAUAGAUCCACAUACUAGAACUCAUGCCCGUUCCAUUCAAAGCAUGACAUUAAUUUGCAUAACACAUAUCCAAGAUGAAGUUGUUUAGUGAACCAAAGCCAAAAUAGCCGAACCCACCUUUGUCAUUUGUUUUGUAGGUUUAAACCCCGUUGAGCCUUGUUUAGCCUAUUUUCUUUGUUAAACCACAUCAUCUCUACCUAACCUAGAAUAGGACUAUCCAUACCCUUGUUCUUGAAGUAUAGUGGAGCAUAACUUAGAAAGAAUUCAUUUUGAAACUUAUUGGGGGAAUUUAGAUUUCAAAUUUUUUGUGUGCCAAAGAAAACGGCAAGAGAAAAAAUUCGUGAAAAAAAAGAAAAAAGAAAAGAAAAAUUUGCAAAUUUUCCUGUGUUUAAAAGUAGAUGCCUAAAUUAACCCUUACAUUAAUUUUCCUUGAAUAAUUUCUCAUUCCAUCUAAUUUAGAUCCAUCUUGCUCACUAUUCUUUUUAAAUUUGUGGAUUUUGAAAUUUCAAAUGAGAAUGAAAUUGGAUGAGUUCAAUUUUCGUUUAAUUCUUACAAUUAAUAAGAAAUUCCGUCGAAAACAUUUUGAGUAUUGUUUAAUUUUUCAAUAUUACCGUAUUGUGUCAUUGAAAUAAUUAUCAGAGGAAUUAGGGAAUUCUCUUAAGGAACAACUCAAAAUGUAGUACAUGAUUAAAUAAUUCCUUUGAAUGGUCAACUAUGAUCAACAUAUCUUGUAUCAGAUCUUAGUCAAAUACCUGUUAAGAGUGUAAAUUUCUUGUGUGAAAAUGAGUGUAUCUAGUAAUUUUGGCAUUAGGAUGUUACUACAUUCUCAAAAUGCUGUUUUUUGAUUAAAUGAGCUGUGAGGUACUAAUCAAAUAUGCUCGAGGGUAAGAAUGGCUUAAAUUAUGUGAGUGGUGAUCUGGUUCAUGUUUCAUUAAAAAUCCCUGAGGCAAAUGUUGGAAGAUUUAGGUUAUGUUUUGUUUGUUUCGUUUGUUUUGUUUUGCUCGAGGACUAGCAAAAGCUAAGUGUGGGGAAUUUGAAUUUGAUAGGAGCAUUAUUAUGCGACUGAGUUAGCUUGUUCUCAUGCAUUUAUGUUGUUAUUUCUUAGUUAAUUAUGUAUUUUAAGCUAUUUUCGUGUGUUUGUAGGUCCAUAGGCCUUAUAAAGCAAUAAGGUGCAUUUUGGAGCAGUUUUGGGCUUGGAAUGGAUAGCACAUGCAUGGAGUAAGGUGAUGGACGAAAUUGAAGACUAAAGAGGCUUGGAAUGUGUUAAAAAGAAAGAAUAAUUAAUGACAAAGAGCUCAGCAACCAAACAGGGAACAUGAGUCAAGAUUACCUUAUUUUGAUUUAAUCUUUCCUAAUCUUCAAUGUCCCUAAGUUCCAACAACAUUCCUUGUCUAUUUCAUUCACUCAUUGCCUAGCACCACCCUUGUUCCCUCCAUCAUUCCAAAUUUCUUGCAUCAAUCAUCACUCCACCUUAACCCUUGACUCAUUUCUACACCAUUCCACCUCCCUUUCCUUUCUCUACCAUGUGCACAAUCAUUCAUGUUCCCUACUUGCAUUCAUUGUUGCAACACCACUCCAUUUUACCCCUCAUGCUUUGCAUCAUUACUUCACUUUCACCUUUGAAUCAUUUCAACACCACUUCAUUUUACCCAUGGUUUGCAUCAUUACUUCACUUUCACUUUCACCUUUGCAUCAUUACUUCACUUUCACCUUUGAAUCAUUUCAACACCACUCCAUGUCCCCCUCCAUUGCCUUGCCCUUCCUCUAUAAAAGGAAGUGUGUGUAACAUAAAUUUAGUUCAUAUAUUUUUUUAGAUCAUUCACUCCCAUUUCAAUACAACCUUCAUCCAAACACAUUCAUUCAUCUUCACAUCCAUUCCUCCAUACAAACAAACCUUCAAACACUCACCAACACCUUGUGCCAUAGCAAAGGAAGGAAAGGAAAAUGCUUGGACGUGCGUGCUGUCAACUUGGAUCGUUGGAGCGUUUAGGUGUUUUCUUUCUUUUGUUUCCAAUGUUAAAUUCAUUUUCUGAUUUUGUUGCAAUUAUGAGUGGCUAAAACCCUAUUUAGUUAGGGGGAAGUUUGAAGCCAUGAACAUGCUUGAGAUAUGAAUUGAUUUCUUCCAAUUGUGAUUUGAUAAGUUGUGAUUGCAAUUCAAUUAUCUAUUUUAUUCAUAACUGAUUCUUGUAUGUUUAUUAAGGAUGCAUACUUAAUUUUCAUGCAUGAAUUAGAUGCUAGAAUAUAAAUGAGUUUCACCUAAUCGUUACAAGUUUAUAUUCAUGAGUAGUGAAGGUUGUUUAUCACAAUCUGACACACCCCGUCCCGAAGGAGGGCGUGCUGGCCGUCACGUGAGAGUGACGUAACCAUUUACACAGUUCGGAAGCUUUAAAAAAAAAUUCCAAUUACUAAUAUAACACACCCGAGGGUGAGUCCUACUUUUGUGAAUUCUGUCAGAACACCGUUGGAUUCCUCGUGGCCACCAAAGCUCUGCUAACUUGAACCUGGGGCGCAAAACAAAAGCUUGAACUUGAACCUUUCAGGCGCAAAACAAAAGUUUUUUCGAAAACUUUUCAUUUAAAACAUUUCUAACCCCUCACUGUAAAACCUGUAUACUUUCCCAGAAAAUAGUGUAUAUAUAAACAUAUAUAUAAGCAAAAAUCUCGAAUCUCAAACCUUUAACACUUUUCAGAAAUAUAUAUAUAUAUAUAUAUAUAUAUAUAUAACCAUUUGAAAUCUCAAGACUUGAAUCCCAAAUCUUUAACAUUUUUCAAGAAAAGCAUGCCAUGCCAUAAAUCAAAAAUAUAAAUCAGGUGAAAUAAGGAAUCAAUCGGAGACCCUGCAGUUGGUCCUAUACGAUUAAUUCAAUAGCUCAUUAUCUCACUAAGCCGGAGUCACCACAGUAACCUAUACGGCCCUACUCUGCACAUCACUCAGAACUACGUAAGGUAGUCUAUACGAUGAAAGGUGUAAAAAUACGCUCUAGUGCUUCUCUCAUCAUAUCAUCAGCGCGCAUAACUAAGAUCACCCACUAGUCGGAAUCACGCCUAGUGAUCUAUACGACUAGCAUGUCGGAACCCUCACAUGGUCUGUACGACAUCCACCUACUUGGAUCCAAGGCGAGCGUGCGGUGUGGUGAAUAAAAUAAGCACUAACACCUAGGGUGCAGGUUAUGAGCUUAAAACAUCUUAUCAACAAUCAAUUAAAUGAAUAAAUGAACUCACCUGACUUACCUGUGCCUCCACCGCACCAUGCAACAUGUAUGCAUCAAAUAUCAAUUCGUAUAACUCAUACGCAAUUCACAUUUUUCAAUUAAUUCUAUGCAUGGCAUUUUUAAAACAUAUUUUCAUAUAAAUUCAUUUUAUGGGAAAAAUCAAUAGUAUAAAGGUAAUACAAAAACAAAACUGCCCACUCACCUGGAGUUCGCCCAACAACUCCCUAGCACCACACAUCAAGGCGUCAUGAAGAUUAGUGCCUAGAACAAUAAUCAAACCCAACCUCAGAAAUCAUGCCGAUAGAAUACAUAACUUAUAUAAGACGCGUCCCUACGUAGUUCGAUCCGGAUGAUCUGCAACUCGGAUUUCAAAUCCGUAACUUCCAGAGGUCCACAAUAUACCUCUAGGACAACAUCCUAAAAUUUCAUUACCAUCCAACGGUCGGAUCUCCGUCAAUUUCCAAAACUAAGUGCCGGUUAACAUUCUAUUUUAUGAACUUACAACUCCAAUUCCGGAAGAUCCGUAAAUCGGAUUCCCAAUCCGUAAGUUCCUAUAAUCCUCAAAUAUUACGUAUUACAACGUAUCAACGUUUGGUGACGAUCCAACGGUCGGAUCGUCAAUUCACAUUUUCACCUAACUACGAAUCGUAACCAACUUAGGUUCAAUUACUCAAUUUACGUCCAUCAAUUAUCAAAACUGAACCUAGAGCCUUAAUCACAUGCUAAUAAUGACAUUGGCGGGCCAUUGGCCAUGCGCCGCCGCGCGGGCCGCCGCGGGUGGCGGUUGGCCGCCCCCGGCUCGCCGGAAAAUUCAACUAUUUCCAAAAAUUACCAAAAUUUGCAGAUUUGAAGAUAUCAAUGAGUAGAACAACUUUCAUACCUGUGGCCAAGGCCAAUUUGGCCUGGAAGUGCUUCAAUUUCACCAAAACCGUGAAGAACCCUAGAAUUAGGUGUUUCCAAUUCGACCUUCAAACUUGUUCCAACGCCUCAAUUACCUCUUAGUAUUUGUUCUAGGUCCUAAAGGAAUGCUAAUGGUGUUAGUAAUUGAAAGAAAACAUUUCAAAAUUUCAAGAAUUUAAACAAAAGGGUCGCGGCACCCGUGUGGGUGUUCUUCGCGAAAUCACCAUGAAAUUUAAUGAUUCUUGGGGUGAAACGUGAAGAGGGAAGGCCUAGAUGUUGAUUAGGAGUGGUACCUUGACUCAAUUCGUCGGAAAUUUGGACGAAAAUGGUGAGAACCCGCCGAUUGGAAGUCGCGGGUCGCACGGGUAUACGGGUUGGGAAAACCCAUUUCUUCCUUCUCUCCUCCGCUUCUCGCCCUCUCUCCUUUCCUCCUUUCCUUCCUCUGGUUGGUCAGCUUCUCCCUCUCUCUUCUUCUGAUUCGCCUCUCCUCCUUCUUCUCCGAUUGGGCAGUUUUUGCCCAAUCUCUCUUCUUCUUUCUGUUUUCUGGUUCUUCUCACGCGCACACACACACACAACUUCCUUUUUCUCAUCCCAGCCAUCUAUUUCAUUCAUCAUUAAAUCUGGGUCGUCCAUUUUCAUAAAAGAAUUUCUAUUUUACUAAAAUUAUAAUUCCUUAAAAUCCCAAAUUUCAAACGUUAAUAACUUCUUCGAUAUAACUCCAAAUCACGAACCGUCUACGCCCACGCGUCCGUAACGACGAGUACUACGAGGAUAUGUCAAGAAAACAAAUCUUAGAUGGCACGACACAACGAUUAACCUCGAAUGAUGUGCGUGCCUCAAAGGGCAUUUUUGUAAAAUCCUUUAUGAAAACUUUAAAAAUUCUUAAAAUUAGGGACGGGCUGUCACACAAUCGCGUUAAUUGAAUUCUUGGCAAUUGUAUCAUGCAUUCAUAGUUAUAAUUGUCUCGUCAACACUUAUGAUUUUCAUUGAACGUAAUGAUCUCUGAUUGUAUCUCUAUUAUGCAUUAAUAUAGGGGACUUUUAGAGGAUGAUUUGGGUUGUCGCAUGCAUUCAUCCAAUUCAAUGAGUAAAGGAAAAUCUGAGGGUUAAUUUGUGCAUCACGGUUAAUCUGGGUGUUGAGCAUAAUAGUUUAUUGAAAAGCAAUUGGAAAUCGAUUCAUGUACAAGUGUGUCAUGUGUGAAGAACGGACCUCUAACUAAUCCAUCCAUCAUUUUAUUUCUCAAAUUCAUUUUAUAAUCUGCCUAGUUUUAUAACUUGCUUGUUUAUUUCAAAUUCAUCCAAACCAAAAUCCCCUUUUUACUUUCUUGUUUCAAAGUGUUAAAUUUCUGUUUUGUUUGUGUUUUUGAGUGUUUUGAUUCAAGCCAAAACACUAAAUUCAUCCAAAGUUGAUUUAAAGUCCAAAUCUGACUAGUUUGUGUUUUUAGGCAGUUUUGAGUGUUUUUAAGUUGUUUUGAAUCUUUAGAAUCUGUUUUGAGUCCCUUGAGUCUAUUCAAACAUUUUUAAUUUUGUUUUUAUGUUUUUGAGUCAGUUUAAAGGUUUUAGCAAGCCCUCCUAAUCCCCGGUUUAGAACGAUCCCUACUUGCAUUUAUACUACAAUUUGACAACAAGAGGGUUUAAUUUGAGUGCUUAACUUUCAUCGCAUCAUGUGAGUUCCCAGAAACAAAACUGUGAGGGCGUGGCCAGGGCCCAAAGCGGACAAUAUCGUGUUAUGGCGGAGCCGAGAUUGGGAUGUGACAUUGUCACCUAAGACAAAGUACAUGUCCACAUUUAGAGUUCUUCAAGUAUUCACAUAAUAAAAAAUUUCCAUACGCCCCCUACAACGAAUGAAGAGAAAUCGAGACACGUUGACAAAAAAUCAACCGUCGAUCAACGGUAGGGUCCACAACCCUACAUAACUCGAUCCGCAAGAUCCAACCACUGUAUUUGUGAUUCAUAAGUUCCUAAGGUCCUCAAAUCUUACAUACAAUAACAUACUAAACUUUGGUGACGAUCUAAUGGUCGAAUCAUCAUUUGCUAUAAUGUUCAAAUUACGCAAAUUCGUCAAUCAGAUGUCAAAUAUGGAAUCAGACAUCAAAUUUAGCUUAGAAAGGUCAAGUGGUGUCUCGAGCACGCGCCGCCGUGCGCAACAGCUGGCAACCUAGAUUCGUCGGAAAAAUCACCUAAUUCCAAAUGAAUGUCGUGAGACGUGGAGUAAAUUGUAUACCUGUGAAGAAGCCCAAUUUGGCCGGGAAGUGGCCUGAAAUCACUUUAGACCGUCGGAAACCCUAAAAUAGGUGAAUCUCGAUUCGUCAUCUCCGGUAUUCCACCGUCCUCAAACUUGUUUAGGGUUUGCUCAUGGUCUCAAAAGAAUGCUAAUGAUGGUGGUGAUUGAAAGAGAACGUUUCAGAAAUAGUGAAUCGCCAAUGAGGGUUUCACGAAACCGACAUGGGUGUUCCUCGUGGAACCAAGACCAAAUCUCAAUGGUUUUGGCUAGAAAUGGAUGCUGGGAUGUCGUGGUGAAGUUUGGUAGUGAUGGGAGGUUGAAGAAAGACAAAAAAAUCGACAAAACAACCGUCGUCGGAGUCGCAGGAAACGGGUUAGAAAAAUGAGUCGCCAGGUCUGAAACGUCGAAGGCUUUUGGGACAGCUACUUACUCUCUCUUCUCUGAUUAGUCACUCCACUCACUCUCUCAUUUGAUUGGUCCAGCCUUCCCACAUGGUGGGAGUUCCCUCAUAUAGUAACCCAAAAUUUACUAUUUAAAUCUGGUAUUGAACGUCCGUAACUUUUUCGUUAUGGUUUCGAUUCGCAAACGGUUUUCACCUACGCGCUCAUAUGAUCGAAUUAUACUCGAAAACAUUAAUUAUGACCUCGAAAAGGUCUACGAGUUUUAAAAGAUUAAUUACAAAAAUUCACACCUUGUAACUAUACGAUUCAAAUUCUAAAAUUAACGGAAUUAAAAUAAACUAAAAAUAAUGUAAACACGAAAUACAGACUUUAAUAAUGAAAUACGUAAUUAAUAGUGGAAUUCCGGGGACGGGAUUUCACACCUUGCAUCCGGACCUUCAAUGCGGAUCAAAAUCCAAAGGUCGCGAUCUGACGAGCUCAUGCAUAGAACAGAGUUGUUGUGACCCAAUGCAAUUCAAAACUUUUAUGUUUUUUUAUUUACUGGGUACGUUUUUGUAGGAGGAAAAGGGGAAGUCGAGAGAUUCUUUGCGCAUUAAAGAGGGAAAGAGAGAAAGGGGGAGCUAAGAGGUUCUUCGCGCGUUAAAUUUUUGCUUCUGAUUUUGCAACCUAGAAAUAAAGUAUUUUCUUUAUGGUUUAUGGUUCAAGAAUAUAAUGGAUACAGCCUAAAAAUGUUUCUUUUUUUAUUUUUUACUUUUUUUUUCUUAUGUUGGCUUUUGGUUUAUUUUUAUAAUGCACUAUAUAUUAACUAAAUUUAUAAACAUUUUGUAUCUUUGUUGCAGUCAAAUUAAUCAUAUGGGUCGGCAUGACGAAGUUCGACUGAGACAUACAGAUGUUUUGCAAUCUUAAGUCUAACCUGACACACCCCGACCUCAAUAUCUAGUGGACACCAAAAUUGAGGUGUGAUGGCCAUCAUCCGGAUGGGUGAUGAAACCAUAAUAUGCAUGAAACAUAACUAAAUUAUCAACCAAUAAAAUCUAUUGAAAAAUUUGGCAGAACAUCCCUUAAAAUAGGGAUAUGCCCAAAUUAAAAACACUUGCACAUGAUCAAAAUUAUUCAACACUUCCCCGAAGGGCCACACUUAAUGGGACUUCGACCAUCUAUUACAUGCAUGAGAAUAUGUUCAGAGCAUAAUUACCCAAACACGUCUUAUUAAAAUAUUGAGUAAAUACCAUACAAGAUAGAAUACGUCAGAGCUGUUGCAAAAUACCUCAAUGUCCGAUGUAAUCACUGAUAGAAUUACUGAAUCAUGUAUAGAUGGAAAGCUGAUAAAUACAUGUAAUUUGAGUGGAUACUUACCAGCAGCAUGGAUACAAUAUCAUCCACCGGUCGUAACUAAUGACAAGCUGAGAGUAUAACUGUAGUACCUCUUAUUAGUGCAAUGCAUGAUAUGAAUUCCAUCUCACAUAUAUAUGCAAGCCAUAAUCAAACCAAUAAACAUCCAACAAAAGCCACAAUCCUUUUAACAUUCGACCACAAGAUCAAUUUUCAUAUUUCCCAAACCUAGGUUCCAAAGCAUUGUUUCGAAUUAUUAAUACAAGAAACCACCACCACCUCAAUCAACUCCUAUUCCCAAGUGUAAGCAAUUACUAAAUGCAUCACUUUCGACUCUAGUCUUAAUUAGAUUACUUGGGAUACUCAUUCACACCAUCAGAUCCAAGUACUAUUUUGAUAAACUUUAAAUAGCAUGGUUAAAAUAAAUGAAACACUUUUAGAAAAUAAGUGAAGAUGUUGUUUACAAAUAUAGAUGCAUCUGUAUAUAAAAGCUUUGGCGGUUGAUCCGUAUACACUUCCAAAGAUAUAAGCAAGUUCAUUGGAAUAUACAUGCAUAGUUAAUGUAUUACAGUAUAAUUAAUAAGAAAACAAUUGCAUCCCUUUAAGAAUAUAUAUAUAUAUAUAUAGACACACACACAUACAUACACACAGGCCCUUUAUGCAAAGGAAUUUCCAUUUUUUUUCAAAAAAUGGGGAUUAGUUGUGGGGCCCACGUUGCAUUGAACUUUAACGAUCCGAACAGUCUAUUUUGUAAGUCUCGAUUCAUAUAUCAUCCUUGUAAAAAUUCAAUUCAAUCCGAACCCAUUUGCCUAUUUAAUUAUCAAGAUAAAAUUUUAUUGUUUCUUAUAUAACAAAGUAUUCGUUAAUUUCUUUGAACUCAAUUAGAUAUCUUAAACAUUUCCGAUUUGGUUAAUAUUUUGUAAGGAUGAUCUAUGUGGUGCAACUUGAAAAAUAGACGAUUACGAUCGUUAAAGUUCGAUGUGGUGUAAACCCUACAAUUAAUCUUCAUUUUUAUAAAAGAAUGGGAACCCCUUCCCUUAAAGGUUUCCUAUGUAUAUAUUUGUUCUCCAGACAUAUGCAGAAGGUAAUGUAAAACUAAUGAGAACUUAAAUGGAUAUUCCAUACAUAGGACAAUUCCAUAUAUGCUUUUUCAACAUUUAUAUCGAAAAGCCAAAUUGUUUUGAGGAAAUUAAUUGUAGCAAUGAUCCCUUAACUUUUAUCUUAUUGGAACAAUGGUCUCUCAACUAAAAAUUCAUGACCAUUGGUUCCUUAACACCACACAACGUGUAGUUAUGGUCAUUUUCAUUAACUCCGUCAGAACUUUUGUUAAAACAAGUAAUGUUAGAAGAAUCAUUGCUACAAUUAGGUUAAAGUUGGGGACCAUUGCUCUAAUUAAAUUAAAAUUGAGGGAUCAUUUCUCCAAAUUGCUUAAAGUUCAAGGACCAUUUCUACAAUUUUCUCAUCUAGUUUCCCAUAUUUACCCCAUGAUUCAGCUUCACAUGCAUUGCACAUGACUCAUUUUGACAAAAAAUUUAACAAAAUUGACGAAAAUGACCAUAAAUGCACGUUUUGAAGAGUUAAGAGACCAAUGGUCGUGGAUUUUAGUUGAGGGAUCAUUGCUCCAAUUUGGUUAAAGUUGAGGGAUCAUUGCUACAGUUUUCUCAAAUGUUUCGUAUGCGAAAAUAGGCAUUUGUAAAGUUUGGCUUGUUUAUGGCAUUAUUACUUUAGUCUAAAGUAAGGCUGGGAAUGGCACUGUAGAAAUGAAUAGUGUUCCAAUCCGAAUUUCAGUUUAAUUACAACAAUGCCAUUGCUCUUUGUGUUGCCUUUAGGUGAGCAGCCCGGCUUGCAGUCAGGCCCAAAUGUAUUGGUUUUAGCUGAGAAGCCCGGCCCUUGGUCAGGCCCAAAAUUUUAAAUUACAGUUUUGCCCAUACAAAAUAACAAUCCGAUUGUAUCGGGAAGGACAAUUUUGUCCUUUCAGUUUUGGGUGAGAUAAGGGGUAACAGGGUAAGUUUCAUUUGCUGUCGUUUAAUGAGGGUUUCGGGGAUGAGGGCUCUGUGUGUGUGUGGAUGAGAGAGAGAGAGAGAGAGAGAGAGAGGGAGAUGGCGAUGGAAGGAGAGCGAGGGGGAAGGGAAGGGUUCUCGGCACUGUUGCUGCAUGUGGAUUUCACAUGUGGGAGAGUGGGUAUGGUCAGAGAAAACCAUAUAGGUCAUUGGGAUUUCAGGGAAACGGGGUAGGGGUCAUGAAUGAACUCUGCUGAGAGUGUGGGUACCGGAUCUUGCGCUGCAUGCCUCAAAUCAAAGAUAAGUUCGUUUUUUUAUUGUAUUUUUUGUGGUAGCUUAGCUUUUGGAAUUGUUUAGUAUGUUAGGUCCGAUUUUGGGGGAUUUAUCUUUUUAGAGAGAGAGAUGGACAGGGAGAUAGAGAGAGAGAGAGAGAGAGAGAGGAGGAGGAAGCAUGACUGUGUGCAAUUUUUGGUGUUAAUUAAUGGGUUGGUGCGUAGGGUGAGUGACAGAGUGACAGAGUGAAGGAGGGACGUGUGGGAGGGUAUGAGUUUUCAGUUCUUUCUUUUGAUUCAACAGGUUAUACAUUGUUUGAAAAACCUUUUUUUAUUAUUUUUUUCUCGUUUGCUUUGUUAAAACCAUCAUUUGAAUUUUUGGGUUUCACUGUGUUCAUUUCUCUGCUUCUUCAUAAUUUGCUGGUGUUUGCUUUUCAUCCCUCUAUUGGUAGAUCUUUUUCUCAUUUCUUGGUUCCUUAUGUAUUCUUUGGUACAAAUCUAUUUACUUUUUGGCUGUGUGAUAAUCUUAGCAGGUGAACUAUAUGAACGUUUUUUUUGAAACGAGUUAAGAAGAUCCAGCUGAAAAGAGCAUGCAAGAUAGAGAACUGGUAUGCUGCUCGCCAGGGAAAGGCUGCUGGAGAGGCUGAGACGGAUGCCUCCUUCAAAAACCAGGUCAGUUUCCUGCUACUCGGCGUCUUAAUGUAUCCAAAUUGUUUAUCUUUUGAUGAAAUUAGCUGGCUUUAUUUUCUAUUUUAUUUAUCUGCAUAUUAUUUUGGUUUGUUGAAAUUUUGACUAUAGUCAUUGUGUCACAUGGGCGCCCAGCCCAACCCAAAUUAGUUGAGGAUAUUUAAAUCUUCACCAUGGUAUUAUAGUACUCACUCACAGUUGUGAAUACUAAGGUGCAGGCAUGGCAUGAAGAAGUGGACCGUGCACGCCAAGGUCAGAGGGAUGCAGAGGGCAAACUUUUUUCUUUGGAGGUAAGUAUCCUUUGUUUAUUGCCCAACAGUGUUGUUAUUAUCAAUUUGUAGCUUUGCGUUCUGAAUUUUUUGCUUUGUCAAACAACCUUUUUGAAAUGCUCGAUUUCAAGCCGAAGUCCAAAAAAUGAGAGUUGAGAUGGCUUCCAUGAAGAGGGAUGUAGAGCAUUACUCGCGCCAGGUGAAAUCUGCUUCCUCUCUUUUCGUAUAUCUUCAUAUGAAGAGUUUUACUAAGUUAUAUUGAGAACUAUGUUAUUUAUAGGUUAUAUUUUCCAUUUUGCAAGAACACAUGGAGCUAAGGAAGAGCUAUCGUGAACUCACUGAUCUACUGGUAAUGUCACUCAAACUGCUUUAUUUGUGCAUGCUGCUACUAUGCGCUUGAAUGCAUUUUAUUACUGGCGGGAUGCGAAGAAUGCUAGAUAUAUGUGCUGGAUCGCUUGAUUAGUGUUAGGGUUUUAACAACUAAUUGUUAGCAGCUAGAAGCUCUGGUUAGAUGAAUGCUAAUUUGAUUUUCCUUACAGUACUUGAGUGCCAGUUUCAUAUUGUUUGUUCCCUGCUGGAUACAUGCUGUACAGUUUCAUUUCUGUUUCUUCAUAACUUUCUUGGCCCUGCGAUAUAUGCAUAUUGAGUACAAUGAAUAUCCAUUGUUCUCUAACUGUUGGGCUUUACUAUCUUUGUAGCAGCCUGCCUAACAUUUUUUAGGCUCUACACUCUACCAUCCAAUUUAUGAAAAAUUCAAAGAUUGGACGGUAUUGAUUGCAUAAAUGAAAAAAAUACUAUGAUAUUAGAAAGGUGAAUGUAAUUGUGUUAGAAGAAGCGUCUAGCAUGAUGGGUAAUAUUUUAAGUUUGUAUUUCUAAAAUUUUUUCGUUCUGGAGUAUGAUUUACCUCAAUUGUUUUGUACUUUAAUCUUUACUAAUUUUCAUUGUGGAGUAUGAUUUGCCUCAACUAACAACUUUUCAUUGUUUAACUUUUUCCUCCCUUAGAUAGUUGCAUAUGUUUGAUUUGUUAAUCUGCUUCUUACACAUGUUGUUUCCUAAUGGUGUAGGUGGAUUGCCGGAUGCAUGUGCAGAUUACUUGAAUAGACGAAGCUAAGAAUGACUUAGUAUUAAGUGAGAAAGAAGCUUGGGUCAGUUGGAUUUUGACAUUUGAUUUAUUCAUGUUUUUUUGUUGCUUGCAAUGUUCUCUCAUUGUUUGUUCUGAGAUUCUGUGAUCUUAUUUUUCAUAGGAACUGACAUUGGUUUGCCAUAUAAUGUUUCAGGAACUAAUACAACAACUAAUCACCUUGCUUAGGUCUCAAGACACAUACUUAACAGGUUAACAAACGCUAACCUAUAAACUUAUCUACUAAGCUGGACCAUUAACCUCUGUUUAUAUCCCUGCCACUCAUCUUUUGGCACUUAUCAAUAGCAAAAUCUAGAGUUGUUGAAACCCCAAUUUUAAUGAAUAUUAUUUUUAGUUGAUAAUUAAAAUUAAUUGAUGAUUAAUCUAUUCCAUUGUGCAUUAUUUUAUCGCCAAAUACUUUGAAUAUUCAUUAGCAAAAGAUAUAGGGUUCACUAUUUAAUGAAUAGAAUUUUGAUGGUGGAUUGCAUUUCCUGAGUUAUAAAUGUGGUGAAUCCAUUAUUUACUAGCUGAAUAAUCAUAAUGUUUUGGCCACUUACCUUGAAUUUUGUUCAAAUUGAAGAAGUCACAUGUUUCUUUCUGUUGUUGAGGUAAUCUCUCUGUUGAAAGCUUCUAUUUCUUUUUUCUUUUUCUUUUUUUCAUUUGGGUAGAUUUUUUUUUUAUGGAUUUAUGUAUUUUUUUUCUUCAGAGAAUUCGAAAUGAAAUAAGAAUAGCGGAUUGAGCAUAAACAAAUUGAUGAAAUUUUUAUUUGAGUGUUUGUGUUGGUCCUUUUUUGAUUUGUUGAGGUUUGGAAUUAUUUGAGUUUUUUUGCUGUUAGUACUGUGAAGGAUGCUUGGCAAUCGCGAAAUGGGGGCUACCUCUUUGGAAAGAGAAGUCUCGCUAUCCAACCUCUCAUGAAUUACAAACAGGGUGCUUUCUUGCUGAAAAACCACUGAAUCAGUAGAACUUUCCUCGGUUCUUCAAUUCGAUUCGAAUAAUUUUUUUACCCAGAAAAGCCAGCGUUUCCUGGUGAGUUUUACAGCUUUCUCAAUGUUUUUUUUAUUUUGGAUUUGCAAAUUUGUUUUCUGUUCAAAUUUCCUUUUGUGAUUUUGGAGGUUUUGUUUAUCGAUUCUCUCACUCAUCUCUCAGCUCUCUCCCACUUUUGAGGUACAUGUCGUUGGAUUCCGUUUGCUGCUGUUGAUCUGCAGGUAAAGCUUCAAUUACCAUACAAAGUUUACAUUUUUCAUGAUUUCUUGAAUUUGGGUUUUAAACAAAGGAAAUAUUGCUAGAUUCUUAUCUUAUGUGCAAAUUACUGGCUAUUUGGAUUGGUGCUUGAGAUUUAGAGAAUGUCUCGCAGCUUUAAUUUCUUUUUCCUUCAUUAUUACUGUUUUCAAAAUUUUUAUUGCUGGGUAUUGAUAAUUUGUAGUAUGUGAGGGCUUCAAUAUGUUGGAAUUUUGAAUGGUUAUUGCUUCAUCGGAAUUUGGGUGGUCCAAAUUUUGAAUUAGAAGAAACCCAUUUGAUUAAUAUUUUUGGUGGAUUGGUUCUCUGUGUUUUCUUUGCUAUUUCUCCCCCAGUUGGAAAUUGGAAGCCCCAACUUUGAGCUCAGAGCUUGAAUUUCUCAAUCGUUCGUUUCUCUACACUCUCAUCAGUCACUCUUGAUCCUCUAUCUAAAGAACUGGGUAAUUUUCCAGCUCUAUCAAGUAAUACUCAAUUUAAUUGCUUAAUUGAGGUUUUUUGUUUCUCUUUUUCGCUCUUUCAUCAGUUCAUUGGCUUUGAUGUUGAGCUUAAGUAAAUGGGAGAUCAUUAAUUGGCAUUGUUCAAAAUAUAAUUAUGUGUUUUUGGAUUUGUGAAACGAUUUGCCUAAUGAUGAUAGUGGUUAAAAUAAAUUUUUCGUUAUGAAAGAGAACAUUGUUCUUCAUUUGCCUACGGUUUUAACUACAAAGUUAAACUACUAUGCUUUUGUUCAAUUGAUUGCAACUCAUGCCGCAGUUUGCUUCACAAACCUCUAUGGUUAGCUUCCAUACAGUAUGUUGCAAGUUUGAGGAUAUCUUUACAUCUUAAUUUUUGCUCUCUCUGGUUGCUUCAAGUUUGUAAUUUUACGUGUUACAUUGCUACUUGAUUUGAUUAUAAAAAUGCAAAAGAAAAUCCAUUUUGCUUUUAUUCAACUUAAAUGUAUCCUUUUGUUUGUUCAUAAUUGUGUUGAAUUUAUUCAACUUAAAUGUGUUUUAUUCAUCUGUUUACGCUUAAAACAACUGGUUCCCCUAGCAAUGCGCGGACCUAAUUUCUAGUACAUAUACUAAAAGCCAGCAGAAAAUUACUGUUCAUCAUGGGAGAUAGAGCACUGUUCAUUAACAGUGAAAGGGAAAAAAUGCCCUCGGUUUCUUCUUUACUUCACGUACUGUUUACGAAUUGCUACAGUAUAAAGUCCGUUUUGUCAUUCCUGUCCACGCAUCUUUCAUCGUCCGUUUCUCUUGCUUCGACCGCAUCUUUUUCGCUUUACCUUUCCUCUUCGUUUUUCGCCUUCGCUAGGCUGCAAUUUUCGGAGGUGGAUUGUUUGCCCUUCUAUUUCCAUGCUCUCCCCAUGCCCUCCAUUGAUGUGUGGUCACGGUUAAACUAUGUCAACAUUUUAUAUUAAUUUUUUUAUAGAAAUAAUAAAAUAAAAAGUAAUAGGUAUCCAGGAAAUUUUCGUCAAAAUAUCCAGGAAAUAGGUAUCCAGGAAAUUUGCUUUACCGAUAUUUUAAUAGGUAUCCAGGAAAUUUGCUUUACCGAUAUUUCGCCGAUAUUAUCGGUUUUUUGCUUUACCGAUAUUUUAAUAGGUAUCCAGGAAAUUUUCGUCAAAAUAUCGCGAUAUUAUCGAUAUUAUCGAUAAUAUCGCGAUAUUUUAGAUAAUAUCGAGACAUUUUGGUUUCUCGACAGUCAGUCACAAUCUCGCCGGAGAAUCAGAAUAACUCCGAGCAAGAACAAAACCUGCAACCAAACGGAACAAAAUCAUCACUAUCUUUCAACAAAAAUCACCACUUUAUACCAAAAUCAGUGACAAAAUUACACUAAUCCGAGAAGCAAGGGCUUGAAUUCGAGCAAGAUCUGGAAGAAAACAGUAGAAGCUGAGAAAUCGAGUACCUCACCGGCAGUUACAGUGCUAAAGAUCAUCAUCUUUGGAAGGCCGCGGAUCAGACGGAGCUGAGAGAUCAAUGAGUAAGCAUUUCAUAGAUCGUAUUCGAUGAGCAGCUGAAAGAGAGGAGAGAGAAAGCAGAGAGAGACGCGGACGAGGAGGAUCUCGCUGAUGGGGACGACGAAGGAGAGGUAGAGGUCGCGGCCCGCGGGACAUGGUGACGGGCUCGACGAGGAGGAAGGCGAAGGAGGAGCAGAGGAGAUGGGUGCGUGCGUGCUGCGGUGCAGAGAAGAGAGAUGAGGGAGAUAUGAGAGAGAGAGAGCCGAGAGGGAGACAGAAGAAAAAGAAAAGAAAACAGAAAGAAGAAGAAAAGAAGAAGGGAGUCGCGGGGGAACAAAGAGAGAAAAGAGAAAAGUGGAGGGGCUGCCACGUGGCCACUUCAGAAAGAAAGGGAUCCAAUGUUUUGGAUCCUGAUUGGGUAGUCAAAGAGGACCAAUUUGAUAUAUUAAAAUGUUUAGGGGAUAAUUACACAAAUAUAUCUUUAUAAAUGGGGGUGGGUGUUACAUAUUGCCCUAAAAAACUCCAAGUAAUUACAACAUCGUAUUAGAAUUGUAAUUGAUCCUUGUUAGAUUUGGUUUAGAAAUUCUAUGUAAUUUAGUGAUUGUUUCAUAUUAGAUUUAGAUUUGAAUUUUUUACUCCAUUCAGAUUUUAAAUGAUUAUAAUAGAUUUAAAAAUUUACGAACUUUGAUGAAGUUUAAUAAUUUUUAAAACUUUUAUGUAAAAUUUUAAGUGAAUUCCCUCAAAUUUUCAGGUAGCGAUUUGAGAAUGUUUAAAAUAUUAUGUGAAAUAUUUCUAAUUUUUUCGAGUUUCCCAGCUUUUUAAAAAUCUCUUUGAAUCAAUUUCUAAAUUAAUACAUUUGGAAUGUAUGAAUUUCUUAAAAAUCAUGAUCGAAUACCCCUUAAACUUUAAAGAAUCACUUAAAAUCCUAAUUAAAUGCCCUUAGAUUUUUAAGGAGAAUUAAAAUGUUUAUAAGCCCCAAUUGGAUGUACCGCUUAAUUUAACUAAUUGACACAACACAACAUAACCAGUUAAGAUUACAAAUUAACACAAAAGACGACUUGAUGCGAGGUCAUAUCUACAAAACUUGCCGCAAUAAGCCCCAAUUGGUGUGUUUAAACUUCUUUCAUUAAUUACUACAUAUUUUCUACACUCAUAAUGUUUGUCAGCUCGCUAUAUAAUCAACUUGAUAAUGUUAAAUCCAUCAUGCAAUGCAUUUCCUUCCAAUUUUUUGUGAUAAACUAAUAGAUAAUUGACUAAAUAAACAUCCUGCAAAGUUUCAAUAAAAAUUUUCAAGUUUUUUUUACAAUUUCCGUGAUUUUCAUGUAAUUUUUAUCGGUAUCGAUAUUAUGCCGAUAUUUUUAUCAAUAUUUCCGUGUUUUCGAGUACAUAUUUCCGAUAUUACCGAUUCAUCCGCGAUUUUCUCCCUUUUCGCCAGCCCCUCUUUUGCUCUCAAAUCCUUGCUCUUUCUUUUUCAAACUAGUCUCAGAAGAGAUCCUGGGUUUAUCUAAUCCUUUGUUGUUCGGCGUUUUGUUCUCAUCUUGCGAUCGUCGGGGCAGCAGCUUUAAGGUAAGUUUGUUUUUAAUGAUUUAUCCUCAAUUUACGAUGUCUGGGCUAACAAAUUUAAGAUCUUUAUUUUUCUUUUUGCUGUGGAUCUGCAGGUUUUGACAAGUUUUUUGUGAAAUUGGUGCUGUCAGUGGGUGUUAAUAUCAGGUACCCAUGUUCAGUUUUUCGUUUUGAUUUGAAGGAAUUUCUUGCGCAGAAGAGCUAGGUUUCUUGGUGAGUUCUUCGGGUUGUGCAUAUGGGUAAUUUUCUUUUAGGUAUAACCCUCUGCUUCUGCUGCUCUCUCUCUCUCUCAUCCCUGCCUGCUCCUCUCCAAUUGUUUGCUGUUCUUAAAUAUUGUGUUCAUUGCCUGAUACAAGGAGCUGCAGCAAUCUGUUUUAUCCUACACGGGACAACGAGGCAAUGGCGUGACAACAAGUGAGCUUGGAUAUCCAAAGAAAAAGAACAGUUGGUUCAUCUGCUGGAGUCUGAAGCUCAGAGAAGUGGAGGAAAAUUGCAGGUGUGCGAGAAAUUUUAUUUUGCUGAUAGGACUCCUUAUUUACCGAUGCAUUUUGAAUUAAUUGAAAAGUUGGAUUUGAGUUAACAGCUAUAAAAAUGUAGACAUGAUUGCUGAGAUUAUGCUAUGAAAGUGGAAUAAAAAAAUGGUAGUUUAUAAUAUUGCGUACCAAUUUUUUUCUCUCUUUUUUACCAAAUGAUAAGGGUGGUGGCUCAGGCCGCCCCCCUACGCGUCCCCACUCUUCGACAAGUUGAAAUCAUGGUGAUAGUUUAUGGGUUGCGGUCUUGGGAUUCUGCAAAUAGAAUAAAAAACAGACACUUAACUAUCUUGUUAUUAAGCAUUUCUGCAUCAUUCAGUUGCUCUUGAUUUUCGUCUUUUAAGCGCUCUUAUUUCUGCGAUCUGACUUGAGGAGGGGUUUUAGACCUAUGGUUGUGGGUGUUUUGUCUGACCCCAUUAAAUUGGUUUCCGAGAUUUGUAGACUUGCGAUCGGCGGUCAAACAUUUCGUGAUUCUUGCUUUUUUUCCGACUGGGAUUGACGAAUUUUGGCCGAAUCUGUUUCCUGUUUUCUUCUCUGUUUGAGCGGCCGCUGCCUUUCGGUCGUUGAGCGCCGGCAGUCUUUAGAUCUUUGGCAAAUCAAUUUAAUACAACCGAGGUAUGUUUUAUAACUGCUGUCUUUCAAUUUUUGUUCUGUAUUUUUGUUAAUUUGGAUGAAGCUCUAAUAAUUUUGUUUUGGAUCAGUUGUGGUCCUCUGUUAGGAUUUUCCUGGCUAAGAGGGUAUUUGCAUUUUUGUUGCUUGGUUGGUCGAUCCAGUGUAUUAAAAGCGUGAGGCGUGGGCGAGGCGUCCGAGGGAAGCUCGGCCUAGGCGUGAGGCGUGAGGCGAAGCCUCAUGGGACCUAAAUUUUUUAAUAUAUAUACAUUGAGCGUACACAUAUAUUAUAUUAAAAAUAAGAAGAUUAUUAAUCAAUAAUCACCUUGAGCACACACAUAUAUUAUAAAUAUAUACACACACACAUAUAUAUACAUAUAUUAUAUUAUAUAUGCAUAAAAUAGAGGAUGAAAAACACAAUGAGCACACAUAUAACAAUGCACGCAAACAACACACACAUCCAUUAUAUAAAAAUAAAAAUCAGAAAAAAGGCAUAGAGACAAAAGUGCAAGGAAGAUGUAUGAGACAGUUAAAAUCCUACCCAAAAUUUGGGUUUGGGAGUAAAGAAAAAAAAAAAAAAAAAAAAACUCACUGAGGCGCGCCUAGGCGGCUCCGGCGACGCCUAGGCGGCCUUUCGCCCACUCCAGCAAAACUGAGGCGUUAGCCAUGGAGCCAAGCCUCAAGGGCGCCCUAGGCGCGCCUCGAGGCGAGUUUUUUAAAACAUUGGGUCGAUCACAAAUUUACGAACAGCUGUGGUGGUCCUGUUAGAGCCAAGCCUCAAGGGCGCCCUAGGCGCGCCUCGAGGCGAGUUUUUUAAAACAUUGGGUCGAUCACAGAUUUACGAACAGCUGUGGUGGUCCUGUUAUUUUUUUGGUAUGUUUUUUCUCCUUUUUGGUUUUUUCCCGGUUUGAGCACCCAUUCAUGAAGAAUUAAAAUGUGUUUAUAGUUUUUCAGGAGAGAUUAGAAAAGUGAUUUCAAUUUGGGAAAAUUUAAUGUUGGUUAAAAUUUGUUUAUAAUUUUUGGGAAGGAAUGAGAGGACCCAUUGAAGUAUGUGUUGUGAUUAUUUUUUAUUCAUAUUUUUAACAAAUUGGGCAUGAAUUGGUAGGUUAACUGUGUGUGUUUAUUAUUUGAAUCGGCCAUGUUUGUCUUUCUAUGGUUCUAAAAAAUUUGUAAAGGCUGUUAACUUGGAAGAAAAUGGGAUCGAGGGUGAGGGGAAAACAGCAGAGAAAGCAUGGAAGAGAGAUUUGGGAUUAGGGGUAGGAAAACAGAUGAAAAGAAUAUGAUAGAGGAAUGGGUUCAGUUCAUUUUCACUAUUUUUUUUAACUGAUUUGGAUUUUGUUUGGGUUUGAGGCCAUCAUUGGCGUUAAGACGUUUAUUAUCAGAUCGUGUGUGUUUUUUGCUAACUUUUAUUGGUAAUUUUUAUGUUGUUCUUAUGAUUUUGUGUGGUAGGGUUUCUGAAUUUUAUCGUUGUUCAUUUGGUUUUUUCUGAAUUUUAUCUGAUUUUGUGUGGUGAGUUUACAAAAUAAUACUAAAUAAAUUUAUUUGUAAUUUCGGAUGAUUGUGAUUCAAUCCUACUACAAUUGAAAUUCACAGAAAGAAUGAAAAACCAGAACAAAACUGCAGCACCUAAAAAGUUGUCAUACAAAAAAACAUGGAAUGUAAAAAUAUGUUAAGAAAUCUAGUUCGUUAAUUUCCAGCUGGUAAGCGGCAUUAUGUAACUUUAGUAGUAUAACUAAUUAACUACUUAUCUAGUGGGUUGCACUUCUAUCCUUGAUCUCAGUUGUGGCUGCAAAGUGCAGGCCACCACCAAGUCUCAGUGUUUGUGUAUUAGCAAAACACUUAAAUAAAUUAAAUUCUGAAAUGUAAAUUAUAUUCCUAUAACUUUAAGAUGCACAUAUAGUAUUGUUGAAGUCGAACUGAAAGCACUGACAAUUCCAAGCAACAGAGCAGCAAUUAUUAAGAGCCAAAACUCAUUCCUAGUCUCCUCAUCCUGGUACUCUACUCCGUAAUCUUCGUUCAGCAUCAUUGACUGAAAUUAGGAGAGAAAAAGAAAAGGAAUUUCAGAAAUUGUCUAUGAAGCAAAGGAUACUGCAGUUACUUCAAGACAUGUAAAUUGCAUAUGUAUAAAGUAAUUUUCUACAUAAAGUAACGAGGCAUAACUCUCUCUCUCCUCUUCAAACCCUAAACAGAGCAAAGCCACAAACUUUACAGAGAUUAGAAUGAGAACUGGAAUUAAUAGAACAAUGACUGAAAAGUAACAUACUUGAGGAGUGAAUGAUUUAGUGUUUCCAUCAUCGGAAAGCCGGAGUAAGUCGCUAAGAGAGGUCGCAAACAGCCCAAAGGGACAAACCCAGACCCCCGGCCCCGAUCCAUACCCUUCCCCCUCAAAUCCCGACGGCCCCCAUACUUUUCUCUGACUGUACCCCCUCUCCCACUCAUGAAAUCGAGGAUCUGUAGCAAUGGUACUGAGAUCCCCACUCCUCCCCCUCCCUUUCUCUCUGUCACUCUGUCUCCCUCUCCCUCUGUCUGUCUAUCUUUAUCCCAGAGCGGCAUGGCCUCGCAUCCCUGAAACCCUCACCGAAAGGUGGCAAUUUUGUAAAUAACUUGAAAUCCACCAACAGCAGGGGCAGAGAAUUGAAACAGACAUUUAGGCUCGUUCGAUAACCAUUUAGGCCAAAACUGAGCACACCUAAACCAUUCCUACUCGUGCCAAAUGUUAGCGGGGAAGCAAGAUGAUGACUUUAUUGUUCAAAACCAAAAGAAAAAAAGAGAGAAAACAAAAUAACAAAUCUAAUGGUUGUAGUGUAAAAGCUGAGAACGUAAAUAAACAUGCAGGGAAAAAAAUUGAAGAUACAAAGUAGCUGCAUCAUGAAACACUUGCUCCAAUUAGACGCAAAAAGUGAUGGUGAUGAGAAGAGAGAGAAAAUGCAGUCGUUUUGAUUUUUCUGGCUUUUAAAGGGAGCAGCUUUCUUCGACCACCAAAAAAAGGAAGCUGCUUUUCGUGUGGUUGUGAUUUCCUGAGUGUAUGUGAGCGGGUCUAUGGCACUUGCACUUUUUGUGUCGGUUACGGUAACCGGGCGAGGUGGACACGGCGGCGUGGGACUGAAUUCGGAGAGGUGAGAAAAAUUAAAAACACAAAAAGAAGGUGUUCAUUUUGUCACAUUUUUAUUACUAAAAAUUCAAUAAAGUACAUUCAUUAGUAUGGUAACUUAACUAUUUAAUUCCAUCUCAUUAAACUAAAAAAAACAAUUACAUAAAAAUAAGGGAAACCUUGUCCAGAGAGACCUGAGAGAAAGUGACGACUUCUCCUCUCAUUCCACUCCAUACUUGAUCUCUAAAGUCCAUUUGGCAUGUAAUUGAUGUUCAAUUUCAAAUUUAGUGGUAGCAAUUAGCAAAGCUAAUGAAAGAAUAAAAUAAAAUGAAAGAAAAAGCAUCAUGAAAUAAAUCAAGAUGAAGAAUGAAAUUUUGGCAACUCGCCAUUCUCUUCUUUUAUACAAAAGAUACAUCCUAUUUGUAGUGAAAACAGGUCCCGACAAACCCAGUUAUCGUCAAGAAGUAUUUUGUAUGACUUUAAAAACAUAUUCCGAGAAAUUAUCUCUUGGCUGAGAACAACAACAAAUCUUCAUGCAUAGCUUGUAGAGAAAGACAUCAGGCAUACAAAAGAACACGCAAGCAUAAAAUAAACGACGCAGGGAAAACCAAAAAUACAAUUGGAUACGCUGUCAAAAGAACAUAAAUAAAUGAAAAUUACAAAACAAAGAAGUGAUGAGAAACCAAAGUACCCAUUUCAUAAUCUAAUUGCUUUUUAGUUUGCUUGCCAUUUUUAGUUCUUCAAUUUAGAGAGAAACCAUAAUUCAGCACAUGAAUAAAGUGAAAACAUAAAAGAUAUGUGGGAUAAGCUAACAGCCAUCCCUGAGUAAUGCAUUCACUUCUGAACCCCAAACACACCAAAACAAAAAUUCACACACAUGAACUACAGCUCUGCUAUGUAACAAGAAUUAAAAGCAUCUCAAAACAAAAUGGCAAACUAUAAGAGCAAUGUAAAAGUAAAAUUGCAAGAAAUCUAAUACUUGGAGGGCAAGUACUAAUCAGACGAAAAUGAAAGAUUGAACUACCUCGCGUGGAACUGUGCCUUGGUUUUUUCCCAUGCUUACAGGAAGCUUUGCACUGAGCUCUUAUAGCCCAAAUUUUCUCUGAAGGGAAAAAAACACAAUUUUGAAAUAAGAUUUUCAUAUUAUACCUUAAAGAGAAGAAUUAGACAACAAAAAAGAGAACAAUGAGUACUUUUCAUCAUAUAUUGUUAGAGUAUGUGGUCCUCUAGUCCAAUGGUCCUGCAGCCAUAUUUACUUUAUAACUCUUUCUUUAGUCUAAAAACAUCUUGGAUCUCAAAUUAAUAUGAAUACGGAUUCAUACGCAUGCAUUGCAUUACAAUCACAAUGCAACAUCUCAUUAGAAAUCCCCACACAAAAUUCUUUUAUUGCUACUUUGAUUUUAGUUUAUAUUUUUUCUGAAGCACGAGGGAGCUAAUUUUUUUUUAAAAAUUUUUUAUUCCAAUAAUGUUAUAGGGUUGAAAGGAUAUUAUCAAUUUAAUUGAUUGUAUUUGAUUGGUGGAACUUCUAUAUCUAUAUUUCAGGUUUUCAAAUUCAGCACUGGGAGAGUCAUUCAUAAAAUGUUUGACAGUGAGAUUACCUCCAUGGAUUAUGCUCACAAUGGACAGCUCAUUUUCCGCGGUGAUGGGACAAUAUAUUUCAGUCAUUCGCCAUUCAAUCAAUUCAAACCGAGGAACAAGCAACAUCAAGAAGAGGAUCUGCCAUGUCAGGAUCACUGUCGUCCAAUUAAUACAAAAAAUCUAGAUAAAAACGAUCAAUUUACAUAAAAGCCUUUCAUUUUCUCAGCAACCAAGCAAAAGAAAAUACCUAUCCGUUAAACACUCGAUUUGGGAGUAAACGUUGCUGAAACUGGACUUCAAUCCCCUCAACCGCAACAAUCGAAUCGAGGUGUGCAAGUCAUUGAAAAACUCACCCAAGAUUUCAAAAUCUGCAUAAAGAAAUAAAUAAGCACAUAAAUUAGCCAACCCUGUUAUGAUCCCACAUCGGGUACACAAGAAAUUGUGUAGUGGUACUUAAGUGCAAGGGGUCAUCCCACCUAUUGGACUAGUUUUUUGGAUUGGGCUCUUCCCUUGGGCUUGAGUACCUAACAUUGGUAUCAGAGCCUAGGUUCCCGACGCUGCGAGACUUGGCGAGUGGUGCCGCCUCAUGGUGCCGCCUUGGGAGUAUGGGCUCCCAAGGGUCUUGGAGACGGGCAAGGUAUGAAAUGUCGAUAUUAUCGCGAUAUUUCGCCGAUAAUAUCGGUUUUUUGAGUUACCGAUAUUUUAAUACUUAUCCACUGAGUUUUCGUCAAAAUAUCGCAAUAUUAUCGAUAAUAUCAACAAUAUCGCGAUAUUACCGAUAAUAUCGCGAUAUUUUGGAGAUGUGCGAAUCGGAGAAGAAGGCCGGAGCUUCUACAGCUCCUGCCGACUGUAAAAGAGCACCCUAGACUCCGAUCUAGGUAUCAAAAUGAAAUACAAGACGAGAGGAAUGUUUUUAUAACUUCCGUUUGCCGUGAAACGGUCGAAGGUGUUCGGAAAGUUCGUCGACACCCACGGCCUCGCCAGAGAUGGGUGUGCCUAUUCUCGAGCCGAUUUCGUCCCAAAAACCUUGCAAAAACACGAGAUAGAACUUAAAUUUCACAUCUAAGCUUCAAUCUAGAAUAGAAUGAGGUAAACCCGAAGCUUACCUAACCGGAGAAAUUCAAGAAACUCGCCAGAGGGUUCCUGCGUCGCCGAGUUGCAGAGACGAGAAAGAGAUGGAGAAAGACGAGGUUGCUGAUAACGAUGGGUGUCUUCCUCAAGCAGGUGCGAUGGUGUGCGUGUGUGUAUGUGGGUCUCGGUGCAGAGAGAAAGGAGAGAGAUGAGAGUUUCAAGAAAGAGACGGCGCCAACGAGAGCUAUUUGUUUUUUUUUAUCUUAAAAAGAGAGAGGUCUAAGAGAAAUGGGAAGAGAGGGCCGAGUGAAAUGAAAGGAGGUCCUUGAAUUAUUGAGAGAUAUCUCUGAGAGAGGCCUAGGAUUUCUAAAAGGUAAUUAGAAAUGGGAAAAAUGGGGCACAUCUUAGCCUUUAUUUUGGAAUCCUAAGAAGUUCACCACAUGGAUGCAUGACAUGUGUGCAUGCCAUGUCUGUUGAAUGGGAAAAGUCUGACAUGGAAAGACAAAGAGUCGUUUGGUCCUCUGGGCUCGAGGCAAGAUAGAAAGUGCUAGGGUUUUUUUUUCUGAAAUGAACAUAAGCUGCUAAAUUCGCAUAUAUUAUAGUUGUUGCUAAAGAUUGACACUAGUGCGGACUUGGACGUGUUGGUCAACAUGUCCUCACAAUCCCCAAGUUCUCCGGUUCGAACCCUUACGCCCAUCAAAUUUUUCUUUCUUUUCGAUGCGCUUUUUCCAUGGCUCUAGGUCUUGAUUUCGAAUCCAGGUGAGCCCUUUCCUUUUUCUUUUUUUUUUCUUUUUGUUUUAUUAUUUGUUUAUUUUAAUUUAUUUGUUUCUUUUAUGUUUUUCCUUUCUUUUAGUUUCUUUGUCUUAGGCGUUCGUGUUUAUUAAAGUAGGAUGUAAAAUCAAUUAUCUUAAAAUUAUGUGUUUUUAAAUUUUGGACUUGUUUGUUGGAUACUUUUUUUGCAUUUUAUCAUUAUUUUAUUAUGAAAAUAUGCUAAAAUAUGCUAAAAUAUCACUUAUGUUUUUGUGAAAAUAUGCUAAAAUAUUUAUAUAUAUGGUUUUGUUUUGAAUUCUUUUUGUACUAAUUCAUUAUAUAUAAAUGAUUAUGGUGUGUUUAAACUUCUUUAAUUAAUUACUACAUAUUUUCUAUACUCACAAUGUUUGCUAGCUCGCUAUAUAAUCAACUUAAAUCAGUAAAAUCCAUCAUGCAAUGCAUUUGCUUCCAAUUUUUUGUGAUAAACUAAUAGAUAAUUGAUUAAAUAAACAUCCUGCAAAGUUUCAAUAAAAAUUUCCAAGUUUUUCUUACAAUUUCUGUGGUUUCCAUAUUAUUUUUAUCAAUAUCGAUAAUAUCCCGAUAUUUCCAUCGAUAUUUCCGUGUUUUUGGACUACCGAUAUUUCCGAUAUCAUCGAUAUUUAUACCUUGGCGACGGGGGACUUGCCGACUGGUGCCGCCAUGGACGUUGGGUCUUUCGAAAGGUGGUGUAAUGUUAUGAUCCCACAUCGGCUACACAAGAAAUUGUGUAGUGGUACUUAAGUGCGAGGGGUCCUCCCACCUAUUGGACUAGUCUUUUGAGUUGGGCUCUUCCCUUAGGCUUGAGUACCUAACAAACCCAUAAAUCAAAGAAAUCAAAAUCCACCCAGAAUCAAAGAAAUCAAAAUCCAUCCAAAACCAAAGAAAUCAAAAUCACACACAGAUAUACAAGGUGUACAGUAUUGACAUGCCUUAAAUGAUAUUAUUCACAAGAUUUAUAAAGCUCAUGUUGUAAUACUUGUGCAGAAUCUAUCAUUCACGGCGUCACUUUUGUGCAAGUCGUAAAUAAAAUUAUUCACGAUUUAAACAUUGUGUGUCGUAUUUGACAAUUUAUACUACGCACUUUCUUUUUCUUUUAAAGCUUUGCGUUAUGUCGUAAAGUUGACUUUCUAUAUAUUUGGGUUGUACCUUUUAUGGCGCAAAUAACACGUCGUAAAUAAUGGCUUUUAGCACAGAAGUUUUGUGGUAAAGAAGCCCGCGCACUAAUUCAUUCUCGCGCCUUCUCUUUUUUAUUUAGCCGCUUCUUUUUUUGGUUUUUUUUUUUUUUAAAAUUCCCCUCAAAUCUUAAAAGGGUUUGUAUUUUCUUUGGUAAACUUGAAAGAGAAACAUUGCAAUUGCAUUUUCAUUUACCCAAUAUUAAUUGUCGAGAGCCCACCCCCUUCCCUUCUCUCUGACAUCGUAACUCUCUCCUCUCCAUCGAUCUCGCUCCAUCUGCUCGCCGUCGCUCUAUAUGCUCGUCAUCGCCGUCGAUUCGUCUGCUCGUCGUCACCGUCGCCCAUCUGCUUUCCGUCACCGUCGAAGUGCCCCGCCAUUCAAAAUCUGAAAUCCCCAAUACAGGGUGCUUUGCGGCAUUUCGUUCUCCAAAACUUUAGGUAUGCUCUCAAUCUGUAUCAACCCUAUCCUGUCACCUCUACUUCAAGGUGAACAAUUUAUAGUUUAUAAAUUUUACUUGUGUUAAUAUAUAUUUUUUGGUAAAUGUUAUGGAUAUUUUAUCAAAUCAGAGAGUAAAUUCGUAUUAAGUGAAGAUUGGCAAAGAACAUAUUGUUUUGAAAGGUUGAAUAAUGUUUGCAGAUCACAUAAAUCAGUAGUUGUCAAGUCCAUAAGAGAAGCAAGAAAUCGGAAAGCAAGGCUUCGACUAAAACCAAAUAAUGUCAAAUUAAUUCAAGAUUGGAAGACUUUCCUUGCAAAGUGUAAGCUCAUUUUCAUUUUCUUUCAUUUCUAAGAUUAGUUAUCUUCUUUUGAGUUCAAAAUUGGGUCAGAGAAAUCAAACUGAUAGUAGUUAAAAGUCUAUUUCAACACCAAGCCUUGUCUACACAAGAAUUUGGUGUUAGUUAAACAUGUGUAUGAUUCUAUCUUGAUUGCAUGUUAAUUUAGUUUGAAGAUAGAUUUGGUACAUGCUAGCUAAUUGAUACGUGAUAUGAAUCUUUGGUUUCCUUUUGAUAGGACAAAAGUGAAACAUUCAGAGAGAUGAAGUCUAAGCAACUCCGCACACAUGUAGUCGCAAGGGAUAUGGUAGGUUGGCCGAGGAUUUGGUAAUUACAUUUCAUUCUAGUGCCUUCUUUUCUACAGGACAAGAACAAUUUACUAAUUUUAUUCUGUGUUCUACUGUGUGUUUACUACAUAUAUGUUUCUAUUUUGUAGAAAAGAAAAAGUGUAGACCCUUCUCUAGUUUCUAGAGGUGAUGUUUGGAUUGCAGCACAUACUAAAAAGGGUGGUGGACCAUCCAAUUUGCUUGCUGCAGAGACUAUUGUAAGUAAUUUUUAACCAUUUAUUUCUUCUUGUUUGUUGAUAUGCAAUGACGGAUGAGGUCUUAACUUUGAUGUGCAACGUUAGGAAAAAAAUUAAGCAAUAUGGAAAUGGAUCAUCAUCUGGUUUUCGAGGUGACGUUCUUUCCAAAGUUUUUGGUGCUGAGCGACAUGGUCGUGCAAGAGGAGUUGGAGGUGGUGUUCCUCCUACAAAGCUUGGAAUAUUUUCACAACAAAAAUUGCGUAAUCACCAAAUGGAUGAAAAGGUGCACAAUUUAACUAAUCAGGUCAGAGCACUGACAGAAUUGGUGCAUCUUUUUAUGAAAAAUCAGGUUAGUGAUUUAAUAACAUUGGUAUCAUAUUGAAUAUUUGUGAAAUCAGUUGUAGUGACACAUCAAAUCACAGGGUAAUGAUCUACCAAGUGAGGCAUCUCCUGACACACAGGUUGCAGCUCCUGAGGCACAUGUUGAUACUGUCGCAAGAACUGAAACUCGUCUUUCCCAAUGCGCAACAAAUGAAUCGUGGUGGCGAGGUUGAUACACUUUUUCAAUGAGCCUUCUAACUAUUAAUGCUCAUUGACUCUGUUAAAAGCUCUGCCAUUUUCAAUCUAACUAGACACUAGAAAUGAUCAUUGACUCAGUUAAAAGUUUUGAUGCUUUGGUCCUUUUGCAUAGUUGCGCAUCUACUGAUUUCUAUUUUUUUUCAAAUCCUGCAGGUUAUUUCUGAAAACAUUGAAACAUCGUGGUGUGCCAGAUGGUUUGAUUAUAAGACACCUUCCUUUUGGUCCACCAACUUAUUUAUAACUGCUAAAUGGUACGUAGUGUGAUAAUUUUCAAAUAUUUUGAUAUUAAGACAGGUGUAGGACAACAUAGAAAUUCUUAGGGCCUUCAGCAACAAAAUUAUGAAAAAGUGAGUGAGAUACAAUUAAAAAAAUGAAAGAGAAGGAUCAUGAUUCAUGAUCUAAAGGUUUGAAUAGGGUAGAAAGGAUUUAGUUUCGUUGUUAAAAUCGAUUUGUGAGUCUAUUGUUAUUGUAUUGUCAAUUUGUUUAUUUACUUGAACUUCCUAGUAUCAAUUUGGUUCGAUAUAUCUAGCACCACCAUAGAUAUAUCUAGUAUCAAUUUGGUUAGAUAUUGUCAAUUUGUUAUUUUAUUGUCAACUAUAGAAUGUGCAUCAGUUGUAAAAGGAACAAAACAAUUCAGAUUUUUUGUUUAUGUCCAAACUUAGAAUUGUAUUGUAAUUGACAAUUUCUACUAAUUAAUCCAAGUAUUUGGAGUUUAAUAUGUUUAUGAUCAAUAUUGUUAUCCUUGUAUUGUAUCAGUUUAGAUGUUAUGAAGUGAGGUCUGUCUAAAAAUGAUAUGCUAAAUAUAGAUGUAAAUUACGGCAUCUAAAAUCAGCAAUAAUUGUUGAUGGUAGUCUUUUUUUUACGAUGUAUGCCGUAAUCACCUUCACAAUAUUACGACACUCAACAAAUGCUGUAUCAAAUAUAAAUUACUGCACACUAGUAUGUCGUAAUUGUUUUUCAGUAUUACGACACCCUAUUAACGCUGUAACUAAUACCAAUUAAGGCACGUAGGACAUGCCUUAAGAACAUUUAUGGCGUGUUUUACUUAAAUUAUUCACGACUAUUAGAGUACGUUGUAUUUGUCAAAACAUCUUUUACAACAGGGGCUUUUACUGCUUGGAGGCUCAAGCCGUGAAUUUCCAUUUAUGGCACCCUUUGUGCGCCGUAAAAGGCCAAUUCUAUUGUAGUGAUCCAUGGGUACAUUUUUAAUCUACAUGUUUCGUUUUAAUAUAUCUAUUGCUAUAAUAUGUUUUGGUUGGUUCAAAUUCGUUUUACAUAAAUAUAUGGGUACAAAGUUUUUGGAGAAUAUUAUGUAAAAUGGUUUUUAAGGUUGUUGCAUUUUAUGUACCCACAUAUGCAUGUCUAUAAAACAAUGUGGUAUGAUGUACAUUCUUUUCCUUGAGUUUUUAAAUGUACCCAUGAGUUUUCUUGUAAAUUCGGUAUGUAUCCAUAUGCUAUUUAUGUUAUGGGUACAUACAUUAUUUUUGGUCUAAGUUGGUGGGUACAUUGCUUUUGUAUGUAUGAAUUCAUUGGGUACAUUAUUUCCCUUAAUACUACUCAAUAAAAUUCACAAAAAUGUGCAGUGUGCAUGAAUUUUUAUUGUAGAAAUUGUUUUUUUUUAUUUUUAAUUUUUAAGUCUCAUAAUUCGUGAAUUUUGUACAUAUUGAUCCCAUAAAUUUUUGAAUUUUAUUAAAUUUUUUUUAGACUUGAUCGAUUGAUUGAAUCUCAUAAUAAUCCCUUAAAUGUUCCAAUCAAUAUUUUAAAAUACAGCUUUUUAUUUAAGAUUUCAAAAAGAUGACAUGAAAACAUAGUAAUACUAAAAUUUUGUUUUAAAUUACAUUUGUGUAACAAUCAAUGGUAUGUUAAAACUGGGCAAAAAAAAAAAUGGUAUAUUAAAAAAUUAUAAUUUAUUCUUUUUUUCAUAACUGUCUUCUGCUUAGAUUAAUUUUUUCCAACGUUUCUCUUCGGGAGAAUUAGUUCUUACCAAUAUAUAUGCACAUUAUCUGCUUUUUACCUGGUCUUAACACAUGAUUAAUUACUUUCCUACCUGCUAACGCGUUGACUUGCGCAUCCAAAGUAUUAUCAAAGUCACUGCCACCAAAAAGGUGCCCACUCCACAACCUUUGGUUGAACCAAAGAACAUCACAACAAUAAGGAAAUCGUUAAAUCUAUCUCCGCAACAUUUUUAUUAAUCAUUAGAUAGAUUAAACGAUCCCCCUAUUCAUAUUGUGUUCUUUUGUUGAACCAAACCAUGUCAACAAAAUAUAUCUAUGGUUAAAGCAUCUAGAUUCAAGCUUUUGGAUGUGCAACUUAAACCCCUCAAUGAAUAGCCAAGCAAUUUAUCAUGUGUUUACAGUAGGUCAAAAGAAGAAAGUGUUUGUCUAUAUAUUAAUAGGAACUAAUUCCUCUGAAGAGGAGAGAUGGAAGUGAUGAUAAUAAAAAAAAAAAAAGUCGUAUUCAGUGCACAAGGCUCCCGCUUUACGCAGGGUCUGAGAGAGGUGAAUGUCGGCUAGCCUUACCCCCAUUUUAUGGAGAGGCUGCUCCCAAGUCUCGAACCCGAGACCUACCGCUCAUGGGCGAAGACACUUGCCAUCGCACCAAGUGCGACCUCUAAGGGAUAAGAGAGUAAUCAUGAAAAUUUUGAAAGUGAAAGCAUUGCCUUGGAAUAUAUAUUCUCUUUAGGAAUUCUGUGCCCAACUAAAUUCUAGAUUCUCAAAAUAUGAAAUUAGCAACUUCACCAAACACUUGGACAUGUAACAGGUCACACGUAUGGUACCAACCUUACCAACCUUACCAACCAUCUAUAUACCUAUGUUUUCGAACAUCGUUAGAUAAUUAAAGUACAGUUCACACAGCAUUUCACAUAAAAAUGGCAUCAUACAACACAUGAGAAGUACUUCUUACAGUAGCAGUCUCGUAACAUGACUAUAGUUUUUGUUACUUCUUAAGAAAAAAGAGUUUAAAAUCCUAUUGAAAGAUAAUUGUAGAGACAGAAACCCAAACUAGUUAAUUAGGUUUCUUUACAUCUCAAUAAAAUUGAAGGGAAUGUAUCUAAUAUUAUCUACUAGAGCCUCUACAAUCAUCAUAGAAUCCACAACCCACAUUUUAAUUAAUCGAAAUUCCAUGAACACAAAUAAGCAAAAGUUGAGUGAAGCCUAAGCAAUAUGUGAUCAUUUAGAGAGUCAAACUCCAUCUUUUUAGAAUUAGGGACUUUUCAAUAUGAAAAGGUAACCUCCACAAUCCAAUAUCAUAUGAAAAGGAAAACCCAAGAAAAAUACAGUAUAAUUGUGUGCAAGAGCAACACAAAAAAAGUUGAAGAAUUAGAAAUCAUAAAGAGACUUGAGACGAUUGUUGCUCACUUAGCUAAAGAGCAUUUGCACUUGAGGUCUCGAGUUCGAUUGCCCCCUUUCUUUAGAUCGCUUGAGAGGAAAAACCUACCAUUCUCUAGUCUAAAGAUAUAUGCAUCUUUGACAUGAAUGACUAGAGGGGAAGAAAGUGCAGACAAAUCACACAUACCUUCAAAAAAUUUUAUGGGGUUGGUGAAUGGUGAUUAGGGAUACUGACUUUUAAUAGCCGUUGAUCAGUGUAUAUUGCACACGCCUUCAUCAAUGGCUAGCGUCGGUACAACUGUGAUUGGGAGGGCCUUUUUACGAUAAUAGAUGGGUAAAGGUUUCAUUAGAAGGGGAAUUUUGUUCUGGUUUGCCAUAAUAACUUGAAAUUAAUGGUUUUUUGUAAUCCUUAAGUUAUUGUCAUUUUAGGUUAACUUUGUACCUGGACUCUUUACUGGAGCUAUCAAUUGAAACCCCCAUUUUCUUACCAAAAUAUGAAAAACAAAGAGUCCCAUUUUUACAGCACAGUCCUACUCUAGUUGAAAUCCGAUCGACGGUCAAGAUUUUCUAGUCAUGUGAAAGUAUCACAUAUAUAAAAUUGACUGGAGAAGGCAUGCCACAUUGCCAUGCCCUUGACAGCUUUACUUUGUUUACAAACUUUCUAAAAGAAAGAAAGAAAAAAAUCUAAAAUGGAAGGUGAUAGCGAUUUUACCACUUGUAAAACAAAGGGUUAAACCAUAGAAAAUUCUUGCAAGAGAACAAGUGUUUGUAGUAUAGAAUGGCUCAAGCAAGGUCGAUCUCCUCAGGGACUGAUAUAAACAAUUUACGAGUUUUUAUGUAUUUAACUUAUUUAACUCUAAGAAUUACACUAAUUUAACGAAACUAAAUAUUAUUGGAUGUGACUUAAACAAAUAUCUAAAAUGGGAAUUGGUUUUAGGGAAUAAUGAUUCAACUUAAACAAAACAAGUAAAUGAGGAAAUUCAAGAUAAAAUAAAUGAUUAAGAAAAAUAGAUUGACAAUAUGCUAGAGUUCAACAUUUACCAACAACACUCUUACGUAGCUAUUCCAAUUGCUUAAAUAAUUGAAAACACAUAUGCUUUGAAUGUUGGAUUUUCCUUGUGUAUGUUUUACUUGUGACAUUCAAGCUAAAACGCAUACCACUACAUGCAACUUAUCCAUGACAUUUGAAUUAAAUAUAAACAUGAGUGAUUCAUUAAUCUUGGUGAAAAUCCUUUUGUUAAACCAUAUAAUCCCUAAGAGCAUGAUAUUUACCUUAGGAGAUUACAAUUCUCAAUCACAAGAAGCACAACCAAUUUUAACGUGACAUUCGUUCAAAAUUGCAUCCGAUAACUUUUCUAAGCAUCCUAAUGGUGAUCAAGCAUCAAGGUACAUAGAUAGUUUAAUUCAGUGAUUGAAAAUAUCAAAACAAGCAUGUAACAACACUUAAGCAAUUGAAAAAUAAAACUACGUAUUCAUGUUGCGGCUCAUGGCCUCACUCUAGCAUAAUACUUUAAAUAAUUAAAGCCCAAACAAUUUACCAAAUUUCAUCUCUGUACUCCGCAGAGACGCUAAACGAGACAUAUUUGGUCCAUCUCUGAACAUCUUUUCUUACUGUUCUUACAAUAGAAAGGGCACAAAAUUGACUUACACAGUCUUGCACAAUACUCACUUUGCUUCAACCCAUAUUUCACUUUGUCAAAUCAUACACGUUCCUGCAACAGGUGAACUCAUAUUUAUCUACCACUUCUUGCUAAUUUUAAUUUUUCCAUUCCCAUUUUUACUACAAGUUUUCACAUAAUUUUUUUAUUGCAUUUGUCAAUUCUUUAUACUUUUUAAUUGUAUUUUUUUUUUUGUCUUUUAUGUGUUUUCUAUGUUGGCACAAGGUUACAACAGUAUUAAACAAUUACAGGUCCUCCAGAGGUUUGCUUAUUGCCCUAUUUCAUCAAGCUCGGUAUAAAUAGAUCUUAAUUUUUUACUACAGUUAAAUACAUGGACAUGCCUCCACAAAUACAAAUUAGUUCUUGCUUAAAUACUUUGUGUGUUUACAUAGAAAAUGUUCCCAUCGUCUACCAAAAUCCUCCACACAUGAAAACAAAAAUUCUUACUCAAAAUACUUAUUACAAUACCACCAUAUCUGUUGUUUUUUAUUAAAUUAACACACUGUUUUCAAUUUUAUCUUCAACACAAAAGAAAAUGCUCUUACACAAUGUGUUUGCUUACAUUUUAUAACUUAUCUACCACAUGUUAAUCGCAGUUAUAUAAAUAGGAAAAUACGUGUUCAAUAGAAGUGUGAUGCAUGUCACUUCGUUAACAAUAGUGGAAACUAAACAAUUAAAUAAUUUGUUUCAAUUAGUUAGUACAUUUUAUAAAUUUCUCAAUUAGAACUGUUUCAGUAUAUUUAAUACAUUUUUAAACAACUUUCCAGUUAGUUGCCCAAACUAAUUAUUCCAGCUUAUUCACAGUAUAAUACCAACAAUUUAACAACCAAUGAUACUUCGUUUAACAUAAACUUCAUUUGGAAAAAACAAAAAAAAUCUUUUUCUCUGCUGAAAAAAUCAACAGAUUUAAUGAUGUAGAUCAGUUAUACCAACAAAUUACCAUAGUUUACCCAAUGCUAUACAGGUUUGACUUUUGUUUAUAUUCUUGGAUCUGUUGCUUGGUUGUAUAAUUUGGCUGUGUGUUUUGUUUCAGGACAAUUUGUUCUUCGUUUCUUGAGGCUUCUAUGUGUAGAUUUGAACCGUUUAGCUUUCAAACCGUUUAUACUCAAGGUAAAUAAUUUCGUUUGUUUCUUUUUAACCUUUUUUGUAAGAAUUUUUUAUUUAAUGUUGUGAGAGUUGUGUUUUCUAUAGUAUGGAAAUUGAAUCUUUGUGAUCUUAUAUCGUUAGAUACGUUGCUUGGUUAAUGUGAACACGGAAAAUUCCCGAAACGAAAAAGACAAGAACAACGUGCACAAACAAAUAUUUUGUAUUUGAUGAUUAUUUUGGGUUACAAUCUCUCUCUAAUUUGAUCCUCUGAUUCGAUCUCCGUAAGAUAUUGGUUUGUGGAUGUGCGAUUGAUCCAAGGGCCGUCGAGGCUUGAUCUUGGAUGAACGGUGAUGAACGGAUCUUCAAGGGCUUUUGGGCUUGAUCUUGAAGAAUAGUGAUGAACGGGUCUUCAAGGGCUUUUGGGCUUGAUCUUGAAGGAUGGUUGGAUGUGUGGAUUUGUCGACGUUGUUAAUCCAAAGGGCUGUUGGGGCUUGAUCUUAGGAUGAACGGAUGAUGAACGAAUAACACUUUCUUCAAGGGCCGUCGGGGCUUGAUUUUGAAUUGGUGAAAGUUCUUCAAGGGCCGUCGGGGCUUGAUCUUGAAGGUAGAUGAUUGUUGAUCCAAGGGCUGUCGGGGCUUGAUCUUGGAAGAACGAUGAACGAAGAACGAAGAAGGCUUUCUUGAUUCUUCGGGAACCUGGAUGCUUGAGAGCUUCGGAGUUUCAGAGCUUCAGAGCUUCAAGGUGUAAUAUGAAUUUGGUUCCCUUAAAUGAAUGAAAUUGGCUUCUAUUUAUAGAAUUUUCCAAGGCCUAAUUUUGAAUAUAAUAUUCCAGAUGAAAUAAGUCGUUUCUGCCAAGUGUUGACACGUGUCCUAUUUGAUGACUUUUCCGACUCAUUUCAAUUUUUCGUCGAGUCACACACUACGUGUAAAAUUUAUGUAAUACAUGAGCGUUGAAACUUUGAUUUAUCAGUCAACAUUUAUUUACCAAAAUUUCGAUGUCUACAAAUGCCCCCACUUCAAGGCGCGUCGUAUACAUGUGCUUGUCACGUGUAGGAGAUGCGUUUUGAAGUCCCCUUACUGUAGAUGUCGAUCCAAGGGCCGUCGAGGCUUGAUCUUGAACCGGGCUGGAGAUUUCUUCAAGGGCCGUUGAGGCUUGUUCUCGAACUUUGUUCGAAAUUUCUUCAAGGGCCGUUGAGGCUUGAUUUUGAAUUGGGCUGAAAGUUUCUUCAAGGGCCGUUGAGGCUUGAUCUUGAAUUGGGUUGAAAGUUUCUUCAAAGGCCGUUGAGGCUUGUUCUUGAACCUUGUUUGAAAUUUCUUCAAGGGCCGUCGAGGCUUGAUCUUGAAUUGGGCUGGAAGUUUCUUCAAGGGCCGUCGGGGCUUGAUUCUUGAAGGUGGAUGAUUGUUUAUUCAAGGGCCGUUGAGGCUUGUUCUUGAACCUUGUUUGAAAUUUCUUCAAGGGCCGUCGAGGCUUGAUCUUGAAUUGGGCUGGAAGUUUCUUUAAGGGCCGUCGGGGCUUGAUUCUUGAAGGUGGAUGAUUUUUUCUUCAAGGGCCGUUGAGGCUUGUUCUUGAACCUUGUUUGAAAUUUCUUCAAGGGUCGUCGAGGCUUGAUCUUGAAUUGGGCUGGAAGUUUCUUCAAGGGCCGUCGGGGCUUGAUUCUUGAAGGUGGACUCGAACACAUGGCAAGCAGGCACGAGGUGAAGGUGACGGUCUGUUUCUUUGCUCAAUCUUUCCAAGUGCCGACCGAUUGCUUUUCUUUCUCCUUGUCCCGCAGGCAAGAGCAAGGGUAAAAGAAAAGCAUGCCAUGAGAUAUCUUUGUUUUUGACUCUGAUGAUAUGAGGUACUUCUGCUUUUGAAGAAGUUGCGGAUGAAUCGACACGUGCUUUGUUGUGCUUGUCUCCACAUGCUCAGACUCUUGGCAGAAUGUGAAAGGUGGCAUUUUCUCGAGUUACUCAACUCAGACUCAUUCUGCUGAGUUGACUGUGCGGGCCGCAUUCUUCUCUGCUUGUUUCUUCUGGCAGCCUUGCUCUCGAGUACUCAUCUUUAACAUCUUAUGUUUCUUCUUUGUCUACCACACUGUGGAAGACGAGUACUCGAGAGUAAUACCAUGUAAGCAAUCAGAAAAGGGUUCCAAGCAGUCGGUUCCAGAUCGGAAGAUUGAUACCAAGUGUUGGCUGAUUGCUUUCCUUCUCAUUGUCCUACAGGUUAGAACAAAGACAAGGAAAAGGACACGGAGAAUGCAUGAUAUGAGAUACUCUUGCUUUCUCCCUUCAUGAUAUGAAAUACUUUUGCUUUUCAAGAUUUGUUUGCAGAGGUAUCCUAUGGGAUGAAGAACACUGAGUGAGUUGAGAGGGUUUGUUGGAAAGCCAUUUGUCGGAGAUGACGGAAUGUUAUGUAUGUCUGCCUUGCCAUGGAGCGUGAAGGUCGACAUUUGUAGGAAAUAAUAACUGGUACUGUUCUUUCACUCCUGUCGGCAACCGUUGGAUGAUUGAACAGUAAACUUCACGUGAUUUCCUCAAAGCUUUUUCUGCAUGCGACAAGUGCUGACGAGGCUGAGAGAGACAUGCGAUUGGAAUCGGCGCUUCGACAAACUUUUCCAUGAUUUUCGCAAAGCUGACGAGGCUGAGAAAGACAGAUGGUUUGGAAUCGGCGUUUCGAUAAACUGCCCGUGAUUUCCGCAACGCUGACGAGGCUGAGAAGGACAGAUGGUUUGGAAUCGGCGUUUCGACAAAUUGCCCGUGAUUUCUGCAACGCUGAGUUUGCGUGUGACAGGUGCUGACGAGGCUGAGAAAGCUGACACUUCUUCGAUUUUUGAGAUCAGUCCGUGAUCCUUGAGUAGGCCUAGCUUUGGAGAAAGCAGGCGCUUCAUCGAUCUCUGAACUCGCCUCUUCGAUCUCUGAAAGCCCAUCGCAUGCUGUUUUUUUAUAGAGGUACGCAAGACAUUCAAAGCACACUUGAAUUUCUACCUGUGAAAAAAAACUCCCCUUUUGCAUAUCUGAGAUCUUUAAUUUGCCCGACCUCUUCAUUUUGUUGAACACCUUCGGAAAUGUCUUUCCCAUCUGACCGUCGUCUUGACUUGAAUAUCGAAGAAGAUAUUGACAUGUCUUCUCCAGGCAACAUUUGGCAGCUGUCCUUCGUAUCCUCCAACGAACCUCUUACGGUUGGGGACACUGUGAUGAGGAAUGACGCAACGGCUGCAGUGGUUGCUAGAAAUCUUCUCACUCCUAGGGAUAGUAAGAUGCUUUCCAAGCGGUCCGACGAGAUGGCUGUUCAAGACUCUCUGGCCUUCAGCGUCCAAUGUGCGGGCUCAGUAUCAAACAUGGGCCAACGCCUUCUUGCUCGAUCUCGUCAGGUUGAGUCUUUGAUGGCCGAGGUGGCUAGUCUUCGGCAGGAGAUCAGAGGGCUUAGGCACGAGAAUAAAGAGUUGCAUAUGCUAGCAACUAGUUACUCAACGAGCAUGAAGAAGAAGCUAGACCAACUGCAGGAGUGUGAAGUUCGGGCUCGAAAUGAUCAUCAAAGGUUUAUGGCGUUACUCCCGAGGCAUCUUCUGCCUUCGUCAUCUGGCGCUUCACCAAAUGUUGAGGCUCCGGAAAAUCAAACUCUGGCGCUUCGUCUUUCUGGAGCUUUACCAAGUGUGGAGGCUUCAGUUGAUCCACCUCCGGUGCUUCGUCUUUCUGGAGCUCCGUCGAGUACUGAGGCACCACAUGAUCAUCCUUGAAGAUCCUUUCCUGUAAAUUUGAUUUGACUUUUUUUUUAAGGUAUGUAUAAUGUAAAAUUUCUAGAAAAAUAAAAUGGACUUUAUUUCUCUGAACAUGUUUUUUUUGUUUUUUUUUUUGGCUGUAUAUUUUCUCUUUAAUCAUGGUGCACCCAUUUUCCACAUGGUGCCAGACGGACCAAAGAUCAAACAUUUCCUUUUUUUAUUUUUUUAUUUUUUCUUUAAUCAUGGUGGCAGACGCAUAAACAAUUUCAUUUAUAUUUUUUUUUCUUUUUGCUGGCACAUGGUGCCAGAUGCACCAUUCAUUUAUAUAUAUUAUUAUAUAUGUUUUUUUUAUUUUUUUUUAUUUGCACAUGGUGCCUGAUGCACCACCUCUUUUUUUUUCACGUGGUGCCAGCAUCACUUUGCUCCACCAUCCAUUUUUUUUAUUUUUAUUUUCUGUAUAAAUUUGGGUGAUGGGUAGAGGAUUUUGCAGGCAGGGAGCAAGGAGGCCGAGAAGAUGGUGCUUCGAACUUCAUGACCGGCUAGUCGUUUGACGGCGGUCGUUGAAGUCGUUGGCAGUUGCGAGGCAAAAGACGGAGGAGAAGGUGGAGUAGGUGACCUUGAUGUCGGAUCCAGCUAGAACCCAGAGCACAGCGACUGAGCCCAAUCACCGAGCACAACCGCUGCACACCCGUUGUACUGCCACCGAGCACUGCCACUGCGCAUCUGUUGCACUGCCAAUUGCUGCAAAGGAUUAUGUUUAACGGCGGAGACGCUGCCCUAUUUGCCAUGCUAUGCCGACGUGCUUCACAUAAUUAACCAUCCAGAAUUGUUAAACAUUCCAUCUGGGUUUAUCGCAAAAACAGAAGAAGAAAAAAACCAAGAUCCAUCCAUGCCAAACACCAAUCUGCCAUCUUUUUGGGAUUUGUACGACAUCAUCAGCCAAAACCUGCUUGGUCCGCUCGCAAAUUGUGGGAGAGGAAGAGUUGGCGGAGCAGCUGUAACACUGGAAAAUGGAGGACGUUGACGAGUCCUCCAAGUUGUUCUUGACGUUGGUGCUGGAGAAACCUGCCUCUCUCAUGACUCUGCUGACACUUGGGUCGUCAAGGAUGGGGAUGAUGAGCUGCUCGAGCUCGACUUUGAUGGUUAAGAGCGGCUGCUGCUGCUGCUCGAUGCAGUCUCUUCUCUGAUGGGCUUGGGCUCUCUUGAGGGCGUUGGAGAGAGAGGGCUGCCCGUGGAGGAGAGGGCAUGGAGUUGUUGGGAGAAAUCAGGGCCGGAAUGGAAAAUAUUCCCGAGCUGCAUCAACGAGGAGAUAACACCGCUAAGUUAUUCAUCUGGUUUGCUUUAGUCAAAUGGAUCAAUCCGCGGGUCAUGCUCGCUUGCCAUCAUCAUCCCAGUGCACAGGCAUGUCGGGCACAUGACCUUUCCAGCACCAGAGCAAUUUGGGCACCUCUCAGUUGUGGGCACUCGCAAAGGUUGGUCUGAUGCACUAGAUGCUGAUAUAGGAUUGAUGUUCAAGCACACUCCACUUGCAGAACAUCUAGCACAGGCCAAGUACCCAGUUCCAUGGCAAUAUUUGCACCUUUUCUUCUCUUGCUGCUCAACAUUAUUAGCUUCAAUCAACAUCAAUGCUGAAAUGACACCCACUGCCCCACCGGAGAAGGAUGCCACAAUAGGAUCAACCUGACUUAAUUGUAAAGGCAGAUGCAUGCUACGAAUGAAAUCUUCAUACGAGGUACCUCCUAUACCUAAUUUUAGUUCCAACGAUGGCGCAAUGAGACCCCCAAAUACAAUUACACUAGAUAUCAUAGAUAAGCUUGUGAGGUAGAGCUGCUUCAACGUCUUUGGUGUCAUAUGAGGGAGAAAAGGGAUAGUGGAUGGAAUGUCAGGCAUCUCAUUUGACUCUUCCUCACAAGCCUCAUCCAUAUCUCUCGCCAUCUUUAUCCGUUGCUGCACCCGCAAUCUCCUUAGCUCUUCCAUGAGAAGAAAAAUCUUGUUGUGCCGGCUUCUUAUGUUGUCCUAAAUUUCCUGUAGUUGCAUCUGCACAAAGUCCUGCACCGUCUCCGGCUCUUCUAUGAUACAAAAAGUGCUUGGCGUGUUAUCGCCGGGGAAUGAUUCCUUGGAAGCAGAACAGGAAAUUUGGGGAUGCGGGGAGGUGAAUUUGGACAGAGAGAGACGUCUAGGGAUUCCAUGGGAGGGGGGUUGAGAGUGGUUUUUUGCCGGCGCCUCUAGGGUAGUCGUCGUUGGCUAUUGCUAUAGAGAGGUCAAUGACUUCACCGGAGAUGGCGUUGUUCUGGAGCCCGAGCGUGAGAAGCCGGGUGAGAUUGUCUGGAAAGGGUCCCCAGAGGUUGUUGUCGGCGAGGUCGAGAAGCUUGAGCUUGGUGCAAUUGACGAGAGGAGAAACGGUGUCGUUGAGGCGGUUGUUGUGGAGGUCGAAGAGUGAGCUGGGCGAGAUCAGAGAACCUUGACGAAUUCGGAGCGUUGAGGGUUAUCAACACGAUCCCAUCGACGAAGAAGAAGCAGAAUGGGCCUCUUGCGGGGCCUAUGGCAUCAACCGGUCUUUGGGCUUCUGGGCCAGUAAAUUGGAGAGAAGCCUGGGCUUUUGACUUGCAGAGAGAUUAGGCUCUGGGAGCCGCUUGUAGUAUUGUGGCUAAAGGGGUUGCUUCCUGUGGCCACUUAUAUAUAUAUAUUUUGUAAAUACAUAAAACAUUUAUCUCUUUUUUUUUCUUUUUUUUUUGUACAAAGAAAUUGUAAUAGCAUCAAAACUUUUAAUAAAAUCUUUAUUCCUUAUUUUGGUGUGACUGAACUCAAAUUUUGAAUAUUCGAGUUGCCUACGUACCUCUCCAAAGAAGAGAUCAAGUCGUAACGUAGUUCAAAUGAGUGAUGAAUUUAACAGUGAUUUUGAUGAUGAUUUUGUCGUACACAGUUUAUGCUCUUGCGGGCCAGGAGCUUUGGUUCGUGCAGUUUAGGCUCGUGCGAACAAGGAGUGUUGGUGUUGCCUUUUAUGCUCGUGCAGACCAGGAGCGUUGGUGUUGCCUUUUAUGCUCGUGUAGACCAGGAGCUUUGUGCCAUGCAGUUUAGACUCGUGCAGGCAAGGAGCGUUGGUGUUGCCUUUUAUGCUCGUGCAGACCAGGAGCGUUGGUGUUGCCUUUUAUGCUCGUGCAGACCAGGAGCUUUGUGCCAUGCAGUUUAGACUCGUGCAGGCAAGAAGUGUUGGUGUUGCCUUUUAUGCUCGUGCAGACUAGGAGCUUUGUUGUGCCAUGCAGUUUAGGCUCGUGCAGGCGAUGAGCUUUGGUUCAUGCAGUUUAGGCUCGUGCGAACAAUGAGCAUUGUGCCAUGCAGUUAGGCUCAUGCAGGCGAGGAGCGUUUAUUGGUUCGUCAAGCGAUCCAGGAGAGUCGUUCCUCGCAAUCUUCAUAGCAAGGAGCCUUGACUGAGUGAUUGAAGAAGUCUUUGGGGAAGAAAUCGCGCAUCGUGAUGGGGAUGGACGAUAUUUGUGUCGUCAUUUCAUCAUCUUCAACACUUUCACUUUUCUUUGAAGGUUGACAAGAGCUGCUUUGCCCCAUUUCCGAUUGGCGGACUUGUGGAUGAGACGUAUGCUUCUUCUGCAGUUUCUCUAGAGUGACAUGAGUCAUUCCUUCAACUUCGCUUGGCUCAACUGGCAUGGUUUUGGAGCAUGCCCCCAGCGAUUGAGGUGAAGAUUUUGAGUUGACAAAGCCGGAAGUGACGUCUUCUUCCAUGAUUUCAUCUUCUUUGUCUUCUUGGGCUUGUUGGCGUGAAGAUUGGCCGGCGUAGAUGAUGGUGCGCCUCUUUACCUUCAGUGGUCCUUUUGUGUCGACCUCCCAAGCUGUUUGGCGCUUUAUCCUUGAAUGAAUCAAGCUUCGAACGUCGUCUUUUCCUGCUAGACCGUCGAGCUUUUCUUCCUUUGGCGUUGUCUUCCUAUUUCUAGAAUGCUUCUUGGUUUCUUCAAGUUUUUCCAAAGCCGAUCGUUGGGGAGGAGAGCCAGCCUUGCUGCUUUGUUUCUUAGGUUUUGACAACCUUUCAAAAACAGAGCUUUGGGGUGUUGGCGUGUUAAGCCGUUUGAAGAUGGAAGUUCGGUCUUGCCCACCAAUGCGAUCAAGUGCCGACCUUCUGGGUUUUGAACGAUUCAGCCUAUCGAAGACUGACACUCGAAUAGGAGGUUGAGGCUCCUCUUGAUCUUGUUCAAUCCUCAAGCUGAUGUGUCGAGUGCUAGCAUUUUUUGCUUUACUUGAAAUCUUCACGGGUGCAUUUGGUGUGAAGCCAAGUCUAGCUCUGUUGUUGUCAACUCCGUAAUCAUGCUUUUCCAACUUCUUCUGAGUCUCGGUGAAGUCAUGAUCUUUGUCGUUGAUGGUGUUUGAAACCUUCUUCUCAAGAUUUGAAGAGGAAGCAAAGUCGUACCCAGCCUUUAACAUGAGUUCGUAGGCGUUUGGGUUGAGACCUUCUUCGGUCCUCUUAGUUGGAAUGAAGCUUGGGUUCGCUUUGACGCCAUGAUGCGCCUCCAGACGGUUGAUAAGUCCAACGGUUUGCAAGUUUUUCUCCUCCGCAGUCUUUAUCAGCCUUGCAAUUGUUUCCUUCAUCUGAACUAGUUGUUCUUCAAUAGAGGUAGCGCCGAUGGUCAUGACUUGUUCUUUGUUUGAAGCCAUGAAGUGUGCUUGAAUUUCUUGAACAGAGAAAGAGAUGAGAGGUAGAGAUUGUCCCACUGGGCGUGCCAAUUUGUGAACACGGAAAAUUCCCGAAACGAAAGAGACAAGAACAACGUGCACAAACAAAUAUUUUGUAUUUGAUGAUUAUUUUGGGUUACAAUCUCUCUCUAAUUUGAUCCUCUGAUUCGAUCUCCGUAAGGUAUUGGUUUGUGGAUGUGCGAUUGAUCCAAGGGCCGUCGAGGCUUGAUCUUGGAUGAACGGAUCUUCAAGGGCUUUUGGGCUUAAUCUUGAAGAAUAGUGAUGAACGGGUCUUCAAGGGCUUUUGGGCUUGAUCUUGAAGGAUGGUUGGAUGUGUGGAUUUGUCGACGUUGUUGAUCCAAAGGGCCGUUGGGGCUUGAUCUUAGGAUGAACGGAUGAUGAACGAAUAACACUUUCUUCAAGGGCCGUCGGGGCUUGAUCUUGAAUUGGUGAAAGUUCUUCAAGGGCCGUCGGGACUUGAUCUUGAAGGUAGAUGAUUGUUGAUCCAAGGGCCGUCGGGGCUUGAUCUUGGAAGAACGAUGAACGAAGAACGAAGAAGGCUUUCUUGGUUCUUCGGGAACCUGGAUGCUUGAGAGCUUCGGAGUUUCAGAGCUUCAGAGCUUCAAGGUGUAAUAUGAAUUUGGUUCCCCUAAAUGAAUGAAAUUGGCUUCUAUUUAUAGAAUUUUUCAAGGCCUAAUUUUGAAUAUAAUAUUCCAGAUGAAAUAAGUCGUUUCUGCCAAGUGUUGACACGUGUCUUAUUUGAUGACUUUUCCGACUCAUUUCAAUUUUUCGUCGAGUCACACACUACGUGUAAAAUUUAUGUAAUACAUGAGCGUUGAAACUUUGAUUUAUCAGUCAACAUUUAUUUACCAAAAUUUCGAUGUCUACAGUUAAAUGAUUUGGCUGUGUGCAUUGUUUCAGGACAAUUUGUUCUUCGUUUUUUGGGGCUUCUGUGCGUAGCUUUGAAGUCCUUUGUAGUCAACAUAAAUAAUUUUAUUUUUCUUUGUUUUUAGUCUUCUAUGUAAGAAUUUCUUAGUUAAUAUUCUGAGAAUUAUGUUUACUAUAGUAUGAAAAUUGAAUCUUUGUGAUCUUCGAAGUGUAACGUCAUUGCAACAUGGACGACUGCCAUUAUCGAACAUGAAAAACAUUUUGAUUUCUGUACUCCGUCUAGUAGAAAACUCUCGACUUCUUCAGAAACCACGAGAAACUUAAAACUGAGAAAGCUUCGCGGUCUCCCUUCCAUCUCUGCUACGCGGUCUCUGCUUUGCGAUCUCUGCUUCCUUCGUGAUUUCUUCCUUCCUGAACGACAUCUAUUCGAAUUGAAAACCUUCUGGAGCUCUCUUCCCCAAAUUUCAGCAGCAACUUUGCUCCAGAUCUUUCCAAUUGAAAUUCCUCUCCUUCACAUUUUGCAUAUUGAAUUUCGCAUCAUCAUCAUCUCCCUAGAACCUAGGAGUUCGGUUCGGUUUCGAGUUUUCCGACGGAAAUCCGGCGACAGCGGCCAUCGAGGUUGGUCUGAAACUAUUCCUCAUCACCACAGGUACUUUCUACACCUAUUACAUUUUAGAAAAAGUUUCAUGACUUUGUGGAAUCCAAUUUAACGAUUAGAAAAAUUUUCAUUAAUUUUCUGGGUUCGUGAGUUGGAGGGGGAUUAGAAAUUUUUUCAUUAUUUUUCUGGGUUUGUGGUUUUUUUUUUCCAAAACGUUUUUCCUUUCUACUAAUCCAAGUUCCUUCACAUCAAUCUCUCUGUUUUGUUCUUGAUCUUCCUCGAGUAGAAUACCUCUUCUUGCUCUGGAGCGCGUGGGCAGUCUCUCUAAGGCAGCCCAUGACGUCAUUUUCCGAUUCGACUCGGAGGAGGUUGGCUGCUCUUCUUGGCUGAGCUUCAUGGCUGGCCGAAUUCCCCUAUUCCCUUCCUCUUAUACUUUUUUAUAUUCGUUCACCAAAACAAUAGGAAAACGUCUCCGUCUGUUUGAUUGACGGCGAAAAAAAAAAAGACGGAGAAUAAAAGCCUGACGGAAGCUGAAAGCUUGGACUCUGUUUGUAUUUUUAAUGGAUUUUCAGAACACAGGUCAAGAAUAUUGCGAUUUGAGAAAAAAAGAAAGAACCACGUUGACAUAAUAUAUUCACAAUAGGUGUACAAGGUUCAUAAAGCUUUACUGUGGUUCCAUUUUUUGUUAAUGGAAUUAGCCUUUUGUUUUAGGAAGAACUUGGAACCCCCUCCGUCCAUUCUAUCCCCAAUGGAAUUAACACUUAGAUAGUACUAUGACAAUGUGUCAUUAUUUGAUGCAUACCUGUAUAAAUUUAGGCUAAGUGUUUUAUACACAAAUUGAUACAGAUUAACUAUACAAUGAUAACUAUAUACCGGAGAGCUAACUAUACAAUGAUACAUUCUUAUCUGUUAAUUAUCUUUGGUUACCAGCUAUCCAUGUUGCUGUCAUAUUAAACUACACAACAUCAGUUGUAAUUUAUGUCUUAUUAGUAUCAUCAUUUUUGUUCAUUAUUUCAAUGUCUAACAUAACUCCGCCUAUGUCUUACAUGGCCGGUCCCAAGCCCGGAUAAAGGAGGAGGGGGAGGGCGUCAGGUAGUCGACAGCCGGCACUCCAUGAUCACGUCGAAUCCUUAUGAAAAUGAAUCCAGAACAAAACCCCACUUAGUGGGAAAAGGCUUUGUUGUUGUUGUAUUUCAAUGUCUAACAUGAUGAUCUGGUUUCAAUUUGCUACAGGCAUUAUUUCCAGACAAUAGCUAUGGUUUUGAUUGUAGCGGUGACUGAAAAAUUAUUCCGAAACUAACAUUUGAGGAAUUCAAGGUUUGUUAGUUAAUUUGUACAUCAGAAUACCAUGACAAACUAUGAAGUUGUAAUUGUUGACCUUACAAUGUAUCUUUUUUGGUUUGGAGCAUUAGACUUAUAUGUGUUGCUUUCACCUCAUGAAGGCUAACUCUUUAUUUUAGGCCGUAAGAGUAUAAUUUCUUGGAGAAUCUACAUUGUUGAUAAUUUUUUGAACAAUAUUAUCCCCAAAAUUUCUCCGCAUGUUACCCUCAACGUAGACAUCAUAUAACCAUCAUUGAACUUCUGAACCAAAAAUUUGAGUUUUAUGAUUAUAACUAAACGUCUAUAAACACAUGAUACAGAUUGAGACGAAUGUCAAAUUUAAAAUGGCAUUAAUACAGCUGCAAACUCUGAUUUGCGGGAUUUGAAAUGGAGCAGUUACUUCUUGCUUCACUUCAGCAGCAUAGUCCAGCUUCUAAAUUCAGUUCUCAGGUAUGAGGUUUCUCAGUUACCUCUUUUUUGUAAUAAAACAUUUGAUCAGUACUUGCCAGGAUAUCCAAUUAAUUAGGUCAGUUUUUGUUAGCAGUAAUAAUUUGUUUUUGCAGCUUUAUAUGUGUCUCUGUCUCCAAAUAUGAUGAUCUCUUAAUUUGCUUCUAUAGCUUUUGUAAUAUAAUGAUCUCUUAAUUUUCUUUUGCAUAUCUUCUUUGCUUCCUCUGCUAGCUCUAUAUGAGAUUCCAUCUCCAAAUAAUUAUUCCUUAUUUCCUAUUUUUACCAGAAGCAAAUCAUUGAAUACACAUGGUAAAUUAAAAGGGUUUUAGUUUUUGGAGUAGUUUAAAUUUUUUGUUUGUUAUUGCUUGUAUUGCUGUUAAAUAUUUGAUGGGUAGUUUGAAAUGGGGAACUUGGUUGAUUGAGUAUUAACUUUUAUUAAAUUAAUAUUCUUAUUCAAUAUUGAAUUAAGACUCCUCUUAUUAAAUUAAGACUCUUAAGGCUCUAAUCUAAUGUUCAUGCUCAAUAUCUCCUCUAUCUUUCUACAAUUGGUAAAACUUUUGUAUUAUUAUUCCAAUUUUGGUUACUGGGUUGUGGAAUUUUCCAUUUUUUUUCUGGGUAAUCAAUACUAUAUAUAUGCAUGACAAGUAUAAACAAUAUUUUGGGGCAAAUUUAGUUGUUUAAUUUUUAAUUUUUAUGUGACAGUGAGAUUAUGGUAGGAUUUCGUUUAGAUUCUGCGGCCCAAUGGGAGUCUCUGCUUUGAUAAGAUUGGGGUUGAUGCCAAGAAAGCCAAUAAGCCUACUGUGGACGCCGUAGCCGCCUGGCGCUGUUUUCCAAAAUCCUCUCUCACUUGGUUAAGCAAUUAAGACUUUUUGGUUCAGUUUUUAUUAUGCCCAAUUUUGUAUUUAAACCUUAAAAAAAUUUAAACUGAUAUGGGGAUACUGAAAUAGGCUGCAGAGCUGCCAUCCCUGAAUCAGAAGAUGUUCAGAAGGAAGAAGAAGAACAAGAAGAAAGUCGUGGAAUAUCAAAAGCUUUUAGCUUUGUGAAGGUAUGCUUUUUCCCAACUCACCUCUUGCUUUUGUUGCACUGAAUUGGUAGAUUGGGUUCAAAAAUAUAUAUAUGUGAUUUUUCGUGUAACUAUUUCUUUACAUAAUUACCAAUUGGAGGUGAUUUGAGAUCAUGUAACAUUUCCUCGCUAGAACCGAAGAUUGCCGUCGCUCAGAGCUGCGUUUCAUGAAACAAGUUCAUCUCCUGCCAAUUUUGUGUACCCACCUUUUAUUCAUGAGGGUUGGUGCUUGCUUGCAACACAAUUUGGUGCUAUUAAGUUUUGCGGUUUUACAAUUUGUUCAUGCUUAAACCUCUUUCAAAUUUUCAUUUCUAUGUAAAUCUUGCAGGUAGGACGACACACCUAUCUUGGCAAUGUCGGGAUGUCUAGGCUUGGGUGGAGACGUGGUCUUAUGGAAGAGGUGAAGUAGCUUAGCUCGAUCUCAUUAGCUCUUAUCUGUUCUAUUAUGCUAAGAUCAAUAGUAAAAAGUUCUAUUGAUUUUAUAAUCAAAGAUACAUAUAUUAUAGAAACAGAGGGUAUAUAAUUAAUUUCUUGAUGUAAACAAUUAUAACUUGAGGAACCAUUUAAAGUAUUUUGGUAAUCAGCAUACUUAAACUUAAAUGUGAUAUAUCCGUUUAGUAUUUUUUUUAUACAGUGAUAAUACUUAAGUAUAAUUUACAUCAUAUAUCUUUUGAAGUACAUGAAACUAUGAAGAAAAUGAUAAACCAAAUCCCAUUCCAUCUCUGUUUGCUACUGCACAAUCACAAUCCAAUUCCAACAUGGAAUCCUCAGACGACAUGCCUACUGCAGAACAAGUUUCAUCCUGACUUAACUUAUAUUUAGUCCACGUCCUGUUUAGAUUGUAAUCCUAGUUCUACGUGUGUUUGUAUAGUACUCCUAUAAAUAUCAAUGAACAUCGCUCACUCUAAUUAAGAGUUGAGAUUCUGCAAAUCAUAUUUACUAUCUUUCAUGGUAUCACGAGCCAGCGUCUAACGACAACGGUUCCUAUUAUAAUUUUUUUCUCUUUUGCAGAUCCUAAACUAUGGCAUCUUCUUCCUCCUCCGCUGCUCCCUCCAUCACAAAUUUUCUUACGAUCAAGCUCGACCGCAACAACUACCCUCUUUGGCAUGCUCAGUUUCUUCCCUUGCUGCGCAGCCGCAACUUACUCUCUUAUGUUACUGGCGAAACUCAAUGCCCCUCUUUCUUCUUGAUGACAAUGGUAAAUUCACCGAUAAAGUCAAUCCAUUAUAUAAUGAAUGGAUCCAGACUGACCAGAUGAUCCUAUCUUGGAUUACGAGUUCUCUUACUCCCAAGGUUCUUGCUACGAUCGUCAACAAAAUUGAUUCGGCCUCUGCUUGGUCGUCAAACUCGAAUUAAUCUGAUUGUGAGGGUUUUGUUUUAUAUCAAUAUAUUGCAACAGAAGUCACACUUUGAAGAGUUCAUGCUGCACAGAAAGAUGAUGAAAUGCUACCCGUUGAGUCUAUCAUUGCUCCAUUGGAGACAGAGCUGAAGCUUACUGCAGGAGUUAUACAUUUGUUAUGCAAUAUGACCCCUUUAAUUUUAUUUUAAAACUGAUACAAAAAUACUACAAAAAUUUAUGUAGUAUUUUUGUAUCAGUUUUGAGUGUCUAUUUUGGCUUCCAUAUAUCGUCUGUACAUGUGAGAGGUAUAGUGUUCAAUAUGUAUUUGGUUUCUAUAUUGUUAAUGGAUCCUUUUUUUUUUUUUAAUUUUAAUAUAAUUUUAUUAAGGUAACCAAGUUGCAGGAUGACAUCAGAACACUUGAUCUGCAGGUAAACCUUCAAUUUCCAUAUGAAGUUUGCAUGUUCGUUGUUUCUGGAAUUUGAGUUUUUAUUAUUUCUCAAUUCUAUCACAUAGAUUACGAUUUCACAUAUGUGAUUAUUAAUGGCAAUUAUAUGAUAGAAGAAUUGGGAUUGGAAGAAGAUAUUGAGUUGUUUAUUUAUGGGGAUUAGAAAAUGAUUAUCAUACAAGUGAUAUUUAUUUUUGUGUGGAUUGUUAAUAUAUAAAACUAUAAGCUUUUGAGAUUGGGAGAUAAAACCCACAAAUUCAAAUCAGACAAAAUAAAUAAAAAAUUUAACUGACUUAAAGAUCAAACUCCAAAAGGGUAUUAAAAACAAGGCUUAUUUGAUCCAUUGAGUGUGAAAGUUUUGAGCUUUGAAGAAGCAUAGGAGGAGAGUUGUUAACCAAGCUGCAUUAUCCAUGUAUUAGGAUGUUGAGGGUAGGCAGGAAAAAUACUUUUUGACGCCAUAUCCAGAGGAGCAUAACGACAGGCCUGCAUUUUUGCAGCAAGGACCAAAACAAGUAGAAGUGAAGGCUUGACUGUUUGGGUAUUAAUCCUAAACCUAAUUAUUCUUAUUUAGGUUUAGGAUAAAUGAUUGAGUGUGUCUCGAUGAUUGUAUUACCAUGUUUGAUGAAUGACUUGAGGAGUUGGAAAUGGUUUAUUGCUUAUGUUUUUCUUAGGUGUGUACUUUGGUUAUUUCCGAGCUUUUCACGACUCUUGAUACCUAAUAGAGAAAAUGGAAACCCCAACUUUAAUUUUAUGAAUUGGUUUUGGUGCCUAAAAUGAAAUCUAGCAUAGUGAAAUCUUGCAUAAUGAAAUUAUGACAAAUUUCCCUUCAUCUUUAGAUUUUCAUUUAGUUCAAUUUGUAUGCAAUUUAGGGUUAUUCAAUUCAUGAGUGAUCAAAUUAUGUUUUUAAUUCCUUCUUCUUUUGAUUUACAGUUCAACAUUGUCGUACAAAAUGAAAAAGGUGCCAGUAACAUAGUUAUGGAUUUGGAUGCCUUUAGCGGAAUAAAACUGAAUUUUUUAACUUUGUAUAGUUGUAAACAUAAAAUACUCCAUCAGAUAGACUCAUAGCAUUUGAAAACAAUCCUUGAGGAUGGCAUAACAACAUCUCCAACUUUUGUCAUGUAAUGUAUGAAUGUAAAUAGCACUUUGUAAACAUAUGGAUGUAAUAUAUGUAUAUAAACAGUCUUUAGCAUGUAUAUUUUUCAAAACUUUCUACAUCUUCAACAAUGUUUCAAUGAUUUCUUGAUGUAAACAAUGAUAAUUUGAAGAACCAUUUAAAGUUUUCGGUAAUCAGCAUACUUAAGCUUAAAUGUGAUAUAUCCGUUUAGUAUUUUUUAUACAGUGAUAAUACUCAAGUAUAAUUUACAUCAUAUAUCUUUUGAAGUACAUGAAACUAUGAAGAAAAAACCCUAAUUAAUCUGAUUAUGGGGGUUUUGUUUUAUAUCAAAAUAUUGCAGCAGAAGUCACACUUUGAAGAGUUCACGCUGCACAGAAAGACGAUGAAAUGCUAUCUGUUGAGUCCAUCAUUGCUCCAUUGGAGACAGAGCUGAAGCUUGCUGCAGGUGGUAUACUUUUGUUCUGCAAUAUGACCCCUUUAAUUUUAUUUUAAGACAGAUAGGGUUGAAAAGAAUUUAUGUAGUAUUUUUGUAUCAGUUUUGAAUGUCUAUUUUGACUUCCAUAUUUGGUCUGUACAUGUGAGGUAUAGAGUGUUCAAUAUGUAUUUGGUUUCUAUAUUGUUAAUGGAUCUUUUUUUUUUGUUUUUUAGGUAACCAAGUUGCAGGAUGAAAACAAAACACUUGAUCAGCAGGUAAACCUUCAAUUUCCAUAUGAAGUUUGCAUUUUUGUUGUUUCUGGAAUUUGAGUUUUUUGCAGGAUGAAAACAGAACACUUAAUCUGCAGGUAAACACUUGAUUUGUUAUUUCCAAGCUUUUCACGACUUUCGAUACCCAAUAGAGAAUAUGGAAACCCCAACUUUAAUUUUAUGAAUUUGUUUUGGUGCCUAAAAUGAAAUCUAGCAUAGUGAAAUCUUGCAUAAUGAAAUUAUGACAAAUUUCCCUUCAUCUUUACAUUUUCAUUUAGUUCAAAUCGUAUGGUUUAGGGUUAUUCAAUUCAUGAGUGAUCAAAUUAGGUUUUUAAUUCCUUCUUCUUUUGAUUUUCAGUUCAGCAUUGUCGUAUUUUGGAUGCCUUUAGUGGAAUAAAACUGAAUUUUUUUAACUUUGUAUAGUUGUAAACAUAAAAUACUCCAUGAGAUAGACUCAUAACUUUUGAAAACAAUCUUUGAGGAGGGCAUAACAACAUCUCCAACUUUUGUCAUGUAAUGUAUGAAUGUAAAUAGCACUUUGUAAACAUAUGUAUGUAAUAUAUGUAUAUAAACACCACUCUUUAGCAUAUAUAUUUUUCAAAACUUUCUACAUCUUCAACAAUGUUUCAAGCCCCGCGGCAACGGGCGGGUACACUUGCUAGUAUACAUCUAAAAUUAUAAGACUAAAUCCUUUAGUUCUUGGAUUCAUCUAAGAACUACUUAUUCCAGCAGAUGCUAUGCUUGCACUACUAGAAUUUAUGGCUUGCCCUGUCAACUAUUGCGCGACAGAAGAUUUCGUCGGUUUCACCUUUUUUAACCGACAGAAUAUAAGUUUAGUAGGGCAAAAUCAGUCAACAAACUGGGUUGAUUGAAUAAAUUUACAGGAUGGCUAGAGUUCGUAGGUUAAGACAUCGGUCGUUGGGCAAACAUUUGGAGCGAAGAUGUGAGUGUUUUAACUGACGAAUAAGCUGGUCGUCAUGUAGAUCUUCUUUCCCGACGGACGGUUCAACAGGUAGCUCUUUGGAUAAUAAUUCAUCUUCAAGGGGAACAGGUUGCCCCUCAGAUGAAUGGUUAGAGGCAAUUGUGAGACUAUAAUUUUCUAGGGCCGGAAUAAAAAAUACAUAAACCCUCACCUAUUCUGUCUCUGUAACCAUCCACCAAAUACCCAUUUUUCCCUUUCUAUUUCUCUCCUAGUAAUUUCCCCUGACCGAAUCACACAAUCCAACCAACUCUCUUUAAGCCUCCCUCACUGAUUCCAUGGAUUUCAUGGACUUAUCCCACCCUCUCUCCUUCCUUCUAUAUAUAGCAAGUCCCCUUGCCUCAGUGUCCCUGGCAACAGAAUUUAUGGCGUUUCUUCGUUCUUUCAAUUAUUUGAAAGCUUCCCUGCCCUGCAAUCUUGUAUAAAGGCGUAUGGUGUUUCAUCAGUUCCAUUUGGUGGUCGGGUGGGAAAUGAAAUUAAAACACUGCAUUUCAAAUGCAUUUCAAAUGGUCUAAACCAAAUUGAAUCAAAUGUGAAGCAAAGGGCAAGAGGUGUAGAUUGAAGAACAAUGGCACCAAGAGCGAAAUUGAACUUGUUGACAGGAGGAAACCAAGUAAGGAUAACACGUCUAAAUCUUAUUUUGAAUCCAUUCAGCUCAUGAUGUUUUGAAUGAUGAUGAUCGGUAUACUCUGCUACAUGCUGUGAUUUUUCCGCUUUCAUGUAAUUAACGGCUUAUAUUUGUGGUAACCAUAUUGAUUAAAAAAGGUCGUACCCAGUGCACAAGGCUCCCGCUUUACGCAGGGUCUGAAAGGUGAAUGUCGGCUAGCCUUACCCCCAUUUUAUGGAGAGGCUGCUCCAAAGUCUCAAACCCAAGACCUACCGCUCAUGGGCGAAGACACUUGCCAUCGCACCAAGUGCGAUAUUGAUUAAUUUCGAGAAAUGACAGUCUAAUUUUUGCAACUGUCUUUUGCAGGCAAAACAAAGACGUUUGCAAGGGUGAGUUGUGUAGGAGCUUUGUUUCAUGUCCAAAGGACACUUGAGAAUAAAUGUUUACACUCAUGGAUAAUAUCUAUCUAUUUGCAGGAGUAACCCUGGGUUCAUUUGUUCUGUAACUGCUGGUCAUUGCGGCAUAUCACGCCUAUAGCACUGACAAAAGUAAAAAGAGAAUCGAAUGAAAUUUGAUAAGUUUUCAGCGGACUACAAAGAUCUUAAGCCAAGCAUAUAUUCCCAUGCAGAUAUUAAGAGGUUUACAAAUCAAUUCAAGUACAAGUUGGGCCAAGGAGCAUACGGAACUAUUUUUAAAGGAAUGCUUUUUUCUGAAUGCUUUGUUGCCAUGAAGUACUUAACAAUGGGCCAUAUUCACCAUGUCAAUGUGGUUCACUUGGUUGGUUUUUGUGCUGAUGGAUUUAGAUGAGCUCUGGUUUAUGAGUUCUUUUCCUUUGGUUCACUCCAGGAUUAUAUUUCAUCAGUAGAUAGAUUUCUUUCCUUGGUUGGCAUAAGUUACAAGAUAUUGCUAUCAGCAUAGCCAAAGGAACCAAGGAUGUGAUCUACAAAUCCUCCAUUUCGAUAUCAAACCCCAUAAUGUUUUGCUCAACCAAAAAAUCACGCCAAAAAUCUCUGAUUUUGGUCUGGCCAAGUUAUGUUCCAAGGAUCAAUCGGCGUGACUAAAGCAAGGGGGACUAUGUGACUAAAGCACCCGAAGUGUUUUCCAGGAAUUUCGGAAAUGUGUCUUACAAGGCAGAUGUCUUGAAUGCUGCUGCUUGAGAUGGUAGGAGAAAAGAAGAAUAUUGGUUCAACCAGAGGACACGACAAAUGAAAUCUACUAUCCAAAAUGGAUUUAUAAUCUUCUAGAGGAAGGAAAUGACCAACAGAUCCCUAUUGAGGAAGAAUGUUAUGGUAAGAUUCCAAAGCAACUUGCAAGUUUAGGGCUCUGGUGCAGCCAGUGACACUCAGUGGAUCGGCGGUCCAUGAAAACGGUGGUUCGGAUGUUAGGAGGAGGAGAAAACUUGAUGAUGCAAGCAACCCUAAAAGCCUCAUACAGUUAGAAGCAAUUGCUGAAUUAGAGUAACAUACGUAUAUGUAUACGCACCAACACAAGUCGUUCUUAGAUGAAUCCAAGCCAAACAAUUACAGACAAUAGUUAUUCACUAAAUCACUUUAAGGCAAGAAUUUAAUUAAUAAUACAUUACUGCACUUUCUUAACCAUUUGACUAUCACCUAGCUGACAAUGAACACGUUAGCUCCGCGUUAGAACAUCUUGGGUUCAAUUCAUUGUCUUGAAUAUCACCCACUGUCACAGGCGUCUUUUGGGGGCAUAGAGAAGGCCUGAGAGGCAUUUGCAGACAUUCAACAUCUCCUCCAAGCAUUUUGACAACUUUGGACAUCGAAGGGCGAUCACUUGGUUUCAUUUGAAUACACCACAAGGCGGUUAUAACCAUCUUUCUUAUUACUUUCUUUUCCUCCUCUGUAACAUUGUCCAUUUCCAAGUCAUUUCCUACAAUAUACUGAUCGUAUACCCACAUUGGGAAGUAGAUUUGGCUUGAAUGCUCUACCGUUGGAUUCAAAUUCCUCCUUCUGCUUGCCAUUUCCAUCAACAACAUUCCAAAACUAUAGACAUCUGACUUAUAUGAGACGCCUCCAAUAUUUUUGUAGAACAACUCAGGAGCAAUAUAUCCCAGUGUACCCCGUGCUGCUGUCAAAGAGACAAUGCUAUUAUCUACAUGAUACAAUUUUGCAAGCCCAAAGUCAGAAACCUUUGCUUUAAAGUUCUCAUCAAGAAGGAUGUUAUGAGGCUUGAUGUCGAAAUGUAGAAUUUGCAUUUCGCAACCUUGGUGUAGAUAUUCGAUCCCUUGAGCCACUCCAAGAGAAAUCUCGUACAUGUUCUUGAUAGUUAAGGGGACACUUCCUUCUUUGGAAUAAAUGUAUUUAUCAAGAGAACCAUUAGGCAUGAAGUCAUAGACUAGAGCGCGUUUUGAUCCCUCAACAUAGUAUCCAACAAGUUGCACCACAUUGGCAUGGUGAAUCCUUCCGAUUGUAGCUAAUUCGCUAAUGAAAUCUUGGCCAUCAGCUUUGGGCUUGGCCAAAACUUUAACUGCUACAAAUCGACCACUGCGUAGCUUUCCCUUAAAUACAGAGCCAAAGCCACCUUUGCCCAACUUGUCCUUAAACUUGCGAGUCAUUUUCUUGACGUCCGAGUAAGAGUACCUUAUAGGCAUGAAGUUGUUAUUGCAUUGCAGAAAAUCUUCUAUUGUGCUAUACAUUGAUAAAUGUCUUCUGCGCCAUGUGUAGAUUAGAAAUGCAGUCACAAUUGGAACUCCAAAAACAAAUCUGGCUAGGAAAAAUAACCCUACAUGCAUUGACAUUAAUAUGUUAGAUCCACUGCGUACUACUUUUUCUUCCCUUUCUUUCCAAAUUACUUUGUCUUUGAUGUAAUUAAAGAGAGAAUGGGAAAUGUACAUAUGUUGAUAAUACAAUCUCGUCUUAGUCCUUACCGAUGCAUAUGAGUAUAAACCAUACACGUACUGCAACAAAAUCAAUCGACUAUGAGUUUGAAAAGUGCAUAAAGUGAAAAAAAAAUAAAAAAAAUCAAAGGGUGCCUUUAUUGACAUCCAAAUUUUAGUUAGUUUUACUCAACUAAAAAAUUUUUGUCAUCAAACUUUUUAAUUUGCCGUCGAAAUUGAGUUCACCCAACCCACAAAGCAGCAACUACCACUCACCAAAAAAACCAACAACACACAGCCACCAGUACCAUUCACCAAUAGAAAGAGAAGGAACACACAGACCCACCAAGGAGCCGGCAUCGACGCGUCUACGAGGGAGGGACCGGAGGGUGGUGUAGUUUUGUUGGGCGCGCGGUAGUGGUUUUGUCUGUUCAUUUUCUCUUUGUUUUGGUAGGUGGAGGCUGGUGUGGAUUUGGGCGAACUUAAAAAUGAGGGGAAACUAUGAAGUUUGACAAAAUGUUUUAGUUAGGUGAACUUCACUAAAAUUUGGGUGCCGAUAAAGAUACCCAAAAUCAAAAGACUAGAUGGACUAAUUAAAUGAAGCUCUUACCCAUAUAUAACGAUGGACGCAACUUGCCAGCUGCUGCAGUACAUACCACGGAAAAGUGAGCAAAGACAUACAGUUACUAGGUUUAAGAAGUACAGAUAGAGCACACAAAAAAUAAAAGAAGCUUUUGGGAAGAAACUUCUUACGCAAAUAGAUUUUUUUCAUGACCUACAGUAAAAAAAUGUCAAGAAGAAUACACAACAUUAGCAAUAGCUCACCCAGUCUUCAAAAUUUAAAAAAUCAAGUUUGUCGAUCGAAAACUUGUAAAUAAAACAAAAAGAGGACCCCUUACCGAUUUGUUGCCAUAGAUAUUGAAAGAAACCUACAAGAACAAAGAAAGAACAAGACCACAUGCAUUAGAAUAACAAGUGUGAGGUGUAUAAGCCGUUAGAAAAUAAAUUUAAAAUUCUAGUGCUGUCAAUACAUUGAUAAUAUAUAUAUAUAUAUAUAUAUAUAUAUAUAUAUGUAUGUAUGUAUUAUUUUUUCUGAAAAUUUAACUUUUCCCGUCCAAACUCAUUUUUCUAGUCUCUAGCCCAACAUAUAAUAUUUAUCUGAAUAAAACCAAAUGAUUAGGAUCCAACUAAGAAACUUACCAAAUUAAGUUUGUGUGUCCAUUUUUAUAUUUUUUGGAUCCCUAAUAUACCCCAUCUAAGCCAGUAUGGAAAGGUCUUGUAAUUUUGCUUUAAGUGAUUACGUGCAUUGAAUUUGGCAAGGUCUUAUAGCCAUGAAAUAUGGUUCUAGAUGGAGGAAUUAAUUUGGAAUUUUUUUUAAUUUCGACAACAAAUUUCAAUUUGAAUAUACCUAAUUUAGUGUUUAUUUUCAACAAUAAAUGUGCCUACUUUUUAAAUUUGUAACAAAAUUAAUUUACCUACUUUUUAUGGUAUUAGUGACACACCCUGUCCCGAAGGAGGGCAUGCUGGCCGUCACGAGAGAGUGACGUAACCAUUUGCACAGUACGGAAGCUUUAAGAUACAAUUUAUAAGUUGAUACACCCGAAGGUGAGUCCUAAUUUUUGUCCAAUCUGUCAGAACACCGUCAAAUUCCUCGUAGUCACCACACCUUUGUGAUUCCUGAACCUGGAGGGGCGCAAAACCAAAAUUGAGUGGGUCAGUAAAACAAUUCUUUUCCAAAUCCAAACAUUUCUCAAAACGUUGUAACCCUCUCCGUAAAACUUGUAUACUUUCCCAGAAAUGUAAAAUAUAAAUAUACAUAUAUAUUCUCAAACUUCAUUUUUACUAUCUCAACAUUUUUCUUUAUCAAACAUGCCAUGCCAUGUCUAAUUCAACAGUUAAGUAUGGAUGCAUCAACAAUAAUCAUAUCAGGUGCAAGAAAGUAAUCAACCGGAGGCCCUCUAAUAGCCCUGUACGGUUGAACCUAGAGCUCAAAAUCUAUCACUCUCACUCUGCCGGGAGUCACCUCUGUGACCUGUCCGGCCUUCUGCACACAAGUUACGCUCUAGUGCUUUCUCAUCAAUCAUCUGUGCACAUAAUCUAAGGUCACCCACCAGUCGAAAUCUCACUAACACUCUUCGACUGGCCCGUCGCACCCACUCCGCGUGGACUGUGCGACCAGCAUCUACUUGGAUCCAAGGCGAGCGUGCGAUGCGGUGAAUACUAUAAGCACUAAACCAUGGUGCAGGAUUUGAGCUCAAUAUAUAUCAACAUCAUCAUAACAGUACUUAAAUACUCACCUGAUACUCACCUGUGCGUCCGCCGCACCAAUUCAUACAUAUGCAUCAUAUUUCAAUUCAUAUCAUUUCAUGCAUGGCAAUUCGAUUCACAUUUCUAUAUACAUUUCAUAUACUUCUAUGCAUGACCUUUCAAUUCACGUUUUCAUAUAAUUCUAUAUACCUUUCAUUUAAAACAUAAUUUCAUUCUAAUUCAAUUUCUGGGAAAACGUCAAGUAUAUAUAUACGGAAAACAAAACUGCCCACUCACCUGGAGUUCGUCCAACAACUCCCUAGCACCACACAUCAAGGCGUCAUGACGAUCGCCGUCUAGAACAGUAAUCAAAUCCAGCCUCAGAAUUCAUAUCGAUAGAACAUAUAACUUAUAUAAAAUAUGUCACUACGUAGAUCGAUCCGGAAGAUCUGCCACUCAGAUUUUAAAUCCAUAACUUCCAGAGGUCCACAAUAUAUCUCUAGGAUAACAUCCUAAAAUUUCAUUACCAUCCAACGGUCGGAUCUCCGUCAAUUUCCAAAACUAAGUGACGGUUAACAUUUUAUUUUAUGAACUUACAAUUCUAAUUCCGGAAGAUCCGUAACUCGGAUUCCCAAUCCGUAAGUUCCAAUAAUCCUCAAAUAUUACGUAUUACAACGUAUCAAAGUUUGGUAACGAUCCAACGGUCGGAUCAUCAAUUCACAUUUUCACCUAAUGCGAAAACUAUAAAACGUUAUUCGAACACCUAACCAACAAUCCUUAAUAACUUUCUCAUACGGUGUUCAAUUUGGGUAUAUGAAUAUACCACAGUGAUCUACUCAUUAAAAUAAUUUUUUACUGUAGCACGCGCCCCCACGCGCCAAGGAAGGCACGGACCUACGCGCCCCCACGCGCACCUUCUUCUUCCUUGGGUCGCCGGACUGGUUUUUCCGGCGGCCGUUUUUCAAAUUGCCAUAACUUUGUCAUUUCUCAACGAAAUCAAGUGAUUCAAAAACGAAAGUUGUAGCCCUUGAAGAGACAAAGAGAAUGGUACCUUGCACAACACCUAGUUCGCCGUGGUUUGGCCGGAAACUGCUUCGAAAGCCUCGGAGGUCGCCAGAAACUGGGUAUUUUUCAAAUCAGUAUAACUUCUUCAAUACUCAACGAAAUUGAGUGAAACAAAAAGGAAAGUUGUAGUACUUGACGAGACGAAGAGAUUGAUACCUACCUCGACUCCUAACUCACCGGAUAUUCGCCGGAAAAUGCCUCGAAAGCUCCGGCCAAACUUUGAACUUGUCGAUCUCCGUGUUCUUACAUCCAAAAACUUCCAACGAAGCACUCCGAGCUUCCUUGGGACCUCACUAAGCUCGCUAUGAUCUUGUUUUAGCCUAAAACGUAGUCAUUUAGAAGAUCAUGAACAAUACCAUUUCACGGGAACUUUGAAACUAGGGUUUUCCGAAGCAAAACUUACCUGAAAUGGAUACCAUCGUGAUCGUGGAGGUUCCAGGAGUUUGAUGGUGGUCUUAACUCUGUCGUUGGUGGAAGUUUAAGGUUGUUUUGUGGUUGGUUUGUUCGAACGGAGAAGAAGAGUGACAGAGAGAGUGAGAGAGUCGUGAGGGAAGAGAGAGAGAGACAGCAUGCAGAAAAUAGGGAGAGGAUUGAGGGGUGUGGGGAUCCCACGUGGUCCUUUUCCAAUCCCCAACUCCAAACCAUAAAAUUUUAACCUAAAAAUCUAAGUUCAAUCCUUAAUAAAUUCCAUUUUAUUUUCAAAACUUAGGAACCUAGAUAAUUAUCAACUUGAGCUUCACAUACUUAGUAUUUCUUAAGGGCAAUUUCGUUCAUUCACAGCCACGAAUGUAAUAUUUUGGAACGGGCUGUGACAAUUAGUAUACAUAAAUGUAGAAUAUAUGUCCGUAUAUAUUUGAUCCAAUUAGUAUUAGGGAGAAUGACAAGUCAUCCAAGUCUGCUACUGUUAAUAAUUCUGUUACUGUAAAUUAACUGAUUGUAUUAGUUGUGAUUAGUUAAGAUAGUUAUAAAGUAGUUAGGGGUAUCUAUGUAAAUAGCCAAAGGCUAUAUAUAUUCCUACACAAUGUGUAAAGUUCUCAGUCAAGUAAAUACAAUCAAGAAAACUUACUGUUGAAGUUUUCUGUUUCUACAUGGUAUCACGCCAUUCCGCUUCACAGCUUCGAUCUUUCUCUUCGCUUGCUGCAUCGAUCGACUCUUGAUCGAUUUUUCUUCUCUGAUCUUCUCUUCGCUUGCUGCAUCGAUCGACUCAUGAUCGAUUUUUCUUCUCUGAUCGUCACUUCUUCCCUUCCGAUCUUGUAGUAUUUUCUUGAUUUCUGUCAGUAAUGGCGGCUCAAUCGACUGGUUCAUCUUCUCCGGUCAUCUCCCCCUCGAGCCCAAACCCUAAUUUUCUCUGGAAACCCUAAUUCCUCUGGAAAUCCGAGUCCUCUGACUUCCUACACUUCUCUCUCACAAUUCAUAACAUCGGCAGCAUGGUGCCGAUCAAGCUCAAAAGAUCCAAUUACCUACCAUGGCGCGCCCUGUUUGGCCCGAUUUUCCGGCGAUACAAGCUUCUUGGAGUAAUCGAUGGUACUGACGUCUGUCCAUCGCCAUUUCUGCCUGAUCGUAGCAUCAAUCCUGCUUUUGAGGACUGGUAUGAGAAAGAUCAAAAUCUUUUUGAUCUGGUUGAAUUCCACACUUUCUGAGGAAAUCAUCCCGUUCACGGUUGGGGUUUCAUCCUCUCGAGAACUUUGGGUAAAGCUUGAACAGCGCUUUGGUGGAAUUUCAGAGGCUCAUAUCCAUCAGUUGCGAUCGCGCCUUCAAUCUGUUCAGAAAGGAUCGCGUUCUAUCUCUGACUAUCUUCAAGAACUCAAGGAAAUUUCAGAUUCUCUGCAAGCUGCUGGUGCUUCUGUCUCUGAUCGAGAUCUUAUCGCCGCCACACUACAUGGCUUGCCUGAUGAAUUUGAGUCUUUCAUCGACUGUAUCAUGCUCCGAUUGUCCUCUACCUCUCUGAUGAACUUCAUGGCCUCCUUCUCACAAAGGAAUUGUCUAUGGCCAGACGCAAAACUGUCAGUUCAUCUCCUGUCCCUGAAUCUUUUCAGGCUUUCUCGGUGCAGUCUCAGCCUCAUCUCCUUCCUACUCCAUCUGCUUUUGCUGCUCAGAAUCUCCCUCUUCAAUCUGCAUCUCGGUUCAACUCUAAUCGUGGCAGGAACACUAAGGGCCAGUUCUUUUCCAAUCGAGGUCAUCGAGGUAAUCGUGGUAAUUUUCCUAAUAAACCGUGGCAAUCGAGGUUAUCAAGGAUUUCGCAGCAAUCAAGGCUCUUCUCACUUCAAAGUGCUUUGUCAAAUCUGUGGUUCUACCAGUCAUGAGGCUAUUGACUGCUUUGAUCGUAUGAAUCCUGACAUCUUGUGGUCGUAUUCCUCCAGCUAAGCUUGCUGCCAUGUGUGCCACAACAUUCUGCUAAACCAUCUCAGCCUUGGUUAAUUGAUUCAGGGGCAACCUCUCAUAUCACUAAUGAUGUUGCUAACCUCACCUCUCCUACUCCCUACACUGGCGAGGAUUAAAGUGUAUAUUGGAGAUGGUAAAGGUUUAUCCAUCCUCAAUGUUGGUUCAUCUACUCUGCACACCUCUCAUAAUUCUUUUCAAUUGCGAAAUGUUUUACAUGUUCCCCACAUAACCCAUAAUCUUAUCUGCUUAUCAGUUUUGUUAAUGAUAAUAAUUGUUCAUUGACACUUGACCCUUAUGGAUCCUAUGUCAAGGAUCGUAUUUCGGGGAAGAUGCUUUUACGGGGACCGGUUAGAGAUGGCUUCUAUCCUCUUCAAAGUUCCAGCAAUCUUCAUCCUCUUUCACAUACCGCUUUACUUAGUAUUAAAGCUCCAGUUACAAUUUGGCACAAGCGUUUGGGUCACCCUUCCUCCUCCAUUUUUAGAAGGCUCCUUUCAUCCAAUAAUCUUGCUUUACAAGGCAAGUCUACUGUGGACUUUUUCUGUUCGGAUUGUGCUCUUGCCAAGAAUCAUAAGCUUCCAUUUAAAGCUGCUACUUCAUCAUCAACUCACAGCCUUCAACUACUGCACUGUGAUCUGUGGGGACCUGCCUCAAUCACAUCAAGUAGUGGUUUUCAAUAUUAUUUGCUCAUUGUUGAUGACUAUAGCAAAUAUAGUUGGUUCUUUCCUUUGAAAUCUAAGUCAGAUGUAUUUUCUACAUUUGUUGUCUUCAAAUCAUAUGUAGAAAAUUCACUUGGAAAUAAAAUAAAGGUUCUGCGUUCAGAUUCAGGGGGUGAAUUUACUAGUCACUCUUUUGCAUCAUAUCUCAGCAAACAUGGCAUUCUUCAUCAGUUCAGUUGUCCCCACACCCCUGAGCAAAAUGGUUGUGCAGAAAGAAAGCACAGGCACCUUGUUGAAAACAGCUCGCACUUUGCUUCUUGCAUUCUCAUGUCCCUCAUAUUUUCUGGGUUGAAGCAUUCUCCACUGCUAUCUAUCUUAUUAAUCGCCUUCCUAUUUCUGGCAUUUCACAGUCCCCUUGGCAGUUGCUAUUUCACAACCAUCCAGACUACUCUAAGCUCAAAGUAUUUGGUUGCCAAUGCUUUCCUUGGCUCAAACCUUACUUUCAUAGCAAAUUGGAUCCCAAGAGCAAAAAGUGUGUUUUCUUGGGGUAUAGUCUUCAACACAAAGGCUAUAGGUGCCUUGAUCCUAUCACCAAUCGCAUCUACAUCUCUCGUCAUGUCUGUAUUCGAUGAAAGUACUUAUCCAUUUCAGUUGUCCCACAUUCAACACUCUUUUCCUGUUCCAAGUCCUCCAUCUUCCUCACCAACAAUUUCUUCCUCUCUGGAUCUUCAUUUUUUAGCAAACACAUUCCUCCUGUUUUCAGUCAGCCAUCUACAUCACCAUUAUGUGCUUCUGUGCCUGUUCCUAUUUCUUCAUCUUCAUCUUCCCCUGCACCUGUCUCAGUUGGCUCUUCUUUCCAGUUUUGUUCCUCCUUCAGCACAUUCAUCUUUCUCCCAAAAUCAACAGAGUCAUCCUCCUGCCCCUGUUAAUUCUCAUCCAAUGAUUACUAGAUCCAAGGCUGGUAUACUCACGUCGAGAGCCUGUGCAGCAACUAAGCACCCACUUCCGGUUGAUAUGGAUUAUGUUCCUACAACAUACUUGCAAGCUUCUAAGCAUGCUCAUUGGAGGCAAGCUAUGCAAGAUGAAUUUAAUGCCUUGCUAACCACUGGUUACUUUGGUCUCUUGUUCCUUCUCACCAUUCUCAAAACUUAGUGGGCUGCAAGUGGGUUUUCCGGAUUAAGAAGAAGCCCGAUGGCACUGUUGACAGAUAUAAAGCCCGGCUUGUGGCCAAGGGUUUUCAUCAACAAGAAGGUAUUGACUUUUCAAGAAAACCUUCAGUCCAGUUGCCAAACCGGUUACAAUUCGGAUCCUUCUUACCCUUUGCUGUGCAAUAUAAUUGGUUUCUCAAUCAAUUGGACAUUAGUAAUGCCUUUCUUCAUGGAGACUUAAAGAGAGGAUGUCUACAUGCAACAACCCCCUGGUUUUGUUGAUCCCUUUACCCUACAUUUUGUAAGUUGAGGAAAUCGUUGUAUGGUCUCAAACAAGCUCCUCGAGCUUGGUUUGAUAAACUGUUCCAAGCUCUUCCUCUCUUGGAUUCACCCAAUCAUCCUCAGAUGCUUCUUUAUUUGUUCUCAAUGGUCCUCAGUUUAGUCAUUGUCCUUGUCUAUGUUGAUGACAUUCUUGUCACCGGACCCUAUCCUUACCUCUGUCAACACUUCAUUCAGCAACUUGGGGCUCAAUUUCCAGUAAAAGACCUUGGUCCUCUUCAUUAUUUCUUGGGAUUAGAAGUACAUCGAUCUUCCCAGGGUAUAUUUCUCCAUCAAACAAAGUACUUAUUGGAUCUUCUCAAGAAAACAAAUAUGGAGGGUGCAAAACCUUGUUGUACUCCCCUUGGCUCUAAGAAAUUAGAUCACAGUGGCCCUCUUCUGUCCAAUCCUACUGAAUAUCGCUCCAUUGUUGGUGGUUUACAAUAUCUUACUUGGACUAGACCCGACCUUGCUUUUGCUGUGAACCAAAUCUGCCAAUUCAUGCAUGCUCCCAGGGAACAACAUCUCCAGGCAGCAAAAAGGGUUCUCAGAUUUCUCAAAGGCUCUAUCUCACAUGGUGUGUGGUUCACUAAAGGCCCUGUCCAUCUUUCUGCCUACUCGGAUGCCGACUGGGCUGGUUGCACAAUUGACAGGAGAUCAACCACUGGUUAUUGUGUAUUUUUGGGUUCCAAUCUUAUCAGCUGGAGUGCCAAGAAGCAAAGUACUGUUGCCAAGGUCCUCUACAGAGGCUGAAUAUCGCUCCUUAGCUCACACAGCUGCUGAGAUAACUUGGGUUUGCAGAUUCUCAAAGAUCUGCACUAUCCUCUCUCUUACAUUCCCUACUUUUGGUGUGACAACAUAUCAGCAAUAUCUUUAGCAUCUAAUCCUGUCUUUCAUGCUCGAACAAAGCAUGUUGAGAUCGAUUAUCNGAAGUUUUCUGUUUUCUACAUGGUAUCACGCCAUUCCGCUUCACAGCUUCGAUCUUUCUCUUCGCUUGCUGCAUCGAUCGACUCUUGAUCGAUUUUUCUUCUCUGAUCUUCUCUUCGCUUGCUGCAUCGAUCGACUCAUGAUCGAUUUUUCUUCUCUGAUCGUCACUUCUUCCCUUCCGAUCUUGUAGUAUUUCUUGAUUUCUGUCAGUAAUGGCGGCUCAAUCGACUGGUUCAUCUUCUCCGGUCAUCUCCCCCUCGAGCCCAAACCCUAAUUUCUCUGGAAACCCUAAUUCCUCUGGAAAUCCGAGUCCUCUGGACUUCCUACACUUCUCUCACAAUUCAUAACAUCGGCAGCAUGGUGCCGAUCAAGCUCAAAAGAUCCAAUUACCUACCAUGGCGCGGCCCUGUUUGGCCCGAUUUUCCGGCGAUACAAGCUUCUUGGAGUAAUCGAUGGUACUGACGUCUGUCCAUCGCCAUUUCUGCCUGAUCGUAGCAUCAAUCCUGCUUUUGAGGACUGGUAUGAGAAAGAUCAAAAUCUUUUGAUCUGGUUGAAUUCCACACUUUCUGAGGAAAUCAUCCCGUUCACGGUUGGGGUUUCAUCCUCUCGAGAACUUUGGGUAAAGCUUGAACACAGCGCUUUGGUGGAAUUUCAGAGGCUCAUAUCCAUCAGUUGCGAUCGCGCCUUCAAUCUGUUCAGAAAGGAUCGCGUUCUAUCUCUGACUAUCUUCAAGAACUCAAGGAAAUUUCAGAUUCUCUGCAAGCUGCUGGUGCUUCUGUCUCUGAUCGAGAUCUUAUCGCCGCCACACUACAUGGCUUGCCUGAUGAAUUUGAGUCUUUCAUCGACUGUAUCAUGCUCCGAUUGUCCUCUACCUCUCUUGAUGAACUUCAUGGCCUCCUUCUCACAAAGGAAUUGUCUAUGGCCAGACGCAAAAACUGUCAGUUCAUCUUCCUGUCCCUGAAUCUUUUCAGGCUUUCUCGGUGCAGUCUCAGCCUCAUCUCCUUCCUACUCCAUCUGCUUUUGCUGCUCAGAAUCUCCCUCUUCAAUCUGCAUCUCGGUUCAACUCUAAUCGUGGCAGGAACACUAAGGGCCAGUUCUUUUCCAAUCGAGGUCAUCGAGGUAAUCGUGGUAAUUUUCCUAAUAACCGUGGCAAUCGAGGUUAUCAAGGAUUUCGCAGCAAUCAAGGCUCUUCUCACUUCAAAGUGCUUUGUCAAAUCUGUGGUUCUACCAGUCAUGAGGCUAUUGACUGCUUUGAUCGUAUGAAUCCUGACAUCUGUGGUCGUAUUCCUCCAGCUAAGCUUGCUGCCAUGUGUGCACAACAUUCUGCUAAACCAUCUCAGCCUUGGUUAAUUGAUUCAGGGGCAACCUCUCAUAUCACUAAUGAUGUUGCUAACCUCACCUCUCCUACUCCCUACACUGGCGAGGAUAAAGUGUAUAUUGGAGAUGGUAAAGGUUUAUCCAUCCUCAAUGUUGGUUCAUCUACUCUGCACACCUCUCAUAAUUCUUUUCAAUUGCGAAAUGUUUUACAUGUUCCCCACAUAACCCAUAAUCUCUUAUCUGCUUAUCAGUUUGUUAAUGAUAAUAAUUGUUCAUUGACACUUGACCCUUAUGGAUCCUAUGUCAAGGAUCGUAUUUCGGGGAAGAUGCUUUUACGGGGACCGGUUAGAGAUGGCUUCUAUCCUCUUCAAAGUUCCAGCAAUCUUCAUCCUCUUUCACAUACCGCUUUACUUAGUAUUAAAGCUCCAGUUACAAUUUGGCACAAGCGUUUGGGUCACCCUUCCUCCUCCAUUUUUAGAAGGCUCCUUUCAUCCAAUAAUCUUGCUUUACAAGGCAAGUCUACUGUGGACUUUUUCUGUUCGGAUUGUGCUCUUGCCAAGAAUCAUAAGCUUCCAUUUAAAGCUGCUACUUCAUCAUCAACUCACAGCCUUCAACUACUGCACUGUGAUCUGUGGGGACCUGCCUCAAUCACAUCAAGUAGUGGUUUUCAAUAUUUAUUUGCUCAUUGUUGAUGACUAUAGCAAAUAUAGUUGGUUCUUUCCUUUGAAAUCUAAGUCAGAUGUAUUUUCUACAUUUGUUGUCUUCAAAUCAUAUGUAGAAAAUUCACUUGGAAAUAAAAUAAAGGUUCUGCGUUCAGAUUCAGGGGGUGAAUUUACUAGUCACUCUUUUGCAUCAUAUCUCAGCAAACAUGGCAUUCUUCAUCAGUUCAGUUGUCCCCACACCCCUGAGCAAAAUGGUUGUGCAGAAAGAAAGCACAGGCACCUUGUUGAAACAGCUCGCACUUUGCUUCUUGCAUCUCAUGUCCCUCAUAUUUUCUGGGUUGAAGCAUUCUCCACUGCUAUCUAUCUUAUUAAUCGCCUUCCUAUUUCUGGCAUUUCACAGUCCCCUUGGCAGUUGCUAUUUCACAACCAUCCAGACUACUCUAAGCUCAAAGUAUUUGGUUGCCAAUGCUUUCCUUGGCUCAAACCUUACUUUCAUAGCAAAUUGGAUCCCAAGAGCAAAAAGUGUGUUUUCUUGGGGUAUAGUCUUCAACACAAAGGCUAUAGGUGCCUUGAUCCUAUCACCAAUCGCAUCUACAUCUCUCGUCAUGUUGUAUUCGAUGAAAGUACUUAUCCAUUUCAGUUGUCCCACAUUCAACACUCUUUUCCUGUUCCAAGUCCUCCAUCUUCCUCACCAACAAUUUCUUCCUCUCUGGAUCUUCAUUUUAGCAAACACAUUCCUCCUGUUUUCAGUCAGCCAUCUACAUCACCAUUAUGUGCUUCUGUGCCUGUUCCUAUUUCUUCAUCUUCAUCUUCCCCUGCACCUGUCUCAGUUGGCUCUUCUUCCAGUUUUGUUCCUCCUUCAGCACAUUCAUCUUUCUCCCAAAAUCAACAGAGUCAUCCUCCUGCCCCUGUUAAUUCUCAUCCAAUGAUUACUAGAUCCAAGGCUGGUAUACUCACGUCGAGAGCCUGUGCAGCAACUAAGCACCCACUUCCGGUUGAUAUGGAUUAUGUUCCUACAACAUACUUUGCAAGCUUCUAAAGCAUGCUCAUUGGAGGCAAGCUAUGCAAGAUGAAUUUAAUGCCUUGCUAACCACUGGUUACUUGGUCUCUUGUUCCUUCUCACCAUUCUCAAAACUUAGUGGGCUGCAAGUGGGUUUUCCGGAUUAAGAAGAAGCCCGAUGGCACUGUUGACAGAUAUAAAGCCCGGCUUGUGGCCAAGGGUUUUCAUCAACAAGAAGGUAUUGACUUUCAAGAAAACCUUCAGUCCAGUUGCCAAACCGGUUACAAUUCGGAUCCUUCUUACCCUUGCUGUGCAAUAUAAUUGGUUUCUCAAUCAAUUGGACAUUAGUAAUGCCUUUCUUCAUGGAGACUUAAAGGAGGAUGUCUACAUGCAACAACCCCCUGGUUUUGUUGAUCCCUUACACCCUACAUCUGUUUGUAAGUUGAGGAAAUCGUUGUAUGGUCUCAAACAAGCUCCUCGAGCUUGGUUUGAUAAACUGUUCCAAGCUCUUCACUCUCUUGGAUUCACCCAAUCAUCCUCAGAUGCUUCUUUAUUUGUUCUCAAUGGUCCUCAGUUUAGUCAUUGUCCUUGUCUAUGUUGAUGACAUUCUUGUCACCGGACCCUAUCCUUACCUCUGUCAACACUUCAUUCAGCAACUUGGGGCUCAAUUUCCAGUAAAAGACCUUGGUCCUCUUCAUUAUUUCUUGGGAUUAGAAGUACAUCGAUCUUCCCAGGGUAUAUUUCUCCAUCAAACAAAGUACUUAUUGGAUCUUCUCAAGAAAACAAAUAUGGAGGGUGCAAAACCUUGUUGUACUCCCCUUGGCUCUAAGAAAUUAGAUCACAGUGGCCCUCUUCUGUCCAAUCCUACUGAAUAUCGCUCCAUUGUUGGUGGUUUACAAUAUCUUACUUGGACUAGACCCGACCUUUGCUUUUGCUGUGAACCAAAUCUGCCAAUUCAUGCAUGCUCCCAGGGAACAACAUCUCCAGGCAGCAAAAAGGGUUCUCAGAUUUCUCAAAGGCUCUAUCUCACAUGGUGUGUGGUUCACUAAAGGCCCUGUCCAUCUUUCUGCCUACUCGGAUGCCGACUGGGCUGGUUGCACAAUUGACAGGAGAUCAACCACUGGUUAUUGUGUAUUUUUGGGUUCCAAUCUUAUCAGCUGGAGUGCCAAGAAGCAAAGUACUGUUGCAAGGUCCUCUACAGAGGCUGAAUAUCGCUCCUUAGCUCACACAGCUGCUGAGAUAACUUGGGUUUGCAAGAUUCUCAAAGAUCUGCACUAUCCUCUCUCUACAUUCCCUACUCUUUGGUGUGACAACAUAUCAGCAAUAUCUUUAGCAUCUAAUCCUGUCUUUCAUGCUCGAACAAAGCAUGUUGAGAUCGAUUAUCACUAUAUUAGAGAAUUGGUUUUGGCUCAACUUCUCAAAGUCAAGUUCAUCUGCAGUGAAGACCAAUUAGCUGAUCUUCACACCAAGUCUCUGUCUAAAACCAGAUUUAAUUAUCUGUGUUCCAAGCUUCCCAUUGGUCUCAUUUCUGAUCCCCCUUCUCGCUUGAGGGGGUGUAUUAGGGAGAAUGACAAGUCAUCCAAGUCUGCUACUGUUAAUAAUUCUGUUACUGUAAAUUAACUGAUUGUAUUAGUUGUGAUUAGUUAAGAUAGUUAUAAAGUAGUUAGGGGUAUCUAUGUAAAUAGCCAAAGGCUAUAUAUAUUCCUACACAAUGUGUAAAGUUCUCAGUCAAGUAAAUACAAUCAAGAAAACUUACUGUUGAAGUUUUCUGUUUCUACAGGUUUUGGAUUGGAGGAGUUGACACAAAAUUAUAAAUAUAUUAAACAAAUUUAUCUAUUCUAAAGUUGGAGGGAAAUUGGCCUGUACAUUGCUACAGUAAUUUUUUUUUACCCAAUUUCACGUUAUUUACAACAAAGCUAUCAGAUUUGGGUUGGGUUGGAGGGUAAUUUGUUAAAAGUUAGGAGGGUAAUUUUGUGCAUAGGGUUUAGGUGCCCUCCUAUACAUGACCCUUGAUUUUACUUUAUUUACACCACUGCCAUCAAAUAUGUGGCUGAAUUGGAGGGUAUUAUUAAAAGUUAGGAGGGUAGUUUGUUCAAGGGGUGAGGGCGACAUUCGCAGACAGAGAGCGAUGGGAGCCAUGGCCAUUGCACAGAGAGAAAGGGAGUGAUGGGGGAAAUUACAGACAGAAAAGGAAGGGAUGGGGGGGAUUUGAUGGAUGGUCACAGAGAGAGAUUGGGUGAGGGAUGUGAGAGGAGAUUACAGAGAGAUAAAUAAAAGGGAGGGAUCGGGGGAUGUGAGGGAUGGUCAGGGAGAGAAAUAGUGAGGGAGGGAGGGAUGGGGGGGCUGAUUUUCGGUUCCUCCUUCCAGAUUUGUUCCGUAAAAACCUGUUGGGUAGAAUUCAAUUUCCUCCCCCUUUCCCCUGAACGAAAAAUUCGAAACCUACAACUCAAAACUCACUCAUUUGUCGUCCCUCCUUGGCUUUCCGCUUUACUCAUCUCCCGGUGGUUCUCUCUCCAUACGAUUCCAUUUCGGUGAGUUCUUCGUUGCCCUCAUGAUUUCCCACUUUUAUUUUUGGGGCGUCCUUAGUCGUCGUUUUUAUCUGGGUUUACUGCAUUGUUGCUUUUAGUUUCUGGAUUUUUAUUUUUUUGGCACUUGGAUGAAUCGUGGUUAAUAAUUUCACAUCAUGGGAUUUUCGCACUUCUGAUGGAAUUGAGCGCGGGGAUUCGGGGUGGGGUUUUACUGAUAAUUUGUCUUCAUUCAAACGAAGGGUUAAAAUUUAUGAGUAUUAACAAAUUUUGUAAAUUAUUCUUAUACAUUUUAUU
Molecule: long non-coding RNA, 202213 nt
Filed under: Malus domestica (apple)
Lineage: Eukaryota; Viridiplantae; Streptophyta; Magnoliopsida; Rosales; Rosaceae
Source: RNAcentral